CGCCUCAUAGGUCUUUCACAAAGCACAUACCUUGAUAAGAUUUUGAAGAGGUUCAAAAUGGAUCAGUCCAAGAAGGGGUUCUUGCCUAUGUUACAAGGUGUGAGAUUGAGCUCGGCUCAGUCACCGACCACGGCAAAAGAUAAAGAAGAGAUGAGUGUCAUCCCCUAUGCUUCAGCCAUAGGAUCUAUUAUGUAUGCCAUGCUGUGUACCAGACCCGAUGUAAACCUUGCCGUAAGUUUGGUAGCAAGAUACCAAAGUAAUCCCGGCAAGGAACACUGGACAGCAGUCAAGAAUAUCCUGAAGUACCUGAAAAGGACGAAGGACAUGUUUCUCGUUUAUGGAGGAGACGAAGAGCUCGUCGUAAAGGGUUACGUCGACGCUAGCUUCGACUCAGAUCUGGAUGACUCUAAGUCACAAACCGGAUACGUGUAUAUGUUGAAUGGUGGAGCAGUAAGCUGGUGCAGCUGCAAGCAGAGCGUCGUGGCGGGAUCUACGUGUGAAGCGGAGUACAUGGCAGCCUCGGAGGCAGCACAUGAAGCGAUUUGGGUGAAGGAGUUCAUCACCGACCUAGGAGUCAUACCCAAUGCGUCGGGGCCGAUCAAACUCUUCUGUGACAACACUGGAGCUAUUGCCCUCGCCAAGGAGCCCAGGUUUCACAAGAAGACCAGGCACAUCAAGCAUCGUUUCAACUCCAUCCGUGAAAAUGUUCAAGAUGGAGACAUAGAGAUUUGCAAAGUGCACACGGAUCUGAAUGUCGCAGAUCCGCUGACUAAACCUCUCUCGCGUGCAAAACAUGAUCAACACCAGAACUCUAUGGGUGUUCGAUUCAUCACAAUGUAACUAGAUUGGUGACUCUAGUGCAAGUGGGAGACUAUUGGAAAUAUGCCCUAGAGGCAAUAAUAAAAGUAUUAUUAUAUUUCAAUGUUCAUGAUAAAUGUCUUUUAUUCAUGCUAUAACUGUAUUAUCCGGAAAUCGUAAUACACGUGUGAAUACUUAGACCACAAUAUGUCCCUGGUGAGCCUCUAGUUGACCAGCUCGUUGUGAUCAACAGAUAGUCAUGGUUUCCUGACUAUGGACAUUGGAUGUCGUUGAUAACGGGAUCACAUCAUUAGGAGAAUGAUGUGAUGGACAAGACCCAAUCCUAAGCAUAGCAUAAAAGAUCGUGUAGUUCGUUUUGCUAGAGCUUUGCCAGUGUCAAGUAUCUCUUCCUUCGACCAUGAGAUCGUGUAACUCCCGGAUACCGUAAGAGUGCCUCGGGUGUAUCAAACGUCACAACGUAACUGGGUGACUAUAAAGGUGCAUUACAGGUAUCUCCGAAAGUAGCUGUUGGGUUGACACGGAUCGAGACUGGGAUUUGUCACUCCGUAUGACGGAGAGGUAUCUCUGGGCCCACUCGGUAAUGCAUCAUCAUAAUGAGCUCAAUGUGACCAAGGUGUUGGACACGGGAUCAUGCAUUACGGUACGAGUAAAGUGACUUGCCGGUAACGAGACUGAACAAGGUAUUGGGAUACCGACGAUCGAGUCUCGGGCAAGUAACUUACCGAUUGACAAAGGGAAUUGCAUACAGGGUUUGAUCGAAUCCUCGACAUCGUGGUUCAUCCGAUGACAACAUCGAGGAGCAUGUGGGAGCCAUCAUGGGUAUCCAGAUACCGCUGUUGGUUAUUGACUGAGAGCGUCUCGGUCAUGUCUGCAUGUCUCCCGAACCCGUAGGGUCUACACACUUAAGGUUCGGUGACGCUAGGGUUAUUAGGAAGACUAGUAUGUGACUACCGAAUGUUGUUCGGAGUCCCGGAUGGGAUCCUGGACGUCACGAGGAGAUCCGGAAGGGUCCGGAGGUAAAGAUUUAUAUAUGGGAAGUUGUCAAACAGACACCGGGAAGUUUUGGGGUCAUACCGGUAUUGUACCGGGGCCACCGGAAGGGUUCCGGGGGUCCACCAGGAGGGGCCACCCCUCCCGGGGGGCCACAUGGGCUGCGUGGGGCAGGGAGCCAGCCCCUGGUGGGCUGGCCGCACCCCCUCCCUUGGGCCCAUGCGCCUAGGGUUGAGGGGGGAACCCUAGAGGGGGCGCCCCCCUUGGCUUGGGGGCCAAGCCACCCUCUCCCCUCUCCCCUAGGCCGCCGCACCCCCCCCUAGAUGGGUUCUAGGGGGCCGGCCCCCUUCUCCCUUCCCCCUAUAAAUAGAGGGGUGAGGGGAGGGCAGCCGCACCACCCUCCAAGGCGCAGCCCUCCCCUCCCCAACACCUCUCCUCCUCCGUUGUGUGCUUGGCAAAGCCCUGUCGGAGUACUGCCUCUCCACCAUCACCACGCCGUCGUGCUGCCGGUGGAGCUGUCUUCCUCAACCUCUCCUUCCCCCUUGCUGGAUCAAGAAGGAGGAGACGUCUCCCAUCCCGUACGUGUGUUGAACGCGGAGGUGCUGUCCGUUCAGCACUUGGUCAUCGGUGAUUCGAAUCACGUCGAGUACGACUACAUCAUCACCUUGCAAGCUUCCGCCCGCGAUCUACAAGUGGUAUGUAGAUGCAAACUCUCUCCCUUGACUCGUUGCUUAGAUGAACUCAUAGAUGGAUCUUGGUGAAACCGUAGGAAAAAUUUUAAUUUUCUGCAACGUUCCCCAACACCCGCGGGCGCCGCCGAAGAGUCGGAGAGCAGGCCGCCGAGCAGGCCGACCGGGGCCAGCACAGGUGGCGGGGACAAGGUGGGGGAGCGCGGGGAGGAGGCCGGGAAGACCACCAGGCCCACACUGGAGAUGUCGCUCCCCUCGGAUGGCGACACGUCAGAGAUCGGCGGGCCAUCCACCGGGGGGCGAGAGGCGGCCUGGCGGCCCUUGCCCCCAGCAGACGGAGGGGGGGCGAGGGGGAUGGGGAGCGGGAGUCCUCGGACGCCCCCUCCUCAUCCGAGCGGUGAGAACGGGAGCGGUGGCGGCCGUGGUAGUCUCCACCGGCCCCCGGGUUGUCACCAGGGGGGCCGACGUCGAGGAAGCGGGGACGCCCAACGUGGUUGGGAGGCUCGGGGGCGAUCCAAAGGUCGAAGCCCUGGUCGUUGAAGAAGACCCGGACCGAAGUGCGCAGCUUGGAGGAGUCGAGGCACUUGACCUUGACCCGCACCUCCUCCUCCUUGCGCAAUGAGAGCUCGUCGACCACCACCACCUUGCCCAAGAGGGGAGACAUCUGGCGGAUGACGAGCUCGGACCGCGCAAUAUCGGGGAGACUGGAGAUGAGGAUCCAGGCGGUGUCGAGGACAGCGACGGCCUGAGCGUCGAGUACUGGCUCGGAUAUCUUGACAACCAGCUGGUUGAGAGCGAGAGUGAUCCGGCCACUACGCGUCGCGUAGCCGAAGCUGACGGAGUCGGGGAAGACGACGGAGAAGAUGUGACCGGCUGUGGGGGUGACCACCCAGUCCCACUGGUGGCGGUAGAGGUGGUUGAGCUCAGUCUCGAUCAUCUCUGGGGAUGCCACCCCAUCAACGACCGUGACAAUCGCCUGAAGGGAGGGCAACGGAGGAGGGGCGUCCGGGACCUCGAGGUGGAAGAAGCCCAACCCCUCGAUCCCAUGCCCAUACAUCAUGAGCUCCGAAACCACCGGUCUAUCCGGGCACAGAAUGGCGGGGUGGCCGGGAUCCUUGCAGAGGUAGCAGCACUGGGGGUUGACGCAAGCAACCUGAGAAUGCCCCCUCAUCCCACAGUUGAAGCAUGGGGGGCGAGGGAGAUCGGAGACGGGGCCCGGAGCGGAGGAGGCUCCCGGACCCGCGGGGGGUGGCACGGCCGGAGUGAGGCGGACACCCCGGCGCUUCUUCUUCUUGGCAGGCCCAGGACGGCGGCGGGAGGUGCCACCACCAUGAGCCGGAGCCGGGGCCGCAGCCCCAGUGGAGGCCGCGUGCGGAGGGACGUAGCGGCGAGUGUCCGGGGUGGGGAGGAUACCGUCCCCUGGGCGAGGCGAGCCGACCCGGGCCGGACGGGGAGCGUUCCCGACGACGGGACGGCGACGGGGAGCACCGGCGGGCGCGCCAGUCCCCCGACGACGCCCGCGGCGACCGGGACCGCGCCCGGUCAUCACGGCGGGAGGGGGAGCGGCGACCGUCCCGGAGCUCCCGGAGCUCGCNNNNNNNNNNNNNNNNNNNNNNNNNNNNNNNNNNNNNNNNNNNNNNNNNNNNNNNNNNNNNNNNNNNNNNNNNNNNNNNNNNNNNNNNNNNNNNNNNNNNNNNNNNNNNNNNNNNNNNNNNNNNNNNNNNNNNNNNNNNNNNNNNNNNNNNNNNNNNNNNNNNNNNNNNNNNNNNNNNNNNNNNNNNNNNNNNNNNNNNNNNNNNNNNNNNNNNNNNNNNNNNNNNNNNNNNNNNNNNNNNNNNNNNNNNNNNNNNNNNNNNNNNNNNNNNNNNNNNNNNNNNNNNNNNNNNNNNNNNNNNNNNNNNNNNNNNNNNNNNNNNNNNNNNNNNNNNNNNNNNNNNNNNNNNNNNNNNNNNNNNNNNNNNNNNNNNNNNNNNNNNNNNNNNNNNNNNNNNNNNNNNNNNNNNNNNNNNNNNNNNNNNNNNNNNNNNNNNNNNNNNNNNNNNNNNNNNNNNNNNNNNNNNNNNNNNNNNNNNNNNNNNNNNNNNNNNNNNNNNNNNNNNNNNNNNNNNNNNNNNNNNNNNNNNNNNNNNNNNNNNNNNNNNNNNNNNNNNNNNNNNNNNNNNNNNNNNNNNNNNNNNNNNNNNNNNNNNNNNNNNNNNNNNNNNNNNNNNNNNNNNNNNNNNNNNNNNNNNNNNNNNNNNNNNNNNNNNNNNNNNNNNNNNNNNNNNNNNNNNNNNNNNNNNNNNNNNNNNNNNNNNNNNNNNNNNNNNNNNNNNNNNNNNNNNNNNNNNNNNNNNNNNNNNNNNNNNNNNNNNNNNNNNNNNNNNNNNNNNNNNNNNNNNNNNNNNNNNNNNNNNNNNNNNNNNNNNNNNNNNNNNNNNNNNNNNNNNNNNNNNNNNNNNNNNNNNNNNNNNNNNNNNNNNNNNNNNNNNNNNNNNNNNNNNNNNNNNNNNNNNNNNNNNNNNNNNNNNNNNNNNNNNNNNNNNNNNNNNNNNNNNNNNNNNNNNNNNNNNNNNNNNNNNNNNNNNNNNNNNNNNNNNNNNNNNNNNNNNNNNNNNNNNNNNNNNNNNNNNNNNNNNNNNNNNNNNNNNNNNNNNNNNNNNNNNNNNNNNNNNNNNNNNNNNNNNNNNNNNNNNNNNNNNNNNNNNNNNNNNNNNNNNNNNNNNNNNNNNNNNNNNNNNNNNNNNNNNNNNNNNNNNNNNNNNNNNNNNNNNNNNNNNNNNNNNNNNNNNNNNNNNNNNNNNNNNNNNNNNNNNNNNNNNNNNNNNNNNNNNNNNNNNNNNNNNNNNNNNNNNNNNNNNGGAGGGGCGCCGGCGCCGCGGAGGCAGAGGCGGCGGAGGGGCCCGCGAAGGCGCCAGCGGAGUCGCCCAUCCCAAAACAUUAGCUAUAUAUAGCUAGCCAAUCAUAAUUAGGAAUUAGAAAAUCCAUUGCAUGCAUGGAGUUAAAUAAGUGAAAUUGAAAAAGGUUUUCUUUUCUGAAGUUGUUCUCCUUGCUUUUGUUGUUGUUGUUGUUGUUUUUUUUUUUGCGAGGAUGCUCUUGUAGUUGUUGCUGAAAUCAAAUCACCCACGCAUGCAACAACCUAAUCAUAGGAAUUAGCUAAAUUAUUUUCAUGCAUGGAGCUUCCAACAGGAUAUAAUAAUUUAGAAAAGUAAUAAACCUUUUUUCUUUUCUAAAGCGCAAGUGCAAAAGGUGUGACCAGAGAAUAUUAGAUUUCUUUCCUGAAGCGCAAGUGCAAAAGGUGUGACUAGAAAAUGGGCGAUGUGGUCGUAGGCGGUAGGGAAAGCGAAACGUCACCAACCGAAUGGCGAUGACACAACCGAAUGAGAGCUCUCACGCCUUCCCCUCCACAAUCACACCAUCCUCCUCUGCUCCCCCUGCUCCUCUUCACCUCUGCUCCAUUACCUUCUUUCUCUGCCUGCCUGGGGGAGCUAGCUAGAAAGAGAGAAAGAAAGAAGCUCGCCGGCGUCGGGGAGGAUGUCGGACUGGGGGGCGGUGGUGAUUGCGGUGGUGCUGUCGCCGGGGCUGCUGCUGCAGCUCCCCGGGAAGCACCACUUCGUGGAGUUCGGAAACAUGCACACCAGCGCCAUGGCCAUCCUCGUCCACGCCAUCCAUCCAUCCCAACUGGACUUGUUCGACAGGAAAGGAAGAUGGCUGAUUCCCCAGCCUGCUCUAUAUGUUGGGCGGAGGAGGACACUUGGCACCAUUCACUACUCAGUUGCUAUAUGGCAAGAUUUGUGUGGGUGUUGGAAGACGAAGAGCAGCUCGAGCAUGUGAUCUCAAACCAAAACAAAAAUGCAAGGUUAUGGCUGUUCUGGCUCUUUAAGACAACAAACCAACAAGAUCUUGCUCGAGUAUUGGUAACUAUGUGGGCAAUAUGGUGGGCUCGGAGGAAGGCAAUCCAUGAGAAUGAAUACCAGAGCCCGCUCUCAACUAGGUGUUGUAUCAAGAGAUUUCUGGAGGAUCUUGAGAUAGCUGAACUUAACUGUGAUGCAGCUAAACUUAAUGCAGCUAAACUUAACUGUGAUGCAGCUAAACUUAACUGUGAAUGUGCGGUCAGGCCUCGGGCAAGAAUUUGGUUACCUCCUUCGGGUGAUGCAGCUAAACUUAACUGUGAUGGUGGUCUAUCAACUCUGGGGGAGAGAGGAGCAGCUGGAGUUGUCUGUCGAGACAAGUUUGGGAAGUUUUUAGGCGCGUCAGCGGUGGUCUUCGACGGCCUGACCAACCCGGCAAGCUUGGAGGCACAAGCUUGCAGCGAGGCGCUAGCCCUCACACGGGAUUUCAAUCUACAGGAGCUAGUGAUUGCCUCAGAUUGUGUCGAAGUGAUAUCAAAUAUCAACAAGGCAGGUUCACCAUCUUAUGCUCCUAUCCUAGGACGAGACUUGCCUGCUCCCUUCCCGUGCUCCUAUCCGUGCUCCCGCGUACGUGGCUUGAUUUGAUUGGAAGAAAAUAAGGCCCGGCCCCACCCCCUGAAAAUCAGGGGGGAAGAUGAUUAGAUUUGAAAAGAAAAGGAGAAAAUGACAGCCGUAGGAUGAAGUGGGAGCACGGAUGGGAGCAUGGAAAGGGAGCAGGCAAGCCGGAUCCCUAUCCUAAGGGAAAUUCAAACCAGUAGGACCAACUUUUCUUCUGUUGCUUUUCGUUUUGAGAGUACAGAUAAUAAUUUUGAGGCCCAUUCGCUUGCAAAAGGACAUGCGUCUCUUGCGGUGGGUCGCCAUGUGUGGCUAGGGGUUUUGCCAGAGAUUACAUAUAUUCCAGAUGUUCUGAAUUUUAAAUAAAAUCCCUAGUUUCCCUCAAAAAAAAAUAGCGAAUCGUCUAUUCUGUUUCAGCGCCGACGCACGACUCGCUGCAUGCGCGCAUCUAGGGUAGUUGGGCGAAACUUGGCCGGCGGCAGCACUGCGCAACCAACCCAGAUCAGCGGCGACGGCCGAAGCUGUCAUGUCGUGCCCGGCGACCACAACGAGAGACGCGCAAGAAUACAAAUCCUAUGGGCAGUCUCCCUGUUGACUAGUAUCAUGUUACCGAUCCAAAAAUCCGAAUUAGGUCACAUCAUUUUCUUUGAUUUAGAUGGAAUUAGCUAGGCCAGUGGUUUCUUGUUUAUGCUCACAAAUCGGUACUGCAAAUUAGGCAUAAUGCAUUCAUUAUAUCAUUCAGAUUUAAUUUUUUGUCAGUCGUUUUUGUAUAUCAUGAAGAGAAAAAUUAUAUAUUCCUUCGAAACAAUCAUAGGCACAUUUGCUCUUCUUGGCAGUCAAGAAGCCAAACUUAAGCAAGUACAAACGUAAAAAAAUGCCCCACUGACCAUAUAAUUUAUGAAAAACAUUCAAUAUAUUUGUCAUGUUNNNNNNNNNNNNNNNNNNNNNNNNNNNNNNNNNNNNNNNNNNNNNNNNNNNNNNNNNNNNNNNNNNNNNNNNNNNNNNNNNNNNNNNNNNNNNNNNNNNNNNNNNNNNNNNNNNNNNNNNNNNNNNNNNNNNNNNNNNNNNNNNNNNNNNNNNNNNNNNNAUCUUCAAAUCCUGGCUCCGCCCCUGCCAGCUAGCUACCGUGUGGCUUUAGGUGUUGCGUAUCCUCUACACACACAUUUUCUUCUCCUCCUUUCGCCCUCUGCCACAUAUUCUUGCUCGAUGGAAAGCGAUGUUUCAGGCGCGGCCAGAAAACACGAGAGAUCAUCAUCAUCUUCAUGUAGCUUCCCGAAGGUUAAUCGCAAUUACAUCUCCGGCUCUGGUUCCACUGGAUUGUAUUCUAGAUUCUGGUACAACAUGGUGGAGUAGAUAAGAAAAGUUCAGGACAAGUCGUUGUCAGUUGGGAGGAGCUAGCUGGUCAUGCAAUGAGCAUUGCUAGUUGACCUCAGCACUCACUCUCAUGGAGGACAGGACGAGAGUGAGAGGUCUCCAGCCACAGAGACCUCACUCUCACACUCACUUUCCCCCUGCCUGCCUGUCUGUUAUCAACAAGCUCACUAAAAAACAAGCAAAAUUGCUGUUGUUCUUCUCCUUGAAUGUUGUUGUGGCGUUGAAAUGCCCUAGAUAUAGCUAGCCAGUUAAACAAGUGAAAUUUUAAAAGGUUUUCUUUUCUGAAGUUGUUCUCCUUGCUCUUCUUCUUGUGGUUGUUGAAAUCGCCUACAUAAAGUACUCAUAUAAACUGUCAAAGGAAAAUAGGUAAGCCUCCCCUCCAAGUUGGGGUUUCUCUUUCCCUCUCGCGAGUGUGGCGGCUAGGAUAUUCAUUCCUUCCCAGCUUCGCUGGCGAGCCCGUGGAUCCACCUUCCAUCCNNNNNNNNNNNNNNNNNNNNNNNNNNNNNNNNNNNNNNNNNNNNNNNNNNNNNNNNNNNNNNNNNNNNNNNNNNNNNNNNNNNNNNNNNNNNNNNNNNNNNNNNNNNNNNNNNNNNNNNNNNNNNNNNNNNNNNNNNNNNNNNNNNNNNNNNNNNNNNNNNNGGUUUUUUUUUCUCGCAUGAGCGGCGUUCACGCAGAUAGCAGUGGUUCAUUUCGAGUUGGUCUUCCGGACUUCGAUUCUCAUCGAGUUUGUCCAUCGGGGUGGAGCCCCGGUGUAGAUUCUCCGUGGUGUGAUGAGGUUAGAGUUUCUUGCUGUUUGUGUGCAACGAUUAGAUUUUGAGUAAGAUGUUUUAGAUCUAUUCAAGAGUUCAGUGGUGAUGAUUUCAGCUCUAGUACGCCACACCUCAGGGGCACGUGCAUGAAGACUUCCCGGCUGUCAUCAAGAAAGUCAAACCGGCUCAGGUAGGGGAGCACCGCAUAGACGGACAUUCCGACUGUGGCAGUGGUCCUUCGGUGGUGCUUGAUUUAAUUUUAUUAUGUAUAUAGGAUGUGUUGCCCUUUUUACGAACCUUUGUAAAAGAUCUAGGUCCUUUUUCACAAAAAGGACUACCUAAUCAUAAGAUUUGAAUAAAUAUAUUUUCAUGCAUGUAGCUGCUAAGAGUAUACAAUAAUUUAGAAAAAAAACCUUUUCUUUUCUUUUCUGAAGCGCAAGUGCAAAAGGUGUGACUAGAAAAUACAAGUGCAAAAGGUGUGAUUAGAAAACGGGCGAUGUGGUCGUAGGCGGUAGGGAAAGCGGAACGUCACCAAACGAAUGGGAAUGGCGAUGAAAGGGAGCCCUCACGCCUUUCCCUCCACAAUCACACCAUCCUCCUCCUCUGCUCCCGCUGCUCCUGGUUUGCUCUGCUCCAUUGCCUUCCUUUCUCUUCCCCGAGGAGCUAGCUAGAAAGAGAGAAAGAAAGAAGCUCGCCGGCGUCGGAGAAGAGGGGGAGGAUGUCGGACUGGGGGCCGGUGGUGAUCGCGGUGGUGCUGUUCGUGCUGCUGUCGCCGGGGCUGCUGCUGCAGCUCCCCGGGAAGCACCACUUCGUGGAGUUCGGCAACAUGCACACCAGCGCCAUGGCCAUCCUCGUCCACGCCAUCAUCUACUUCGCCCUCAUCGCGCUCUUCGUCAUCGUCAUCGGCGUGCACAUCACCACUGACUAGAGACCGGCGGAGCUCGAUCACCCCGGCCGGCCAGCUCCAAUUAAGCUGCUCUUCCCCUUCUUCCUUUUUCCAAUUUUCAUCCGAUCCAUCUGACUCCUGCCUCUGUGUUUCGUUUUGUUCUGUUCUUGCUGCUUGCAACUACUUGUAGUAGUACAUGGGAUCAUGUUUGUUUGUUGCCAUGCGUAAUUAAUCUCGCGCGUAUGUAGCUUCUUGAUUAAUAAAGAGAUGUGUGUACUCAAUUUUCCAUGGAGUGGCACAAGUUAUUUAAUCAUCUGAAGCUCAAGAUGAACCGGUAGAUGUGUGCAUAUAGUAAGGCUUGCAUUUUUUUUCUUGCAAAGCAACGACCUUCAUUUCAGCUACAGCGCUUUUCAACUACCCCUGCGAUAUCCAGAGCAUAGAUUGAUUAUAACCAGUAGUUUUGCCCAUGUGUCAUUCUUGGGUUCAUGAUUCUGCUGAUACAAUGAAUUAGCUACUCCCUCCGUCCCAUAAUGUAAGACACUUUUUGACACUAGUGUAGUGUCAAAAAACCUCUUACAUUAUGGGACGGAGGGAGUACUUGAUAGCUGAAUUUAACCAAGUGAUUAUGCAAUACUCCAUCAAUUAAGUACUGAUAAUCCUAGACCUACGUAGCUUUACGAAGCGGUUUACGUAACCUNNNNNNNNNNNNNNNNNNNNNNNNNNNNNNNNNNNNNNNNNNNNNNNNNNNNNNNNNNNNNNNNNNNNNNNNNNNNNNNNNNNNNNNNNNNNNNNNNNNNNNNNNNNNNNNNNNNNNNNNNNNNNNNNNNNNNNNNNNNNNNNNNNNNNNNNNNNNNNNNNNNNNNNNNNNNNNNNNNNNNNNNNNNNNNNNNNNNNNNNNNNNNNNNNNNNNNNNNNNNNNNNNNNNNNNNNNNNNNNNNNNNNNNNNNNNNNNNNNNNNNNNNNNNNNNNNNNNGUCCAUGUGGCAGGUUACGUAAAACAUAUAAAAUUCUUUACGUGGAUGUAGCAUUACUCAUUAAGCACGUAUGUUGAUCAAUGAGAAAAGUAGCUACCCACACAUACGCUUUCCAUCACACAUAAUACAUGCUUGAUUACUCCAAUUGCCGACCAAGAUUACGUACUCCAUUUUGAUUGCCGAACAAAUCAAAAUUUGAAAUGAUACAAGGUUAAUUAAUUAGCUAAAGUGGUAAUGAGAUUUGUUAUGACGACUUUUGUUAGUCCUGUGCAUUCCAAUCAAAGGGGAAGAUGAGGAAAAUCAUUGUGCAGUCGUACUGCACUGUACACUUGUGCUGUUGAUGGCUGGGUCGGGUGGGCGGCUGGCCGGUGUGCACGUAUGGCACGCCCUAGUCCCACACCAAUCAAUCGAUCGGUCGUGAUCAAGCUGACGGUGAUCACUGCCGGUCCAACCACUACCACGGCAGCUACCGCCUUAACGUUGAUGCUGCUAGAAUAUUGCCUAGCUACAAAAGCAGCUCUUUAGUAGUAUUAUUUCUCUUUUUUUUUGUGGCGAUUAAGGAGCUUUAAUUAAUUGUGCAACUGAAAUGUCUUUAUAAUCAAGCAUGUAUGGGCUCGAUCCACUUGAAAGUAGUCACUCCCUCCGUUCCGAAAUAAACGUCGUGGUUUUAGAUUUCCGUUUAUUUUUGCGGGGUGUGGUUUCAGUUCGUUGUUCUCAGCCGACUGCUUGUACCCAUCAUCCUCCAUUAGAAAAAAAAAGGCCCUCCAUGGUGAUGUCGUCGUCGUCGUCGUCCGAGAAAUUAGCUGAGCCAUUGGAAAUUUCCUUCUCUCGAUUGUGCUCCGGCGCCUUCACGACGUUAUUCAUGUUUUAUUUUGUGAAAUGUGCAAGCAUUUCAGAGGGUGAAAAUAAAUUAAUUAAGCAGGAGGUGAAUAAAAUAGGUUAGUUUGUAGUAGAUGCUACGCAAGCGUCACCUUCAUGCGUCUACACUUCAAUCGACGAUCGUCCUGGUUAGUGGCAACGACAAAAGGACACGAUGAUUCUGGUUACCACUAGCAGCUUGUCUGUGUGGAAGGAGCUAUGGCGCCUAAUUCGCCUAGGUGGCCUGGUGCGUGGUCUCCAUCAAUGCAGAUAAGAAGAGAAGAAGAAGAAAGCAUCAUGUGCACAUGAACGGCCAUGCAUCCAUCCAUCCAUGCUCUCAUGUAGCAUGAUGACUUUCUCUACCGGGACAUCACCAUCGAUCGACACCAUUAUUAACAUUGGGAAACCUCAUUUACUAAGACUUUUAUGAAAUAUGGGAUUUGUUUAUUCCAAUUUAGCUACUUCUAAGUUGCCUCAAAAUAAUAUAUGGGUCAGUCGAGUUCACAUGAAGGAAGCAACCGCUGGCUCGCCAGCGAAGCCCUUUGUGUCUAUCUUAGGGUGGCAGGCGACCCCGGUGUCUAUAUUAGGGUGGCAGGCUCGCCGACUAUCUAUCUUAGCGGGGAGGGUGCUGGUCCACCGGAAAAAAUCUGUUUAUCGCCAGGGUUAGAGGGAUGGCCAGGGACGAUGGGAGCGCGGCGGUGCGCGGGGAUGUGAGGCUGGCGUUGGAGCGCCGCUGGCCGUGGACGAUGGCGGUAGGCCUUUAGGUCGGUCGUAGCUGACGGCUUGGGGUAGAAGAUAACUGGGAAAACGAUUGAGAGGUAGAAAAAGGCAUCUACGCCAUUGGAUCUGUAUCUGAAGGCUGGAAACGAUUCGACAAACACAAAAUUCUUUUUCAGUCAACUGGUCUCUAACCUAUGUUACUCUAGGAAUCAGCAAACCAUGUACGGCCAGCUCUUGACUAGCUAAUUGGACGAAAUGAAUCGAUGAAAUUGGCCAAUGUACAUGUGACAACAAAUAAAUCAGUACCAAGCUAAAUAUAUAGUUGUCUCCACUGACCCUAAUAAUUCUCUCAACAUGCGAGCCAACUCACCCCCGUAAAAAAAACAGCUAUGUCAACUCAUCAUGCAUGCCAAAUCCACACUAACUUAACACGCAUCAUGCGUGUUACUCAUAUUCAAUAAAUAUUAUACAGCUAUACACUAAUCAAACUACAACACCUUAUACAAAUUUAGUUUGCAUUGUUCAUCUAACUAAUGGUGUUUCAUACAACCAAUUCUUAUUAAAAUAGUUACAACCAAAUUCCGUGGCAAUCGCAUGGGUAUUUAUCUCCCGCUUAUUAAUAAGAAAAAGGUAGGAACAAGGUAAUUAAGGAAUGUAUGGAGUGCAAAUUGGUUAUUUGGCUUGGGUGGAUUAUAUAGAGAGCUCAGCCUCUGCAUUUGUUGGAGCUCUCGCAGCCGCGGGUGUACUUGUUGGCCUCAUCUUCCUCGUGGGUCAGCCCGUUGCGGCCCGGCACCUCGUCCGCCUGCAUCACGUCGUACAAGAUCAUCUUGGCGUCGACGCGCCCUGCACGCUGCGCCAGCAACAACACCGCCAUCGCCACCGCGACCAGCAGCACCCGGCCCGCCGCCGGCGAGCUCUCCUUCCUGUGGUACGCCAUUCUAGCUAGCCUUCCAUUGAUUGCUCAACGAAAAUGUAGCCGGCCGGGGUAGACGAUCUGCCUGAACUUGUCGGUUGGACGUAAGGCGAUUAAGCUUCGCAAAGUGCUACCCACCAUCCGUUAUUCUUAGGAUCCGGCCUACCUAUAUCACUAUAUCAGGAAUGACGCCAAACAGAGGAGGAGGAGACCAAACAAAAGGCAGACACACAAACAGGUGACAACAAGGCAAACCGGCUAUACAUAGAAUUUCUAAUAAGCAUGCCUAAUAAGCGAGAUGACGCGGUUCCCGACCGCCCCGCUCCGACUACCGGUUCCAGCGUGGCAUUUGAAUUAUGCCGCGCUAGAUGCCUUUUUUUUGGCGAGGAACAAGUGGGGUCAAGCGUGCUUCGGCAAUUCCCGCGGUCAGAAGACUUCCUUGUAGUCCGGUGUAGCUAGAGGUGAGGUUGUAGGGAGAUGCACCGACUAGGAAACAAUGACCACACGAACGAGCAUAUGUAUGAUGUGAUUAAGUCUCUCGAUCGGGUAUCUGGUGCCUUACGGUGUCUUCUUUCUGUCAACCUUUGCCAUCUUUCAGUUGGAGUGUGUGGCAUUAGGGUUGUGUACGUUUUGUUAUUCAGUUGCAUGGUGUGUACUCUAUACGGUUGUAUCACCUCGAUGUGUGAGUCAAUGUGUUUGAACCAAUGUAGAGUUUCAUGUGAAUGUUACAAGUGUAAUUGAUAUGUUCAUGUUAUAACCGCGGUUGCCUUGGUAAGAAACUGAAAGAGCAAACCGGUAUCGUGUUAGGACAAAAGUCAUCACUCAAUAUAAGUUGCUUCUCUAGAAGAGACACACCUUGUGAAAGAAGAUGGCAAACACCCAAUCAUGUCUGGUUCGAUAUGGGCGUGGCUAUGGGUAGCUAGCGACACGGAAGCCAGCGUCGCCUGAAGAAACGCCUGGGUGGGCCCGCCUAGAGACAGAUUUCUUCAUAUCUUUUUUUCGAAAAGGGGGGGCUCCCCGGCCUCUGCAUCAGAGUGAUGCAUACGGUCAUCUUAUUAACCAAAUAAAAAUGUGCCAACAAAGUUUCAAAGUCUCCAACUGAAAAAAAGAAAAGACAGCUCACACAGAGCCUAAAAAGACUAGAGACACAAACUAGCCAAGAAAAGACGCCACAACCGGCUGGCUAAAAAUAAAUAGGUAAACUAAUUGCCUAUCCUAUUACAUGACCGCCAUCCAAACCAGUUGAAGAUAUCCCGAGCUACCGUCUCCCAGCGGAUAGAUCCAGUAACCAAAUGCUCCCUGGCCUCCAUCGGAGUGAGUAGCGACCACGAACGGAUCACUGUCGUGGCUCGGAAAAUAACCUGCAAAAAAUGAAUACGUGAUGUUGUGUUAAAAACCAAAUCAUUUCUGCAAUUCCAGAUAGUCCACAGCAAAGCGCAAACUCCAACCCGAAUAUGUCUUACUAAGUCAGGCUCAAUUCCAUUAAGCCAUGUCCCAAAUAAAGCGUUGACAGAAUUCGGUGGAUUAAUAUUAAAAGCAAUGUGGACCGUCCGUCAAAGGACUUUGGCCAACGGGCAAUCAAGAAAGAGGUUCUUGAUCGUCUCAUCCCGAUCACAGAAACUACACCUAGUAGGUCCUAUCCAAUUACGCUUUAUCAAGUUGUCCUUUGUUAAAAUAACUUGUUUAUGGACAAACCACAUAAACACUUUUAUUUUCAAAGGAACUUUGACAUCCCAAACAUUCUUGGAAGUUGGAAUGGAGUUCGAAUUAAUAACAUCAAUAUACAUUGAUUUAACUGUAAAUACUCCAGACCUAGUCAGUUUCCAGCGUAAUUCAUCGGGUUGUUCAGAAAAUUGAAUCUCCAUCAGUCUCCUAACUAGAUGGAGCCAGUCUUCCCAACGAUUGCCCGCUAGCGACCGUCUAAACUGAAUAUUAAGGGGGAUAGAUUGAAAUACCGUUGCAACGAAUACCUCACGUCGUUGGAUAAUACGAUAUAAAGACGAAUAUUGAAUGGCCAAUGGUGUGUCGCUAAUCCAAGUAUCCUCCCAAAAACGUGUACUAGCACCGUUUCCAAUAACAAACUUCGUCCUAUUGAACAUUGAUUGUUUGACUUUCAUUAGUCCUUAAUUUUGUAUCUACCCUUAGUUUUGUUUUUCUGCCGUUUUUCUUUAUAUUUUAUAUUUUUCCCGACAUGUUCACUACUUGAUGCUCAACUGGGAUCUCAUCCUUCACAGAUAUGGAGGGCCAUUAUUGACGGAAGGGAUAUUAUAUGGUGCAAGGUAUAAUCAGACACAUCAGGGAUGGAGCGACUACACACAUAUCACUAGUAGGAAAACAUUCGACACGGGCGGGCGCUUUUCUUUCUAGAAAAACAUUCGAGUGAAUCAGGUGGACCAUAUAUUUCUCAUGUGGACGAACGAAAAAAACUCCACGACUAACAGUCUAUGAUAUUCACAUGGUACCGUGCUUUAUGGUCGAUUGGAAGUAAAAAUAUGAAAAGCAUGCCUAAUAAGCGAGAUGGUGCAUGCAGUUCCCGACCGCCCCGCUCCGUAUCGGUUCCAGCGUGGCAUUUGAAUUAUGCCGCGCUAGAUGCCUUUUUUCGGCGAGAAACAAGUGGGUUCAACCGUGCUUCGGCAAUUCCCGCGGUCAGAAGACUUCCUUGCAGUCCAGUGUAGAGGUGAGGUUGUAGGGAGAUGCACCGACUAGGAAGCAAUGACCACACGAACGAGUAUAUGUGUCUGAUGUGAUUAAGUCUCUCGGUCGGGUAUCUGGUGCUUUACGUACGGUGUCUUCUUUUUGUCAAGCUAUGACAUCUUUCAGUUUGAGUGUCUGAUAUUAGGGUUGCAUACUUUUUGUUAUUUAGUUGCCUGUUGUGAACUCUACGGUUAUAUCACCUCGAUGUGUGAGCCAAUGUGUUUGAAGCAAUGUAGAGUUUCAUGUGAAUGUUACAAGUGUGAUUGAUGUGUUCAUGUUAUAACCACGGUUGCCUUGGUAAGAAACUGAAAGAGCAAACCGUUAUCGUCUUAGGACAAAAGUCAUCACUGAAUAUAAGUUGCUUCUCUAGAACAACCACAACCUGUGAAAGAAGAUGGCAAACACCCAAUCAUGUCAGGUUCGAUACGGGCGCGGCUAUGGGUAGCUUAUAGCGACACGGAAGCCAGCAUCGCCUGAAGAAACGCCCGGGUGGGCCGGCCUAGAGACAGAUUUCAUCAUUUCUACCCUUAGUUUUGUUUUUUCCCCCGUUUUUCUUUAUAUUUUAUAUUUUCAUAAAAAAUCUAAAAAUACAUAUAUUCCACAAAAAUACUGAUGUUUUGAAGAAAAAAAUGUUUGUCCAUUUAAAAAGAUGGUCAUAGCAUUAAACAAAUGGUCAUUAUAAAAUAUUUUUAGAAACGUAUAUAGUGUAUUUUAAAAUGUUAAAUAUGCAUCAAGAAUUAUUUCUUAAGUAUACAAAAGAUGUACAAUGUGUAUGAAAAUUACAUAGACAUCGGAACAUAUUAUAGAAAAUGUUAAUCAUGUAUUUAAAAAUGUUAAACACACAUCCAUAAAAAUGUUUUCGAUGUACGUAAAAAAAAUUGUACAUAGCGUGUGAAAAAAGUAUGCAUUGAAAAAACAAAAAAACUUGUUGGAAAAAAAUCUCAUGUUGUAUACAAAAAUGUAAAAAGUGUAGAACAUAAUUAGAUAUAUGUUUAACGAAACAAGGAAAGAAGGGACAAAAAUAAUCCGAUCAACACCAAGAUAGGAACAAGAAAACCUGAAGAAGACCAUUGAAAAAAAGAAAAGAUACAAGAAAGAUGAAGAAAAACGAAAAAAUGAAGAAGCUGAUGCAAAACAGGGAACUUAGUGAAAACGAAUAAAAAUUGAUGAAAACCGAGAAGGAAAACAAGAAAACUGAAGCAAAAAAUAAGAAAAAUAUGUAAAAAAGGAAAAAUGAUGAAACAUUGUGAAACAGUGAAAUACUAUGAAAACCAAAAGAAAAAAGAAUAAAAAAAAACGUACAGCGAGCAAAUGAACAACAACUGAAUGAACGAGCGACCAUGCGAGAACACGUUAAUUGUCCGGCCCAUACUUGUGGACUCCAGAGGCGAGCCUGAAUACGCGAGAUAUAGCUAUGACGAUUUGAUACCCUUCAUAGCUUCACUAAUGCUAUAUCUCGCUCAAAGCGAGUGUAUCUUUUGUCUGGCCUGAAGGUGCAAGAAUAGCAUCAAGUCAUUGUAAGGUUUGCGAUCCUACAAUCAGAGCUCCGAUACGAUUAAAAUUCAUGUUUCAGACAACCUUUGGUCAUUCGUUCGCGUUCAGGUCGUCCGCUCACUCGAUUCCACAUACUAGUUUGGUUAGGUUUUUUUUUUCUUUUUGUUCUGUUUUUUGUUUCUUCACUGGCUUUCUUUGGUUUUUAAAUCGGUUUUCUUUGUUUCCUUCAUGUUUUACUCUUUUGUUUUCCUUUUCACUGGUUUAUCUAUUCCUUUUUUUCUUUGUUUAUUUCUUGGUUUUCUUUGUUUUUCUUUCUUUUGAUGUCAAUCUUUUUACAUACACAUUCAACAAUUUUCGUAUACAUUAGAAACAUUUUAUGUAUACACGUUAACAUUUCCCAGGUACAUGAUUAAUAUUUUUGGAAAACUUCUAUUUUUUAUAUGUACUUUUUGAUACAUUUUGGAUAUAUCAAAAAUAUUUUUAUAGAAGGUUUAACAUUUUUAAAAUACAUGAUUACCUUUUUAUAAACUUAUAUUGUUUGACGUUUACUUUUUUUCAUAGACAUAGUGAGGGGUUAUAUCUAAGGAAUGGGCCCAAGUACAUAUAUGGUACAACCAAAGGCCCAUGUUAAUCAAGGAUGUGGUCCACAAGACAAAUGGGGAAACACACGGGGGCCAAUGGAGCUACAAGGCCAAAUCAUCGGAUACAAGGGGAGAAUCAAGUGUGUACAGUCGGAUUACACAACCCUUGACAGACAAGACUCAUUAGUUGGUCCACUAUAGGAAUCAGGUAAUUUGCCGUCAGCCGAGAACAUACUCGAAGACUUUGCCGUCAGCAAGUUGAUGAUAAACACAGUCAGCAAAGAGCUAAUUUGACGUCAACUUUUCAUCACGUUGAUGACAAAGACUUUGCCGUCAAUUAAACUAUGUGUUUAUCGUCUAUAGAAAAAACACAAACAACAAAGGAAAGCACAUUUGCCAUCAGUAGCUGAUCCGCAUGUGUCGUCAACAAGACUCGUCUUGUCACUAGCCCCAAACAUCACAGAUGGAAAAGAAAUUUUUUAUUUUAAAAAAUCUGCAACGACCACCCUACUUCGCUCAUGUAGCCACCGCCUGGCCGCGCUCGCUGAUGACCCACAAGUGUAGGGGAUCUAUCAUAGUCCUUUCGAUAAGUAAGAGUGUCGAACCCAACGAGGAGCAGAAGGAAAUGACAAGCGGUUUUUAGUAAGGUAUUCUCUACAAGCACUGAAAUUAUCGGUAACAGAUAGUUUUGUGAUAAGGUAAUUCGUAACAGGUAACAAGUAACAAGAGUAAAUAAAGUGCAGCAAGGUGGCCCAAUCCUUUUUGUAGCAAACGACAAGCCUGGACAAAUUCUUAUAUGAAGGAAAACGCUCCCGAGGACACAUGGGAAUUAUCGUCAAGCUAGUUUUCAUCACGCUCAUAUGAUUCGCGUUCAUUACUUUGAUAAUUUGAUAUGUGGGUGGACCGGUGCUUAGGUACCGCUCUUUCUUGGACAAGCAUCACACUUAUGAUUAACCCCUAUUGCAAGCAUCCGCAACAAAAAAGAAGUAUUAAGGUAAACCUAACCAUAGCAUGAAACAUUGACACGGCACAUUAUAAAGAGUUCAAUCCAAAUUUUAUAGUAACACUAUUAUAUUUAAAUAGUGAUUAUUCUAACACAUGGAUAAUUAAUUAAGGCACCAGGUUGCGCUUGUGACCAGGAAAGACAAACUUAUGAACUUGCAAGCAUGGUAAUCAGAUCGACAUCCACACAAUGUCAAUAUGAACAUUGUCUUGAUACAACUUUAUUUGUAUUUUAUUUCAGAAUUUAAACAACUAGUUUGGGCGGGUCACACACGACGUUGUGUGACACUUUAUUUGUCACCGCUGCAUCGACAUAUCCAUCGACUAAACAACGGUGAUCCAACUAUAUAUUACUAGAGACCUUUCCUUAUCAGUAGGCACCAACUCCGGUGCCAACGCUGAAUGGCACACUAGUGGUGGUUCUAUACAAGGGCACAUUGACACGGCACAUCGUUGGCAGGGUACGGAGCGCAAUGGAAGUCAUCACCUCAAGCUGAGCUAUCUGGUGUGGAUGCAAAAAGGUACCCUGUGCCAAUUGUUGUUGUUGAGGUUGUUGCCCGAGUUGCUGCUGCGACUGCUGUUGGGGUUGGGAAACGCAUUGGCCCAACUAUUGCGGUUGCUGCUGCUGAGUUUGGAUGGAACCCUGAACCUGUUGUUGUUCUUGCAGGACGAUGGAGUAGAUGAUAGCACGGAUUGCCUCAUAGCGGGAUUGCUGGGGGAUUUGCGGCAACUGCUGGCAACAUUGUUGUUGCAUCACAUGGCAACUGCUCUGCUGCAACAUUUGCGACCUAGCAAGACUUUGUGGCAUUGCCACAGGGCUGCAUUGCUGCUGGAGGAAUACCUUGCAUGGGUUUAGUUGCUGCAAGAUAGAUGGAUGAACAAAUGGUAUUUGUUGUUGCGGUAGAACUGAUUGUUGUUGUUGCGAAAAUGGUGGUUGUUGCGGUAGUACUGGUUGUUGUUGUUGCGAAAAUGGUGGUUGUUGCUGUGAAAAUGGUGGUAGUUGUUGCUGCGAAAAUGAUGGUUGUUGCGGUAGAACUGGUUGUUGUUGCUGCAAAAAUGGUGGUUGUUGCUAUGAAAAUGGUGGUUGUUGCGAUAGAACUGGUUGUUGUUGCUGUGAAAAUGGUGGUUGUUGCUGUGAAAAUGGUGGUUGUUGUUGCUGUGAAUAUGGUGGUUGUUGUUGCUGCGAAAAUGGUGGUUGUUGUUGCUGCGAUAAUGGUGGUUGUUGUUGUUGCUGUGAACAUGGUUGCUGUUGUGGAAAUGGUUGUGGUUGUUGUUGGAUAGGUUGUUCUUGUUGUUGGUGCCAUAAUGUUUGUUGUGGUGGUAAUGGUUGUUGCUGCGAUGGUCUCUCCAAACCAGGGAUGUGGCUAUUCUCCAUUUGUGCAAUGGCACUUGUCGCCGCAACGGCGAGGAGGGCAAAGAUGAGGAAGGUCUUCAUGGUGGAUUGGUGUUAACUAGUGUUGCUUGGUUUUGAUGCUUGUGCUUGUGACGAUCUUUAUACUUCAUGCCUAUUUAUAGUAGCCCGGGCACCACCUUUUUCUUCUUUGCAUUAGCUUUAAUAAUUUUGUUUGGAUGCAAAAAUGAUUUUUGGUACAAUGUGUUAGGUUGCACUAGCUACACGCGUACUUUUGGAUUGAUCAUCAAAGUUGCUUUUUAGUUGUGCAUAUGAUCACACAUAAAGUACAGAAACCUUGAUGUUUGGUAUAUAUGACUCACCUUAUUCACUUUACAUGUCACACACUUAUCUGGAUAGUAUCACUUUUGCAACCGAGUUUGGAACCUUGUAUAGGCUGUCAUCCAUAAACAAGAAAGGCAAAACUUGUGUAGGACUAAGUGUAGAACUAACUUUGUAUUUUUCCUCUAAAAUGAUUAGAUGAACCGACGCCUAUAGAGCAUGACAUGACUCAUCGAAUUCCCUUUACAUGUAAAGGAUGGUAAUUGCUUACAAGCUACUCCUACUAGCAUAUAUCCGGUCCUAACUCUUGACACGUCAUCAUCAGUUUCGCCUAUUUUUUUAGAUAAAUCAUCAGUUUCAUCUAUUUGUGAAGGGUUUUUUUGGGGGAAAUGAUAGUUUUUUUAUGCUAGGGGGAUUUUUUUGGGGGGGGGGGAUGACGCUAGGGGGAAAUGAUAGAUGGGGCUGGAACAGAGGCCCCCAGCCUGGAGCGAGAGAUUAGGCCCAACAUAAGUGCCGUGUGUUAGGGCACCAAUUCGAUUUGGGCUAUAGUUCUCGUAGGCCCCAACGACACAAGCCCAGCCCACACUCCGCGGAUCUGCGUCCCUCCCUUCCUCGUCCUCCUCGCCGGCCGGACCGCUCGCCGUCGCAGCCUCUCCCGGACGCCCACCGCUCGCGGCCCCUCCACGUACCUCCGCGGCAGCGGAGACGUCAGCCUCCCUCCCACCCUCAACAUCCGGCCCCCCACCACCACCACCACCGCUCGACAAAAAAGGUCACUUUUGAAGCUCCUCCGUCGAUUGUGGGCCGUACGUCGACGGCAGCCACUCCGACCUCCCCAUCAACACAAGGUAUCGAUUUGUUUCGUCUGUCUCUUCCAACGAUUCAAUGCACAUAAAUCCGAGAGGCAGACCCAUCUCCAUGCUAGCUGCACGGAUUAGGAGGGUCAGGCAUCAGAAUUCAGCUGGGAAGCCUGACAGUAAUGUACAUUUGUGGCUUUAGUAGCUGAAUAUAACUAUGUGCUUUCUGAGAAUUUCACUUCAAAAGUUCCAAUAAUCAUCAAAUUUCCCCCUAUGCGCGCUAAGCAGGUGGACCAUAUAUUUCUCAUGUCGACGAACGAAAAAACAAAACUCCACAACUAGAAGUCUAUGAUAUUGACACGGAACCGUGCUGUAGGGUCGCAAGUAAAAAUAUGAAAAGCAUGCCUAAUAAGCGAGAUGACGCAGUUCCUGACCGCCCCGCUACGACUAUUGGUUCCAGCGUGGCGUUUGAAUUAUGCCGCGCUAGAUGUCUUUUGUCCGGCGAGGAACAAGUGGGGUCAAGCGUGCUUCGGCAAUUCCCGCCGUCAGAAGACUUCCUUGUAGUCCGGUGUAGAGGUGAGGUUGUGGGGAGAUACAUCGACUAGCACUACUAGGGAAAAGGCUAGCAGCAGCGCGGGUUUUAGAUGUAUCAGUAGUGCGGGUACCCGCGCUACUAAUACGGCGCUACAGCUAACUCAUAGCAGUAACGCGUGAGCACCCGCGCUACUGCUACACAAGUGUAGCAGCAGCGCGGUUAUGAGAAGCUCGCUACCGCUAGUAGCGCUAGCGCUCUUUGGCCGGACGCUCUACUGCUAUUGAGGCGCUGCUGCUAACUUUUGUACACUCGCUACUGGUAAUUUAAGUAGUUUUUUGGCAUAUUUGUUUUGUAUUUGAACCGGCUUUGUAGAAGAAUCUUUAGCACAUAGAAAUGUCAUCAUGAUACACAUACAAAUGCCUGCGAGACCACAAAUGUAAUCAUAGCAUGUACAUACAAAUAGUCUCUUCAUAAUCAUCAUCCAACACAAAGUGAUAUCUUGUCAUCAUCUCGAAAAUAGCAAUACAUGCAAGUCUCGAAUACUUGCAACUACAACAACGUCAUCCAUCUAAACAAAGGUAUACGCAAGAAGUGCUAUCACUAUGAGUGAGAGCGGAACCAUGCAGUACAUGAGGUGGCGGUUAUGAGUCCUCUCUUGCGCUAGCGUGAACCUCAAGUAACUAGCUUCUCCUUCUUGUCUGCUUUUGAAGCCUUUAUGGCUGGCGCCCGUGAACCCAUUCACUUGCGCCUGACACUCAUGCCACUCGUUGUACACCCCCGGAACCUUCCCUUUGUACACGACAUAGCAUUUCCAUCUCGCCAUCAAGAAACUAGGUACCUGUUAGAGAUGCAUGUUCAUGAAGAGGAUGUACAAUCAUAUAUAUGCAACAAAAUAUACUAGAGCAACACUAAGAAAGAAAGGUUAGCAACUAGAUGCAACAUAUACAUUACGCAAAUUAAUUAACUAGAGGUACGCAGGUCAUCGUACGCAAACUAACAAAGUAGCGUUACGCAAGUUUGGCAGGGACCAUGGACAUCACAAAGUUUCAUCGCUACAAAAAGUAUACAAGUUCAACCGACACAUAUCAUCAUCAUCGGCAUCAUAAAUCACUAGAAGUUCCAUCCUUCCAUAUCAUCGAGGACGAACCCUAGCUGCUUGAACGGCGUGAGGUCUAGACGUUGCAUGCCUAUGCGAGUUCGGACGUCAGCUCGCGAUAUAGGGCCGUGGUGGAACAUCCCCUUCUCAUCGACGACUUCUUUCAUGAUGAUCAUCGCAAUGUCGCUUUGGAUGCGAAAGAAGUCAUCUCUAAGUUUAUAAUUCGCUUCUCCAUGAGAUUCUAGCCACUUGUGGAUAUGAUCAUCAUUUCUGCUGUUAAUGCGAAGCUUUUGGUGAUCCGUGUUGAACUGAAUCAUGAGAUGGACGAUGUAGAAUCCAUCCUUCUUGCUUGGUUUUGGGACGUGGAUGCAGGAGAAGUUAGUUUUAUGCGCGAAACCCAUCUUCUUGUUCCUUUGUUUCCUGAUAUGCACGUGGCCACCUCUAAAGUUGAAGCCUUGGAGAGCAUCAUCUAGAAUAUUCAUUAUGUGGGUGUAGUCCUUUUUCUCGUAGUCUCUAGAAGGGUCAAAAUACACGGCGUGGGAGACUUGCGGGUAAAGAAUGAUAAGGACGGCGCGCCCGUUGCUGCGGGGAAAAGACACCUCAAAUUAUUCCCCAUAUGAGAGAGAAGGAAUGAUUGAAAUGUACGAAAGGGUUGUCCGGAACUGACUUACUUUGGAUGAUAAGGCACGAGGACAAUUUCCCGGUCCUUAUUCUGUACCAUGAAGUUUUGGAGGUACUCCCUAGCAGUUUCACGCUCAAAGUCGCCGAGACUCAAGAAAGACUCGUGCAUGUAGUACGGAUCCGCCACACAGAUUUGCGAGACUUCUUCACUCUUCACGACGGAGCUCAUAUGUAGCGCAAAAAGGCGGACGAUAGUAAAAUCAAGCCGCCUUGUUAGAAACAUCUCAAAGAUAUGGUCAAACCGCAGGAAGAACACCUCCGUGGGCCGUGUGUCGACGUAGCACUUCCCCUCAGGCACACGAGCUGCGUAUGUCGGAUAUCCUGGAUCCUUUGAGGCUAGUAGGCUUUUCUCAGUCGACAGCACGUGGUCGUGCAGUCUCCUGAGAUUCCCUGAUAGUGCCUCCAGCGGUUUCGGCGGUAGCAUCGGCUCGCCCGUGAGAUGGAACAUGACCGCACCUUUCACGGGUACACGCUCUUCAGAAUGCAUCGUCUGGCUGCUGUGUGCUCUGGCUUGUUUGGAGGCAGUUACCUUCCCCAAUCUCUUCCUCUCCUUUUUCUUGGGCACACCUUCCAGACCCUUCCUUAACCCCUGCCCAAGUGUUCCCGGGCUAAGUAUUGUACGACCCUCACGCCCGGCUAGUUGAGCCUGUGUUGAGGCGGCAUCUUCAGGCGUGUCCUGUGAGGAUUUCAUGAAGAGAGACUUUUUGCAUUCCAUGGUACGGCCCUGCCCGGGCAUAUCAUCCAUAUCCUCAUUAGCAAGCUGAUAGCCCGAUUCGUCAUAUGGUUGACUCAUCAUAUCUAUGUCACAGUCAUACGCGUUUGUAUUGAGGUAAUCCAUCGGGUCGACCUCCGUCUCAUCAUCCAUUCUCUGUUCUACAGGAGAAAUUACAUCAGCCAGUACUAUUGCACCCCCUUCAUCAUGUCGUCCGCCGCUCUCACACGGCACUACUACAGGAGCUGGUAAUUGCGUAGGUGGGGUGGUGGUCUCCGCACAUGCUUGCUGAUGUGUGGUAGUUAUUGGUGUGCUCUCGGCCGGCUCCAGACGAAUAAGAUUCUUCGGCCAUAGCAGCACCCAACCCUUGCAGCGUCCAAUCCGCGGCGGGGUCUCGUCGUCCGCUCCCACCUGCUGUACUGGAGGAGGCAAAUCCUCGUGCCCCGAUUUCACACUGGUCAAGCUAACCCUGAAGUGCCCAGCGGGGAUCGGCUGGUUGUGGAAUGUGCGUUGAGAGGGGUCCAUUAUCAUCCCCUUUCCCACGUCCACCUUCUGGCCUUUGAUCAAGUAGAGUAUGGUGCAUGGGGUUUCUUUCGCCUGCAAACACAUAUGUCUGUGGUGUAAAACAACCGAAAGGCAACAAAAAUGGAAUAUUAUAUAUAUAUAUAUGUUGGUGCGACAUGUAAUUACCGUGACGGCGUCGAGCUCAGCCAAAGACGAAGGCCCACCUAGCGCGCCUGAGACUGAGGACGGGCUGCUAUGAGCUGGAGCGGCUGCGAGAGGAGGCCCGGUUGCUUGAGCAAGUGAUGGUGCGAUGGUGUUGUUCAUGGAGUUGCUCGCGACGAAACUGGGCAUUGGGAAAUCAUGUACCGUCUUGUCUGGAUUUUCCUUCGCCCAGUUGAUGAUAACUGGAACCAAGUUAGUAGCGAAAUCAUUUCUGCAGGCAUUUACAGCUGCAUUGACUGCCUGCUGUAGCAACUCAUAUUUGUCCUUGGCUGCUUUUUUCGCGUCCUCGGCUGCUUUUUUCUCGACCGCAAGCUUCACCUUUGCGUCGAUGUCCGCCUAACUAAACUUCUUUUUCUGCUUCUUGGCCUCCGGGCCGUCGUUGUAAAACACCUUCCACGUGGCGCCGUCUCCAGCGCCGUGCACACGACCAUAUUGCGGCCGCUGGUCCAACGGGAGUCCCUUAAGUUCGUUCAAGGCCCAGUUGAGAGGUGUGUCCCACUUGGGCCUCAUCGGAGAAGUAGGGCUUUCGGCUGCAAGCCGGUGUUGCUUCUCCAGUAGUCUAAUCAAUUUCCUCGUGAUCUUGUCCGUGUAAAAAACCUUUUUCUCCUUGUCCCACUUGUAGCGGGCCCUGAUGAAGUCAUGCUCCAAGGGGUUGGUGAACUUCGCGAAGGGGUCUGGGAGACCCGCGGCUUCACGUUCCGCGUCCUCCUUAUCCCAUAUGGGCCUUUUACCGAGGUAGCCACGGCUUCCGAGGCGAUGCUUCCCCAUGUUCCGGAGCUGAAGGCUUUUGAAUUUCGCAGCCUUAGCCUUGGCUGCCUUGGUAGCGCAAGUGUCCUUGAACUUUUCGAACUCCUCUUCCGUAAGUGUCGGAUUUUCCUCCAGAAUCUUGGACAGGGGUUCAUCAGCCUCAAUAGCUCGUUUCACCCUCCCUUUCCAGGAGGCCAAAUCAUUGCUGAACAUGCCCAUGGCGUGAUUGUUAAUCUUUUUCAUCUUCGGAUCAUCCCACGGUUGUUCUAUGUUAUCAUCCCGGUCGGGGAACUUGAAUCUCUUCUGCAACUUCGUUAGGAGCAACUGCGUCAAAUGUUCUUUACUCCUUAAGUCAUCAUCGUUGAUGCUCGCGCAUUCCCGUAGGAUGCAUCCUACUUGGUUCCCAUAGCACUUGCGAGGUUCUUCCGGCUCUAACGGCUCAAACUUUCCAGGUGCCAUCUUUGUGAUCACAAGUCGUCCAAUCCCUAGUUUGUUAGGUUUUCGUAUCCUCUGCUUCUUAUGCUUCCUCUUUUCGGUAUCGGCAUCGGGGCCGGUACCUUCCCCGCCGGUCUCGGCGCCGCCAUCGGUGCCGGCGCCGUCGGUGCCGGCACCGUAGGUGUCGAUGUCGGCGUCAGUACCAUCAUCGAGGCCGACCUGCAAACCUUGCUUAGCAGUCAAAUAGUCGAGGUACUCUUGUUCACCCUCAUAAUCCAUCUCGUCUGCAUCUUGGUCAGAAGGCCCAGUUUCUUCGUUGUUCGACAUGUUUCCUAUGAUUAAGUGGCCUCAUUUAUUUCUAAAAGUAUGAAUAAAUGAGAAAUGACAUAAAAAGAAAUCUAUGUGCCAACACUCGAUAUGCCAACUAUGUAGCACAAAUCAUGCCUUUAUUCACGGGAAAUUUCGGCAUGACCUUUGCUAAAAAAUGGACAUAUCGAGCGCCUGAAAUUCACCGAAACGGAAAUGAAUCAACAUUCCUGCGCAACAUAGGCCACUCGGAUCAUUUUCCAAACAUGACAUGUCCAAAACAUGACAUAUGCACAUAUCACAUGUCCAGUUCAAAUUUCCAUAUAAAUUCAGCUAAUUCAUAACUAAAUAGAUAACCUAAUUAAUUAACAUGAAGANNNNNNNNNNNNNNNNNNNNNNNNNNNNNNNNNNNNNNNNNNNNNNNNNNNNNNNNNNNNNNNNNNNNNNNNNNNNNNNNNNNNNNNNNNNNNNNNNNNNNNNNNNNNNNNNNNNNNNNNNNNNNNNNNNNNNNNNNNNNNNNNNNNNNNNNNNNNNNNNNNNNNNNNNNNNNNNNNNNNNNNNNNNNNNNNNNNNNNNNNNNNNNNNNNNNNNNNNNNNNNNNNNNNNNNNNNGGGGGCGAGCGACAUGGUCGGGGGCGAGCACGCCGGAGUCGGGGUCGAGAGCGGGACAGGGGCGAGCGCCGGGGCUGGCACCGGCGCCGGCAGGGUCGGGGGCGAGCGCCGGGGCCGGGUCGGGCACGGCGGAGCGACGGGGGCCGGAGAGAGAGUGGGGAUUUGGGGGGAAAUGGCGGGAUGAAGCUGGGCGAGUGCGAAUUUUGGGUUAAGUGGACGUAGCAGUAGCGGGUUAUGUCAAAACGCGCUGCUACUAUAUUCUGUAGCGGCAGCGGUUUAUGAGAAACACGCUACUACUAUGGUGCGUAGCUGCAGCGCUUUAUGGGAAACUCGCUACUACUAUGGUGCGUAGCGGCAGCGGUUUAUGAGAAACACGCUACUACUAAGAUCUAGCAGCAGCGGUUUUGUGGAAACGCGCUGCUACUGCCGUCGCUACUGCCAGGUUUCCUUUUUCUUUUCCUUUAUUUUAUCCCACUUUUAUUUCCCGAGGGCAAUGAACGAAGGGAGGGCGAUAUAUAUUGCAUCAUUUGACGGUUAAAUAUGUAUGCAAAAUAGGAACAUAUAUAUUACACAUCAUUGGACCCAUGCAUAAUAAUGACUAAGUGUGUAUACAAAUUAAAUAGGAACAUAUAUAUAUUACACAUCAUUGGACCCAUAACAUACGUUUCCUCAGUGCUGACGUUUUCGUUUUUGAGUCAGCUUCUUUCCCUUCUUGUUCGUCGAAGAAUAAUUGAGCCCCUCAUUGUGACUUUGCCUUUUCCAUGGAGUACGAUUUUUCUUAGGUAAUGUAGUAUUGAUUCUUCUUUUGACGUAUACUUCAUCAUCAUCAUCAUCUUCCCUCAUUGGGUUGCUGUACUGAUCAUAGUCUUCCUCGUUGGCGACUCCAUCCAUUCCAAUGAUGUUCCUUUUGCCUCUCCUCACGACAACACGGCUGGGAUUGCGCGGGUCAGUUAUGAAGAAACAUUGUGUCACGUGCUUAGCGUGUACCCAUGGCUCGUUUUUUGCGAUAGCGUUCAUGGUAGCGCUCUUGGCGUCGGGUAUAGUCAUGGUAGUGAACAUCCGGCUUUCUCUUUCGACAUUCUUAGCCCAUCUGACACGGAACAUCAUCGUGCUGUGCAGUCCAGAGUAGUCAAGCUCCCAGAUCUCCUCGACCCUUCCAUAAAAUCGUUCAGUUGUGCCGUUGUCGCUGCCGGUCAUGCAUUCCAUCGUCACCCCUGAGUUCUGAUCAUCACUGUCCAUAUCUUUUGCCUCUGUGUAGAAUGUGUAUCCGUUGAUAUCAUAUGCCUGAUAGGUUACGAGGUUGGGCGAGGGGCCAUGUGCUAAGGCGUAUAUGAGCAAUCCGUCCUUAGAGCCCUCCUCCGGUGGAUUAGCAAUAAUAUGCUCUUUGAACCAAUGCAGGAAAGUGGAGUUGUGCUCUCUAGUAACUUCGGCGUCCGUCCUGCAUACCCCCCGGUCACGAUACUUCUUUGUGAUAAUUUCUUUGUGCAGUGCCACGAAAGGAUCUACCUCGUCUAGGUGUUGUAGCACUACCAAGUUUGCUCUGUCAAAGUCGCUGCGUCGAUCUGAGUAUGCCACGUGCAGUUCCCUGCGACCGUUGCAGUGACCAUCUCCUUUGAGCCUCCCAUCGUGCUUGUUAACGGGCAAACCAACACUAACACCAGGCGGCUGGUCUGCGCCAUAUAAAAAAUUCUCACAGAAAGAGAUGCACUCUUGUGCCAAAUAGCCCUGGACGAUGCUUCCAUCCGGACGGGACAUGUUACGAACGAAUCCUUUGAUGAUCCCAUUCAUCCACUCAAACGGGAUCAUGUUGUGCAGGAAUGACGGCCCCAGGUCUAUUAUGUCAUCCACAAUAUGGACACACAGAUGCACCAUCACGUCGAAGAACGCGGGCGGGAAGUACAUCUCAAGCUCAUUCAGUAUCACAACGAUCUCUUCCUGUAGCCUUUGGAGCUGCUUCACACUGAUCGACUUUCGAGAGAUGACAUCGAAAAAGUUGCAGAGACCAAUAAGCGUGUCACGGACGUGCUUGUCCAUUAUCCCUCUAAGGGCAACAGGUAGUAUCUGCGUCAUCAUCACAUGACAGUCAUGAGACUUCAUCCCGCUGAACCUUUUCUUGUCCGUGUCUAGAUAUCUGCUUAUCUUGCCACAGUAACCGGAACUAACUUUCACUCCGGUAAGGCACUUAAAGAAUUGAUUGAUCUCAGCCUGACUUAAGGUGAAGCAAGAGGGGGGGCAAUAAUCUUCUUUCUUUAAUUUCUUGCCCUUCUUCUCCCGUGCCUCUGUCUUCGUCUCUGUCUCGUCUGACAUUUUACGGGGCGGCAUCUGCAGAUCUUCCCUGAUUUUCAAAUCUUGCAAGUCUUUUCUUGCCUUCGGCCCAUCCUUGGUCUUAUCCGGCAUGUUCAUCAGUGUUGCGAGCAAGCUCUCAAGGACAUUCUUACAGAUAUGCAUUUGAUCAAGGCAAUGAGGUGUAUCGAGUUUGUGCCAGUACUCCAAGUCCCAGAACACGACCUCGUCUUCCAUACCUUCAGCAGCGGCUCCGGCGCCUUUCUCAUCGUCUUUCCCGGCGCGGGGCACUCAUUCCAGUUUUUCAAUAGCUCAUCGAUUUCGGCACCGCUCCGCUUACGUGGAGGUCCUCGAUGCUCAGCGUGACCAUUGAAUAGAUCUCCACGGUUUCUCCACGGGUCGUCCUGUUCAAGCCAUCUUCGAUGCCCCAUGUACAUGAUUUUCGCAGACCCGCCAUCUUUCCUUGACGUUAGCUGCUGAGACGUUGUAUCAUCCAUGCACCGCGUGCAUCCGCAAUAUCCAUGGCACACCUGGCCUGCCACAUAUCCGUAACCGAGAUAGUCCUGCACUGUCGUGAUCAGCGCGGCUCUCAUGUUGAAAUACUCACCUUUGCUGGCGUCCCAUGUCUUGGCCGGUGUUUUCCAUAACGUGUCUAACUCCUCUUGAAGUAGCCCCAGAUACAAAUUAAUAUUAUUUCCUGGUUGUUUCGGCCCUUGAAUAAGCAUGCUCAUGUGAAUGUACUUCGAUUUCAUACACAACCAGGGGGGGAGGUUGUACAUCCAUACAAACACGGGCCAUGUACUAUGGUUGGUGUUCUAGUUGCCAAAUGGAUUCAUGCCAUCGGUACACGCGCCGAGCACGAUGUUCCUUGCAUCACAUUCAAAAUACCGUUAGAAGCUGUUCAACGCUCUCCACUGGCUUCCAUCCUUCACGUGUCUCAGCUUCGGAUCAUCUCCAUCGUCGGGCUUCUUCCUCUCCGCGUGCCAGCGCAUUAGCUUUGCUUCCUUGGGAUCUACAAAAUACCUCUGAAGACGGGGAGUGAUCGGUAAGUACCAUACAACUUUCUGGGGACAUUUCUUCCCGGCCUUCUUGUAUCGAGAAGCAUUGCACACCGGACAGCUUGUUUUUUCCGCGUGCUCCUUCCGAUAAAUUAUGCAAUCGUUGAUGCAUGCAUGGUAUCUAACGUGUGGCAGAUCAAGAGGGCACACGAUCUUCUUGGCCUCAUCAACACUAGUAGGACAUAGAUUACCCGCGGGAAGAAUAUCCUUUAGGUACUUGAGAUGGUCAUCGAGGCUAGUGUCGGUCCAUUUGUUUUUAGCCUUCGUCUUCAGGAGUUGGAGCGUGAAACUCAACCGGGUCACCUCAGGAUUGCAACCAUCAUACAAUGGAGUGUUCGAGUCUACCACCAGUUGCUCCAGCUUAGCCUCCUCUCUAGAAGCAGCUCUCUCAGUACUCGUCUCCUUGCGAAGCAAUGCUUGAACAUGAGGGUCCCGCACAAUUGAACUUAGUACCGACGAACUCUGCUGCGUGGAGUCCAUGUCGUUCUCUCCGCCGCCAUGUCCGGCCCCUUCUCCUCCGCCAUGUCCGGCCACUUCUCCGCUGCCAUGUCCGGCCUCUUCCCCGCCGCCAUUAUCGAUCAUCUCUUCGUCUUGCCCCGUGUCAUCAUUGCCUGCCCCGUCGGCAUCCUCAACAUCUUCAUCCUCAUCUUCAAUUAUCCACCGAGUAUAGCCAUCCAUGAAACCAGUCAUGAGCAGGUGCGCUUCGACACGACCAUCGUCAUGGGGGUCGAGCCAAACUAUUCCUUUGCAUUUUCAACACGGACAUAAAACCUCUGUCCGGUUAUUUUCUUUCAUGUCUUGCACCGCCGACCGCAACCACCUGUCCACCAUUGUUCCACUGACCAUCGUCAACUCUGCACGGUAAUAAUAAAAAAAUUGAUUGUAAAAAUGCAUGCAUGCAUCAAAGUCAUAAAAAAAUUUGGCAUGACCUUCCCUAAAAAUAGGACAUAUAUGGAUCUAGAGUUUGCCCGAAAUUCGCCGAAACGAAAAUAAAUCGACAUUUCGGCAAAACAUAGGCAACUCAAAAGCACAAUUUGGCGGCGUCAACUCAUGCCACAGACACAAUUUCCACAAACAUAUCACACAUACACAUAAACACAUUUCCAUUUUGCAAAAGCAUGAAAUUUUCAUCACCUCUAUCUCGAUGGCCGGAGAUGAUGUUGUAGGGAGAUCAAAAGUGCACAAAGCUAUUCUUGACAAAGAUAGAUCUAGUUAGGGGGCAAAUAGGUCACUUAACUAAAUCCUACAUCUACCUAGCUACCUAAUUUGGAAGGAGACAACUUCAACUAGUGGAGGGGGAGGAAAAAGAGAAAGAAGAUGCAUUAAUUAAUGGAGGUGGUGUAGUUAUGUAGGAGUAAUGAAGAGAGAGAAGGUGGAUAGAGAANNNNNNNNNNNNNNNNNNNNNNNNNNNNNNNNNNNNNNNNNNNNNNNNNNNNNNNNNNNNNNNNNNNNNNNNNNNNNNNNNNNNNNNNNNNNNNNNNNNNNNNNNNNNNNNNNNNNNNNNNNNNNNNNNNNNNNNNNNNNNNNNNNNNNNNNNNNNNNNNNNNNNNNNNNNNNNNNNNNNNNNNNNNNNNNNNNNNNNNNNNNNNNNNNNNNNNNNNNNNNNNNNNNNNNNNNNNNNNNNNNNNNNNNNNNNNNNNNNNNNNNNNNNNNNNNNNNUGUGGUGGAGGGAAGAGAGGAGAGGGGGAGGUAGGGGGGAAGGGAAAAAAGGAAGGGGGAGGGGAGGGACGGGUUGGGGGUUGGUGGGGUUAGCAGUAGCGCGGGAGAUAAAACGCGCUGCUGCUAAGAACUUAGCAGCUGCGCGCUUUGCGGUAAGGCGCUACUGCUAACUGGGACAAAAAAUUGUGGCAAUUUGAAACUUACCAGCAGCGAUCUCGAGGAAACCGCGCUACUACUACGUACUUAGCAGUAGCGCUGUUAUUGCGACCGCGCUACUGCUACUUAGAGUUGGGGGAACACCGCCGGUCGAUAUUUGUAGCAGCGCGUUUCUUGUCGAGCGCGCUACUGCUAAAUCUUUAUCAGUAGCGAGUUUACGUAACCCGCGCUACAACUACUUAGCAGCAGCGCUCUAUUUUGAACCGCGCUGCUGCUAAGAUUCUGUGUAUAGGCUUUUCCCUAGUAGUGUAGGAAGGAAUGACCACAUGAAUGAGCAUACGUAUGAUGUGAUUAAGUCUCUCGAUUGGGUAUCUGGUGCCUUAUGUACGGUGUCUUCUUUUUGUCAAGCUAUGACAUCUUUCAGUUUGAGUGUCUGAUAUUAGGGUUGCAUACGUUUUGUUAUUCAGUUGCCUGUUGUGAACUCUACGGUUAUAUCAUCUCGAUGUGUGAGUCAAUGUGUUUGAACCAAUGUAGAGUUUCAUGUGAAUGUUACAAGUGUGAUUGAUAUGUUCAUGUUAUCCGCGGUUGCCUUGGUAAGAAACUGAAAGAGCAAACCGUUAUCGUGCUAGGACAAAAGUCAUCACUCAAUAUAAGUGCUUCUCUAGAACAGCCACACCUUGUGAAAGAAGAUGGCAAACACCCAAUCAUGUCUGGUUCGAUAUGGGCGUGGCUAUGGGUAGCUUAUAGCGACAUGGAAGCCAGCAUCGCUGGAAGAAACGCCCGGGUGGGCCGGCCUAGAGACAUUUCUUGAUAUCUACCCUUAGUUUUGUUUUUCUGCCCUUCUUUCUUUAUAUUUAUAUUUUUCCCGACAUGUUCACUACUUGAUGCUCAACUGGGAUCUCAUCCUUCACAAAUACGGAGAGCCAUUAUUGUUAGAGUUAAUCUUGACAUGUGUGUAUGUGCAUGUGUGCAUUGCAUGUUAGUGGUCUAGAGAUGGCCGGGUCGAUGCGUCUGUUCUGUGCUGGAGUGAGUCCAGCAGUUUGUUUUGGUCAGGUCGUGGUGGCUAGAGCCAUUCUAGGAGAGGAUCAAGUCAAGUUGUUAGCUGAACUCGGCUGGGUAGUGUUUGGCCGUUGAGGAUAGGCUGUACUAGUGGUGGGCAUGGCCGUGCAUAUAGCUAGCGAUUAGUUACACUAGUAGAAAACCACCCAUUAGUCCCGGUUCGUAAGGGCCUUUAGUCUCGGUUCAGGAACCGGGACUAAUGGGUCGUUACUAAUACCUCCACCCAUUAGCCCCGGUUCAAACACGAACCGGGACCAAUGUGCCUCCACGUGGCCCUGUGCGGCGAGCCCAGUCAGGGGGCCUUUGGUCCCGGCUGGUGGCUCCAACCGGGACCAAAAGGCAUCCACGCGUCUGCAUUCUAGUGGUUUCUGGUUUUUGUUUUUUUUUUGAAAGGAGGGGGGUUGGGGGUUUUGGGGAGUUAAUUUAGGUGUUUCGUAUAUUGUGUUAACUAGCUAAUUAAUAGAGAGAAGUGUCCUCUCUUAUGUCCGUGCUUGGUCGACGCUACGUAGUAUAUAUACAUAAGUAAUCGAGAGAACCAUUCAGUACAGAAGUUCGUCAUGCAUACCGAGAGAAGUGAUCGAUCGACCUCUCCUUCUCCGAGAGAUUGGUCGAACAACAAGUUUUUUACUGGCUACAUACAUGUACAAUAUGUAUAAGAUCUCUUAAUUACAAACCCAUAGCAUUUGAAAUCAACUUCCACAUGGUAUUCUCCGGCUUUACUGAUGACGUGUUCAAGAAAGAAUCCCGCUAAUUCCUCUUGAAUUGCUUUCAUGCGAUCUGGUUCUAGGAGUUCACCCCGCAUCUGCCACGUCUAAUUAAUUUGAAGAAGGGGGUUAAUUAAUACAUAUAUAUGAAUGAAACUCAACAGAAAAUGAUGGUGUAAUAAAAUGAAAUUGUGAAUAUUAUUGCUUACGCACUUCAUAUUGUCUUCUAGAGUAGCCCCGCUUGUUUCUCAAAGUUGCGUUGUGGAUGAACUCGCACACGUAGUAUCCACAAAAAUCAUUCCCUUCCUCCUGUCACAAGCACUUUACGAGAAACAGAGGUCAAUCAAACUGAUAAUGAAGCAUUAUAAAUGGCAUUGAUGAAAGUAUAGCUAUAGAAUCAACGGGAGAUGCACGCAACUAGCUAGCCAGUAGUACUUACUUUCGGGUAUACAUAUCGCAGCUCCUUCGGCAGUCCCGGAGCUUGUGCGGUGAACUGUUUCCGAACCCUGCAAGACAAAGAAAAUAAUUAUUAUUACUUGAGAUAUCAGGAAAUGAACAAAAAGUUGCCGAUAUGGUGCGAUAAUGAUCGAUUGAACUUACUUGCUGAGCAUUUCAGUCAUGUCCACAUAGGUGCUGGGAUCUUUCCGUCUCGAGUCUAAGACGGUUACUAGUCCACGCUCAAGCUUAAUCUCCAGAAGAAUAUAGUGGUACCUGCGCACGCGUGCAUAACUCAUCAAUUACAUUAACCUCGCUCGAGUAAUAAGGGAAACCGAAUAUGCACACGACAGUAACACUCACGGGCCGUUGUAAGGAAAGAGUAUGGUAUCUUUGUUUUGAUUUUUGAUCAACGAUUGUAGCAAGUUGUCCUCGGCCUCUUCGACGUUCUUUUCAACCAGAAAUACAUCUAUGAUAUUUGUGUUAAUGAACCCAAUAUCAUAAAUUUUUUGUUUUUUGCACUCGACGAUCUUCAAUCUGCAUAAUAUAUUGAGGAUAAUUAAUUAUAAAUACAUGCAAUGAAAGAUCCGAGCUAUAUAUAGAGACUUAAUGUCAGAAAUAGUACUUACAUGCAGUAGCAAAAGACCAUUAAUUUAUCGAGGGCCUUUUGAUUGAAGAACUCAAAGAACUCCUCAAAUGGAACACACAACAGAUCAUUUGAAAUGAGGUCGUGCUCCUCUUUAAUAUUCAAAUACAAACUGUUCGUCCCCUCAGACUCUCUGCAGGUUUUCAUGUACCAAUUAUGGAAUCUUCGCAUCAUUAUUGUCAGAGAUUUUUCAUCUUUGACGAGAGGCUUCCCGUACUCGUAUCUGAAUACGUCCACCUCCAUGAAAUCAGGAAGUGCAUCGUCAGGCAGGUAAUCUUCAAGAUUGCCAUAACCGGCCACCGUCCCCGGAGGAUUAGACACAUUGAGCGGGGGGCACGAUUGCUGUGCUUGUUCGCCGAGCUGGGCAAUUUUUUUCCCCUUUGCUCGUUGUUCUUUUGACCUUUUAUCAUUGACAGUAGUUCCCGACCGCUUGGCUUGGAGAUAUGUCUGUUCAGUAAUGCGCUCAUAGUUGGUUCUCGGCGGAGACUUUGGUGGUUUCCUCAGGGCAUCGAGAGUGCGCUUUGCUUUCACCGGAUCUACCUUCUCCUCCGGAGGUGGAUGUCUCUUUGCUUUCACCCCUUCAAAGAACUCCUUCACGUGGGCCUGCACGAUCGUAUUGUUUUCCUCCUUGGUCCUCUCGUACGGUAACUUCUCUAGAGGCUUUAGAGGUGGACCGUAUCUGUAUUGCCUCUCUCUUCUUGUGCUGCUAGACGCCGGAGCAGACGGAGCGGCUGUGGCGUCUGUCUUCUUCCGUGCUUGCUUAUGAGGCGGAGGAGAAGGACUACGACGCGCCGGAGCAGCCGGGGCGGCGGCGGGUCUCUUCCGCCCUUGCUGGCGAGGCGGAGAGGAGGAGGCGGAGUGCCGCCACAUGCCGGAGAAGGAGGCGGAGUGCCGCCAUGCGUGCCCUGAUCGUCACUCGCCGGAGGAGGAGGCGGUGGAGGAGGCGGAGUGCCGCCACGCGUGCCCUGAUCGUCACUCGCCGGAGGAGGACGCGGUGGAGGAGGCGGAGUGCCCUGACUCGCUGAAAGAGGAGGAGGAGGCGGAGGCGUCCAGUUCAGAAGGUUGAUGAGCUCCUUCUGCCAUAGGCAUGGAGUCUUCAGAGCAGAACCCAGCCUAGUCUCCCCUUCACCGGUAGUGUGCUCAAGCACGAGGUCCUCAAAUCCCUCCGUUAUUUCAUCCACCAUCACCUUAGCAAAUCCUUCUGGAAUUGGCUGGCAGUGAUAAGUUGUGCCGGGUCCACUAGGAUAAACUUGGCCAACAGCCGCCUUGACCUUCAAAUUCAUCCAUCACACAAUAAUGUGGCAAUUUUGAGACUCCGUGAUACCAUCCACGGGAUAGCUGGCAGGAGCCGUCAAGACAUGCUCCGGCUGAAGCAGCUCAGUGGAAGCCACGCUGCUUCUCUGCUGAGAUGGCGGGGUAGCUUCGGGGGAAGCUUCGGCAGGUCGUUUGUUGUGAUCUGCUGCUUCUUGUUCCUCUAGCCCCAUUACCCUUUCGUGCAGCGCCUGCAUUUGGUCCUGCUCCAGUUUCUUCCUCCUCUCGUAGGCUUUGUAAACGCCUGCGUCCAGAAAACCAACCUUCCACGGAAUGGAGCCUGGCGUGCCUCGUGUCCGUCCAGGGUGCUCGGGAUUCCCAAGGGCCAUUGUGAGCUCGUCCUUCUCCCUGUUUGGAAGGAACGUCCCUCGUUGUGCUGCAUCGAUAUAGUGUCGAAGGUUCUUGACUGGUGUUUGCAGUUGCUCGUCCGUCCACUGACGCUUCCCUGUUACAGGGUCCAAGGUUCCGCCAGCCCCGAAGACCCAAGUCCGGCAACGGUCUGGCCAGCGCAUUGUCUCUGGUUCGAUUCCUUUUUCAAGCAGAUCAUGCUCAGCCUUGGACCACUUAGGCCGGGCUUUGAGGUAGCCACCUGACUCCGUGCGAUGGUGAAGCUUCUUCUUCGCAGCAUUUUUCUUGUUUGUCUCCGACAUCGUCUUACUCUUUUCCGAUGUCUUGUGGGCCACAAAUGCGGGCCAGUGAUCUUUGAUCUUCUCAUAUUUGCUGAUGAAUUCUGGUGUCUUUUUUUUCUCGAGAAACUGGUUCAGCUCUUUCCUCCACCUCCUCAUUAGGCUUGCCAUCUUCUUAAGAGCACAAGACUUGAUUAAUUGCUCUUUAACUGGCUUCUCCGGAUCCUCCUCUGGCGGUAGGGUGAAAUUUGCCUUCAGCUCAGUCCAAAGAUCUUCUUUCUGCAUAUCAUUGACAUAAGACACCUCAGGGUCUUCAUCCUUAGCAGGCUUAUACCAUUGCUGGAUGCUGAUCGGGAUCUUGUCCCUAACAAGAACCCCGCACUGAGCAGAAAAUGCCUUCCUUGUCCGGAUGGGUUCAAUCGGUUCGCCGUCGGGCGCGAUUUCUAUGAUCUCAAACUUUUCAUCCGAGAUCAACUUUUUCUUCGGGCCUCGUCUCCUUACCGAAGUUGUGCUCGAUCCGGAGGGCUAGAAAUUAUAAGGAAGAAAGACGACAGUAAUUAAUAUGUGUACAUAUACCAAAACAAUGGAUGCAUCAAUUAACUAGUCAGCACGGGCUUAACUAAUAUAUAUAUACCUGGCCGGACUCGGUUCGGUGACCGGAGCAGUCAGCACGGUCUCCUUGUACCUCCAUUGUGUCACCGGAGCCAUCAUGAACAUAGUCCUCCUCUUGUACCGGCAUUAAUGGGUCGAAGCCAUCAUAAACAUAGCCCUCUUCUUCAUCCAGUCCUUCCAGCUGACCAUCGGUGUCGAUGAGAAAUGACGCAACAUCAUCACUUCCAUUUGCGAUUAUGUCCCCCAACAUCGCUUCUGUUUCUUCGUCUCGGGAGUGCUCCAUAGUUUCUGCAAAUAUUUACAACAUGUCAAUUAUUAUUCAAACAUGGUACAAAUGGAUAUAUAUAUAUAUAUAUAUAUAUAUAUAUAUAUAUAUAUAUGAAAAUGGAUUGGUACUCCUAGGAGUACAUACUCUCACCUACACCCGUCAUCGUUGGAAACAUUCAUCCCGCUAACUACUAAAAAAAGAGCUAACUAACUACGGAUAAAGCCUUUGGAUUUAAAAAUUAGUUGAACCGCUUCCUUUUUUUUCAGCUCUCGUAGGCGUGCCUUCCAGGGAUUCCAUUUGAAACGGCGUUCUCAUCUCUUGCCAGCACCCAUGAACAUAAAAAAACAGAGCAUCGGCUCGCCUCCGCCCCGCCGACUGACCGGAAGACUUGGUCGACAUGGCCGACGAUGAUCCCCGUGCUUCUUCCCUCGCAAACUAGGCUUCAACCACCACGUCCAUCAAUCAGAGGAAGAUUGAUUCAUCAUCUGUAGUUUGCGAGGGUACGUGCAAUUGAUGUUUCCCGAUUUUUCUGUUCGGCUACCACAACCGUGUUCAUGUUCCCGCUGACCCCUUGAUCCAUUCCUGUCCAGUAUGUCAUCGUCCGAGAAGAAAAUAGGACGGAGAUGAUUGAUCGGCCAGAUUGAUCGGCCAAGUCUACUAGUACCACUGGUGGAAAAAAGGCCUUUGGUCGCGGUUCGCAACUGCCAUUAGUCGCGGUUGCGCAACCGCGACCAAAUAAGCGCGACUAAAGCCCCCCACCUUUAGUCGCGGCUGCUUAAGAACCGCGACUAAAGGCCCGUCCAUGUGGGCGCCAGGCGGCCGUCGGGACGGAGGACCUUUAGUCGCGGUUCUUCUGGCCAACCGCGACUAAAGGCCGCCACAGGUUUAGGGUUUUAGCCCCCCCCCUAAACCUGUUUUCUGUUUAAUUUGUAUUGUUUUAUUUCUUUUGUGCUUUAUUUUAAUUUUGAAGGAGUUUCAUAUAUUCUACGGUACUACAUACAUGCAUAUGAAUGUACAAUUUCAAAUAAAUUUGAAAUUAGAACCAAAAAGAAUUCAAGAGGAAUAUACAAUAUAUAUUCAAUAUCAUCGGAUGACCAUAUACAAUUUUGAACAAGUUUCCAUACAUGAUUUAAUGCAUAUAAAGUUCUACGUCCUCGUAAUAGUGUUCUCCUUUAGGAUGGAGGACUUCCCUGCUGAACCAUCCAGCUAGUUCCUCUUGAAGUGGUCGGAAGCGAGCUUCUGGACUAAGCAUCCACCGGAGGUUAUUCCUCUGAGCAUUGGUAUCACUCGGAACCCGCUCAGAGGUGUAUCUCCGGAUCAUCUCACAGACAUAGUAUCCACAUAGAUUGGUCUCCGGUGGCUGAAUAUCCCCAGCAUUCUUAGCCACUGACCUUUUGAAUUCUAGCUCUUUUUUGAAUUCACCGACCUUUGUAUCUACGAACCGUCUCCAAACCCUACGAGGCAAAGAAAAUUAAAUGAACAAGAGAGUUAUUAGUUACUUGAUAUUAGGAAAUGAACGAAAUAGGCCGAUUGAUAUAGAGCGCAAAUGAAUGAAAAUAAUUACUUCUGCAGCAUUCUUCUCAUGCCGCCCCAAAGCUUUGGAUCCAUAUUCACAGAGUCGUGGACGAGACAUUCUGAGGUGUUAACUUUAAUUACUAGCAGAAUCCAGUGGAACCUGCGGACACGAUACAUGCACAGUACGUCAUGCAUAACUCAUCGAUUAGCCGGCCACAUACCAUGCAUGGAGUAAACAAAAGAGAAUGUGCUCAAGACACAAACACUCACCCAAAAUGGUAAGGAAAUAGAAUAUCACUUUUGAGUUCCUGCUUUGUAAGAAACUGCCACAGGUCUACCUCCACGUCGGCGGGGUGACGCUCCAACACAUGUCCAUUAACGAUGUGUGGGUCAAUGAACCCAACAUCAUGGAUGUUCCUUACUCUGCAUUCCUUAAUCUUCAUUCUGCAUGUAUAAUAGCGGACACAACAAUAUAGUUAGGACAUAUAUAUAGUGCAGGCAAUAUGAACGAGAUGGGGUAGAAAUUAAUAAAUCACUUACAGAACGUAGCAACUGAUGAUAGAUUUAUCGAGCUCGCGCAGAUUGAAAAGCUGGAACAAUUCACUCAGUUCAAUUUGUACAUAGUAAUGUUUGAAGUGAUGCUCAUGUCUAACUUCCGCAUAAAUAUAUUCUUUGGCGUUUUUAUUUUUUAUGUAACCCUUGUACCAUUUCAGCAGACCUUUCAUUUGUGGAGGUAGAUCCUUUUCCUGCGCAGGCUCGACGAGAGGCCCAUUCUUGACAUAUGUAAUUACUACCUCCUUCACUGGCGCCUCAUCAAGGCCUAACAGUUCACGAAGAGUAAUACCUAAGUUGGCCGCUUGUUCUAUGGCACUCGUUACAGUCAAUCCCUGUGCUGCCGCAGCUUGUAUGAUCUCGGGGGCAUCCGGACAGAAGGCUUCCACUAUAAGCGGGGCAAUCGAUUGUUUACUUUGUUCCCCGAGCUGGGCAACUUGUUUCCCGCUUUUUUUACUUUCGGCCUUCUCCCGCUCUUUGUUCUCCUUGAACAUGAGUGCCUGCCUGCGAAGUUCACGUGCAUAGUCGUUAGGCAGAUUCUUCGCGGCUUGGGACGGUGUGCUCAAAAAUGACUUAGCCCACUUGUUUUGCUCAUCAGAAAAUACUGGCUUGGGCUCGAGCUCUCUUUUCUUCUUGCAGUCCGCCUUCCAUUUCUCCAAAUCAGCAGCCGCGGCCGCGUCGACUUCCUCGGCACUACGUUCCCAAGGCCUUGUGGGGAGAGGCUUCAGUGAUGGCUCCGGUACCUUUGUGGUCUUAGGUACAUAAGGGUCCGGGUUAAUAAUCCAGGACUGCUUCUGCUUCUUUGCCGGAGGUGGAUUGGGGGGCGGCGUCUGAUCACCCGCCGGACGAGGACUGGGGGGCGGCGGCUGAUCACCCGCCGGACGUUGUGGACUGGGGGGCGGCGUCGGCUGACGUGACGGAGGUGUAGGUGAACCGCCACCACCACCACCACCACCACCACCGCCACCGCCACCACCACCACCGUAGGGGGGUGGACUUGUUGUCCUUGGCGCCUCGCCUGGAAACUUGAUAAACUUCUUUUGCCAUAGAAUGAAAUGGCGCUUGACAUCUCCAAGUCUUUUCUCCCCUUCAGGUGUAGCAAUGUCAAUCUCCAGGUCCUCAAACCCUUGGACUAUGUCCUCCACCGUGACACGAGCAUAGCCAUCUUGAAUGGGGUUGUUGUGGUGGAGUGCUCCAGGUAAACAUGGUAAAGCACUGCCGAUGGCUACCUUCAUGGACAUGUUCCCGAUAGGAUAAUACAGAUGACAUUCUUCUCCGCUGCUGGCUUCCGAGAUCUGCUGGAUGAUCUUCAUGCUGCACCCGAGCUGCAUCUCUUUCGGCUACUAGUACACUCAUGGUUUUCUUCAUCACAUCCAUUUCCGAUGCCAACCGCGCCACAACAUCUGCUUCCCGAUCCACCUUUCUCUUACGGCUUCUGUAACCGUACGGGUCAUCGUUCUGGGGGAACCCUAUUUUCCACGGAAUGUGCCCCAUGCCUCGUACACGUCCUCCGUGUUCAGGAUUCCCGAGGGAUUUUGUCAGCGCGUCGUUCUCUCUGUUGAACUUGAUCUUCCCCUGUUGAGCAUCCCUCAUUGCGUUAAUAAGGGCUUGGGUGGGUUUAAUUAAUUUGCCCCGGUAAACACACUCCCCUGUCUCCGGGUUCAGCGUUCCCCCAUGCCCGUACCACCAACUUUUGGCCCUUGGGUCCCAUCCCUCCGUACCUGCACGGAUUCCUCGCGCCCUCAGCUCGUUCUCCAUCUUCUCCAACCUAGGCACCCAAAUGCGAUACCCUCCUGGCCCCAUAACAUGAUUGUACUCCUUCUUAGCCGCAUUUUCCUUAUUUUUUCGAUAUUUGAAUGAACUGCUCCGAUUUCUUUUGCUUCACAAAUUCUGGCCAAUCAUGUUUCAGUUUCUCAUAUUGUCCUUUGAAAUCCGGAGUCUUGUUCUGCUUGACAAAGUCAUGGGCUAGAUUUUGCUUGAAUUUCCGGAAUGCGUCGGCCAUCUUAUGAAGAGCGAACUGUUUGACUAGCCUCCUCCUCUCCUUGUUUUCUUCAAUCUUGUUACCCUCCUCAUCGAAUUUGUUGUAUUCCGGAGGUAGAACGAAAUGUUCCAUAAGCUUCUUGAAGCAAUCUUUUUUUGUUCUCUUAUCGACAAAAGUGAAACCAUCAAUUCGUGCCUUCUUUGGCUCAUUCCACUCCUGGACGGUGAUCGAGACGUUGUCUCUAACAAUGGCUCCGCAUUGGCUGACAAACUUGGUGGCGUUCUUGCGGGGCUCCAGCGGCCUGCCGGUUGCACUGUCGACAACCUCGAUGGUGCAUGUUUCUCCUUGUUUCAUCGUCUUGGUUGCGCCACGCUUUGACGACGUACUCGAUUGUUUCGACGAUCCGGCCGAGGGCUAAAAUAAGAAAGAGUCGCGCGCGUUAGUACACACAUAUUUAUUCAAAUCAGUUAGUUUGUAUCACCAGAGGCUCAAUGUAUAUAUAUACCUCGGCGCCGGAGGUGGUUGCUACAUCCAUUUGAAGAUCGUCGUUUAUCGACGUUUGUUCGGCAUCAUCUUGCUGACGGCGCCCUUCAUCUUCACCGUCAAGGUUCAGAUAAGAAGAGAUAUCAUCUUCUUCUUCUCCGGUCGGCACAUAUAGAAUAUCGCCGUUUAUGAUGCCGAACAUAUGUGCUUCACCGUCCGGAUCAUAGUUGUCCAUAAUCGGGUCAGCUCUAUCGUCCGCCAUUAUGUCAGUCCUGAAAACAUGUAGUAAAAACAAAUUAAUUAAGUGAAGAAGGGGGGCGGUGGCGGUGGCGGUGGCGAAAGGGUGGUGGCAAAAGGAGGGGGCGAGGAAGGGGUGGGAGAGGGUGUCGCGGUAGAGCGCGAGACGGGGCGGCACGAACGUCAUUUUGUGAAGAAACUUUGCAAGCAAUUAAACAUUUGUCAAUGUUUGGUAAAAAAAAUACAGGUAGCGUCUGUUGCUCCUAAUGAUUGGAAACGGUUUCCAAUUGCCAACGAGGAUUUAGAUCGACUACUACUACUAGUUGCAUUGCUCCCCAUCGGGACGAUGUUGCUCCUAAUCCCCUCCUUUGGAAUCUAUAGUACUAGUGCAUACUAGCUGGCCGUUGACCGUUGUUGCUCAUCGCGUUUUCUCAAAGUCCACUGAUUUUGCUCAGGGCCAGUUCGGAGAUUUUGCUGGUCCACUGAUUUUGGAUCAACGCCGGGAUGGCAUGGGCGCUCGGCGAUGAUGCGAAGUAGACUUGCACAGGCAACGUGAUGUACAUGGAUGUGUCAGUACGGUACGCUCGGCGAUGCCACGGUAUGGAUGACUUCUCGAGUGGAGAUUGGAGAACCAAGUUCGCCGGUGAAACGUCGGCUCCUGAUCAGAUCUGGGGGUCGCGAACUAGCGAUUGGAUCUCGGAAGGGAGUUAGGAAAGCGAACAGACGUGCGUUCAAGGCUACAACUUUUUUUUUCAGGAUCUUGAAAACAGCUACGCGUUCAAGGCCCGGUCCUGAUUUUGCUCAUCUACCCGGGGCGGCGUUCGCACUGCGCGAGGGCCGACUCCGCGGGGUGCUGCCGCGUCGCCUCGUCGACGCUGAGCGAGUUGGCGAGGACCGUGUACAUGGUCGGCACGUCGCCGGCGGAGAGGGUCAUGCUGUCCCCGACCAGCGGCGGCCACGGACGGGGAGGGCGGCGGCGGUGACUGGGAAGGAAUGAUAGGAGAGGAAGGAAGGUCGCGUGGGGUUGAGGGCGGNNNNNNNNNNGGCGAGGAGGGACUCCUUGGCGGAGAGGCGCUCCGUCUCGCGGGCGUAGCUGGCAGCGGGCUCCCACGCCUGCGCGUACACGUCGUCCCGCCGUGCGUUCAAGGCUACAACUUUUUUUUUUAGGAUCUUGAAAACAACUACGCGUUCAAGGCCGGCCCGGUCCUGAUUUUGCUCAUCUACCCGGGGCGGCGUUCGCACUGCGCGAGGGCCGACUCCGCGGGGUGCUGCCGCGUCGCCUCGUCGACGCUGAGCGAGUUGGCGAGCACCGUGUACAUGGUCGGCACGUCGCCGGCGGAGAGGGUCAUGCUGUCCCCGACCAGCGGCGGCCACGGACGGGGAGGGCGGCGGCGGUGACUGGGAAGGAAUGAUCGGAGAGGAAGGAAGGUCGCGUGGGGUUGAGGGCGGGCGAGCGAGGCGGCAGUACCGAGGCUGGCCGGCGGCGCGCGCGCGGUGGGCGAGGGCGACGGCGGGCGGCGUCGAGGGCGAGGGCGACGGCGGGCGGCGUCGAGGGCGCGGCAGAGACGAACAGGCGAGAAACGGCGGGCGGCGUCGAGGGAGCCUUGUAUUUAUAGCCCCCCCNNNNNNNNNNNNNNNNNNNNNNNNNNNNNNNNNNNNNNNNNNNNNNNNNNNNNNNNNNNNNNNNNNNNNNNNNNNNNNNNNNNNNNNNNNNNNNNNNNNNNNNNNNNNNNNNNNNNNNNNNNNNNNNNNNNNNNNNNNNNNNNNNNNNNNNNNNNNNNNNNNNNNNNNNNNNNNNNNNNNNNNNNNNNNNNNNNNNNNNNNNNNNNNNNNNNNNNNNNNNNNNNNNNNNNNNNNNNNNNNNNNNNNNNNNNNNNNNNNNNNNNNNNNNNNNNNNNNNNNNNNNNNNNNNNNNNNNNNNNNNNNNNNNNNNNNNNNNNNNNNNNNNNNNNNNNNNNNNNNNNNNNNNNNNNNNNNNNNNNNNNNNNNNNNNNNNNNNNNNNNNNNNNNNNNNNNNNNNNNNNNNNNNNNNNNNNNNNNNNNNNNNNNNNNNNNNNNNNNNNNNNNNNNNNNNNNNNNNNNNNNNNNNNNNNNNNNNNNNNNNNNNNNNNNNNNNNNNNNNNNNNNNNNNNNNNNNNNNNNNNNNNNNNNNNNNNNNNNNNNNNNNNNNNNNNNNNNNNNNNNNNNNNNNNNNNNNNNNNNNNNNNNNNNNNNNNNNNNNNNNNNNNNNNNNNNNNNNNNNNNNNNNNNNNNNNNNNNNNNNNNNNNNNNNNNNNNNNNNNNNNNNNNNNNNNNNNNNNNNNNNNNNNNNNNNNNNNNNNNNNNNNNNNNNNNNNNNNNNNNNNNNNNNNNNNNNNNNNNNNNNNNNNNNNNNNNNNNNNNNNNNNNNNNNNNNNNNNNNNNNNNNNNNNNNNNNNNNNNNNNNNNNNNNNNNNNNNNNNNNNNNNNNNNNNNNNNNNNNNNNNNNNNNNNNNNNNNNNNNNNNNNNNNNNNNNNNNNNNNNNNNNNNNNNNNNNNNNNNNNNNNNNNNNNNNNNNNNNNNNNNNNNNNNNNNNNNNNNNNNNNNNNNNNNNNNNNNNNNNNNNNNNNNNNNNNNNNNNNNNNNNNNNNNNNNNNNNNNNNNNNNNNNNNNNNNNNNNNNNNNNNNNNNNNNNNNNNNNNNNNNNNNNNNNCGAGGAAGACCAAUCGGCUUAAGGUCAGGAACAAAGUCAACACAAAACUCAAUUACCUCCUCAUUUCCAUAGCCCUUGGCGAUGCUUCCUUCUGGCCUAGCACGGUUACGAACAUAUUUCUUUAAUACUCCCAUGAACCUCUCGAAGGGGAACAUAUUGUGUAGAAAUACAGGACCGAGAACGAAAAUCUCUUCGACUAGGUGAACCAGGAGGUGCGUCAUAAUAUUGAAGAAGGAUGGCGGGAACACCAACUCGAAACUGACAAGACAUUGGAUCACAUCGUUCUGUAACCAUGGUAGAACUUCUGGAUUGAUUACCUUCUGAGAGAUUGCAUUGAGGAAUGCACAUAGCUUCACAAUGGCUACUCGAACAUUUUCCGGCAGGAGCCCCCUCAAAGCAAUCGGAAGCAAUUGCGUCAUAAUCACGUGGCAGUCGUGAGACUUCAGGUUUUGGAACUUUUUCUCCGCCAUGUUUAUUAUUCCUUUUAUAUUGGACGAGAAUCCAGACGGGACCUUCAUACUGCUCAGGCAUUCAAAAAAGAUGACCUUCUCUUCUUUGGUCAGAGCGUAGCUGGCACGACCUUGAAACCAUUCCGGAUGCCGGUCAUCAGGGUCUUUCAAACGUUGCUGGUCCUGCCGUGCUUCCUUUGUAUCAUUUGUCUUCCCAUACACGCCCAAGAAGCUUAGGAGGUUCACGCAAAUAUUCUUCGUAACGUGCAUCACGUCGAUUGCAGAGCGGACAUCUAGGACUUUCCAAUAUUCUAGCUCCCAGAAUAUAGAUUUCUUCUUCCACAUGGCUGCGUUCCCGUCUGCUCCCUUCGGAACUGAUUGUCCGCCAGGACCCUUUCCAAAGAUGACUUUCAAAUCCUUGACCAUAUCAAAUACCUCAGCACCAGUGCAUUCCGCAGGCUUCGGCCGGUGAUCUGCCUUGCCGUUGUAAUGCUUGCCUUUCUUUCUUACUGGAUGAAUUUUCGGAAGAAAUCGAUGAUGCCCAAGGUACACGUUCUUCUUACAAUUUGGCAAAUGUACACUUUCAGUCUCAUGUAAGCAGUGCGUGCAUGCAUUGUAUCCCUUAUUUGACAGUCCCGAAAGGUUACUAAGAGCAGGCCAAUCGUUGAUGGUUACGAAAAGCAACGCUCGUAGGUCAAAUUCCUCUUGUUUGUGCUCAUCCCACACACGGACACCACCCCACAGCUGUAAAAGUUCAUCAACUAAUGGCCUUAGGUACACAUCGAUGUCGUUGCCGGGUUGCUUCGGACCUUGGAUGAGCACUGGCAUCAUAAUGAACUUCCGCUUCAUGCACAACCAAGAAGGAAGGUUGUAGAUGCAUAGAGUCACGGGCCAGGUGCUAUGGCUGGAGCUCUGCUCGCCAAAAGGAUUCAUGCCAUCCGUACUUAGAGCAAAUCUUAUGUUCCUUGCGUCAGCUGCAAAAUCUUUGAACCAUCUGUCGAUCUUUCUCCAUUGCGUUCCAUCUGCGGUGUGUCUCAACUCCCCGUCCGACUUACGGUCCUCUUUGUGCCAUCGCAACAACUUGGCAUGCUCUUUGUUCCUGAACAGACGUUUCAACCGUGGUAUUAUAGGAGCAUACCACAUCACCUUGGCGGGAACCCUCUUCCUGGGUUUCUGGCCCUCAACAUCGUCACCAGGGUCAUCGCCUCUGAUCUUAUAACGCAAUGCAGUGCAUAUCGGGCAUUCAUUCAAAUUCUCGUAUUCACCGCGGUAGAGGAUGCAGUCGUUGAUGCAUGCAUGUAUCUUCAGAACCUCUAAACCUAGAGGGCAGACAACCUUCUUUGCUUCGUACGUACUGGCGGGCAACUCGUUAUCCUUUGGAAACAUACUCUUCAACAUUUUCAGCAAGUUUUCAAAUGCCGAGUCAGCUACACCUGCCUCUGCCUUCCAUUUCAGCAAAUCCAGUGUGCAGCCCAGCUUUUUCAGACCAUCAUCGCAUCCGGGGUACAGCGCCUUUCUGUGAUCCUCUAACAUGCGAUCCAAAUUCUCCCUCUCCUUUUCAGUUUCGCAGCGUCUCCGUGCAUCAGCAAUGGUCCGACCAAGAUCAUCAACGGGAUCAUCACGUGCCUCUUCUUCACCUUCCCCUUCACCUUCAGCAUCCUCCAUGAAAGUAUCACCGAGAUGAGCAAGAUAGCUUUCAUCGAUGAAAUCAUCCCCUUCUUCAUCUUCUUCCAUUAUAACCCCUCUUUCUCCAUGCUUGGUCCAACAAUUAUAGCUUGGCAUGAAACCGUGCCGAAGCAGAUGCAUGUGAACAUCUCUUGAGGAAGAGUAACCCUUCUGAUUCUUACAGAUAACACAUGGACAGAUAACAAAAAACCCCUGCUUGUUCGCAUUAGCCACUACGAGGAAAUCUUUCAAACCCGUAGUGAACUCGCCGGAGAGUCGGUUACCGUACAUCCAUUGCCGAUUCAUCUGCAUUAUUAUAAUAUAAAAUAUAUAAUUAACCAUCAUGCAUUUGUUAAACUAACUAGCUACAAACAAUAUAAAUUAAACAAUGAACUGCACACAUGCAUAUUUUAUCAAUGACACAUCAAAGGUUCAUCAAGUUGCUAACCGCGAUCGAGGAGUGUGGCUCCAACACUUCAUGUCAUGUUUGUUUCAUGCUCUUGGGGCAUUUCAUCAAACACCUUAUGUGCAUAAGAGGAACCAAAAGCAAACCUACACCCACUUGUGAAGAGAAUGGCUCCAAAUGGCUAAGUGUUGGCUGCUGGAUGGGUAUAUAUAGGGGAGGGGCUUUAGUUGCGGUUGGCUUGGCAAACCGUGACUAAAGGUGCCCGAAGGCCUUUAGUCGCGGUUGUCCUGGCCAACCGCGACUAAAGACCCUCACGUGCGCCAGCUGGCCACCGAGCGCCCUGAGCCCAGGCCUUUGGUCGCGGUUCACCUCCAGAACCGCGACUAAAGGUCCCAUUAGUCGCGGUUCCUACAGCUUCGCGACUUAUGGGGCUGGACGGAAGCUUGUUUUUCCACCAGUGUACUAGGUAAGGUGUCGUUCCAGUCAAAUUGAUGAAUUCAUCUUUUGUUACCUUUGUUAUAGGAAUAUAGGCUGCAUUUAUUAGUCAUAUCGAGCUCUCAAGGAGUCAAGAUCUUGUUAACUUACUAAUAAUUUCUAUAUACCUGCAGCGUUAUGGCCUAUGGUGCAGGGCAAAGACAACAAGGACGACAUGCGGCGGCGACGUGGCCAUGGUGAAGCUACUUCGUCCGGCUACCCCAUGGUUGGCGUGUCUGCCGUCCUCUCAAUCUAUCACACGUACGUCCGGUGCAUGCAUGGUGUCGGGCCGAAGAGCACACAAAUCUACAUCCAGGCCCUGGGCACUAGCAACCGCUGAUGCACUUAGCCACUUACCAAUGUAUUCCUAUUGUACGUAUAUAAUAAAGUGGUUAGUACGUCGACGUAGAAAUAGUUAGUAGCUUGCUUUGCACUCACACAAUCGAGUCAUGAUUGUUACUGAUGAUCAAAAUUUUAUGUAUUUUUUAUGCCGGAUGGGUUUACUACUUCUUCUUCGGUUGUAUAUAAAGCUUCCAAAAAAUUAGUAUAUAAUCCUCCAGAAUAAAUCAGUAUAUAGUCCUCCAAAAAAAUGAGUAUAUACACUUUGUAACGCAGCAUAUACCCCAUAAAAAAUGUAGUAUAACGCUGCAGAAAUAAGACAUACUCCUUUUCUAGUUGCAUAUACCCAAUCACAAAACUACACUGAAAUAAUUAGUAGUACAUACUCCUUUUCUAUUUUGGAAAGGAACGUCCAUUUCCCUCUUCAACAAGUGCUUUAUUUUUCUAGGGGUAGCCUUGUGUUUUUACUGCCAUGCGACGACAUUACAAAAUGUAUUACACCCAUUAUUCAUCUAAUUUUUUAUAUACCCUUUUAUGCAUACUUUGAAUUUAUCACUCAUUUGGGCGACCAGCCCGCUCUCUCAUUGCAGCGACUCGACUCUCACAUAAAGCCAGUAUAUACUCACGUAAAAAAAAGCAGUAUAGACUCCCUUACUGAAAAAGAACUAUAUACUCCCCUACCAAAAAAAGUAGUAUAUGCUCCAUUACCAAAAAGGCAGUAUAUACUCAUAUACAAAAGGUGGUAUAUACUGUCUUCCCAAAGUAGUAUAUAUCUUUUUCCUUGCGUUAGAGAAGUAGUAUAACCAGAACAGAUAGUUCAUACUUGUGUGCUGAAAAAAGUAGUAUAUAAAUAUAUAUGUAAGAGUGAGUAUGGUAGAUAUGUAUCGGUCCUUACAAAAAAAAUCAACCACUGUUAUUGUUUAUUUGCACCGAACUAACCUUAUCUGUAUGCUAGGAUCCUUGAAUCUCUCAAUCUGUUGAUGCACAUGCAUGCGUCGGCCGGUGGAGCAAUUAGCAACUAGAUCUAAUAACUGCCAACCUGUUCAGUCCAUGGGAGUACAUACUCCUGGGAGUAUAAAAGAGGAGUCUAUAUAUAUAUAUAUAUAUAUAUAUAUAUACGGUGGCGCUAUUGUGUGCGUGAGCGCAGAUUUACUUAUCGUGCGCGCCGGUCAUUGCGUGCGCCACUCGUAUUCCUAAUGAUGGUAAAAUUCCUGGCAGAAAUAGUAAUAUAAUUUAAUUGGUUACUGCCUGCCACCACCACGGUAGCGAUUUAAUUGGUUAGGUCUACUAGUAAAAAUGCAUAGCAGAAAAAGUAAAAGAGCUAAAAGUAUUACUGUUGGAUGCAUCGGUCCCCGCUUCGACUGCCUACUAGUAAAACACCUCAUAAAAGUAGUAAUAGGAUUACCCUACACGCAUCAGCCCCUUGCCAUACUUGUGAACAGGUAAACUUCAUGUGAAGAAUAGUACUGGAUGGUAACUGUGUUACCAUAGAACGGACACUUGCUAUUAGCUAGCUACAUGGUAAUUUUAUUACCGCUAACUUUCAUCGGUUUAAUACCUAAUCAUGUUACCACUUAUUUUCUUAGUAGUAUUGGAUGGUAACUAUGUUACCACAUGACGAAAAAAUUGCUAUUAGCUAAUAGCUACACGGUAAUUGCAUUACCACUCAUGUGUAGAAGCAUGAUACACGGUCUUUUUUCCAAUUACGUUUGGUCGAAGACGCAAGGGUUUGCUAAUCGCUAAAGUGGGGUCGAAGCAGUAAUAAGUUUCCAACCGUUACCAUGUUUCUUAAGGUAUGUUACGUAUGGGCGCAAGACAUGUUCUUUAAUAGGAGCGGGACAACGGUUGCUUAGACGGAGAAUGGCGCGCAGUCUGGCCGGAGCGUAGAAUUAGACUUCUGCGCUCAGGCUUAGUUUAGCACGUCUAUAUAUAUAUAUAUAUAUAUAUAUAUAUAUAUACAUACAUGUUAGUGGCCUCGACGCUGCUUCUCUAGGGUUUGGGGUCGCCUCGACACAACGCUUCAAGGGUUUGGGGUGGCCUCGACGACAACGUUUUUUUAACUUGAUAAAUUUGGGUGGCCUCGAGAGAGUUAAUUUGUCGGGUAGGGGCGCGGCGGGAGGGGGUAGGAGACCAACAUCGUUUUCUCUCUAGGGUUUGGGUGUCCUCGAGAGUUAUCGGGGAGGGGGUAUCGGUACCACCCCCUAGCUCGUGUUGAAGUUUCUUCUUUCUCCUCUAUUCCUUUCUUUCUUCUUCUCCUCUUCUUUUUCUUCUUCUCCCUCGAGAAAGGAAAAUANNNNNNNNNNNNNNNNNNNNNNNNNNNNNNNNNNNNNNNNNNNNNNNNNNNNNNNNNNNNNNNNNNNNNNNNNNNNNNNNNNNNNNNNNNNNNNNNNNNNNNNNNNNNNNNNNNNNNNNNNNNNNNNNNNNNNNNNNNNNNNNNNNNNNNNNNNNNNNNNNNNNNNNNNNNNNNNNNNNNNNNNNNNNNNNNNNNNNNNNNNNNNNNNNNNNNNNNNNNNNNNNNNNNNNNNNNNNNNNNNNNNNNNNNNNNNNNNNNNNNNNNNNNNNNNNNNNNNNNNNNNNNNNNNNNNNNNNNNNNNNNNNNNNNNNNNNNNNNNNNNNNNNNNNNNNNNNNNNNNNNNNNNNNNNNNNNNNNNNNNNNNNNNNNNNNNNNNNNNNNNNNNNNNNNNNNNNNNNNNNNNNNNNNNNNNNNNNNNNNNNNNNNNNNNNNNNNNNNNNNNNNNNNNNNNNNNNNNNNNNNNNNNNNNNNNNNNNNNNNNNNNNNNNNNNNNNNNNNNNNNNNNNNNNNNNNNNNNNNNNNNNNNNNNNNNNNNNNNNNNNNNNNNNNNNNNNNNNNNNNNNNNNNNNNNNNNNNNNNNNNNNNNNNNNNNNNNNNNNNNNNNNNNNNNNNNNNNNNNNNNNNNNNNNNNNNNNNNNNNNNNNNNNNNNNNNNNNNNNNNNNNNNNNNNNNNNNNNNNNNNNNNNNNNNNNNNNNNNNNNNNNNNNNNNNNNNNNNNNNNNNNNNNNNNNNNNNNNNNNNNNNNNNNNNNNNNNNNNNNNNNNNNNNNNNNNNNNNNNNNNNNNNNNNNNNNNNNNNNNNNNNNNNNNNNNNNNNNNNNNNNNNNNNNNNNNNNNNNNNNNNNNNNNNNNNNNNNNNNNNNNNNNNNNNNNNNNNNNNNNNNNNNNNNNNNNNNNNNNNNNNNNNNNNNNNNNNNNNNNNNNNNNNNNNNNNNNNNNNNNNNNNNNNNNNNNNNNNNNNNNNNNNNNNNNNNNNNNNNNNNNNNNNNNNNNNNNNNNNNNNNNNNNNNNNNNNNNNNNNNNNNNNNNNNNNNNNNNNNNNNNNNNNNNNNNNNNNNNNNNNNNNNNNNNNNNNNUGAAAACACUUUUUUUUGUUUUCUUUCUUGCUUUAUUUAUUUUAUUUUGUUUCUACUUGCAAUAAAAUACUUAUUGUUGUUUUUUUGUUUUGUUUUCUGCAUUAUUUAUUUUCUUUUGUUUUUUGCUUUAUUUUUUAAUUCUUUUUGCUUUUAGUUUUAGGAAAAUUAUAAACUUUCUAUUAGUGCCAUUACUUUUCAAAUUUGAAAACACUUUUUUGUUUUUUAGUUUUCUUUCUUGCUUUAUUUAUUUUAUUUUGUUUCUACUUACAACAAAAUACUUAUUGUUGCUAUUUUUAAUUAUUACGAAGGCCAAACCAUAAGACAUUAAAGCAUUUCAAAUGAACUCUGAAAAAGUUGAAAGUUGGCAUGGUAUCAUAAAUUGACCCACACAUAGCAUGUGCAUGUACAAAACGGACAAUGUUAUCAUACUCGUCAGUUACAAAGUUGGCAUGGUAUCAUCAUAAUAGUUGCGGGAGAAAGUCUUCACUUUUUCUUCGCUUGUGUCAUUUGCUUAUUGCGCCGUAACCAUGGAUAAUCUUCAUCGUUUAUCAGGAUGCUGGGGUCAGCCUUGACUUUAAAGGGAGGAAUUUCAUGAAACUUUUCAUAAUCUUCAGACAUGUCUGUCUUGUCCUCCUCUCCCACGAUGUCCCUUUUUCCUGAAAGAACUAUGUGGCGCUUUGGCUCAUCGUAUGAUGUAUUCGCUUCCUUAUCUUUUCUCUUUCUUGGUCUGGUAGACAUGUCCAUCACAUAGAUAACCUGUGCCACAUCAUUGGCUAGGACGAACGGUUCGUCAGUGUACCCAAGAUUUUUCGGAUCCACUGUUGUCGUUCCGUACUGUGGGUCUACAUGUACCCCGCCUCCUGACAGAUUGACCCAUUUGCACUUAAACAAAGGGACCUUAAAAUCAUGUCCUUAGUCAAGUUCCCAUAUGUCCACUAUGUAACCAUAAUAUGUGUCCUUUCCCCUCUCGGUUGUUGCAUCAAAGCGGACACCGCUGUUUUGGUUGGUGCUCUUUUGAUCUUGGUUAAUCGUGUAAAAUGUCUUCCCAUUUAUCUCAUAUCCUUUCCAAAUCGUAACAGUCGAAGAUGGUCCCCUGGAUAACAAGUACAUCUCAUCACAAACAGCGUUGUCACCUCUGAUACGUGCUUCCAACCAACUGCUGAAAGUCCUGAUGUGUUCACAUGUAAUUCAGUCGUCGCACUGCUCCGGGUGUUUGGAGCGCAGACUGUUCUUGUGUUCAUCCACAUACGGGGUCACCAAGGUAGAGUUCUGUAGAACUGUGUAGUGUGCUUGAGACCAAGAAUAUCUGUCCCUGCAUAUUAUUGAGUCCCUUCCAAGCAUGCCUUUUCCAGUCAGUCUCCCCUCAUACCGCGAUUUAGGGAGACCUAUCUUCUUAUGGCCAGGAAUGAAGUCAACACAAAACCCGAUGACAUCCUCUGUUUGAUGGCCCAUGGAGAUGCUUCCUUCUGGCCUAGCGCGAUGAGGGACAUAUUUCUUUAGGACUCCCAUGAACCUCUCAAAGGGGUACAUAUUGUGUAGAAAUACGGGGCCCAAAAUGACAAUCUCGUCAACUAGAUGAACUAGGACGUGCGUCAUGAUAUUGAAGAAGGAUGGUGGGAACACCAGCUCGAAACUGACAAGACAUUGCACCACAUCACUCCUUAGCCUUGGUAUGAUUUCUGGAUCGAUCACCUUCUGAGAGAUUGCAUUGAGGAAUGCACAUAGCUUCACAAUGGCUAAUCGGACGUUUUCCGGUAGAAGCCCCCUCAAUGCAACCGGAAGCAGUUGUGUCAUAAUCACGUGGCAGUCAUGAGACUUUAGGUUCUGAAACUUUUUCUUUGCCAUAUUUAUUAUUCCUUUUAUAUUCGACGAGAAGCCAGUCGGGACCUUCAUACUAAGCAGGCAUUCAAAGAAGAUUUCCUUCUCUUCUUUGGUAAGAGCAUAGCUGGCAGGACCUUCAUACUGCUUUGGAGGCAUGCCGUCUUUUUCGUGCAAAUGUUGCAGGUCCUCCCGUGCCUCAGCUGUAUCUUUUGUCUUCCCAUACACGCCCAAGAAGCCUAGCAGGUUCACGCAAAGGUUCUUCGUCACGUGCAUCACGUCGAUCGAAGAGCGGACCUCUAGGUCUUUCUAGUAGGGUAGGUCCCAAAAUAUAGAUUUCUUCUUCCACAUGGGUGCGUGUCCCCCAACGUCACUCGGAACAGCUAGUCUGCCGGGACCCUUUCCAAAGAUUACGUGUAAAUCAUUGACCAUAGCAAGUACGUGACCACCGGUACGCAUGGCGGGCUUCUUCCGGUGAUCUGCCUCGCCUUUGAAAUGCUUGCCUUUCUUUCGACAUUGAUGGUUGGUCGGAAGAAAUCGACGAUGGCCCAGGUACACAUUCUUCCUACAGCUUGCCAGGUAUAUACUAACGGUGUCAAGUAAACAGUGCGUGCAUGCGUGGUAUCCCUUGUUUGUCUGUCCUAAAAGGUUACUGAGAGCAGGCCAAUCGUUGAUGGUCACGAACAGCAACGCCUUUAGGUUAAAUUUCUCCUGUUUGUGCUCAUCCCACGUACGUACACCGUUUCCAUUCCACAGCUGUAAAAGUUCUUCAACUAAUGGCCUUAGGUACACAUCAAUGUCAUUGCCGGGUUGCUUAGGGCCUUGGAUGAGAACUGGCAUCAUAAUGAACUUCCGCUUCAUGCACAUCCAAGGAGGAAGGUUAUACAUACAUAGAGUCACGGGCCAGGUGCUGUGAUUGCUGCUCUGCUCCCCGAAAGGAUUAAUGCCAUCCGCACUUAAAGCAAACCAUACGUUCCUUGGCUCACUUGCAAACUCAUCCCAGUACUUUCUCUCAUUUUUCUCCAUUGCGACCCGUCAGCGGGUGCUCUCAACUUCCCGUCUUUCUUACGGUCCUCACUAUGCCAUCGCAUCAACUUGGCAUGCUCUCCGUUUCUGAACAGACGUUUCAACCGUGGUAUUAUAGGAGCAUACCACAUCACCACUACUAGGGAAAAGCCUAUACAUAGAAUCUUACCAGCAGCGCUCUUCAAAAUACAACGCUACUGCUACUUAGCAGCAGCGCGUGUCUGCCAAACACGCUGCUGACUUGGAAGUAGCAGUAGCGGGUGCAUCGCAUACAGCGCUACUGCUAUAGUUGCCAUGACCUUGCCCCCCCCCCCCCNNNNNNNNNNNNNNNNNNNNNNNNNNNNNNNNNNNNNNNNNNNNNNNNNNNNNNNNNNNNNNNNNNNNNNNNNNNNNNNNNNNNNNNNNNNNNNNNNNNNNNNNNNNNNNNNNNNNNNNNNNNNNNNNNNNNNNNNNNNNNNNNNNNNNNNNNNNNNNNNNNNNNNNNNNNNNNNNNNNNNNNNNNNNNNNNNNNNNNNNNNNNNNNNNNNNNNNNNNNNNNNNNNNNNNNNNNNNGCAAACGCGCUACAACUAUCCCUACCUUAUCCCCAUGCGCACGACCGGCCCUCUCACUCACACUCUCACUCUCGCCCACGUCAACCGUCGUCGUCCGUCGCCGCCGCCGCCGCCUUCGUCCGUCCGCCGCCGAGGUACUCCCCUCCUUCCGUCCCUCCUCCAUCCUCCUUGCACAUCCUCCCUCCGCCUGUGGCCGCCCCUCCUUCCUCCGCCGCUGCCCUCCUCCCUCCGCCUGCGGCCGCCCCUCCUCCCUCCUCCGACGGCAGCCCUCCUCCCACCGCCCUCGACCUCGCUGCCCCUAGCUACCUCUCCGUCGCCCCCCACCCCUGCCACUAGUUAGUACUAGAUUUAGUAGUAGUAGAUGUUAAUUUAGGGUUAGCUAGUACUAGAUGUUGCUUAGUUAGUACUAGAUUUUUAGUAGUAGUAGUGGUAGUUGAACUACUUUAGUUGUAGUUGAACUAGUUUAGUAAGUAAAUUAAUAAACGAGUUGAACUAGUUGAAUUAAUAGAACUAAUCUAUUUUUAGUAAGAUAAUUAAUAUAACUAGUUGAACUACUUUAUUUUUAGAAAGAACUAAUUUUUUUCUAUUUAUAUUAAGUUUAUAUUUAGUAAGAACUAGUUGAAUUAAUAAAACUAGUUGAACAUGUCAUGUUUGUUGUUAGUGAUAACUUAUAUGGUUUCAGGUGACCUCCGUCGUCCCCGUCACCGACCCCCUCCGACAUCCCCGUCGUCGUCCCAGUCACCGACCCCCUCCGACAUCGAGGUGAGACCAGCCAAAUAUCCUUGUAUAUCUUGUGUUGUUGCUCAAAUUGGAUAUGUGGUUGCCCAAGUGGCCGUUCAUGUAGUUUACAUCUCCGAGUGGCCUAUGUUUUGCCGGAGUGUUGAUUAAUUUCCGUUCCGACAAAUUUCAGGCGCUCGAUAUGUCCUUUUUUAGCAAAGGUCAUGCCGGAUUUUGUCGUGAAUUCUGGUAUGACUUGUGCUAGAAUAUGUACAAGUUUAAUCUUUGAAUUAUGAUUGUAGGAAAUGUCGUACUCGGACGACGAAGGUCUCCCGGGGGAGUGUAGCUGGUGCCACGACGAUCGAGGUAUGUGCGAUAGGUUCGUUCGGCUGGACGAAGAUCGGCGCUUCAACAUUAAGCUCGAGGAGACCUUCGAUUGUGAAAUGGUACGCAACAACGACAAGUGUUUUUUCUCCAUUAAGCAUGACUUCAACUAUUUCAACGUCUAAUUUUCAUAUUUUACAAUUCGACUAGCUUAUCCCAUGCCAUGCAAGACGCUAUGUCUUGGAGAGGAUGGGUUUUGAAGACCAUGAAAAUUUCAAAACAAAGAAAAUACACCUAAGGACCCAUCAUGAUAUGGAUUUUGAAGUAAACCUGUGCAAUGCUCAGAGCGCAACCCAUUUUGGUUGCCAAAAUUGGGAAGCACUUUGCAAAAUGUAUGGUUUUUAUGAGGGUAUGAUUGUCACCAUGGAUCUUGGUGAUCCUGACAGUGAGGAAGACAAUAUGGACAUUUGGGUCCUUGUUGAUACGCUUCCGAUUGUACCGCUAUGUGACUUUCUCAAACAUAGUUAUUAACUAAUUUAUAUUGUUUAUUUCAAAAUAGUUGAUAGCUUAUUUCCAUUGACAGCUUAUUUUGAUUCUUCAAAGACUGUGCGGAAGAUGGUAGAUAAAACCCACUACACCGAAGGCACCCAAUUAACGUAUAAGGAGAAAAAUCAUCUGAUCGCAUUUUGUACUCUUCUUGAGAAUUACAAUGACUAUAAUCGAACUCCUCCAGAUUAUGGUGAAUAUGUGCCACUAGUGCAUGUGUUGAACAACGAUAACUUAUCUGGAGAUACCCUGGUAAGAUUUUUUACUAUUACGACAUCCGUGUAUUUUUUGCAUACUUCUAAAACUAGUACAUCAUUGCUAACUACGAAGUUAUUAUUAUGUUUUUCAACAGAAACUCCCGAUGGAUUGUGUGCCUCAUCUGAUGUCUCUGCAUGGUCGCCUCUCAGUUCUGAACAUACUGCCAGGUAAAUCUACAGAGCUCACCUAUGCAUAUCAGAUUUCUAAAACCCGUGAACACAUGAUCAUCAGAGAAUGGAAGAAAUGUAUGGACAUUCGCAAGGAGGUUCUUGGAAGUAACAUUCAGCGAAACGUAAGAAUGGGAGACAGGCUAAUCUCCAUUCUCCAUAAUGGAGAGUCAGGGGCUAUCUUGUUUUUUGUUAUUUUACCUUAGAAAAUGUAGUAGGUCUUAAUCGAAUGUAAUAGGUCCUAUGAGGUACAAUAUGUUUAUUAUGUGGUAAUGUGUUAGAGUUGAUAAUGAUGAUCUUGAGGAGGUGUUAUGUGAUGUCAAUGAUGAAAACGAUGAUAUUGAGGAGGUGUUAUAUGACAAUGAUGUAUUAUGAUGCUAAGUUGUUAAUGAUAUGAUGAUGAUGAUGAUAUUAUUAUAUCAUUGGGUGAAAGAACCGUGGAUUAGUUUCAAGUGGAUGGACAUCCACUUGAAACUAGUCCACGGUUCUUUCACCCCAUGAUGUAAUAACUCAUUAUGAUGUAAAAACAAUCUCUAAAUUCCUGUUGUAUGAAAACUUGUGUAAGGGUGUAUGAAUACAACAUGAAAAAGAAAAGAAAUAAAAUACUAAAUAAUAGUAGUAGCGCGGGUAAGGAGAAGCGCUACUACUAAUUACCAGUAGCGAUGUUCUAAAGAACCGCUGCUACUAAGUCAAUUUAGCAGUAGCGCGUGUCAAGACGCGCUAUUGCUAAGCAUUAGCUGUAGCGCCUUAUCAGUAGCGCUCCUGCCCGCGCUACUGAUAGGCCCAAAACCCGCGCUGCUGCUAGGCUUUUCCCUAGUAGUGCACCUUCGCAGGAACCCUCUUCCUGGGGGGCUCGCCGUCAACAUCACCAGGGUCAUCUCGUCUGAUCUUAUACCAUAAUGCACCGCAUACCAGGCAUGCGUUCAGAUCCUUAUAUGCACCGCGGUAGAGGAUGCAGUCAUUAGGGCAUGCAGGUAUCUUCUGCACCUCCAAUCCUAGAGGGCAUACGACCUUCUUUGCUGCGUAUGUACUGUCGGGCAAUUCGUUAUCCUUUGGAAGCUUCUUCUUCAAUAUUUUCAGUAGCUUCUCAAAUCCUUUGUCAGGCACAGCAUUCUCUUAAAGGAAAUAUGCCCUAGAGGCAAUAAUAAAGUUAUUAUUUAUUUCCUCAUAUCAUGAUAAAUGUUUAUUAUUCAUGCUAGAAUUGUAUUAACCGGAAACAUGAUACAUGUGUGAAUACAUAGACAAAACUAUAGUCACUAGUAUGCCUCUACUUGACUAGCUCAUUAAUCAAAGAUGGUUAUGUUUCCUGACCAUAGACAUGUGUUGUCAUUUGAUUAGUGGGAUCACAUCAUUAAGAGAAUGAUGUGAUUGACAUGACCCAUUCUGUUAGCCCAGCACUUGAUCGUUUAGUAUACUGCUAUUGCUUUCUUCAUGACUUAUACAAAGUUCCUGCAACUAUGAGAUUGUGCAACUCCCGUUUACCGGAAGAACACUUUGUGUGCUACCAAACAUCACAACGUAACUGGGUGAUUAUAAAGGUGCUCUACAGGUGUUUCCGAAGGUACAUGUUGGGUUGGCAUAAUUCGAGAUUAGGAUUUGUCACUCCGAUUGUCGGAGAGGUAUCUCUGGGCCCUCUCGGAAAUACUCAUCACAUAAGCCUUGCAAGCAUGUAACUAAUGAGUUAGUUAUGAGAUGACGUAUUACGAAACGAGUAAAGAGACUUGCCGGUAACGAGAUUGAACUAGGUAUUGGAUACCGACGAUCAAAUCUCGGGCAAGUAACAUACCGAUGACAAAGGGAACAAAGUAUGUUGUUAUGCGGUUUGACCGAUAAAGAUCUUCGUAGAAUAUGUAGGAACCAAUAUGGGCAUCCAGGUCCCGCUAUUGGUUAUUGACCGAGAAUGGUUUUAGGUCAUGACUACAUAGUUCUCAAACCCGUAGGGUCCGCACGCUUAACUUUUUGAUGAUAGUUUUAUUAUGAGUUUAUAAGUUUUGAUGUACCAAAGUUUGUUCGGAGUUCCGGAUGUGAUCACGGAUAUGAUGAGGAGUCUCGGAAUGCUUGAGCCAUAAAGAUUGAUAUAUUGGACGACUAUAUUCGGACACCGGAAAGGUUCCGGGAGUUUUCGGAGAAAACCGGAGUGCCCGGGGGGUUACCGAAACCCCCCGGGAGAGUUAAUGGGCCACAUGGGCCUAGGUGGGAAGAGAAAGGGGCGGCCAGGGUGAGCCGCGCGCCCCCUCUCCCUCUAGUCCGAAUUGGACUAGGAGGGGGGGCGGCGCCCCCUUUCCUUCCCCCCCUCUCUUCCUUCCUUCCCCCUCCUAGUAGGAGUAGGAAAGGAGGAAUCCUACUCCUACUAGGAGGAGGAUUCCUCCUCCCUUGCGCGCCCCAAGGGGCCGGCCGGCCUCCCCCUCCCUCCUUUAUAUACGGGGGCAGGGGGCACCCCAUAGACACACAAGUUGAUCUACGGAUCGUUCCUUAGCCGUGUGCGGUGCCCCCUUCCACCAUAUUCCACCUCGGUCAUAUCGUCGCGAAGCUUAGGCGAAGUCCUGCGCCGGUAGAACAUCAAGAUCGUCACCACGCCGUCGUGCUGACGGAACUCUCCCUCGACACUCGGCUGGAUCGGAGUUCGAGGGACGUCAUCGAGCUGAAUGUGUGCUGAACUCGGAGGCUCCGUACGUUCGGUUCUUGGAUCGGUCGGAUCGUGAAGACGUAUGACUACAUCAACCGCGUUGUCAUAACGCUUCCGCUUACGGUCUACGAGGGUACAUGGACAUACACUCUCCCCUCUCGUUGCUAUGUCAUCACCAUGAUCUUGCGUGUGCGUAGGAAAAUUUUGAAAUUACUACGUUCCCCGACAGUGGUAUCAGAGCCUAGGUUUUAUGCGUUGAUGUUAUAUGCACGAGUAGAACACAAGUGAGUUGUGGACGAUAUAAGUCAUACUGCCUACCAGUGUGUCAUACUUUGGUUCAGCGGUAUUGUGAGAUGAAGCGGCCCGGACCGACAUUACGGGUACGCUUACGCGAGACUAGUUUCACCGUUAUGAGCACUCGUGCUUAAAGGUGGCUGGCGGGUGUCUGUCUCUCUCACUUUAGUUGAACCGAGUGUGGCUACGCCCGGCCCUUGUGAAGGUUAAAACGGAGUCUAUUUGACAAACUAUCGUUGUGGUUUUGAUGCGUAGGUAAGAACGGUUCUUGCUAAGCCCGUAGCAUCCACGUAAAAUUUGCAACAACAAAGUAGAGGACGUCUAACUUGUUUUUGCAGGGCAUGUUGUGAUAUGAUAUGGUCAAGACGUGAUGCUAUAUUUUAUUGUAUGAGAUGAUCAUGUUUUGUAACCGAAGUUAUCGGCAACUGGCUGGAGCCAUAUGGUUGUCGCUUUAUUGUAUGAAAUGCAAACGCCCUGUAAUUGCUUUACUUUAUCUCUAAGCGGUAGCGAUAGUCGUAGAAGCAAUAGAUGGCGUAAACGACAACGAUGCUACGAUGGAGAUCAAGGUGUCGCGCCGGUGACGAUGGUGAUCAUGACGGUGCUUCGAAGAUGGAGAUCACAAGCACAAGAUGAUGAUGGCCAUAUCAUAUCACUUAUAUUGAUUGCAUGUGAUGUUUAUCCUUUAUGCAUCUUAUCUUGCUUUGAUUGACGGUAGCAUUUUAAGAUGAUCUCUCACUAAAAUUAUCAAGUAGUGUUCUCCCUGAGUAUGCACCGUUGCCAAAGUUCAUCGUGCCGAGACACCACGUGAUGAUCGGGUGUGAUAAGCUCUACGUCCAUCUACAACGGGUGCAAGCCAGUUUUGCACACGCAGAAUACUCAGGUUAAACUUGACGAGCCUAGCAUAUGCAGAUAUGGCCUCGGAACACAGAGACCGAAAGGUCGAGCGUGAAUCAUAUAGUAGAUAUGAUCAACAUAAUGAUGUUCACCAUUGAAAACUACUCCAUCUCACGUGAUGAUCGGUUAUGGUUUAGUUGAUUUGGAUCACGUGAUCACUUAGAUGACUAGAGAGAUGUCUGUCUAUGUGGGAGUUCUUAAGUAAUAUGAUUAAUUGAACUUAAAUUUAUCAUGAACUUAGUACCUGAUAGUAUCUUGCUUGUCUAUGUUUGUUUGUAGAUAGAUGGCUCGUGCUGUUGUUCCGUUGAAUUUUAAUGCGUUCCUUGAGAAAGCAAAGUUGAAAGAUGAUGGUAGCAAUUACACGGACUGGGUCCGUAACCUGAGGAUUAUCCUCAUUGUUGCACAGAAGAGUUACGUCCUGGAAGCACCGCUGGGUGCCAGGCCUGCUGCUGAUGCAACUGACGACGUUAAGAACGUCUGGCAGAGCAAAGCUGAUGACUACUCUAUAGUUCAGUGUGCCAUGCUUUACGGCUUAGAACCGGGUCUUCAACGACGUUUUGAACGUCAUGGAGCAUAUGAGAUGUUCCAGGAGUUGAAGUUAAUAUUUCAAGCAAAUGCCCGGAUUGAGAGAUAUGAAGUCUCCAAUAAGUUCUAUAGCUGCAAGAUGGAGGAGAAUAGUUCUGUCAGUGAACAUAUACUCAGAAUGUCUGGGUAUAACAAUCACUUGAUUCAACUGGGAGUUAAUCUUCCUGAUGAUAGUGUCAUUGACAGAAUUCUUCAAUCACUGCCACCAAGCUACAAGAGCUUUGUGAUGAACUAUAAUAUGCAAGGGAUGAACAAGACUAUUCCCGAGCUCUUCGCGAUGCUGAAAGCCGCAGAGGUAGAAAUCAAGAAGGAGCAUCAAGUGUUGAUGGUCAACAAGACCACUAGUUUCAAGAAGAAGGGCAAAGGAAAGAAGAAGGGGAACUUCAAAAAGAACGGCAAGCAAGUUGCUGCUCAAGAGAAGAAACCCAAGUCUGGACCUAAGCCUGAAACUGAGUGCUUCUACUGCAAGCAGACUGGUCACUGGAAGCGGAACUGCCCCAAGUAUUUGGCGGAUAAGAAGGAUGGCAAAGUAAACAAAGGUAUAUGUGAUAUACAUGUUAUUGAUGUGUACCUAACUAGAGCUCGUAGUAGCACCUGGGUAUUUGAUACUGGUUCUGUUGCUAAUAUUUGCAACUCGAAACAGGGACUACGGAAUAAGCGAGCACUGGCCAAGGACGAGGUGACGAUGCGCGUGGAAAACGGUUCCAAAGUCGAUGUGAUCGCGGUCGGCACGCUACCUCUACAUCUACCAUCGGGAUUAGUUUUAGACCUAAAUAAUUGUUAUUUGGUGCCAGCGUUGAGCAUGAACAUUAUAUCUGGAUCUUGUUUGAUGCAAGACGGUUAUUCAUUUAAAUCAGAGAAUAAUGGUUGUUCUAUUUAUAUGAGUAAUAUCUUUUAUGGUCAUGCACCCUUGAAGAGUGGUCUAUUUUUAUUGAAUCUCGAUAGUAGUGAUACACAUAUUCAUAUUGUAGAAGCCAAAAGAUGCAGAGUUGAUAAUGAUAGUGCAACUUAUUUGUGGCACUGCCGUUUGGGUCAUAUCGGUGUACAACGCAUGAAGAAACUCCAUACUGAUGGACUUCUGGAAUCACUUGAUUAUGAAUCACUUGGUACUUGCGAACCGUGCCUUAUGGGCAAGAUGACUAAAACACCGUUCUCCGGAACUAUGGAGAGAGCAACAGAUUUGUUGGAAAUCAUACAUACAGAUGUAUGUGGUCCGAUGAAUGUUGAGGCUCGUGGCGGAUAUCAUUAUUUUCUCACCUUCACUGAUGAUUUAAGCAGAUAUGGGUAUAUCUACUUAAUGAAGUACAAGUCUGAAACAUUUGAAAAGUUCAAAGAAUUUCAGAGUGAAGUAGAAAAUCAUCGUAACAAGAAAAUAAAGUUUCUACGAUCUGACCGUGGAGGAGAAUAUUUGAGUUACGAGUUUGGUUUACAUUUGAAACAAUGCGGAAUAGUUUCGCAACUCACGCCACCUGGAACACCACAACGAAAUGGUGUGUCCAAACGUCGUACUCGUACUUUACUUGAUAUGGUGCGAUCUAUGAUGUCUCUUACCGAUUUACCGCUAUCGUUUUGGGGUUAUGCUUUAGAGACGGCCGCAUUCACGUUAAAUAGGGCACCAUCAAAAUCCGUUGAGAUGACGCCUUAUGAACUGUGGUUUGGCAAGAAACCAAAGUUGUCGUUUCUUAAAGUUUGGGGCUGCGGUACUUAUGUGAAGAAACUUCAACCAGAUAAGCUCGAACCCAAAUCGGAGAAAUGUGUCUUCGUAGGAUACCCAAAGGAGACUAUUGGGUACACCUUCUAUCACAGAUCUGAAGGCAAGAUUUUCGUUGCUAAAUUCGGAUCCUUUCUAGAGAAGGAAUUUCUCUCGAAAGAAGUGAGUGGGAGGAAAGUAGAACUUGAUGAGAUAACUGUAUCUACUCCCUUAUUGGAAGGUAGUUCAUCACGAGAACUGGUUCCCAUGACAACUACACCAAUUAUUGAGGAAGCUAAUAAUAUUGAUCAUGAAACUUCAGAUCAAGUUUCUGCUGAACCUCGUAGGUCUACCAGAGUAAGAUCCGCACCAGAGUGGUACGGUAAUCCUAUUCUGGAAGUCAUGUUACUUGACCAUGAUGAACCUACGAACUAUGAGGAACCGAUGAUGAGCCCAGAUUCCGCAAAAUGGCUAGAGGCCAUGAAAUCUGAGAUGGGAUCCAUGGAUGAAAACAAAGUAUGGACUUUGGUUGACUUGCCCGAUGAUCGGCAAGCCAUUGAGAAUAAAUGGAUCUUUAAGAAGAAGACUGACGCUGAUGGUAAUGUUACUGUCUAUAAAGCUCGACUUGUUGCGAAAGGUUUUCGACAAGUUCAAGGGGUUGACUAUGAUGAGACUUUCUCACCCGUAGCGAUGCUUAAGUCUGUCCGAAUCAUGUUGGCUAUUGCUGCAUUUCAUGAUUAUGAAAUUUGGCAAAUGGAUGUCAAAACUGCAUUCUUGAAUGGAUUUCUAGAAGAAGAGUUGUAUAUGAUGCAGCCGGAAGGUUUUGUUGAUCCAAAAGGUGCUGACAAAGUGUGUAAGCUCCAAUGUUCCAUUUAUGGACUGGUGCAAGCAUCUCGGAGUUGGAAUAAACGUUUUGACAGUGUGAUCAAGGCAUAUGGUUUUAUACAGACUUUUGGAGAAGCCUGUAUUUACAAGAAAGUGAGUGGGAGCUCUGUAGCAUUUCUAGUUUUAUAUGUUGAUGACAUAUUAUUAAUUGGAAAUGAUAUAGAAUUUCUGGAGAGCAUAAAGGGAUACUUGAAUAAAAGUUUUUCAAUGAAAGACCUCGGUGAAGCUGCUUACAUAUUGGGCAUCAAGAUCUAUAGAGAUAGAUCAAGACGCUUAAUAGGACUUUCACAAAGCACAUACCUUGACAAAAUUUUGAAAAAGUUCAAAAUGGAUCAGGCAAAGAAAGGAUUCUUGCCUGUGCUACAAGGUGUGAAGUUGAGUCAAACUCAAUGCCCGACCACAUCAGAAGAUAGAGAGAAAAUGAAAAAUGUUCCCUAUGCUUCAGCCAUAGGCUCUAUCAUGUAUGCAAUGCUGUGUACCAGACUUGACGUAUGCUUAGCAAUAAGCUUGGCAGGAAGGUACCAAAGUAAUCCAGGAGUGGAUCACUGGACAGCGGUCAAGAACAUCCUUAAAUACCUGAAAAGGACUAAGGAUAUAUUUCUCGUAUAUGUAGGUGACAAAGAGCUCGUCGUAAAUGGUUACGUCGAUGCAAGCUUUGACACUGAUCCAGACGAUUCUAAAUCGCAAACCGGAUACGUGUUUAUAUUAAACGGUGGAGCUGUAAGUUGGUGCAGUUCUAAACAAAGCGUCGUGGCGGGAUCUACAUGUGAAGCGGAGUACAUAGCUGCUUCUGAAGCAGCAAAUGAAGGAGUCUGGAUGAAGGAGUUCAUUUCCGAUCUAGGUGUCAUACCUAGUGCAUCGGGACCAAUGAAGAUCUUCUGUGACAAUACAGGUGCAAUUGCUUUGGCAAAGGAAUCCAGAUUUCACAAGAGGACCAAGCACAUCACGAGACGCUUAAAUUCCAUUCGGGACCAAGUCCAAGUGGGAGACAUACAGAUUUGCAAGAUACAUACGGAUCUGAAUAUUGCAGACCCGUUGACUAAGCAUCUCUCACGAGCAAAACAUGAUCAGCACCAAGACUCCAUGGGUGUUAGAAUCAUUAUUGUGUAAUCUAGAUUAUUGACUCUAGUGCAAGUGGGAGACUAAAGGAAAUAUGCCCUAGAGGCAAUAAUAAAGUUAUUAUUUAUUUCCUCAUAUCAUGAUAAAUGUUUAUUAUUCAUGCUAGAAUUGUAUUAACCGGAAACAUGAUACAUGUGUGAAUACAUAGACAAAACUAUAGUCACUAGUAUGCCUCUACUUGACUAGCUCAUUAAUCAAAGAUGGUUAUGUUUCCUGACCAUAGACAUGUGUUGUCAUUUGAUUAGUGGGAUCACAUCAUUAAGAGAAUGAUGUGAUUGACAUGACCCAUUCUGUUAGCCUAGCACUUGAUCGUUUAGUAUACUGCUAUUGCUUUCUUCAUGACUUAUACAAAGUUCCUGCAACUAUGAGAUUGUGCAACUCCCGUUUACCAAAAGAACACUUUGUGUGCUACCAAACGUCACAACGUAACUGGGUGAUUAUAAAGGUUCUCUACAGGUGUUUCCGAAGGUACAUGUUGGGUUGGCAUAAUUCGAGAUUAGGAUUUGUCACUCCGAUUGUCGGAGAGGUAUCUUUGGGCCCUCUCGGUAAUACUCAUCACAUAAGCCUUGCAAGCAUGUAACUAAUGAGUUAGUUAUGAGAUGACGUAUUACGGAACGAGUAAAGAGACUUGCCGGUAACGAGAUUGAACUAGGUAUUGGAUACCAACGAUCAAAUCUCGGGCAAGUAACAUACCGAUGACAAAGGGAACAAAGUAUGUUGUUAUGCGGUUUGACCGAUAAAGAUCUUCAUAGAAUAUGUAGGAACCAAUAUGGGCAUCCAGGUCCCGCUAUUGGUUAUUGACCGAGAAUGGUUUUAGGUCAUGACUACAUAGUUCUCGAACCCGUAGGGUCCGCACGCUUAACGUUUCGAUGAUAGUUUUAUUAUGAGUUUAUAAGUUUUGAUGUACCGAAGUUUGUUCGGAGUCCCAGAUGUGAUCACAGACAUGACGAGGAGUCUUGGAAUGGUCGAGACAUAAAGAUUGAUAUAUUGGACGACUAUAUUCGGACACCGGAAAGGUUCCGGGAGUUUUCGGAGAAAACCGGAGUGCCGGGGGGGUUACCGGAACCCCCCGGGAGAGUUAAUGGGCCACAUGGGCCUAGGUGGGAAGAGAGAGGUGCGGCCAGGGUGGGCCGCGCGCCCCCUCUCCCUCUAGUUCGAAUUGGACUAGGAGGGGGGGCGGCGCCCCCCUUUCCUUCCCCCCCUCUCUUCCUUCCUUCCCCCUCCUAGUAGGAGUAGGAAAGGAGGAAUCCUACUCCUACUAGGAGGAGGAUUCCUCCUCCCUUGGAGCGCCCCAAGGGGCUGGCCGGCCUCCCCCUCCCUCCUUUAUAUACGAGGGCAGGGGGCACCCCAUAGACACACAAGUUGAACUACGGAUCGUUCCUUAGCCGUGUGCGGUGCCCCCUUCCACCAUAUUCCACCUCGGUCAUAUUGUCGCGAAGCUUAGGCGAAGCCCUGCGCCGGUAGAACAUCAAGAUCGUCACCACGCCGUCGUGCUGACGGAACUCUCCCUCGACACUCGGCUGGAUCGGAGUUCGAGGGACGUCAUCGAGCUGAACAUCUGCUGAACUCGGAGGCUCCGUACGUUAGGUGCUUGGAUCGGUCGGAUCGUGAAGACGUACGACUACAUCAACCGCGUUGUCAUAACGCUUCCGCUUACGGUCUACGAGGGUACGUGGACAUACACUCUCCCCUCUCGUUGCUAUUUCAUCACCAUGAUCUUGCUUGUGCGUAGGAAAAUUUUGAAAUUACUACGUUCCCCAACAUCUCUGCCUUCCACUGCAGCAAUUCCAGUACGGUACCGAGCUUUGUGUUGCCAUCUUCGCAAUUGGGGUACAACCCUUUUUUUUGGUCCUCUAGCAUGCGAUCGAACUUCAGCUUCUCCUUUUGACUUUUGCAUUGCGUCCUUGCAUCGACAAUGACCCGGCGGAGAUCAUCAUCAUCGGGCACAUCGUCUGGUUCCUCUUGAUCUUCAGCAGCUUCGCCUGUUGCAGCAUCAUCGUGCACAUCGUCUGGUUCCUCUUGAUCUUCAGGAGCAUCACCGUAUUCAGGGGCACAUAGUUGUCAUCGUACUCUUCUUCACCGUCUUCCAUCAUAACCCCUAUUUCUCCGUGCCUCAUCCAAACAUUAUAGUGUGGCAUGAAACCCUUGUAAAGCAGGUGGGUGUGGAGGAUUUUCCGGUCAGAGUAAGACUUCGUAUUCCCACAUAUAGGACAUGGACAACACAUAAAACCAUUCUGCUUGUUUGCCUCAGCCACUUCGAGAAAAUCAUGCACGCGCUUAAUGUACUCGGAGGUGUGUCUUGAACCGUACAUCCAUUGCCGGUUCAUCUGCGUGCAUUAUAUAAUGAAGUGACCAAAUUAAUAGAAGUUCAUCAUCACAUUAAAACCAAAGUACAUACAUAGUUCUCAUCUAACAACAUAAAGCUCUGCAGAGCAUCUAAAUUAAUUAAACCAUACACUGAAACUAUGUAAAACAUUUCAAUGCGAAAACAAAUGCAACCAUAAUCGCAACCAAUGUAACAACUGAUCCAACGGCAUAAUGAUACCAAGCCUCAGUAUGAAUGGCAUAUUUUCUAAUCUUUCUAAUCUUCAAGCGCAUUGCAUCCAUCUUGAUCUUGUGAUCAUCGACGACAUCCCCAACAUGCAACUCCAAUAUCAUCUUCUCCUCCUCAAUUUUUCUAAUUUUUUCCUUCAAGAAAUUGUUUUCUUCUUCAACUGAAUUUAACCUCUCGACAAUAGGGUCGGUUGGAAUUUCCGGUUCAACAACCUCCUAGAUAAAUAAAAUCUAUGUCACGUUGGUCGGCAUAAUUGUCAUAAACAAUAAAUGAACCAAUAGUUAUGAAAAGAUAAUAUAUACCACAUCCGAAUCAUAGACAGGACGAGGGCCGACGGGGGCGGAUACCAAAACCAUCGCACUAUAUAAGAUGCAAUAAUAAAAGUAAGAAAAUAAUACAAGUAUCUAUCUAAACAUACAAGUAAGAAUAUUUUUCCUUUCAGAAAGAAGAUAAGAACAAGAGGCUCACCACGGUGGUGCCGGCGAUGAGAUCGGCGCGGGUGAUCGACGACGAUGAAGACAAGGACGGGGCGUGACGGACCGCUAAACCUAGACAAAUAUUGAGGAAAAUGGAGCUUGGCGGUCGAGCUUGGAGGGGAGAAAGCUUAAGUAGUGUGGCUCGGGCAUUCCAUCGAACACCUCGUGUGCAUAGGAGGUGAGCUAGAGCACCACAAAGCUCUCCCCUCGCCGGCCACGAAAAACAGAGCACUGGGAGUGCUCUGCUCGCGAGCGGGGGGUAUAUAUAGGCACCACCAUUGGUCCCGGUUGGUCGCACGAACCGGGACUAAAGGUUGGCCUUUGGUCCCGGUUCGUGCCACCAACUGGGACCAAUGGUGGUGGGCCAGGAGCGAGGCCCAUUGGUCCCGGUUCGUCCCUCCAACCGGGACCAAAAGGUCCAGACAAACCGGGACCAAUGGCCCACGUGUUGGGUUUCGUAGUAAUUUCAAAAAAUUUCCUACGCACACGCAAGAUCAUGUGAUGCAUAGCAACGAGGGGAGAGUGUUGUCUACGUACCCAACGCAGACCGACUGCGGAAGCGAUGACACGACGUAGAGGAAGUAGUCGUACGUCUUCACGAUCCAACCGAUCAAGCACCGAAACUACGGCACCUCCGAGUUCGAGCACACGUUCAGCUCGAUGACGAUCCCCGGACUCCGAUCCAGCAAAGUGUCGGGGAAGAGUUCCGUCAGCACGACGGCGUGGUGACGAUCUUGAUGAACUACAGCAGCAGGGCUUCGCCUAAACUCCGCUACAGUAUUAUCGAGGUAUAUGGUGGCAGGGGCACCGCACACGGCUAAGGAAUAGAUCACGUGGAUCAACUUGUGUGUAUAGAGGUGCCCCCUGCCUCCGUAUAUAAAGGAGGAGAGGAGGGGAGGCUGGCCGGCCAAGGAGGGGAGGCGCAGGAGAGUCCUACUCCCUCUGGGAGUAGGAUUCCCCCCAAUCCUAGUCCAACUAGGAUUCCUCGGAGGGGAAGGGAGAGAGGGGGGCCGGCCACCUUCUCCUAGUCCUAAUAGGACUAGGGGAGGGGGAAGUGGCGCAGCCACCUUGGGCUGCCCCUUUCUCCUUUCCACUAAGGCCCAUGAAGGCCCAUAUGGCUCCCGGGGGGUUCCGGUAAUCCUCCCGGUACUCCGGUAAAAUCCCGAUUUCACCCGGAACACUUCCGAUGUCCAAACAUAGGCUUCCAAUAUAUCAAUCUUUAUGUCUCGACCGUUUCGAGACUCCUCGUCAUGUCCAUGAUCACAUCCGGGACUCCAAACAACCUUCGGUACAUCAAAAUGCAUAAACUCAUAAUGUAACUGUCAUCGUAACCUUAAGCGUGCGGACCCUACGGGUUCGAGAACAAUGUAGACAUGACCGAGACACGUCUCCGGUCAAUAACCAAUAGCGGGACCUGGAUGCCCAUAUUGGCUCCUACAUAUUCUACGAAGAUCUUUAUCGGUCAGACCGCAUAACAACAUACGUUGUUCCCUUUGUCAUCGGUACGUUACUUGCCCGAGAUUCGAUCGUCGGUAUCCAAUACCUAGUUCAAUCUCGUCACCGGCAAGUCUCUUUACUCGUUCUAUAAUGCAUCAUCCCGUAACCAACUCAUUGGUCACAUUGCUUGCAAGGCUUAUAAUGAUGUGCAUUACCGAGAGGGCCCAGAGAUACCUCUCCGACAAUCGGAGUGACAAAACCUAAUCUCGAAAUACGCCAACUCAACAUGUACCUUCGGAGACACCUGUAGUACUCCUUUAUAAUCACCCAGUUAAGUUGUGACGUUUGGUAGUACCCAAAGUGUUCCUCCGGUAAACGGGAGUUGCAUAAUCUCAUAGUUACAGGAACAUGUAUAAGUCAUGAAGAAAGCAAUAGCAACAUACUAAACGAUCAAGUGCUAAGCUAACGGAAUGGGUGAAGUCAAUCACAUCAUUCUCCUAAUGAUGUGACCCCGUUAAUCAAAUGACAACUCUUUUGUCCAUGGCUAGGAAACAUAACCAUCUUUGAUAAACGAGCUAGUCAAGUAGAGGCAUACUAGUGACACUAUGUUUGUCUAUGUAUUCACACAUGUAUUAUGUUUCUGGUUAAUACAAUUCUAGCAUGAAUAAUAAACAUUUAUCAUGAAAUAAGGAAAUAAAUAAUAACUUUAUUAUUGCCUCUAGGGCAUAUUUCCUUCAGUCUCCCACUUGCACUAGAGUCAAUAAUCUAGUUCACAUCGUCAUGUGAUUUAACAACAAUAUUCAUAUCUGUAUAUGAUUAACACCCAUAGUUCACAUUAUCAUGUGACCAACACCCAAAGGGUUUACUAGAGUAAAUAAUCUAGUUCACAUCUCUAUGUGAUUAACACCCAAAGAGUACUAAGGUGUGAUCAUGUUUUGCUCGUGAAAGAAGCUUAGUCAAUGGGUCUGUCACAUUCAGAGCCGUAUGCAUUUUGCAAAUAUUUUAUGUCUACAAUGCUCUGCACGGUGCUACUCUAGCAAUUGCUCCCACUUUCAAUAUGUAUCCAGAUUGAGACUUAGAGUCAUCUGGAUCGGUGUGAAAACUUGCACCGAGGUAACUUUUACGACGGGCUCUUUUAUCACCUCCAUAAUCGAGAAAUAUUUCCUUAGUCCUCACUAAGGAUAUUCUUGACCAAUGUCGAGUGAUCUACUCCUAGAUCACUAUUGUACUCCCUUGUCAAAUACUGAGCAAGGUAUACAAUAGUUCUGGUACAUAGCAUAGCAUACUUUAUAGAACCUAUGACUGAGGCAUAGGGAAUGACUUUUCAUUUUUUCUAUUUUCUGUUGUGGUCGGGAUUUGAGUCUUACUCAAUUUCAUACCUUUGCAACACAGGCAAGAACUCUUUCUUUGACUGUUCCAUUUUGAACUAUUUCAAAAUCUUGCCAAGGUAUGUACUCAUUGAAAAUCUUAUCAAGCGUCUUGAUCUAUCUCAAUAUAUCUUGAUGCUCAAUAUGUAAGUAGCUUUUACUGAGGUCUUUUCCUUUUAAAGAACUCCUUUAAAACACUCCUUUAUGCUUUGCAGAAAAAUUCUACAUCAUUUCUGAUCAACAAUAUGUCACUCGUAUAUACUAAUCAGAAAGGCUAUAGUGCUCCCACUCACUUUAUUGUAAAUACAGGCUUCUCAAAAAGUCUGUAUAAAACCAUAUGCUUUGAUCAACUCAUCAAAGCGUAUAUUCCAACUCCGAGAGGCUUGCACCAGUCCAUAGAUGGAUCGCUGGAGCUUGCACAUUUUUUUAGCACCUUUAGGAUUGACAAAACCUUCUGGUUGCAUCAUAUACAACUCUUCUUUAAUAAAUCCAUUAAGGAAUGCAGUUUUGAUAUCCAUUUGCCAGAUUUCAUAAAAUGUGGCAAUUGCUAACAUGAUUCAGACAGACUUAAGAAUCGAUACGAGUGAGAAAAUCUCAUCGUAUUCAACACCUUGAACUUGUUGAAAACCUUUCGCAACAAGUCGAGCUUGGUAGAUAGUAACACUACUAUCAGUGUCCGUCUUCCUCUUGAAGAUCCAUUCAUUUAACAUGGCUUGCUGAUCAUCGAGCAAGUCAAUCAAAGUCCAUACUUUGUUCUCAUACAUGGAUCAUAUCUCAGAUUUUAUGGCCUCGAGCCAUUUCGCGGAAUCUGGGCUCAUCAUCGCUUCUUCAUAGUUCGUAGGUUCAUCAUGAUCUAGUAUCAUGACUUCCAGAAUAGGAUUACCGUACCAUUCUGGUGCGGAUCUUACUCUGGUUGAUCUACGAGGUUCAUCAGUAUCUUGAUCUGAAGUUUCAUGAUCAUUAUCAUUGGCUUCCUCACUAACUGGUGUAGGUGUCACUGAAACAGUUUUCUGUGAUGAACUACUUUCCAGUAAGGGAGCAGGUACAGUUACCUCGUCAAGUUCUACUUUCCUCCCACUCACUUCUUUCGAGAGAAACUCCUUCUCUAGAAAGGAUCCAUUCUUAGCAACGAAUGUCUUGCCUUCGGAUCUGUGAUAGAAGGUGUACCCAAUAGUCUCCUUUGGGUAUCCUAUGAAGACACAUUUCUCCGAUUUGGGUUCGAGCUUAUCAGGUUGAAGCUUUUUCACAUAAGCAUCGCAGCCCCAAACUUUAAGAAACGACAACUUUGGUUUCUUGCCAAACCACAGUUCAUAAGGCGUCGUCUCAACGGAUUUUGAUGGUGCCCUAUUUAACGUGAAUGCGGCCGUCUCUAAAGCAUAUCCCCAAAAUGAUAGCGGUAAAUCAGUAAGAGACAUCAUAGAUCGCACCAUAUCUAGUAAAGUACGAUUACGAUGUUCGGACACACCAUUACGCUGUGGUGUUCCGGGUGGCGUGAGUUGCGAAACUAUUCCACAGUUUUUCAAAUGUACACCAAACUCGUAACUCAAAUAUUCUCCUCCACGAUCAGAUCGUAGAAACUUUAUUUUCUUGUUACGAUGAUUUUCAACUUCACUCUGAAAUUCUUUGAAAUUUUCAAAUGUUUCAGACUUAUGUUUCAUUAAGUAGAUAUACCCAUAUCUGCUUAAAUCAUCUGUGAAGGUGAGAAAAUAACGAUAUCCGCCACGAGCCUCAGUAUUCAUCGGGCCACAUACAUCGGUAUGUAUGAUUUCCAACAAAUCUGUUGCUCUCUCCAUAGUACCGGAGAACGGUGUUUUAGUCAUCUUGCCCAUGAGGCACGGUUCGCAAGUACCAAGUGAUUCAUAAUCAAGUGGUUCCAAAAGUCCAUCAGUAUGGAGUUUCUUCAUGCGCUUUAUACCGAUAUGACCUAAACGACAGUGCCACAAAUAAGUUGCACUUUCAUUAUCAACUCUGCAUCUUUUGGCUUCAACAUUAUGAAUAUGUGUAUUACUACUAUCGAGAUCCAACAAACCAUUUUCAUUGGGUGUAUGACCAUAGAAGGUUUUAUUCAUGUAAACAGAACAACAAUUAUUCUCUAACUUACAUGAAUAACCGUAUUGCAAUAAACAUGAUCAAAUCAUAUUCAUGCUCAACGCAAACACCAAAUAACACUUAUUUAGGUUUAACACUAAUCCCAAAAGUAUAGGGAGUGUGCGAUGAUGAUCAUAUCAAUCUUGGAACUAUUUCCAACACACAUCGUCACUUCACCCUUUAACUAGUCUCUGUUUAUUCUGCAACUCCCGUUUCGAGUUACUAAUCUUAGCAACUGAACUAAUAUCAAAUACUGAGGGGUUGCUAUAAACACUAGUAACGUACACAUCAAUAACAUGUAUAUCAAAUAUACUUAUGUUCACUUUGCCAUCCUUCUUAUCCGCCAAUCACUUGGGGUAGUACCUCUUCCAGUGACCAGUCUCUUUGAAGUAGAAGCACUUAGUCUCAGGCUUAGGACCAGACUUGGGUUUCUUCACUUGAGCAGCAACUUGCUUGCCGUUCUUCUUGAAGUUCCCUUUCUUUCCCUUUGCCCUUUUCUUGAAACUAGUGAUCUUGUUAACCAUCAACACUUGAUGCUCUUUCUUGAUUUCUACCUUCGUUGAUUUCAGCAUCAUGAAGAGCUUGGGAAUCGUUUUCGUCAUCCCUUGCAUACUAUAGUUCAUCACGAAGUUCUAGUAACUUAGUGAUGGUGACUAGAGAAUUCUGUCAAUCACUAUCUUACCUGGAAGAUUAACUCCCACUUGAUUCAAGCGAUUGAAAUACCCAGACAAUCUGAGCACAUGCUCACUAGUUGAGCGAUUCUCCUCCAUCUUUUAGCUAUAGAACUUGUUGGAGACUUCAUAUCUCUCAACUCGGGUAUUUGCUUGAAAUAUUAACUUCAAUUCCUGGAACAUCUCAUAUGGUCCAUGACGUUCAAAACGUCUUUGAAGUCCCGAUUCUAAGCCGUUAAGCAUGGUGCACUAAACUAUCAAGUAGUCAUCAUCUUGAGCUAGCCAGACGUUCAUAACUUCUGCAUCUGCUCCUGCAAUAGGUCUGUCACCUAGCGGUGCAUUAAGGACAUAAUUCUUCUGUGCAGCACUGAGGAUAAACCUCAGAUCACGGAUCGAAUCCGCAUCAUUGCUACUAACAUUUUUCAACACAAUAUUCUCUAGGAACAUAUCAAAAUAAACAUAUGAAAGCAACAACGCGAGCUAUUGAUCUACAACAUAAUUUGCAAAAUACUACUAGGACUAAGUUCAUGAUAAAUUAAAGUUCAAUUAAUCAUAUUACUUAAGAACUCCCACUUAGAUAGACAUCCCUCUAAUCCUCUAAGUGAUCACGUGAUCCAAAUCAACUAAACCAUGUCCGAUCAUCACGUGAGAUGGAGUAGUUUCAAUGGUGAACAUCACUAUGUUGAUCAUAUCUACUAUAUGAUUCACGCUCGACCUUUCGGUCUCUGUGUUCCGAGGCCAUAUCUGUAUAUGCUAGGCUCGUCAAGUAUAACCUGAGUAUUCCGCGCGUGCAACUGUUUUGCACCCGUUGUAUUUGAACGUAGAGCCUAUCACACCCGAUCAUCACGUGGUGUCUCAGCACGACGAACUUUGGCAACGGUGCAUACUCAGGGAGAACACUUCUUGAUAAUUUAGUGAGAGAUCAUCUUAUAAUGCUACCAUCAAUAAAAGCAAGAUAAGAUGCAUAAAAAGAUAAACAUCACAUGCAAUCAAUAUAAGUGAUAUGAUAUGGCCAUCAUCAUCGUGUGCUUGUGAUCUCCAUCUCCGAAGCACCGUCAUGAUCACCAUCGUCACCGGCGCGACACCUUGAUCUCCAUCGUAGCAUCGUUGUCGUCUCGCCAAUCUUAUGCUUCCACGACUAUCACUACUGUUUAGUAAUAAAGUAAAGCAUUACAUCGCGAUUGCAUUGCAUACAAUAAAGCGACAACCAUAUGGCUCCUGCCAGUUGCCGAUAACUCGGUUACAAAACAUGAUCAUCUCAUACAAUAAAAUUCAGCAUCAUGCCUUGACCAUAUCACAUCACAACAUGCCCUGCAAAAACAAGUUAGACGUCCUCUACUUUGUUGUUGCAUGUUUUACGUGGCUGCUACGGGCUUAAGUAAGAACCAAUCUCACCUACGCAUCAAAACCACAACGAUAGUUUGUCAAAUAGACUCCGUUUUAACCUUCUCAAGGACCGGGCGUAGCCAUACUCGGUUCAACUAAAGUUGGAGAGACAGUCGCCCGCAAGCCAUCCAUGUGCAAAGCACGUCGAGGGAACCGGUCUCGCGUAAGCGUACGCGUAAGGUUGGUCCAGGUCGUCUCGUCCAACAAUACCGCCGAACCAAAGUAUGACAUGCUGGUAGGCAGUAUGACUUGUAUCGUCCACAACUCACUUGUGUUCUACUCGUGCAUAUAACAUCAACAUAAAUAACCUAGGCUCGGAUGCCACUGUUGGGUUUCGUAGUAAUUUCAAAAAAUUUCCUACGCACACGCAAGAUCAUGUGAAGCAUAGCAACGAGGGGAGAGUGUUGUCUACGUACCCAACGCAGACCAACUGCGGAAGCGAUGACACGACGUAGAGGAAGUAGUCGUACGUCUUCACGAUCCAACCGAUCAAGCACCGAAACUACGGCACCUCCGAGUUCGAGCACACGUUCAGCUCGAUGACGAUCCCCGGACUCCGAUCCAGCAAAGUGUCGGGGAAGAGUUCCGUCAGCACGACGGCGUGGUGACGAUCUUGAUGAACUACAGCAGCAGGGCUUCGCCUAAACUCCACUACAGUAUUAUCGAGGUAUAUGGUGGCAGGGGGCACCGCACACGACUAAGGAAUAGAUCACGUGGAUCAACUUGUGUGUAUAGAGGUGCCCCCUGCCUCCGUAUAUAAAGGAGGAGAGGAGGGGAGGCUGGCCGGCCAAGGAGGGGAGGCGCAGGAGAGUCCUACUCCCUCUAGGAGUAGGAUUCCCCCCAAUCCUAGUCCAACUAGGAUUCCUCGGAGGGGAAGGGAGAGAGGGGGGCCCGCAGCCACCUUGGGCUGCCCCUUUCUCCUUUCCACUAAGGCCCAUGAAGGCCCAUAUGGCUCCCGGGGGGUUCCGGUAACCCUCCCGGUACUCCGGUAAAAUCCCGAUUUCACCCGGAACACUUCCGAUGUCCAAACAUAGGCUUCCAAUAUAUCAAUCUUUACGUCUUGACCAUUUUGAGACUCCUCGUCAUGUCCGUGAUCACAUCCGGGACUCCGAACAACCUUCGGUACAUCAAAAUGCAUAAACUCAUAAUGUAACUGUCAUCGUAACCUUAAGCGUGCGGACCCUACGGGUUCGAGAACAAUGUAGACAUGACCGAGACACGUCUCCGGUCAAUAACCAAUAGCGGGACCUGGAUGCCCAUAUUGGCUCCUACAUAUUCUACGAAGAUCUUUAUCGGUCAGACCGCAUAACAACAUACGUUGUUCCCUUUGUCAUCGGUAUGUUACUUGCCCGAGAUUCGAUCGUCGGUAUCCAAUACCUAGUUCAAUCUCGUCACCGGCAAGUCUCUUUACUCGUUCUAUAAUGCAUCAUCCCGUAACCAACUCAUUGGUCACAUUGCUUGCAAGGCUUAUAAUGAUGUGCAUUACCGAGAGGGCCCAGAGAUACCUCUCCGACAAUCGGAGUGACAAAACCUAAUCUCGAAAUACGCCAACUCAACAUGUACCUUCGGAGACACCUGUAGUACUCCUUUAUAAUCACCCAGUUACGUUGUGACGUUUGGUAGUACCCAAAGUGUUCCUCCGGUAAACGGGAGUUGCAUAAUCUCAUAGUUACAGAAACAUGUAUAAGUCAUGAAGAAAGCAAUAGCAACAUACUAAACGAUCAAGUGCUAAGCUAACGGAAUGGGUGAAGUCAAUCACAUCAUUCUCCUAAUGAUGCGACCCCGUUAAUCAAAUGACAACUCUUUUGUCCAUGGCUAGGAAACAUAACCAUCUUUGAUAAACGAGCUAGUCAAGUAGAGGCAUACUAGUGACACUAUGUUUGUCUAUGUAUUCACACAUGUAUUAUGUUUCCGGUUAAUACAAUUCUAGCAUGAAUAAUAAACAUUUAUCAUGAAAUAAGGAAAUAAAUAAUAACUUUAUUGUUGCCUCUAGGGCAUAUUUCCUUCACCACGUGGCCCGGCCGGCCCCCGGGGCUCAAGAACCAGGUCCAAUGCCCCCAUUGGUCCCGGUUUUGGAUUGAACCGGGACUAAUGGGCUGGACCGGCCUGGACCAUCGCCCCCUUUUCUACUAGUGUUAGUGCAUGGUGGUUAGUGAAGUUAGUGGAGCAUGGUGUGAGUGCGUGGGUCAUGGUUGAGUGCCAGACUUUGUAUAAAUUGUCAUUUGAGUCAAUGAGAAAAUGUAAGGCCGAGAGGGCCAGUGCAAAGAUGUAGCAUUUGUGGUAGCCAAGGGAGAUUAACUGGGCAAAGCUAUGUGUUCUUCCUUGGUCUAUGCGUGUGUGUGUUCUGUGUGUGUUCUCUCUCUGCGUCCUUGUGUUCAUGGGAGUGUUUUUGAGAGAAGCCAGAAGAGAGAGUUGUGAGAGGCAGCUCGAGGUAGAAGAAGGAGCGGUGCUGCUCCGAGAGGAGGCGGCGCCAACAAUUAUUGACGAAAGGGAUAUUAUAUUGCGCAAGGUAUAAUCAGACGCGUCGGGGAUGGAGCGACUACACACAUAUGGGAUCACAACUGGAUUAUGAGGGAAAGCUAUAAGAGGCCAAUAAAUAAGUUAGUGCAGAUCCCCCCUCAGAAACAUUUUAUGUAUACACGUUAACAUUUCCCAGAUAUAUGAUUAAUAUUUUUAGAAAACUUCUAUUUUUUAUGUGUACUUUUUAUACAUUUUGUAAUAUCAGAAAUAGUUUUUAUAGAAGGUUUAACAUUUUUCAAAUACAUGAUUACCUUUUUGUAAACUUAUAUUGUUUGACGUUUACUUUUUUCCAUAGACAUAGUGAGGGGUUAUAUCUAAGGAAUAGGCCCAAGUACAUGUAGGCACAACCAAAGGCCCAUGUUAAUCAAGGAUGUUCCACAAGACAAAUGGGAAAACACACCGGGGCUAAUGGAGCUACAAGGCCAAGGCAUCGGAUACAAGGGGAGAGUCAACUGUGUACAGUCAGAUUACACAACCCUUAACAGACAAGACUCAUCAGUUGGUCCACUAUAGGAAUCAGGUCAUUUGCCGUCAGCCGAGAACAGAUGCGAAGGCUUUGCCGUGAGCAAGUUGACGACAAACACAAUCAGCAAAGACUAUAUCAGCAAAGAGCUAAUUUGACGUCAACUUUUCAUCGCGCUGAUGACAAAGACUUUGCCGUCAAUUAAACUAUGUGUUUGUCGUCUGUAGAAAAAACACAAAUGGCAAAGAAAUUAAACAAAUGGUCAUUUUAUAAUAAUUUUUCGAAAUGUAUAUAGUGUAUUUUAAAAUGUUAAAUAUGUAUCAAGAAUUAUUUCAUAAAUAUACAGAAGAUGUACAACGUGUAUGAAAAUUAUGUAGACAUCAGAACAUAUUAUAGAAAUGUUAAUCUUGUAUUUAAAAAUGUUAAAUACACAUAAAUAAAAAUGUUUUUGAUGUACAUAAAAAAAUUGUACAUCGUGUGUGAACAAAGUAUGCAUUGAAAAAAAAAUCUUGUUGGAAAGAAAAUCUCGUGCUAUAUACGAAAAUGUAAAAGGUGUAUGAAAAUAAUUAGAUAUAUGCUUAACGAAAAAAAGGAAAGAAGGCGCAAAAAAAUCCGAUCAACACCAAGAUAGGAACAAGAAAACCUGAAGAAGACCAUUGAAAAAAAAGAAAAGAAUACAAGAAAGAGGAAAAAAAACAAAAAAAUGAAGAAGCUGAUGCAGAACAGGGAACUUGGUGAAAACGAAUAAAAAUUGAUGAAAACCGAGAAGAAAAACAAGAAAACUGAAGCAAAAAAAUAAUAAAAAUAUGUAAAAAAAUGAUGAAACAUUGCAAAACACUGAAAUACUAUGAAAACCAAAGGAAGAAAAGACUCAAAAAGAAGAACAUACAGCGAGCGAAUGAACAACAACUGAGUGAACGAGCGACCAUGCGAGAACACGUUAAUUGUCCGGCCCAUACUUGUGGACUCCAGAGGCGAGCCAGAAUAGGCGAGAUAUAGCUAUGACGAUUUGAUACCCUUCACAGCUUCACGAAUGCUAUAUCUCGCUCACAGCGAAAGUAUAUUUUGUCUGGCCUGAAGGUGCAAGAAUAGCAUCAGGUCGCUGUAAGGUUUGUGAUCCUACAAUGAGAGCUCCGAUAAGAUUAAAGUUCAUUUUUCUGACAACCUUUGGUCGUUCGUUCGCGCUCAGGUCGUCCGCUCACUCGAUUCCACGUACUAGUUUGGUUAUGUUGUUUUUUUCAUUUUGUUCUUUUUUUGUUUCUUCACUGGCUUUCUUUGGUUUUUAUAUCGGUUUUCUUUGUUUCCUUCACGUUUUAUUCCUGUUUUCCUUUUUACUGGUUUAUUUAUUCCUUUUUUUCUUUGUUUCUUUCUUGGUUUUCUUUGUUUUUCUUUCUUUUGAUGUCAAUCUUUUUACAUACGCAUUCAACAAUUUCCGUAUACAUCAGAAACAUUUUAUGUAUACACAUUAACAUUUCCCAGAUAUAUGAUUAAUAUUUUUGGAAAACCUCUAUUUUUUAUGUGUACUUUUUGAUACAUUUUGUAUAUAUCAGAAAUAUUUUUUUAGAAGGUUUAACAUUUUUUUAAAUACAUGAUUACCUUUUUGUAAACUUAUAUUGUUUGACGUUUAUUUUUUUCCAUAGACAUAGUGAGGGGUUAUAUCUAAGGAAUAGGCCCAAGUACAUAUAUGGCACAACCAAAGACCCAUGUUAAUCAAGGAUGUGGUCCACAAAACAAAUGGGGAAACACACGGGGGCCAAUGGAGCUACAAGGCCAAAGCAUCGGAUAUAAGGGGAGAAUAAGUGUGUACAGUCGGAUUACACAACACUUGACAGACAAGACUCAUUAGUUGGUCCACUAUAGGAAUCGAGUAAUUUGCCGUCAGCCGAGAACAGACUCGAAGUCUUUGCCGUCAGCAAGUUGAUGACAAACACAGUGAGCAAAGACUAUAUCGGCAAAGAGCUAAUUUGACGUUAACUUUUCAUCCGCUGAUGACAAAGACUUUGCCGUCAAUUAAACUAUGUGUUUGUCGUCUGUAGAAAAAACACAAAUGGCAAAGAAAAGCAUCUUUGCCAUCAGCAACUGAUUCACAUGUGUCGUCAGCCAGACUCGUCUUGUCACUAGCCUCAAACAUCACAGAUGGCAAAGAUUUUUUUUUAUUUUUAAAAUUCCGCGUCGACCACCCUAUCGCUCGUGCAGCCACCGCCUGGCCGCGCUCGCCUCCCUGCUCACAUGCCCUGCCAGCUUGCGCCGUUGCCAUCCGGCAGCGCUCGCCCGACCCUGCUCAUCGCCCGGCCGAGCUCGCCCGCCCUGCUCGGUCGCGUCGUCGGCAGCUGCCCUGCUUGCACACGUACCUGCCCAGCCUUGCUCAUACCGCCGGCCACCCUGCUCGCUAGAGAAAGGAAGGCGAGAGAGGAGGCUCGGGGGAGAAAGAAAAAACAAAGGAGAGAGAGAGGAUGCUACCACUGCCACAUCACCAAUACGCAUGAUCGAUCUGCAAGAUGUGCUCUCUCUUUUGCCGCCUCUGAUGGCAAAGUAUGUCUUUAUCGUCUAUAAUAAGAUUACAAACAGCAAAGUGAGCUCUUUGCCGUCUGUAAAAAAACGGACGACAAACAAACUUUGUUGUCAGCUGCCGACGGCAAAAAGUGCUCUUUACCGCAGCCUCGAUGAGAAGCUGAAGGCAAAGUGCCCCACAGACGGCAAAUUAGUUGAUUCCUGGGUGGUUAUGAGCAAGACAGGAGCAAUAACCCUAUCUACACUCGGUCAUCUGGAAGACAGGAGUAGUCGAACCAUCUAUAGUCGGCUACAUCUGAGGUUACCGUGACCCUUACGAUGCAUUCAUUAUCGCCGUUACUCAAUGGAGUAGUUAAAUACGUCAGUUAGCAAUAAUAAUAGCCACGAACAGUCAAUCAUGCAUGUGACCAUCAAUAGCAUUUAUACCAACCCAUUACGGCACUUCCUCCUAGCACACUCUAUAUAAGCCAGGAGUAGGACAUGAGAGUGAGGGAUGAACUCUCUCACAGUAUAACCUACGCCAAGAGCAGGAACACCACAUGAAUAGAGAUUACCUCCACCAACGUACUCCCAUCCGUUUUAUGUACCGAUCAAUGUAUAUAAUGGCUUCUACAUUCACAUCCCGUAGUAUUGUCAGGAUUAUAUCCACGACAGAAACUAUAUUUUGUUAUACAUCAAGAACAUUUUAUAUAUAAAUAUUUACAAUUUUUUAAAUACAUGAUUAAUAUUUUUUCAAACAUAUAUUUUGUAUGUCUCCUUUUCAUAAUCUUUGAUCCCUGGAAGUUUCAGAUUUUUUCCGAUUUGUUCUCAUUUUUUUAUGAAUUUACUGUUCAUGAGGGUGUAGGGGCACCCAGGAGCUGUUAGGCAUAAUAUUUCUGCUGUUGUUGUCAUCAUCAAGGGGAAUGAGAAGGGUUGAAGUUUUCGUUUUCUUUGAGGGGGAAAUCAGAGUUGGGGGCUGGAAGUGAGUGAUUAGGCCCAACAUAAGCGCUGUGUGUGUGUGUCUCGUCACGGGCACCAAAUUCGAACUGGGCUAUUGUUUUCUGAGAACCCAACGUCACAAGCCCAACCAACAGUCUGCCGAUCUGCAUCUUCCUCUCCUUGUCCAUCCUCCUCGUUGGCCGGACCGCCUCGAGCCACGGCCGCUCCCUGGCGCAGCGUCCUCCCCUUCCUCUCCACCCCCAAAUUCUCUUGUAUCCUCUUCUGAUCUCCUUCCUUACUUCCUCUCGCUGAUGGUCUCCACAAGAAGGUCUCCGAGCUCCUCGGAGGGUUCCGGCUGUACGUCGACGCAGCCUCUCCGACCUCCCCAUGAACAUGAGCUAUCGACCCUGAAAGCCUGUCUCUUCCAUGAUUCGAUUCACAUGAAUUCACGAGCCGCAUGAAUCAUGAAGGUCAUGGAGCAGAAUUCAGUCGUGUAGCCUGACAGUGAUGUACAUUUGUGGCUUUUCUGGCUAAAUAGCUCUGUACCCUAUGUGGAUGCCACUUCAAAUAAUCGUCAAAAUAAUUCUCCUGCACGCGUUAUACAAAUGGCGAAGAAGAAGUUCGCGUGGAACAUUUCGUUUCUUAUUGAUGUCCGAGAGAAAAGCUCCUAGGAAGUUCAUCCGCUCGGUGGAUUAUAAGUUUAAGUUUGUUACAACAUCCAAUCAUCCAUAUAAUCUCUGUGUUUCUUCUGUUUUCUACCAGUCAUAUAUCAUAUGUGCAUCAGAGGAAAAAUGCUUUCAGCAGUCAUGUUGGAGCGCGCAUACCAAGUUCCCACAUUGCAAAUAUGAUCCUAGCCAUUAAUAUGUUUCAUUCCACAUUUUCUUGAUCUAAUUUCUAAAUGAUUGGACAACCUGUUAUAGUCUUAUAGAAUUAUGAGCCGCCAAAUCCACAUUUCUCUUGGUCUAAUUUCUAAAUGAUAAUGUGCAGCAUCUAUCUCCUGGUGAACCUUUUUUUCUUGCGACUGUAUCUCCUGAUGAACCUAGUUUUCUCUAGGUAGCACAAUAAUUGUACUGGUUUGAUGUAAAGGACAUAAAUACAAGGGAAUAAAUUGGAAGCUUAUUUCAAAUUAACUAGCUAGUGGUGUUUGUGAAGUUCAAGAAAAAGCUGGUCUUUUUCUCGACAAAUAAUUUAACAUGCAAAGAAUCAAUAAAUGUAUUUGCAAGAAAGCAAACAUAAUUAACGAUAAAACUGGUUUAUUGUCACUGUAGACAACGGUAGUAGUUGGAACUAGAUACAAACCAAUAAAAAACAAGAUCUCAAAUCUCCAACCAAUAAAGAGUUCAACCCAAAUUUUACAGUAACACCAUUAUAUUCAAAUAGUGAUUAUUCCAACACAUGGAUAAUUAAUUAAGGCACCAGGUUGCCCUUGUGACUAGGAAAGACAAACUUAUGAACUUGCAAGCAUGGCAAUCAGAUCGACAUCCACACAAUGCCAAUAUGAACAUUGUCUUGAUACAACUUUAUUUUUAUUUUAUUUCAGAAUUUAAACAACUAGUAUGGGCGGGUCACACACGACAUUGUGUGACACUUUAUUUGUCACCGCUGCAUCGACAUAUCCAUCGACUAAACAACGGUGAUCCAACUAUAUAUUACUAGAGACCUUUCCUUAUUAGUAGGAACCAACUCCGGUGCCAACACCGAAUGGCACACUAGUGGUGGUUCUAUACAACGGCACAUUGACACGGCACAUCGUUGGCAGGGUACGGAGCGCAAUGGAAGUCAUCACCUCAAGCUGAGCUAUCUGGUGUGGCUGCAAAAAGGUACCUUGUGCCAAUUGUUGUUGUUGAGGUUGUUGCCCGAGUUGUUGUUGUGACUGCUGUUGGGGUUGGGAAACACAUUGGCCCAACUGUUGGGGUUGCUGCUGAGGAGUUUGGAUGGAACCCUGAACCUGUUGUUGUUCUUGCAGGAUGAUGGAGUAGAUGAUAGCACGGAUUGCCUCAUAGCGGGAUUGCUGGGGGAUUUGCGGCAACUGCUGGCAACAUUGUUGUUGCAUCACAUGGCAACUGCUCUGCUGCAACAUUUGCGACCUAGCAAGACUUUGUGGCAUUGCCACAGGGCUGCAUUGCUGCUGGAGGAAUACCUUGCAUGGGUUUAGCUGCUGCAAGAUAGAUGGAUGAACAAAUGGUAUUUGUUGUUGCGGUAGAACUAGUUGUUGUUGUUGCUGCGAAAAUGGUGGUUGUUGCGGUAGACUUGGUUGUUGUUGUUGCAAAAAUGGUGGUUGUUGCUGUAGUACUAUUUGUUGUUGUUGCGAAAACGGUGAUUGUUGCUGUGAAAAUGGUGGUAGUUGUUGCUGUGAAAAUGAUGGUUGUUGCGGUAGAACUGGUUGUUGUUGCUGCGAAAAUGGUGGUUGUUGUUGUGAAAAUGGUGGUUGUUGUUGCUGCGAAAAUGGUGGUUGUUGUUGUGAAAANNNNNNNNNNNNNNNNNNNNNNNNNNNNNNNNNNNNNNNNNNNNNNNNNNNNNNNNNNNNNNNNNNNNNNNNNNNNNNNNNNNNNNNNNNNNNNNNNNNNNNNNNNNNNNNNNNNNNNNNNNNNNNNNNNNNNNNNNNNNNNNNNNNNNNNNNNNNNNNNNNNNNNNNNNNNNNNNNNNNNNNNNNNNNNNNNNNNNNNNNNNNUGGUUGUUGUUGCUGCGAUAAUGGUUGUUGUUGUUGCUGCGAAAAUGGUGGUUGUUGUUGUGAAAAUGGUGGUUGUUGUUGCUGCGAUAAUGGUUGUUGUUGUUGUUGCUGUGAACAUGGUUGCUGUUGUGAAAAUGGUUGUGGUUGUUGUUGGAUGGGUUGUUGUUGUUGGUGGUGCGAUAAUGUUUGUUGUGGUGGUAAUGGUUGUUGCUGCGAUGGUCUCUCCAAACCAGGGAUGUGGCUAUUCUCCAUUUGUGCAAUGGCACUUGUCGCCACAAUGGCGAGGAGAGCAAAGAUGAGGAAGGUCUUCAUGGUGGAUUGGUGUUAACCAGUGUUGCUUGGUUUUGAUGCUUGUGCUUGUGAUGAUCUUUAUACUUCAUGCCUAUUUAUAGUAGCCCGGGCACCACCUCUUUUCUUCUUUGCAUUAGCUUUAAUAAUUCUGUUUGGAUGCAUCUAAAAUGAUUUUUGGUACAAUGUGUUAGGUUGCACUAGCUACACGCGUACUUUUGGAUUGAUCAUCAAAGUUGCUUUUUAGUUGUGCAUAUGAUCACACACAAAGUACAGAAACCUUGAUGUUUGGUACAUAUGACUCACCUUAUUCACUUUACAUGUCACACACUUAUCUGGAUAGUAUCACUUUUGCAACCGAGUUUGGAACCUUGUAUAGGCUGUCAUCCAUAAACAAGAAAGGCAAAACUUGUGUAGGACUAAGUUUGCAAUCGGAGGGUUCUUCUAGACUCGAUUUCUUUUCGUAAAACUAACUUUGUAUUUUUCCUCUAAGAUGAUAAGAUGAACCGACGCCUAUAGAGCAUGACAUGACUCAUCGAAUUCCCUUUACAUGUAAAGGAUGGUAAUUGCUUACAAGCUACUCCUACUAGCAUAUAUCCGGUUCCAAGCCUAGACACGUCAUCAUCAGUUUCGUCUAUUUUUUUAGAUAAAUCAUCAGUUCUAUCUAUUUGUGAAGGGUUUUUUUGGGGGGAAAUGAUAGUUUUUUUAUGCUAGGGGGGUUUUUUNNNNNNNNNNNNNNNNNNNNNNNNNNNNNNNNNNNNNNNNNNNNNNNNNNNNNNNNNNNNNNNNNNNNNNNNNNNNNNNNNNNNNNNNNNNNNNNNNNNNNNNNNNNNNNNNNNNNNNNNNNNNNNNNNNNNNNNNNNNNNNNNNNNNNNNNNNNNNNNNNNNNNNNNNNNNNNNNNNNNNNNNNNNNNNNNNNNNNNNNNNNNNNNNNNNNNNNNNNNNNNNNNNNNNNNNNNNNNNNNNNNNNNNNNNNNNNNNNNNNNNNNNNNNNNNNNNNNNNNNNNNNNNNNNNNNNNNNNNNNNNNNNNNNNNNNNNNNNNNNNNNNNNNNNNNNNNNNNNNNNNNNNNNNNNNNNNNNNNNNNNNNNNNNNNNNNNNNNNNNNNNNNNNNNNNNNNNNNNNNNNNNNNNNNNNNNNNNNNNNNNNNNNNNNNNNNNNNNNNNNNNNNNNNNNNNNNNNNNNNNNNNNNNNNNNNNNNNNNNNNNNNNNNNNNNNNNNNNNNNNNNNNNNNNNNNNNNNNNNNNNNNNNNNNNNNNNNNNNNNNNNNNNNNNNNNNNNNNNNNNNNNNNNNNNNNNNNNNNNNNNNNNNNNNNNNNNNNNNNNNNNNNNNNNNNNNNNGCCGCCACCGCUCGACAAAAAAGGUCACUUUUGUAGCUCCCCCGUCGAUUGCGGGCCGUACGUCGACGGCAGCCACUCCGACCUCCCCGUCAACACAAGGUAUCGAUCUGUUUCGUCUGUCUCUUCCAGCGAUUCAAUGCACAUAAAUCCGAGAGGCAGACCCAUCUCCAUGCUAGCUGCACGGAUCAGGAGGGUCAGGCAUCAGAAUUCAGCUGGGAAGCCUGACACUAAUGUACAUUUGUGGCUUUAGUAGCUGAAUAUAACUAUGUGUUUUCUGAGAAUUUCACUUCAAAAGUUCCAAUAAUCAUCAAAUUUCCGCCUAUGCGCGCUAAGCAGGUGGACCAUAUAUUUCUCAUGUCGACGAACGAAAAAACAAAACUCCACAACUAGAAGUCUAUGAUAUUGACACGGAACCGUGCUGUAGGGUCGCAAGUAAAAAUAUGAAAAGCAUGCCUAACACUACUAGGAAAAGGGCUAUAGAUGGAAUUGACACUAAUGACGCACCAGACAUGUGGUGCGCCAUUAGUAUAUACUAAUGGCGCACCAUCUUCUGAUGCGCCAUUAGUGUUGAAAUUACUAAUGGCGCACCCUGCCCACGGUGCGCCAUUAGUACCAAUUUUUUUUUGAACUAGUGCGCCUGUCCAAACAUACUAAUGGCGCAUCCGCUGGUGGUGCGCCAUUACUAGUUGUAACUAGUAAUGGUGCACCAGCCAGAGGGUGCGCCACUAAAGUUAUUUUUUUUAUUAUUGUUUUUAUUCCUUUUUUUGCAAAAGUACUAAUGGCGCACUCACACGCGGUGCGCCAUUACUAGUUCAAACUAGUAAUGGCGCACCGUGGCAGAGUGCGCCAUUAGUAUGUUUUUUUUUCAAAACUACUAAUGGCGCACCACCUGGUGGUGCGCCAUUAGUAACCUGGAUUACUAAUGGCGCAUUUGUUGCUGGUGCGCCAUUAGUAAGUGGGCAGCAACAAGAUAUUUUGGACAGCCUCUCCUCCCACACUCACUUUCUCCCCAUUUCAUUCUCUCCACCGCCUCCUCAUGUCUCGGGUGCCUCCUCUUUUUCACCUCAUUUCCACCAUAGAUUCAUUCAAAUUAAGUGGUUAAGUUACCUUGUUUUGCUAGGUAAGUAAGGGGGGAAGCUAUAUUUAUGUUGUUCUCCCUACAACAGUGUGCACAUGCACUUUUUAUGGCCUAGCUAGAUCUAUGUAUGUUCGUGGUGUUGCAUAUGUUUGUGGUGUUGCAUAUGUGUUUGUGUUUGAAGGUGUACCGGUAUUUGAAAUGCGAUAGUUGCCAAUAUUUUGCCGGAAUGUUGAUUCAUUUCCGUUUCGGCGAGAAUUUUGGCAUUAAGCAUUCUUUUUGGUCCUAUUUUUAGGGAAAGUCAUGCCAAAUUUUUUCUUGGUUCUAAAAUAUCGUUUUGCUCUACCCCGCAGGCGACCAUGGUCCGCACGAUGACCGAAGGCAUCGUGAAUAGGUUUUUGAGGUCCACGAAGGCCGAGAUGCUUCAAAAGAACGAGACGGAGAUAAGAUGUCCGUGUCGAAGAUGCAAGCUGAAUAGCCUUAUUGCGGACCCGGAUUCCGGGCAGGUGCGGGACCACCUGCUCUUGCGUGGUUUCAUGGAUGGCUGUCGGUGGCAAGGUGAUGAAGAUGACUACGAAGUCGUCCAUGGGGGCCGGGCAAGAAAUGAGGAAGGGCAGCAAGACAACCACCGCGGCUCGGGGGGGCGAGAAGAAGAAGAAUCCCCAGGAGAUGAUCACGACGGUGAUGUUGUACACAGUCAUCAUGUAGAAGAUGCAGGACAUGAUGAUGAUGCCGGCGGAGCAGACGACGCUGGACCAUCGAUGGGCUGGGUGCAGGACCCUCAUAUUCAAGAGCUGCUUCUCAAGCAGACGGAUAACGCAAGAGCUGCCGCCCGAGAGAAAGCCAAGAUGGAUCAACUUGAGUUAGACGCGGUUACUCCAUUGUAUGAAGGAUGCAGGCCCGAGGAUACCCGCCUGAAAGUAACACUCAUGGCUCUGGAGAUGAAGGUAAAACACAAAAUGACCGACGCAUGCUUCGACGAGAACAUGUCAUUCUGGCACGAACGUCUUCCCAAAGGGAACAAGUGCCCGACCAGUUUGGAGGAGGCGAAGAAAAUCGUGUGUCCUCUGGAUUUACCGCACGUGAAAUACCAUGUGUGCAUGAACAAUUGCAUCAUUUAUCGGGACGAGCACGCGGAGUCUACCAUAUGUCCGGUGUGCGGUGUCACUCGAUACAAGAAGGGGAAGAAAGCUCCUCGAAAAGUGGUGUGGUACUUUCCGAUCACUCCUCGUCUGCAGCGGUAUUUCGCGGACCCUAAGGUAGCAAAGCUCCUGCGUUGGCACGCGGAUAGGGAGGAGAAGAAGCGAGAAGAUGACGCAAAUGAUACGGAGAUAGAUAAAAAAGACAAGAUGCUGAGUCACCCUAAGGAUGCGAGCCAGUGGCAAGCGUUGAACUUCGAAUAACCAGAAUUUGGGAACGAUCCAAGGAACAUCGUGCUGGGCGCGAGCACCGGUGGAGUCAAUCCGUUUGGCAGCCAGAGAAGCACACAUAGCACCUGGCCUGUGUUUGUGUGGAUGUACAACCUUCCCCCCUGGUUGUGCAUGAAGAGGAAGUACAUUCACAUGAGUAUGCUAAUUGAAGGGCCGAAACAACCAGGGAACGACAUCAAUCUGUAUCUGGGGCUGCUGAAAGAGGAGCUUGACACGCUGUGGAAAACGCCCACCAAUACGUGGGACGCCGCAGAGAAAGAAUAUUUCCCUAUGAGAGCCGCACUGCUCACGACGGUGCACGACUAUCUCGGUUACGGAUAUCUUGCGGGGCAGGUAGUCCACGGAUUUUCUGGAUGCGUAAGGUGCAUGGAUGACACAACGUAUCGCCAGCUAGAUAGAGACGAUGACCCGUGGAGGAAACGCAAGGAUCUGUUCGAUGGUGAAACCAAACCCCGAAAACGCCCGUGUACGAGGAGCGGCGAGGAAAUAGACAAGCUGUUGAAAAAUCGGAAAGACUGCCCACUGCCGGGAAAGAAGCAAAAGGUGCCAGAGCCGGGAAAGAAGCGAAAGGCGCCAGAGCCGCUGCUGAAGCUAUGGAAAACGAGGUCUGUUUUCUGGGACUUGCCGUACUGGAAGAUCCACCGUGUGCCUCACAGCCUUGAUGUCAUGCAUAUCACGAAGAACGUGUGCGAGAGUCUGCUUGGUACCCUGCUCAACAUGCCAGAGAGGACCAAAGAUGGGCCGAAAGCGAGGGCAGACUUGAAAUCAAUGGGCAUCAGGCAGGAGCUUCACGCUAUAUAUGAUGAUGAUGAUGAUGAUGAUGAUGAUGAUGAGGCGAAGCAGGACACAGAAAGUCGUCGCAAAGGCAAAAAGGCCAAGAAGACCGGAAAUGACUACCCUCCCGCGUGCUUCACUCUAAGUCAGGAGGAGAUCGAGCAGUUUUUCACCUGCCUCCUAGGAGUAAAACUUCCUUACGGUUACGCGGGGAAGAUAAGCAGAUACCUAGACCCAGCGAAGCAGAAGUUCAGCGGGAUGAAGUCUCACGAUUGUCACAUGCUGAUGACGCAGAUACUUCCAGUUGCAAUCCGUGGGAUCAUGGACGCGCACGUCCGUGAAACGCUAUUUGGCCUAUGCAACUUCUUCGACGUCAUCUCUCAGAAGUCGAUUGGCAUGAGGCAACUCAGAAGGCUACAGGAAGAGAUCGUGGUGAUACUAUGCGAGCUUGAGAUGUACUUCCCGCCCGCAUUCUUCGAUGUUAUGGUGCAUCUGCUGGUCCAUAUAGUGGGGGAUAUCAUCCAACUCGGGCCGAUGUUCCUGCACAGCAUGAUGCCGUUCGAAAGGAUGAAUGGUGUCAUCAAAGGAUACGUUCGCAACAUGUCACGUCCAGAAGGAAGCAUAGCCAGGGGCUUUCUGACCGAAGAGUGCAUCUACUAGUGCGCGAAUUAUCUAGGCAUCGAGAACCCCGUUGGUCUGCCCGUCAACAGGCACCUCGGCAGGCUCGCUGGAUGGGGUCACCGUGAGGGUCGCCGCGAAAUGCAUGUCGACUUCGAGGGUCGACUCGCCGACUUUGAAAGAGCAAACCUAGUCGCGCUACAACACAUAGACGUGGUCGAUGCUUGGGUGGUAGAGCACAAAACCUUUAUUAAGAAGACGUACAAUGACCGAGGCCAACAGAGGACGGACGGAGAUAUACUCAAAGAGCACAACUCAUGUUUCACGCGUUGGUUCAAGCAGAAGCUUCUGUCGUACCCUUUACAUGAGGAUUCUUCCGCGGAAGAACAACUCAUAUUCGCCUUGUCACAGGGCGCCGAGCACAACCUGAUGACCUAUGAGGCGUACGAUAUCAACGGCUACACAUUCUACACCGAGGCCAAGGACAUGAAGAGCGAUGGUUAUCAGAACUCCGGGGUAACGAUGGAAUCCUACACCGGUAACGACAAGGACAGAUACUACGGAAGGAUCGAGGAGAUCUGGGAGCUGAGCUAUGCUGGAGAGAAGGUCCCGAUGUUCCGUGUCAGAUGGGCCAAGAACGUCAUAAAAGAAGACCGGUAUUUCACCACCAUGGUUAUACCCGGAGCCAAAUCCAAGACCGCGAGCGCAAACGUCACCGCGAAAAAUGAGCCAUGGGUACUGGCUUCCCAAGUGGACCAAUGCUUCUUCAUUACCGACCCGCCAAAGCCCAGUCGUGUUGUCGUGAGGAGAGGCAAAAGGAAGAUCAUCGGAAUGGAUGGAGUAGCCAAUGAGCAAGACUUCGACAAGUACGGCGACCCGAGGAUCGAACAUGACGACGAUGAUGAAGUAGCAGCAUACACCACAAGAAGAAGCAGGACCACCCUACCUAAAGGACGUCCGUUCCACAGAAGAACUCCAUUUGCGAAAAAGAAGGGCAAGAAGAUUGUGAACAGAUAGCUAGCUAAGAUCGAUUGUAUUUAAAUCGUAGCCUUCAUUUCUCGAUUGUAUUUCAUGGGUACUUUUUGAACUAUCAUGAAUAUUUUUAAAUUUAAUGGACACUCGAUCUCGAUCCCCCUCCAUCUCGAUCGCUAUCCCACCUCGCCAGAUCCGGUCCCCCUCGCCGCCAAGCACCCCCCCAGCCCACCGGCCGCCGCCGCCGACCCCCCGCACCCUCGAUUCCCCUACCCAACCGCCGCCGCCGACCCACCGCACCCCGCGCACCCUCCCCUGCUCCACCAGCAUUACUGUUUGAUGAUAUUUUUAAAAAAAUUAUUAUUGUCUUAUAAAAAAAUAUUACUGUUAUGAUUUAAACAAGUUUGAACAUAUUUAAACACAAAUAAGUAUCAAACAGGUUUUUAAAUGCUAAAAAAAAUUUGUGGAGCCUGGGAGUCGAACCCAGGACCUCCUGGUGUGAGAACUGGCUGCUGACCAGUCGAGCUAGUAGAGGGGACUUGAUGUGGAUCAAUUCUGGUGGUACAUAACCUGUUGGCUCGAGUUGAAAUAAAAAAAAUACUAAUGGCGCACCACGGUGAGGUGCGCCAUUAGUAUGGAUGUACUUAUGGCGCACCGAGGGGUGGUGCGCCAUUAGUAUUGUGCCCGAUCCCUUCCCUCUCCCCCUUCGCCCGAUCCCCCCUUCCCUCUCCCCCUUGCCAGUUCCCUCUCCCUCGAUCCACCGCCGCCGCCGCCGCUGCCCUGACCCACUGCGCCGCAGCCGCCCACGCGCCCCCGCCGCCUCCCUCUCCCCUUCCUCCCCCUCGAGCCCGCGCCGUCCGCCCAAACCUAACCCGACGCCGUCCGCCGCGCCCGCUCCACCGCCGCCGCCCUGCCUCUCCGCCCUCUCCCUCCCUCNNNNNNNNNNNNNNNNNNNNNNNNNNNNNNNNNNNNNNNNNNNNNNNNNNNNNNNNNNNNNNNNNNNNNNNNNNNNNNNNNNNNNNNNNNNNNNNNNNNNNNNNNNNNNNNNNNNNNNNNNNNNNNNNNNNNNNNNNNNNNNNNNNNNNNCGUCGCCCCGCCGCCCCGACACCACCGUCCGUCGCCCCGCCGCCCCGCCGCCCCUCUCGCAGCAAGGUAUGCGGCUGGUUCGUCCCCUGUCAUGGUUCUCUCUUCGUUUAUUUUCCUGAAAUCUCUGCUGUUCAUUGGCCGAUGAUGUCUUACAAGUAAAAUAUCUGGCAAACUUGUGCUGUAAACUGUACAUUGCUGAGGCUGUGGGCAACCUGUUCUUCUCUUUGCCAUACUAGUGCUUUUGUUCAUUGGCCGAUGAUGUCUCUGUUGGUUUACGUCCCCGGCAAAUUAGGUACCCGUGAACCAUUUAUAGGCCCAACUUUCUUACUCUCAAUGACCACAAUGUGCUUAUUUUGUUAGGAUUGUGCAUUUGCGCGAUUUGUGCAGUGCUUAUUUGUUGGCACCUCACCAGCUUUCAAAUUCAGCAUUUGUAACACAGUUCAAUUUGAUCUAAGGGCCUAUCUUGUCUCAUUUCCAACAUGUAAUAAACUUCCCCCGAGGCCAUAGAUGAGAAUACUUCUUUCAGUACAUUUUGCUGAUUUCUCACUGUUGAAUACUUCAUUUCUGUUUGCCUUUGGCCAAAGAUGCAUUCAGUUCUUUCUGCCCUUAGCGGUUUGAUUCAAGUUUGUCAGGUUCUGUUAACUAAAAAGGUUCAGAUUCAGAAACAUUGUUGGACUACUAGGAAGUUGGACUACUAGGAACAUGUUUAGAUUCAGGUUCUGUUAACUAAAAAAGUUCAGGUUCUGUUAACUAAAAAAGUUCAGAUUCAGAAACCUGUAAUUUCUACUUUUAUGCCUCUGUUACUCCAGUCAAAAUUUUAUGUUUGAUGCCCAUGGUAGUUGAGCUCUCACCUCACCUCACGCAACAUGCAUGAUGCCACAAUGUCUAGUAUGUACUGCCAAGCAACUGGCAAAUAAUUAUAACUUAGAAUAAAUAAAUCUGAUGUAAGAUAAGCAUGGCAUGAGCUUUAAUUAAAUAGCAUAAUACACGUUGGUAGUCCAUCUCUCUCAAAAAAAAUACAUGUUGGUAGCAGAAAAAAAUACAUGUUGGUAGCAGAAAUUUUUUUGAGCCCUUAUUAGCUACUCACACUAUUUGCCCCGCAGUUUCUCUGUCAUGGCUACCAAGUGAUUGACGGUGGGCUAGAAAAAUAAAACCACCAAACUAUCAGUAAAAGAUGUGAACCAACAUCUUUCAUUGUUAUGCAUAUCAAACACCAAGGGUUAUUUUCACUUAAAGUUUUAGAAUGGGUGCAUUACAAUUCAGUCUGAUAUCUAAUAAGACACUCUGGGCUGAUAUAAUUAUGGAACAGAACCAACCAUGAUAAAUAAAAGGUGAUGUUGUCUAUGCAUUACCAAAAAUGUAUCUUUGUGAACAAAUAAAUUGGUACCAACAGCAAUGCCAUCUUACUGUAGAAUUAGAAUACAUGGACAUGAUCAGCUCAGCUCCCAAACUGCCAUUCAUCACAUCAAUUUCCCCUUAUGUAACUCCAGUCAAAAUUUUAUGUUGGUCUACCUAGUAGAUGCCCAUGGUUUGAUUUUAUGUUUGUUCCUAUCAAUACAAAUGCUGAGCUAUGUUCCAUUUUUACUGUUCUUUGUGAUAGUUUUUGCAACUUUACUUCCCAUCUUAAGGCAAGCCCCAUUUUUACUGUUCUUUGUUAGCAGAGCUGCUUGUUUCUAAGAACUUUGAUACUAUUUGGAUCAAAGUUAAAUGAGCACAUAGAUGACAAAAAAAAGUUCAGAUUGUAAAAUGUUCAUUUUGCUGCUAGUGCCCAUUUUGAGUAAUUGCUUAGAGGGAUGAUCCUGUGUGAGCUGGUGGAGUGAUUUGUUUUCUACAUAAAGCUCUUUAGUCAGGCUGGUUUUCGUGAAAUACACAUGAAGCUUCACCAGCUCCUGUGGGUGUGGGAUCCAUGUGACAUGUGACAUUGCAUCCAUGUCCACCUGGGAUAAUGAUUUUGCAUGUACCCCGAGAGGCCCUUAAGUUUGCCGGAAUGUCGAUUAACUUCCGUUCCGGCAAAUUCGGGUACUCCAUAUGUCCUAUUUUCAGCAAAGGUCAUGCUGAAAUUUUCCGUGAAUUUUAGCAUGACUUUGCAAAAAAUAGGACAUAUGGGGUACUUGUGACUAAUGCAUGGGCCGGGGUAUCAUAGUAGUUAAUUAAGUAGGAUCAAGUGCCCCGGCGUACUUGUGACUGAUGCAUGGCUUUUAGGGUGCCUCGGUGUUGAUAAAAACCGAAAUGAUGAAAGCUUAGGCUUUUAGGGUGCCUCGGCGUCGAAAAACCCUCAAUGAUAAAAGCUUAGGUCUUAGGAUGCCUCGGUGUCGACAAACCCUAAAUGAUGAGACCAUGUCUUGUUCCUUGACAAUAACCAACUUUUUGACCAAACUUUGUUUCUAUUUAGAGAGAAACAUGGCCCACAACGAUGAGGCCGGGGGUUCGGGCGGCAAGGCAUUCUGGGAGCUGUCCCAGGAGAUGGAGGAACAACCUCACUUGUAUGAGGCCGCCGCCUUCCCCACCGAUCCUGAGACCACUGAUGGUGCCGCCGAGGAUGACCACACUGAUGCCACCACUGAUGGUGCCGCCGAGGAUGCCACCACUGAUGAUGGCAGCGCCCGCACAGAUGGCAGCCAACCGAAGAGGCAACGGAAGGACCGACGCCCGAUCGUGCUCCUCACCCUCAAGGAGGAAGUUACUGAAGUGGACUCCAACGGGUAUCCAACGGCGCCCGAACGAAUAGUCAAGGGGUACUCGCUUCAGCUCGGGUGCAUUGUCCGGAGCACCGUCUCGAUCAACACCGAGAACCUGAGGCAUCCUGACCGAGGGAAUUUGUGCCACCUCCUCUUCACGAAGCUGCACGAAUGAUACAAGUUCCCCGCUGAAUUUGCAAACAGAAGCCUCAAAGGGAAUAAAGUGAACAAUGCUGCCCUCACGAAGAUGAGCAAGGCCCUGUCUACUUGGAAAAGCAAUGUGAAGAAAAUGAUCGAUAAAGGUGAGAGUUAUCAGAAGAUCAAGGAGAAAAAUCCUUCGAUCACCAAAGAUGACUACAAUGACUUCAAGAUCAAUUGCUCGAGCACCGCAAGCUCCCAAUCAAGUGAGUGGGGGAAACAAAUGCGGGAGCUGAACAUAGGGGAACACACACUCGGUCCCGACGGUUACAGAGUGGCGGAGCCUAUAUGGGACAAGGAGGAGGCGGACCGUGCCGAGCAAGGCCUACCGCCCCUCUUCGAGAAAUACAGCGGUAACAAGCAGACCAGGAACUUUGUCAGGGCCCGGUACAAGAAGGACCCGAAAACAAAGGAGCUUACCACGGAUCCGAAGACCAGGCAGCUUGAGCUUGUUCUGGUAAGGAAUACACCCCCGCGUAAUUAGCUCCAUAUGGUUGCAUUCUAAUUAAUGAAGCCAAAUUUCUAAAUGGUUCACAUUCCUUCCGCAGGCGACUGAAAGCAGUAGCGCGGGGUCGACUAAGAGCAACCCUUGGGACACCACUCUAAAUAGGGCGAUGAAUGUAAUGAAGAAGAAGGAUAAGCUCAGUAAGCCGACGUCAGCUGGUCGUGUGGCCGGCAAAGGCUUGUCGACAAAAUGGGGGUCAUACUAUACCGCUGGUGUGCGGAAGGAGAAAAAGACCAGCUCGGAAAGCCAGGCGCGAGAGGAUCAAGAACUCAAGGAACAGGUGACGCGGAUUCCGGAGAUUGUCCAAGAGCAAGUGGAACAAUGACUCGGAGCGACGAUCACCGCCAUUGUGCCUACCUUGAUCUCGGGGUUGAGUGCGUGGAUUGCGGGCGGCCAACAGGGGCCGCCCCCGAUUCCUAGCUUCACGGCCAGCAACUCGCAUAAUGCGAUGGCGGGGCCAUUGGUGCCUCCGGCGGAGGCGGCAUUGGUGUCUCCGACGCCGGCACGGGAGCUUAAUGCACCCGGGUGUACGCCGGCCGGCACCUCUGCAGCAAGCGGCCCCUCCGUCAACUGCACGCCCGCCGUUGGCGGUGCGUCGACAUUAGCCGAGCUCGACGCCAUCAACACGGUAACUAAUUAAGCCUCUCUCGGCCGAGGACUUCAUCUCCUUGCCUUUGACUAGGCAUCCCUGACGCCCUACAUGUUUUCGCAGGGCGCCGCCGACGUUCCGUGCACUCUCCUCCACUUCGUGAACAACGAGUUGGUCGAUGUCGCCAAGGGCAAAAUCGUUCAACCGGCAACCCCUUGUUCCACGGUACCCAGAUGCCACCCAACUUGUUUAGGGUUCAACUGGUUCGGGUGUUGCCAGGCUGCGACGACUUGUUACCUCUGAUUCGACCCGUUGGGGCCGACGAUGAAGACGUGAUGACCCUCAGCGCCUGCCUGAGCUGGCCCCUAGUUUGGCCGAAGAGCCAGAUUCGUUUGGGGGCGGGGGACACCACCCCAAAGACAACACCGCCAGUCGUGCUGGUGCCAAGUCGGCCCCAUGGCAAGACCGCCGUAACGGUGCCGGACAUCCCUAUGCCACUGGAUCCAAACAUGCAUAUGGCACAGGAUCAGAAUGACGACGACAACGACGAUGAUACAUUUGGCAACGUCGAUCAGUACUUUGCCGAUCAUGGGUACGAUGGCGACUUCAUGGGGCCUCCUUCUCAAGAACCAAACCCAACAAAAGACGUGUGCGAUCUAGCUGGUACCGCAGAGAAGCCAAGUUGCAACAGGCGCCGUCUGGCGUUCAGCUCUCAGGAGACGCCUCCAGCUGCCGACUUCACCGAUCCUCAGAUAGGCGAGGUGCGAAAUAUUAUCAGCCCCAACACACUCAAGAAGGCGGUCUGUGAGCAGAACUCGGUCCCAUUACAGGAGAAGAAGAAGGCACGCAAAAGAAAGACUAAGAAGGGUGCGAGCCAGCCGGCACCGAGUACGAUCCGUGCUCAGGACGGGCCACCUUCACCGCAGGAUAUCUCGAGGAGGGUGCAUGUGGCGGGUAGGGCGAUGCUACCGACAAAUAUGCUCAAUGCUGCAACCGGUGCUAUGCGGAGUCUGCAUGACAGUGUUCUUGCUUUGGAGAAGCGGCGUCUCAGAGAGAAGGAUGUGGCAUACCCGGUUUUCGCGGCCAAGGUGCCAAAGGGCAAGGGCUUUGUGGAUAACUCCAUCGGGCGUACGAUCGUCCUGCGUUUUGAUGACAUCCACGCUAUGUUGAACCUUCAUCCGCUGCACUACACCUUCGUUCGGCUAUUUUCGCUGAGUAUGGAGAUGCGGAUCAUUCGCGACAAGACCCCGGACAUCGUGAUAGUCGACCCCUUCUACAUGCGUGCCAAGAUCUUGGGCAGCGCUGGGGACCGGCAAGUCGCGAGUUCUUACCUCGAAGGCAUCAUUCUGGCAAACCAAGAUAAGGAUAACUUCCUCGUGCCUUACUUUCCCGAGUAAGUCCUCCCCUCAACCGGCCCGUAACAUAUGAAUUCUUACAUUUCGAUCGUUUUUCUUUUAACAUUCCGUGUUUUUUGCAGUGACACACGUUGCACGCUCAUCCUCCUAAGCCCCAAAUAUUCCAUGGCCACAUAUUUCGACCCGGACUGUUAGUCGAACGUAGACUACACAAAUGUCAAGAAGGUUCUUGAUGAUGUUCUCCCCGGCUAUGCCAAAUCUGGAGGCACCUUCACCAGGCCUAAUCGUAAGUACGGCAAGCAUGUUUUCUCCCACAAUACGAUGUUCUACUGCGUCAAGCAGCCGCCUGGUGGUCAGAAGGGUGCCUACUACGCCAUCCAUCACAUGCGGGCGAUCGUACGGGACCAUCAUCAACUUCUGCUACCGAGUAAACUCAAAGAUUGGGCAAAGAGCGUGUCGGCAAUCGAGGACGCGGACCUCCGACAAGAAUUCUUUCGCAUCCAGUCGGAGUUUGCGGAAAUCAUCCAUCAAGAUGUCCUUCGUACCUCGGGGCAGUUCUACCUCAACAAUCAACCGUCCAAUAGUGACAUCGACAUAAUGCUACAAAUGCAGGCUGACAACGACCGUUAUUUCAUGACUCCCACGAUAGACGGCGGCUUCAUCCACGCUCCGGUCCCUUGAGUCGAGUCGAAAGCAGUGAUGCUGUGUCUAGUUCUGAAACAUCGAUUGGCUCAUGUUGUAAUUAAACUUUAAUGAACUUGUAGUAUGUCUCUUUGGUUUCGAGAGUCGUUCAACUUAGAUGUAAUCGAUGCUAUUAAUGUCUUGCUUUUCUCUUCCGAUUGUUCUGUUGCAUACUUAUAUAUUGCUUAUGUAUUGUCUGUGAAUUGGUACUAACGUUUCGUUUGGCUAGUGCAUAGCGAUGCCGACGUAUGUCGUGUACAAGGGUAAGGUUCCCGUAGUCUACGAUGACUGGGAGGAGUGUCGGAGACAGGUUCACCGAUUCAGCGGUAACAGUUACAAAGGGUACACCACUAGGGCCGAGGCCGAAUCUAGAUACGCCCGCUAUCUAGCGGGAGAGGGGAGGGAGCGUUGGAGGAACCGGAUGAAGACGAGUUUCAUCGUGAUGAUGCUCAUCGUGAUGACCGCAGCUCUCUUCUAUGUGAUGGUAGUUUAGAUGAUCGAUAUCGACUUGUAAUGUGAAGACAAACUCGCUACUCGCGGUCUCGAGACUUGUAAUAUAAUGUUCUAUCUUUGUUCGGUCUUUUUAAUUCGGAGACUAAUAUGAUGAAUUGUAUUCGGAGACUAAUAUGAUGAAUUGUAUUCAAAGACUAAUCUUCUAUUGUAUUCGAUGAAUCUGUUGUUGAUGUGUGCUGUCUAUAUUUUGUCAAAUUAUACAUUUUGUAACCUGUGCAAAAAACAGAAAAUAAAAAAUAAAAAAAACCUAAUAUUCAUACUAAUGACGCAUCACAUGAUAGUGCGCCAUUAGUAUGACAGUGCAUACUAAUGGCGCAUCACUGGGCAGUGCGCCAUUAGUAUGCCGCGGUUACUAAUGGCGCAUCCAGCGGUGGUGCGCCAUUAGUAUGCCAAAGCACCUGGGUAUACAUGGCCCCUGGGAGGCAUACUAAUGGCGCACCCUUGCCUAUACUAAUGGCGCACGCGCGGUGCGCCAUUAGUAUACCAGAUACUAAUGGCGCACCAGGUGGUGCGCCAUUAGUAAAAAUUACUAAUGGCGUGCUAUUAAUGGCGCACCACAGAUGCGCCAUUAAUGGCCAUUUUAGGUGCGCCAUUAGUAGGGGUUUUUCUAGUAGUGUAAUAAGCGAGAUGACGCAGUUCCUGACCGCCCCGCUACCACUACUGGUUCCAGCGUGGCGUUUGAAUUAUGCCGCGCUAGAUGCCUUUUGUCCAGCGAGGAACAAGUGGGGUCAAGCGUGCUUUGGCAAUUCCCGCCGUCAGAAGACUUCCUUGUAGUCCGGUGUAGAGGUGAGGUUGUAGGGAGAUGCAUCGACUAGGAAGGAGUGGCCACAUGAACGAGCAUAUGUAUGAUGUGAUUAAGUCUCUCGAUCGGGUAUCUGGUGCCUUACGUACGGUGUCUUAUUUUUGUCAAGCUAUGACAUCUUUCAGUUUGAGUGUCUGAUAUUAGGGUUGCAUACGUUUUGUUAUUCAGUUGCCUGUUGUCAACUCUAUGGUUAUAUCACCUCGAUGUGUGAGUCAAUGUGUUUGAACCAAUGUAGAGUUUCAUGUGAAUGUUACAAGUGUGAUUGAUAUCUUCAUGUUAUAACCGCAGUUGCCUUGGUAAGAAAUUGAAAGAGCAAACCGUUAUCGUGUUAGGAAAAAAGUCAUCGCUCAAUAUAAGUUGCUUCUCUAGAACAACCACACCUUUCCCUCAAAAAAAAGAACAACCACACCUUGUGAAAGAAGAUGGCAAACACCCAAUUAUGUCUGGUUAGAUAUGGGCAUGGCUAUGGGUAGCUUAUAGCGACACGGAAGCUAGCAUCGCCUGAAGAAACACCCGGAUGGGCCGGCCUAGAGACAAAUUUCUUCAUUUCUACCCUUAGUUUUGUUUUUCUGCCCUUUUUUCUUUAUAUUUUAUAUUUUUCCCGACAUGUUCACUACUUGAUGCUCAACUGGGAUCUCAUCUGAUGCGGAGCAUCCUAUGGACAUCACCAUGUCAAGAGUCCGUUCGGCAAGUGACACGUGUGACAUCUACUUCUCAUACAUAAAGGUGAAUCUUCUCCUUUACACGUGUUUACUUGACCCCUUCGAGGAUGGUAUACUACUUGACACUUCUCCCGUGUGCAUGCAUAGGUAUUGUCGGAGCUUCAUGGAUGUCGAGGAGGAGUGCAAGCGCCAAGGAAUGACUACACCGUCCGCGAGGGAAGCAUGGAAGAGAAGGAGGAAGAGAACCUGGCUACUCCAGAACGAGCGGUACUACUGCCCACUCCAAGCGGUACUACCGCCGAGGCCACCCAAGCGGCACUACCGCCCAGCAUCCGCCCUUCUACUGCUCAACCCGACAAACUCCAGUGAUCGAGCGGUGUAAGUCCGGUACUACUGCCCCUCCAAGCGGUACUACCGCUCAAGCGGUACUACCACCCAUGAGUCCGGUACUACCGCCCUGCCUCUGCCCAGCCGUGGGCCUUUGGCCUUGUAUCCCUCUCCCACUUACCCCUUCGUGGCUUAGACUAUAAAUAGGCCACCUCCACCUCCUUUCUAGGGUUAGCACAGAUUUAGCUCAUUUUGAGAUAGAGCUUUGCUCAUCCAUACGGAUCUACUCCUCGUGAGAGACCGCGACCUCUUCGGAGAAGAUCCAUCUUGGAUUCAAGACCCCCUCGUGGGAAGAUCCGUCUAGGAUACCAACAAGACCUCCUCUUGGAGAUGAACCUUACCUUGUAUCUUUCCCUUUGUUGUUCAUGUACCCUUGUGGAUCUUGUGUGUUUGAUUGUCUAGUGGAUGUGUGAUUGGACUUGUACUUGAGUGUUUCCCCUUGUGAUUUCUCUCCGUUCUUCCACGUGUUCUUCAUAGGGAUCCGCUCCAAACGUGAAAGAUCGGCCUCUAGGGUUCUAGCCUACAUCAUCUUGGAUCAGAGCAAGGUUGAUCACGGAUUUGGAGCCCCUACCCCUCUUUUUCUAGCCUUCUUUUGCUUGCUUUCGUCCUAAAAUCCCCACAAAAAAUAGCCCCAAUUUUUUUGUGAUUUGUUCGUUUGAUGAUUUUUUGUUGAUUUUGAUCCAUGGAUUUGCUUGGUUUUGAGUGGAUCUAGCAUCUCUCCAAGUUUCCCCACCUUCCAUCCACGAAAUCCAUCCAAUUUUGCCCCUGAAAUCAUCCUUUUCCGCCCCAAAUUCGCCCCGAUUUCGAUCUGUGAAUUUUCCCGACACGAGCGGUACUACCGCCCUCGAAGCGGUACUACCGCCCUCGAAGCGGUACUACCGCUGAGCACCACAAGCGGUACUACCACCCUCCCAAGCUAUGACGCCCGGAUAAUUAAGCUACAGUAAUCCCCUUCUAAUGGUGCCAUGUCAUCACAUUACUGUUGCUAAUCCUCGCUUGAUCCAAAUCUUAGUUCAAACUCAAAUUCAAAUUAAAGACCAAAAUUCAAAUUUCUCAAGCAUGCAAAAUAAAAUGUUCAAAGUGUGGCAAAUAAUCGCUGGAUAUUUGUCAUGUUGCAAACAACCUCUUUUGAAUUCUCAAAAUGCCCCUGGGAAUUAAUUUUUGGUCCAGUAGUAAAUUAAAUGGCAUUUGCAAAAUAAAGAAUUGUUUAUUUAACUCCAAUUGCCUCCAAACUUUAUGUGCCACUCCAAAAUAUUUGUGGCUCUGUCUAAGAUCGCCAAGGAAUUAAAAGGGCACUUCCCAUAUUUUCCCUAAGUAAAUAGUGUGCCCAAAAUAUUCUCUUAACCAUCUCUAUUUUUUUAAAUAAAAAAAGGCGAAGAAGAACUCCCCCGGGCCUCGGGCCACUCCCACUUACCAGCCCACCUAAGCCGGCCCACUCCCCCGCUCCCCUAGCCUAUAGGCCACGGCCGACCGAACCCUAACCCCGCAUGAUCCCCCCACUCCCCACUCCUCUCCCCUCUCGAUCCGAUCUGGAUCGGACCGAAACCGGCGCAAUUGGUCGAUCCAUGUAUAAAGUAAAAAUAACUAGGCCCAAUUGGUCGAUCCAUGACAGUUUUCGUGACGGUACUUCCACGUCUGUCAUGAGGGGGCUACCCUACUUGGCCCCAAAUGGAUCUUGCUAAUUGGUGACGGUUUCCGUGAUAGAUUUCUGGAACGUCACCAGAAAUCCGUCAUUGAUUAACAGAUUUCCGCACAAUCCCCCCACUCCCCACUCCUCUUCCCUCCUGAUCCGAUCUGGAUCGGACCGAAAUCGGCGCCGCGACGCCAACCGCCGUCGCUGGAGGCGUCCCCGACUCCACGCCGGGCCGCCCCGUCACUGGACCUCCUCCCCGUCGCCACUCGUCACUCGCUGGACCGCCUCGUCCCCACCAAUGCCGCCCCCACCCCAACGUCCCCGACGCCUUCGCCGUCGGCACCGCCCCAAUGUCGCCGCCACCCGACGCCGGCGCCCUCGACAUCGCCACCCCGAGCCCACUGCCACCCCUACGCUCCGCUAUGAGCCCCUCGCUGAUUCCCCCUCCUUCCCGUCGUCGUAGGUGGCUGCGCGCGUCGUUGGCCAUCGUGGCCGCGCUCCGGCCGUUCCCCAUCCGUGCGCUGGCCUCGCCUUCCUCGGAUUGCAAACAUUGAACUUUUCCCCUCGGGUUCAUCUAUCUGACAGACGUUCGGGACCAGAAAAACUUUCCCGGAUGUUUCCCCCUUCGCCAGUAUCACCUAGCACCGCGUUAGAACACUUCUAGCCCCGCUUAUUGUCUUGUUAUGCAUAUGUUUGCGUGUAUUUACUGUUUCUUCCCCCUCUUCUUCUCCGGUAGACCUCGAGACCGUUGCUGAUGCCCCUGUGGUCGACUACGUCGACGGCGACCCUCCUUGUCUGAGCAACGAGGCAAGCCCCCCCUUUGAUCAUCCCGAUAUCGCCCAUUCCAUUCUCUAAUGCUUGCACUAGAUUUUCUACUGUAUUUGAUUGCUCCUAUUCUGAUGCAUAGCAUGCUUUUCUACCUGCUGUUGUACCUUACCUGCUUAUCCUAAACUGCUUAGUAUAGGUUGGCUAGUGAUCCAUCAGUGACCCCCACCUUGUCUUUGUUGCCCCUGCUUCAUCAUUGACGACUCGAUCAACGUGAUCGACGACCGGAGCCUGACACCUCACAUCACAUCACGCCCCUUUUUGUUGCUCGACUCUGCAGAGUUACCAUCGAGUGCCGAGGGUGGAACCUCAUACAUCACUCCUUAUGAGAUCUCUGUAGUGUAGCUAUUCGGUCGUGGUCAUCGAGGGUGGUUCCUCCUUCACCAUUCCUAAUACGGCUCUGUCGUGCAACACCUCAAGUGUGAACCUCGAGGGUGGUUCCUCUUACGUUCACCUUGAUGAUUACAUCGAGUGGAAUCCACCGGGGGUGAUUCCUCGGAUUUUCCCCUUUAUGUCUGGACACACAGUUACCUUGACUUCACUUGAGACCGUUUUGAAAGCCGGGCAGGCCCGGAGAGCACCCGUGCGGUGUGACGGUGGCGGCUGGCUGUUUAGCGGUAUCACCCGGGAGGGGGUGAUAGCUCCGGACUUGUCCCGACAGCCGUCACUUCUUUUAAUAAUGCACUAACAGGUUUGGGUAUUUUUUCUAAGUUCACUAACCACGACGCUAGAAUAGUUAUGGGUCUCGAUGUUGCAGUAUCAGCCGAAGCUUUCUCAGACGUCCAGUUCAGCAUUGUGGCCGGGCCGAAUCAUGCCAUCCACUUCACGGGUGGUGCUGGUAUCCCCUUGCGCACAACGACCCAGAGUGCAACGGGCGAUGGGCCCAGACCCCGGAGUGCUUAGGAUGUAGACCGGCAGGGACCUCUCUGCUGAGCCUAGGUAGGGCAGCUACGUGUUGAUCUUCCGAGGCCGGGCAUUGACCCCAGAAAGGUGUGUCCUUCCAGAGUGAUCGAGCGUGUUGGGUAACGUGGUGCCCCCCUGCAGGGAAGAUUAUCUAUUAAUAGCCGUGUCCACGGUAACGGACGUUCAAACUUAUAUCUUGAUCUUAUACAACUACAAAUGGAUACUUGAGAUAUGUGGCUCCGGGAUUGCUUUCUCGCAGGGAGUCGAGGAAGGAUCUCUGGGCGUUGUUGUCACAACAUGCUUGUUAAUUAAACUGCUAUUCUUUACUCUUCUACAUGCUGCAAGAUGCUUGGAGCUACUUGAAGAUGCUAGUCUUCAUGAGGCUAGGCCUUCCCCUCUAUUCUGGCAUUCUGCAGUUCAGUCCACAGAUACAACCCUUCCAUUUGAUACCAAUGCAUACUUAGUAUAGAUCUGAUGCUUGCGAGUACUUUGGAUGAGUACUCACGGUUGCUUUGCUACCCCAUUUCCCCCUUCUUUCUUCUUUCCGGUUGACGCAACCAAAUGGUGGAUCCCUGGAGCCAGAUGCCAGCGCUGAUAGAUGCUACUAUGUGAAGAUCGCCGACGACCAGGAGUAGUUAGGAGGUCCCAAGCAGGAGGCCUUGCCUCUUCGAUCAUUGUUGCUUUUGUGCUAGCCUUCUUAAGGCAUCUUUGUUUAACUUAUGUCUGUACUCAGAUAUUGUUGCUUCCGCUGACUCUUGUGUAUCGAGCUAUGUAUUCAAGCCCUCGAGGCCCCUGGCUUGUAAUAUAAAGCUUGUAUUAUUUUGAUUUGUGUCUAUAGUUGUGUUGUGAUAUCUUCCCGUGAGUCCCUGAUCUUGAUCAUACACAUUUGCGUGCAUGAUUAGUGUACGAUUGAAUCGGGGACGUCACAAGUUGGUAUCAGAGCCGACUGUUUGUAGGAUCCCCCUUUCCAACUCCUUGGCUGAAGUUGAGUCUAGUCUUUGAAAAAAAUUGUUUUACUAACAUGGUUGUGUGGCUUACGGGCCCAUGUCGCCAUUGGGUGGUAUUAGGAUCUUUUACUCCUCGACCUUUACUCUGGGACUCUAAUCGCUCUUCUAUUCGGGUUAAAUGGUCUCGCAAACUAUAACUCUAGGUUCUCGUAAAUACUUUCUCCCGGAGAGCCCCUUCAUUCCAGAUGAUGGCCUGCUUCACCAGAUGAUUUCGAAGAUACCCUUCUGUAAUUUCCUGAGACUUUUGUACUCAUUGCUUUUGCAGUUCCCUACCUCUGAUAUAUCCUUACGGAUAACUUCAUACACUUGUCAUUCAUACAAUCAUUCCUAGUUGCUCUUGUUUUUACAAGAUACAUUGAAUUAUUCUCCGACUUUUAAGAAUCCCUUGCUUACUGCCCUGCAGUUCCUUGCCGCAUGAAUACCCCUACGGAUAAUUACUCGCACUUGCCGAGUAUCCGUUCGUCCAUAGUUGUUCAUGUGUUUCACAACAUUCUUUGGAAAGCUAUUUGAUCUUUUCAAAAAUCCUCAGUAGCCUAUUACUCUUGUUCCUCCUUACCUACUUACAGUAUGGUUACUUCCAUUUGUCUAGCAAUAUUCUUUAAAAUCCUUUGCGAUUGACAUCCUUACCCUAUUGUUUCAACAUGUGUGUGAAUGCACGCAAUCAUCAAUUGUUCCCUGGAAUUGUCCUUCUGGCUCAGACGUUACCCCGGACACGAGCUGGUGUUCGACAAAACAAACCUUGAUUGAUUUUGAAUCUAUGUCUAUACAACUUAAUUGUCUUUGAUCAGAGCCUCUGCUUUUGAUCCCCCAUUUUGAAAAUCAUAAUCCCCUUUGCAUUCGAGCAUAGAAUUAGUCAGUUGUUUCUAUAACCUGACCUCCUUGAAUUCUUUCUUCUUCUGGUUGAGUAUCGAUACUCACAUCAGAUCCAUUGUGGACCUCCAGGUCCUUUGUUGGUUUUUAUCCGACAGCAUCCUUCAUAUUCAGUAACCUUGUGAGCCUUUCCUCGAAUACACAAUGCCUUUGGUAAAUUGUAUCCCCCACUCUCGUCAACCAUACUCUGCUUCCGGGCUUGAGUUAUUUACUCGUGAAGUUUGUGGUAUAUGUUCCUAAUAUGUCCCUAUGGGUUGAAUCUAUGUCUUCCCUAAAUCUGUGUGAACCCUACGACUCAUACUCUACUGGUGUUAUGCCAGAUAAAAUCUCAACAGUACGGCUUCGUUGAAAAUGAGAAGUGAAUGAAAGGUUAUGCAUCGAAGAAGUGGGAGUCGACCUUGAGCCUUGUGUUCAUGCCCAUGGACACGAUGUGGAACUUAACAUGGAAGCUUCUUUUUAUAAUAAUAGCCCCCUAGCGAUAAGUACAUCUUGUAUCCAUGUGUGGUCCAUUGCAAUCGUGGUUCCGACCAUAUUGUUCUUGUUUGAUCCAUUUAUCGGACAAGUUAAAGUACUUGUCUUCUUCAAAUUGUUUCACAUGUUCAACCUCUACAUUGAUAUACCUUCGAGCAUUAUCCUCUGGUAUCUCGAGAAUAUCACGGAACUACAUAACUUCUUAUGAGUUCUUGAUCAACUAUUAUUUCUCACUGAUUCAAAUUUUUCACUAGUUGGGAGUUGUUAGACACUCGAGAAUACAGUUAACUGAUUCAAGUCUACGCUUUCCUUUCCAUUGUUCUGUUUAAUCUUUCUGGUAACCUAUCUUAUCUGAGAACUGAUAAUUCCCUGCUUAUGUAAACACCUCGGUGUACAAGCUCUGUCUGUAAGACCUUGUUACUAUUGUUGAGGACAUUCCGAUAGCUACCGAUGGACGAGAACUUUGCCUAUUGGUCCGCCUCAUCUUAACGAGCAGGAAAAUGGUUCUCUUUGUCCCUCUCCCUUGGUACCAACGUUGUUGCCAACAUAACUGACAAGUUGUCCUCUGACCUGCCUUGCUAUCAUGACCAUGCAAAAUGCUAGCGCCCUUCCUGCUUUUAACCCACAAGGUGGGCCUGAGGGAGUCCUGGACUAGGCGGUGUCCGGACAGCCGGACUAUCAUCGUCCGCCGGACUCCAAGACUACGAAGAUACAAGAUUGAAGACUCCGUCCCGUGUCUGGAUGGGACUUUCCUUGGCGUGGAAGGCAAGCUUGGAAAUACGGAUAUGUAGAUCUCCUACCAUUGUAACCGACUCUGUGUAACCCUAGCCUCCUCCGGUGUCUAUAUAAACCGGAGGGCUUUAGUCCGUAGGACACAACAUACAUUACAACAAUCAUACCAUAGGCUAGCUUUAGGGUUUAGCCUCCUUGAUCUCGUGGUAGAUCCACUCUUGUACUACCCAUAUCAUCAAUAUUAAUCAAGCAGGAUGUAGGGUUUUACCUCCAUCGAGAGGGCCCGAACCUGGGUAAAACAUCGUGUCCCUCGUCUCCGGUUACCAUCCGCCUAGACGCACAGUUCGGGACCCCCUACCUGAGAUCCGCCGAUUUUGACACCGACAUUGGUGCUUUUAUUGAGAGUUCCUCUGUGUCGUCACCAAUAGGCUCGAUGGCAUCUUCAACCAACAACGCUGUCCAGGGUGAGACUUUUCUCCCCGGACAGAUCUUUGUAUUCGGCGGCUUCGCACUGCGGGCUAAUUCGUUUGGCCAUCGGAGCAGAUCGAAAGCUACGCCCCUGGCCGUCAGGUCAGAUUCGGAAGUCUCAACUUCACGGCCGACGUCCGCGGAGACUUGAUCUUCGACGGGCUCGAGCCACAGCCAAGCGCGCCGCACUGUUACGAUGGGCAUGAUCUAGCUCUGUCGCCGAACAGUGCCUUGGUGGCCGCCCACGAAUCCGCUUCGGCCUUUAGUCCGGGGCCGAUCGCCCAGACCGAGGAACGGUGGAUGGACACCGCCUCGGGGGCUUCAACUUCCACGGCGAUGGAGCCGAACACUAAUCUUGUCCCUCGCAAAACUCGUGAUUCCGAGGUGCCGGACUCCUUGCCGGACUCCGAAGCUCCCACGCCCCUACCAACCGAAUCGGAUUGGGCGCCGGUUAUGGAAUUCACCGCCGCGGACAUCUUCCAAUACUCGCCUUUUGGCGACAUCCUGAAUUCGCUAAAGCAUCUCUCGUUAUCAGGAGAGCCCUGGCCGGACUAUGGCCAGGAUGGUUGGGAUACGGACGACGAAGAAAUUCAGAGCCCACCCACCACCCACUUUGUAGCCACUGUCGACGAUCUAACCGACAUGCUAGACUACGACUCCGAAGACAUCAACGCUAUGGACGACAAUGCCAGAGACGAACAGGAACCAGCGCCUACAGGGCACUGGAAGACCACCUCGUCAUAUGACAUAUACAUGGUGGAUACCCCAAAAGACGGGGACGGCGAAGAAACAGCGGAGGCAUAUUCUUUAAAGAAACAGCCCAAGCGCCGGCAUCAGCGGCGCUGCUCUAAAUCCCGCCACGGCAAGAAUGGAGAUUCCAGCACAGGAGAUAAUAAUACCCCAGAAAGUGCCGAAGAUAACCCCCUCCAGCAAGACUCAGCGCAGGAGGAUGCAGAAGCAAGCCCUCACGAGAAGGCGGCAGACAAAGAGGUUGAGGAUUACAACUAUAUGCCUCCCUCCGAAGACGAGGCAAGCCUCAACGAUGACGAAUUCGUCGUGCCCGAGGAUCCCGUCGAACAAGAGCGUUUUAAACGCAGGCUUAUGACCACGGCAAAUAGCCUAAAGAAAAAGCAGCAGCAGCUUCAAGCUGAUCAGGACCUGCUGGCCGAUCGAUGGACCGAGGUCCUCGCGGCCGAAGAGUAUAAACUCGAAUGCCCCUCCAAAAGCUAUCCAGGACGCAAGCUGCUCCCCCGAUUAGAGGAGGAAGCAUACAUACCUCCAUCACCAGCGCACGAUACGGCUGACCGACCACCCCGUGGUCGUGACAGAGAGGCAUCCAGGCCCCCAACCAAGACCGUACCCCGGCAUCGCUCGAAAAGUAUGAAGCCAAGAGGGAACGCGCCGGACUUGCGAGAUAUAUUGGAGGACAAAGCAAGGCAAUCCAGAUCCAUCUACGGAUCACGGGGGUGCCCCACGACCCAUGACGAAUACCGUCGCGCCGGAUACAAUAACCCCGGCCGGGCCGAACACAGCAGACAACGCUCUCUCGAGUUGCAUCGUGAUAUUGCUCAAUAUAGAGGCGCCGCACACCCGCUAUGCUUCACAGACGAAGUAAUGGAUCAUCAAAUCCCUGAAGGGUUUAAACCCGUAAACAUCGAAUCCUACGAUGGCACAACAGACCCUGCGGUUUGGAUCGAAGAUUACCUUCUCCACAUCCAUAUGGCCCGCGGCGACGAUCUACAUACCAUCAAGUACCUCCCACUCAAGCUUAAAGGACCAGCUCGGCAUUGGCUCAACAGCUUGCUCGCAGAGUCAAUUGGGUGUUGGGAAGACCUAGAAGCCGCAUUCCUUGAUAACUUCCAGGGCACGUAUGUGCGACCACCAGACGCCGAUGACCUAAGUCACAUCAUUCAGCAGCCAGACGAAUCGGCCAGACAAUUCUGGACACGGUUCUUGACAAAGAAAAAUCAAAUCGUCGACUGUCCGGAUGCAGAGGCCCUUGCAGCCUUCAAACAUAACACCCGCGACGAAUGGCUAGCCCGGCACCUGGGGCGGGAAAAGCCGAAAUCCAUGGCAGCCCUCACAUCAUUAAUGACCCGCUUUUGCGUGGGAGAGGAUAGCUGGCUAGCUCGCAGCAACAAUCUCCGUAAAAAUUCUGGCAGUCCAGACACCAAGAACAAUAAUGGCAGGUCACGUCGAAACAAAAACAAACGCCGCAUCAACGGCAAUGAUAAGGAGGAUACGGCAGUCAACGCCGGAUUCCGAGGCUCUAAACCCGGUCAACGGAAGAAGCCAUUCAAAAGAACCACUCCGGGUCCGUCUAAUUUGGACCGAAUACUCGACCGCUUAUGCCAGAUACAUGGCACCCCUGAAAAGCCAGCUAAUCACACUAAUAGAGACUGCUGGGUGUUCAAGCAGGCAGGUAAGUUAAUUGCCGAAAACAAUGACAAGGGGCUAAACAGCGAGGACGAGGAGGAGACCCGACCGCCGAACAAUAGAGGACAAAAGGGUUUUCCCCCACAAGUGCGGACGGUGAACAUGAUCUACGCGACCCAUAUACCCAAUUGGGAGAGGAAGCGUGCACUAAGGGACGUCUAUGCGAUGGAGCCAGUCGCCCCGAAGUACAAUCCAUGGUCCUCUUGUCCGAUCACUUUCGAUCGAAGAGACCAUCCGACCAGCAUACGCCAUGGCGGAUUCGCCGCAUUGGUUCUAGACACAAUCGUCGAUGGAUUUCACCUCACGAGAGUCCUGAUGGACGGCGGUAGUAGCCUGAACCUGCUUUAUCAGGACACAGUGUGCAAAAUGGGCAUAGACCCCUCAAGGAUUAAACCUACAAAGACAACCUUUAACAGUGUCAUACCAGGUGUGGAAGCCAACUGUACAGGCUCAGUCACACUGGAAGUGGUCUUCGGAUCCCCGGACAAUUUCCGGAGCGAGGAGUUAAUCUUCGACAUAGUCCCGUUUCGCAGCGGCUAUCACGCUCUGCUCGGACGAAUCGCGUUCGCAAAAUUCAACGCGGUGCCGCAUUGUGCAUACCUCAAGCUCAAGAUGCCAGGCCCUCAUGGAGUCAUCACGGUCAAUGGGAAUACGGAACGCUCCCUCCGAACGGAGGAACAUACAGCGGCUCUCACGGCAGAAGUACAGAGCAGCCUUUUAAGGCAAUUCUCGAGUCCGGCCAUUAAACGGCCGGAUACAUCAAAGCGCGCCCGAAGCAAUACCAACCAAGACCACCUGGCGUGAUCAGAGCACGCGUAGCAAUGCGGCCCCAACCCCCGCCCGCGCGUGAUUGCAAGAAUAACCCUCCGCGUACAUCAUUACGCUUUGGAGAUACCAUGGGCGCAGGGGAAGGGGCACGAUCACAACGGACCCAGAGUGCAGUUCGACCGCACCAGGGGCUCGCAAGUGUGCCCCCUUUUUUUUAUUGUUAUUUUCCCUCUUUGUGUACACAGGACUCCGUUAGCCAGAGGCCCUAUCCGGCGGUGAACCUGCCGAACUCAUGAUGCAAUAACCAGGGAAGAAAGAACGCUGCGACGAACACUCAGGUGGUCUCAAUUACAAGCAUUAAAUUCGAUUAUAUACACCAAGUCCGCAGCUUACCCUUGGAGGGGGACAUGUUUAAUUAGUCCAAAUCCCUUGCUUACCACACUAUUUGUAUCAGUCCGCACUCAUAGCAGACUUUCUUUCAUAAAUAAUGCAGCACCUUUUUGACUGCAAUUACAUUACCUUUUAUAUAUAUAUGCUCAUUACAUGACAUCUUGCACCCGUAUAUUUUGGUACGGCCUAAUACACCAGGGGCUUAUGUUCCCCACAUUAUGGUGUGAUAAGUCCGAACACUUUCGUAAGUGCAGCACCCCGAACUUAUAGCACUAUAUGAAUCGGCUCCGAAUCAUGUCUUGGGUCAAUAGUUGGGUUUGCCCGGCUCCCACGUUUUGGUGCCUUACGUUCCGUUCUGUCGGCUAAGGUGGCACUGGGAGAACCACUGCGAUUGCGCCCCGGUUGAGCCGGGCGAGCACCUCAGUGGAGAAAGCUAAAACUGACCGGCAUGAUAAGGCGAGAGACUGGUCGCUGUUCGAGAGGUUUUUUCGGGUCCUUAAAGACUCACGCCACUUCGAGCGAAGUUCCGGACCAUGUCUGACGAAGGCGUGGAUAGCGCCCCGGAUUCGGCCUUUCGGAUACCAGGGGCUUCGCCGAAAUUUAAAAUUAUAGAAUUCUAUGGCUAAGUGAGAGUGUUCAAGCAUUAUAAGUCCGGUCGCCUUGUUCGUUGUGUUGAGCACCUCCCUAGAUGGACCCAAAAAUGGGAAUAAGAGUGCUCAAGUUUAUCCCGAACACCCCAGCACUCGUGGCUCGGGGGCUGAAGCCAAUGACUUUCCAUCUCUCAGAUUUUAUAAACGGCCGCACAGAAGGUAAUAUUUUAAAUUAAAACAAGCGUUGCUCAUGGCGCAUCUGAACGAAGUUUUCAGCGCACAGGAUAAUACAUAGCGAGUUCACUCAAAGAUUACAUUUCUAGGGCACUCAUCCGCAAUAUCGCGGGCUCCCUUCAGGACAGUUUUAUAAUACAUUUCAGGCGUGCGAUACUCCUUGCCCGGCGGCGGUGGGUCUGUGAGAAGCUUCUCCGCAUCCAACCUGCCCCAAUGCACCUUUGUGCGGGCAAGGGCCCGACGAGCACCUUCAAUACAGGCGGAGCGCUUGAUGACCUCCACCCAGGGGCAUGCAUCCACCAGCCGCCGCACGAGGCCGAAGUAGCUACCAAGCAUGACCUGUUCAGGCCACAGCCGGACUAUAAGGCCCUUCAUGGCCUCUUCAGCUACCUUGUGGAGUUCGACCAGCUGCUUCAGCUGGUCGCUUGGGGGCACCGGAUGGCCUGCCUCAGCGUACUAAGACCAGAAGACCUUCUCCGUUGAGCUCCCCUCCUCGCCACGAUAGAAUGCGGCGGCAUCGGAGGCACUACACGGCAGAUCUGCAAACACCCCUGGAGAGCUCCGAAUGCGGGUAAUUGUCAGGUAGUUUACAUUAACAUGCUUGCUUUGCAUGAAAAAUGCCUUACCCGCCGCUAUCUUCUUUACAUCUUCAACCUCCUGAAGGGCCUUACGGGCCUCGGCCUUGGCGGACUUGGCACUUUCGAGAGCCGAGGCAAGCUCGGACUCUCGAGUCUUGGAGCCUCCUGCUUUUCUCGCUCCGCCCGUUCCGCGACCGCACUGCGUUCAGCCGCGGACACAGCCUCCUUCAGGGCUGCCACCUCGUUCGUGGCCCCUGCAAUACCCAUAUUAUCCUUGUUAAUUUUAUUGCAACCAAAAUCCUUUUCCGUAAGGUGACUAUUCAAAGCGGUGUUACUCACCUUCUUUGUCCUCGAGCUGCUUCUUGGCAGUGCCGAGCUCUUGCUCGGACCGCUCGAGAUCCUGCUUCAACACAUCGACCUCCGCCGUCAGUGCGGCAGAGGUCAGUAGCGCAGCCUGCAAACCCAUAUUGACAUAUUUUAAGCAACCCUGCGUAUAUCUUGUUAGAUCCUCAGUCCGGCUUUUCUUUCCGAACACCGAACUGAGCAUCAAGGGCUACUGUCUAUGCGGUAUUACAUUACAUAAUUUUAACUUCUUACCUCAAAGCCUGUUAGAAGGCUGCUGCAGGCUUCGGUCAGCCCGCUCUUGGCGAGCUAAACCUUUUGAAUCACCGCACUCAUGUUAGUGCGAUGUUUUUCCUCGAUGGAAGCGCCUUCAAGCGCCUCCAACAAGUUAUCCGGCGCCUCCGGUUGGACGGAGGUCGCCGGUGUCAAGGUCUUGCCCUUCUUUCGAAGGGGCCGCCCGCCGGACUCUAGAACCACUGCGGGUUCCGAUGUAGAGUCCGGCACAAAGUCUGGGAGGCAGCCUGACGACGCCUCCGGAGCCUCCUCCUGAUGGGUCCCUCUCUGGGAUCCCACCUCGGCGUCCCCGUCGGCGCGGGGGGUAGAGGCGGUCGGAAGUGAAUCCACAUCUAACGGGGCCAACGACCCGCUCGAUGAAGCGGGGAGAUCAUCAUCGGCCGGACUACGGACAGAACGCGGCAUUAGAAGGACACUACGCGACACGAAAGAAAUUGCAUAUCAUGGAUCCGGAUACUUACGAUCUUGUCGGACGCCUGGCCCUUGGAGGCCACUCAUCCUCGCCAACGGUGGUGUUGGCGAAACUGUCCGGGGGGAUAGUCCUCCCCCUCUUGGACCCUUCGGCCUCCCCUAUUGGGAAAGCCUUCCACUUCUUCUCUCCCUCCUCCGAGAGAGAGUCCUCUUCCUCCUCCUCGUCUUUGGGGGAGGAGUCCGCCUCGUCGUCGGACGCCUAAUUGCGGGAACUCUUUCGAGUCCCCGCGGCCACCUUCUUGGCCUUCUUCUCCGGCACCACGUGCGGUGCCGGAACCAGCAGCCCUGCUAAACGGGCGUUCUCUGGGUCUUCAGGCAUGGGAGCCGGGCUGAUGAGCUGCUUGGCCUUCUCCAUCCAUUCCUAUCAAAGGAAAAGAGAGAUUGAAACCCUCUUAGAAUCAGUUUAAUUACCACAAGUGUCCCGUAACGUGGUUGAAUCACUUACCUCGUCAGCCGGAUGCUGCGAGCGAAAUCCGUGAUCUUCCGUCGCGGAUGCGGGGGCUUCGGCGCCCUUAAACAGCACCCUCCAGGCGCCUUCGUAUGUCGUAUCGAAGAGCCCGCUCAGCGCCUGGUGCUGUUCCGGAUUGAACUCCCACAGAUUGAAUACCCGUUCUUGGCAUGGGAGAAUCCGGCGGAUGAGCAUGACUUGGACCACGUCGACGAGCCUGAGCUUAUUGCUCACCAGCUUCUGGAUGCAGGCUCGGAGUCCCGUCACCUCCUUCGGAUUUCCCCACAGCAAGCCCUUCUCUUUCCAGGAGGUGAACUGCGUGGGGACGCCAGAUCUAAACUCGGGGGCCGCCGCCCAUGUGGGCUUGCGCAGCUCGGUGAUGUAGAACCAACCCGAUUGCCACCCCUUGACGGAGUCCACGAAGGCCCCUUCGAGCCAAAGGACGUUGGGCAACUUACCCAACAUGGCGCCUCCGCAUUCCGCUUGCGUGCCCUUCACAACCUUCGGCCUCCCCUAUUGGGGAAGCCUUCCUCUUCUUCUCUCCCUCCUCCGGGAGAGAGUCCUCUUCCUCCUCCUCGUCUUCGGGGGAGGAGUCCGCCUCGUCGUCAGACGCCUGAUUGCGGGAACUCUUUCGAGUCCCCGCGGCCACCUUCUUGGACUUCUUCUCCGGCACCACGUGCGGUGCCGGAACCAGCAGCCCUGCUAAACGGGCGUUCUCUGGGUCUUCAGGCAUGGGAGCCGGGCUGAUGAGCUGCUUGGCCUUCUCCAUCCAUUCCUGUCAAAGGAAAAGAGAGAUUGAAACCCUCUUAGAAUCAGUUUAAUUACCACAAGUGUCCCAUAACGGGGUUGAAUCACUUACCUCGUCAACCGGAUGCUGCGAGCGAAAUCCGUGAUCUUCCGUCGCGGAUGCGGGUGCUUCGGCGCCCUUAAACAGCACCCUCCAGGCGCCUUCGUAUGUCGUAUCGAAGAGCCCGCUCAGCGCCUGGUGCUGUUCCGGAUUGAACUCCCACAGAUUGAAUGCCCGUUCUUGGCAUGGGAGAAUCCGGCGGAUGAGCAUGACUUGGACCACGUCGACGAGCCUGAGCUUAUUGCUCACCAGCUUCUGGAUGCAGGCUCGGAGUCCCGUCACCUCCUUCGGAUUGCCCCACAGCAAGCCCUUCUCUUUCCAGGAGGUGAACUGCGUGGGGACGCCAGAUCUAAACUCGGGGGCCGCCGCCCAUGUGGGCUUGCGCAGCUCGGUGAUGUAGAACCAACCCGAUUGCCACCCCUUGACGGAGUCCACGAAGGCCCCUUCGAGCCAAAGGACGUUGGGCAACUUACCCAACAUGGCGCCUCCGCAUUCCGCUUGCGUGCCCUUCACAACCUUCGGCUUGACGUUGAAGGUCUUGAGCCACAGGCCGAAGUGGGGCCGGAUGCAGAGGAAGGCCUUGCACACGACGAUAAACGCCGAGAUGUUGAGGAUGAAGUUCGGCGCCAGAUCGUGGAAAUCCAGGCCGUAGUAAAACAUGAUCCCCCGGACGAAUGGGUGGAGUGGAAAGCCCAGUCCGCGGAGGAAGUGGGGAAGGAAGACGACCCUCUCAUGGGGCCCAGGGGUAGGGAUGAGCUGCCCCUCGUCGGGCAGCCGAUGCGCGAUAUCGCCGGAAAGGUAUCCGGCGCUGCGAAGCUUGGUGAUAUGCUCCUCCUUAACGGUGGAGUCCAACCAUUUGCCUCCCGCUCCGGACAUAUUCGGAGAAGGUCGGGGCGAGAUGCGCGAGCUUGGGCGUUGGAGCUUGAGUGCACGGAGAUGGAUAAGCAAAGGAGGAAGAAGGCGUAGGUGAGAAGGUAAAUCCUUAUCCCUUAUAUAUAGGCGGACGAAAACUAUGCGUCCCCACCGGCCUGAUAAAACUCGCUUAUCUCCCAAGCGCCACCAUCAAUGGCGCGGUUGGGUUACCCACGUCCGUAUUGAUGGGAAUCCCGGAAUAAGGGGAACACAAUCUCUGCUUCGACAAGACGUGCCAAGGAAACCGCUUCGCUAAACGUGCUGAGGUGGUAUAGUAAAAAACGAUUCAAACAAAGGCUUGGUAGCGGUGUGAUGUCACGCCGCAUAAUACGUCAGCAGAUUGGACUGGUGUACAUUUUAUUCUCUCUACGGUGGAAUGUGGAAUUUAUUUUGCAGAGCCGGACACUAUCCUGGUGUUCAUGAUCUUCUCUGGAUUAUUCAAGGGAGGAACCCGCCUUGCAAUGCCGAACAUUAUGCGCGCCGGACUUAUCGUCAUUGAAGCCUGGUUCAGGGGCUACUGAGGGAGUCCUGGACUAGGGGGUGUCCGGACAGCCGGACUAUCAUCGUCCGCCGGACUCCAAGACUACGAAGAUACAAGAUUGAAGACUCCGUCCCGUGUCCAGAUGAGAUUUUCCUUGGCGUGGAAGGCAAGCUUGGCAAUACGGAUAUGUAGAUCUCCUACCAUUGUAACCGACUCUGUGUAACCCUAGCCUCCUCCGGUGUCUAUAUAAACCGGAGGGCUUUAGUCCGUAGGACACAACAUACAUUACAACAAUCAUACCAUAGGCUAGCUUUAGGGUUUAGCCUCCUUGAUCUCGUGGUAGAUCCACUCUUGUACUACCCAUAUCAUCAAUAUUAAUCAAGCAGGACGUAGGGUUUUACCUCCAUCGAGAGGGCCCGAACCUAGGUAAAACAUCGUGUCCCUCGUCUCCUGUUACCAUCCGCCUAGAUGCACAGUUCGGGACCCCCUACCCGAGAUCCGCCGGUUUUGACACCGACAGGGCCCAUAACCCACAGUUCCACAGGAUCGAAACCUGACUCAUGUACAUCCCUGUUUUUCAAAGUUGUUCCUCGCGCUUGGAUUCGUAUGUAAUUCACGAGCCACCUUCCUUGUGAUCUGUUCUGGUAUCAGAUGCAAUACUUAUUCCCAUUGCUCUAAACCCCUUUCACCUUCUUACCUUGCUCUCGAUGACUAUCCUGAAUUCCAACUCAAGAGAUGCCUCUAUGCCAUGUUGAGGUACCUAUCUUGUGUUGAGCUCCAUCCCUCCCGAGUCUUUCCCCCUUACUCACCCCUUAAAUCUCGAGACGAUAUUUCUUGUAGUGGAGGAGAAUUGUGACGCCCAAAUAAUUAAGCUACAGUAAUCCCCUUUUAAUGGUUCCAUGUCAUCACAUUACUAUUGCUAAUCCUCGCUUGAUCCAAAUCUUAGUUCAAACUAAUAUUCAAAUUAAAGACCAAAAUUCAAAUUUCUCAAGCAUGCAUAAUAAAAUGUUCAAAGUGUGGCAAAUAAUCCCUGGAUAUUUGUCAUGUUGGAAACAACCUCCUUAGAAUUUUCAAAAUGCCCCUGGGAGUUAAUUUUUGGUCAAGUAGUAAAUUAAAUGGCAUUUGCAAAACAAAUAAUUAUUUAUUUAACUCCAAUUGCCUCCUGUCGUGGGAAACGAACACCUAUGGGGCAGGGCCCCUUUUCGGUCUGGCAAGGGAGCGGAGGGCACACGAAGAGCAGAUCGAGGCGAAGCACGCGGGGGAAUUUUACCCAGCUUCGGAGCUCUCCGGAGAGAUAAAACUCCUACUGCUGCUUUGUGUUUCUAUUCUGUUCUUGCUCAAGAGUGUGGGUGUGUUGUAGUUUCGAAUGAGUCGAACCCCUUCUACGUGCGCAUGGGCCUCCUUUUUAUAGUCUAAAGGGGUCACCGACAGGUGGCAGCAUAGAGAGAGGGGUAAAAAAGUAAAAACGCGGGUUGGUACAACCGCUAUCAACAGUGCCCCCUACCUAACUCUGACAGCAGGGGACAAGGGCAUUUAAUGCCCAUCCGGUCGCCCAAACAGUGCAGGAAGUGACCGUUAGGGGCGCCACCAAUCGCCACGAUGGCCUCCUAGUCAUCUUCACUUGCCACCUCGCACCGCUUGGCUGCACAGCUACCCGCCACGUGCACCGGGAGCGAUCCUGCGGCGACACGUCAUCGGAUGCGCUGGAGCAUGGGCGCAGAGUUGUGGCUUUGCCGCGGCAAGCGCCUUGCCGCGGUCACUAUCUUGUUGCACCCGCAAGCUUGCCGCUCGCCGGGUCUUGGUUGGCCUUCCCGGCAAGAUCCUCCUGCCGGGGUCUUGUCCUUCCCGGCAAGCUUCUCUUGCCGGGGCUUCGUCUUCACAGUUAACACUUUGUUCUUGAAUGGCAGUAAAUAGGAAUGACGAAGGAUCUUGGCGGACGCCCGGCAAGCCUUGCCGCAGGACGCUGCGCCUGCCCGUGCACAAGUUCGGGGUACUAAGGUACCCCUACUUUAGUACACCGACUGGAGCCCCCGGGCCUGGGCCAUACACGGUGCUGAGCGCUGUUGGGCCAGGCCCAAAACAGGACACGGGCACGCGCGGCCUGGGUCCUAACUAAAUCCACUCCGUAUCCACCGCGUCCUCCCGUAACGGCACGCGUCAAUCGCGGCGUCGUGGGAGAGAUCGUGGGUGGAAGACGUUCGCGCGUAUCCACAGCCUGAUGGAGGGGUUUACCCUCCAUUUUAAGUUAAUGGAGGGCGAUCUCCUCUCCGUCAAGGUCUUCGGGUGCUUCGACACUCGGGCGAAGUGCUGCGUGGACAGCUCCUCCGAUAGCAAAGGCUCCCCCUCGAGCGAGAGCGACAAGGAGGAGAGCAACAGCGAUGAUGAGGGUAGCGGGCGGCGGGAUGGCGGGCCCGACUAGGUGUCGGGCGCCGCUUCGUGCGUCACCGGUGACCCCAUCAUCCGUGUCGCCGGCUCCUUGAACUCCCCGGGGUCGUCUCCUUGGGCGGCUGGCGUAGGGAGGCUGCGGAAGGGGAAGAGGGCUGGCGACAAGGCCGUCAAAUCGGAGUACGAGGGCGUAGUGCCCUCGACAGCGUGCUGACGUCCUGCCGCCCCAUCUUCGAGCCCCGCUUCCAGCGCCGCCAUCACCGUCCGGCCUUCGGACGGCCCCCGGGAUGUUCUCUUGGUGUCUUCGCCUAGGCGCCUCUUUUGCCCUUUUCGCCUCCUUGACCUACAUCCUGAAGAGAGGGACAGGAAAGGGAUUACGGGCAUCUUAUCUUUUUAAUUUGUAAGCCUUCGGGCCCUAGUCGCAUCUAAAACUUGUAACCCUCUCUUUCAUGUUUUUCAUCCUCUAUGGACUGUACCUGAGUGUGAUGUUUUUUUAAUGAAAAAGGGAUGCUUGCCGGGUUAUUUGUCUCAUGGGUUGAACCCACGCCAAGGAGCAAAUCCUUGGUAUCCCUCGGACAGGCAUUUCAUCUCCCGCCAACAGGCCCUGCCGCCUUCCCACGUCGCUCGACCUUUCUCACGCCUUUGACGGAGGCGGGAACGAGGUGGGUGCGGCCUCCUCAUUUCAUCCCUUUGCUGCUGUGACUACGACCAAACUUGGCCCCGGGAACGAGCCCCAGGGCCUAGAGUUGAGGGAGCACGGCAGUUUUCGGGAAGAAACGCGGUUUCGCAUUCCCCAGUCCAUAAGAGGAUGCAUGAUGAGGGACGAAAGACUUAUCUGAUAUCGCAGCCCCCGGCAACUCUGGCUUGCCGUGGAUGAAUCUUGGUACUCGCAGCCCCCAGCAACACUGGCUUGCCGGGGCCCAGGUGCCGGCGCGCCCUUCUUCUCCUUUCCUUGUCGCUGUUAUUUCAGUUAUGAGAACAAUUUAGUCAGUGCCGCAAUAAGUUACUCUUGUAAUAUAACUUUAUUCUGGGCAAUGCUUGUUAUGUUACAUCCUUUAUUUGAUUCCAUUCCUUGUAUGUUUGUACCCUUACGCUUUUACGGAACUUGCCGGUGCAAACACGCUUGCCACGAGCGCUGAGUGCAAAACAUCAGCAGCCUUCUAGCGGUGUUGCCUCCGGCAAGAAACCUUGUCGGGGCUAGUCGCAGCACACUUUCAUUGUUGAGCGGACUCAAAACAAAGUAAGGGUGCAACUUAACCACGAGCCGGUUCCUCUGCGCACAGGUUUUCCAUACAAGGCAUGGUCGUUCAAGGAAUAUAACUUAAAAAUUUAAAACUGACUGUGCUUAAACUUCGGCAACUUAGCUUUUUUGUUGUUUGUGUCCNNNNNNNNNNNNNNNNNNNNNNNNNNNNNNNNNNNNNNNNNNNNNNNNNNNNNNNNNNNNNNNNNNNNNNNNNNNNNNNNNNNNNNNNNNNNNNNNNNNNNNNNNNNNNNNNNNNNNNNNNNNNNNNNNNNNNNNNNNNNNNNNNNNNNNNNNNNNNNNNNNNNNNNNNNNNNNNNNNNNNNNNNNNNNNNNNNNNNNNNNNNNNNNNNNNNNNNNNNNNNNNNNNNNNNNNNNNNNNNNNNNNNNNNNNNNNNNNNNNNNNNNNNNNNNNNNNNNNNNNNNNNNNNNNNNNNNNNNNNUGUGGGCGCAGGAAUCUUCUCUUUGAGAAAAAGGAAGAAGAGAAAAUAAAGUUAUGGAGCCUUAAGGCUUGUUAUUGCUUACCGGGGGCAAGUUCUGCACAAAGUGUCAGUGUAUACAUGCUAAAAAGAAAAAGGCAUGAAUUUUGACAAUAUGUACUAAACAUAUGAUCUUUAUUUAUGCACGGGAUCUGCGCCCGGCUUUGUACAAAGGGUUACAUGCAACAACGGCAAGGCUUGUACAAAAGGUGGUUGCCAGGACAGCAGGUUCCGGCAACCGCGCCUUAUGGGUAAAACUUACGAAGAUGAUCUAUGUUCUAGGAGUUGCUCACCGGAAUGCCAUCUUCGGUCUCAAGGCGGACAGCGCCAGGCCUAGUGACUCGCUUUACCCGAUAAGGGCCUUCCCACUUCGGCGUCAACUUGUUGGAAUUCUUGGCAGAUUGAACGCGCCGAAGAACAAGGUCACCUUCCUCGAAGCUUCUGGCAUUAACUUCGCGGCUAUGGUAGCGGCGCAAAGCUUGCUGGUAGCGAGCAGCUCGUACAGCAGCCUGAAGACGAUCCUCCUCGAGGAGCAGCGCGUCAUCUUGCCGCAGCUGCUCUUGCUCAAGCUCAUCAUAAGCGAGCACUCGAGGCGAUCCGUAUACGAGUUCUGUGGGGAGAACUGCCUCUGCUCCAUAGACAAGAGCAAAAGGUGUCUGGCCAGUGGCUCGAUUUGGCGUCGUCCUGAUCGACCAAAGAACCACCUGUAGCUCCUCGAUCCAAUUUCUUCCGCACUUGUGCAGCCUGUCGAAAGUUCUGGUCUUGAGCCCACGCAGCACUUCAGCGUUUGCCCUCUCCGCUUGACCGUUGCUUCUCGGGUGAGCAACAGAAGCGAAGCAGAUCUUGGCGCCAAGAUCUUGGACGUACUGCAUGAAGGUGCAGCUCGUGAAUUGUGUGUUGUUGUCGGUGAUGAUCCUAUUAGGGACUCCGGAACGGCAAACAAUUGACCUGAAGAACUUGACUGUUGACUGUGCUGUCACCUUCCUCACUGGCUCCACCUCCGGCCACUUCGUGAACUUGUCGAUGGCCACGUACAAGUACUCGAAGCCCCCGACAGCUCGGGGAAAAGGGCCAAGGAUAUCAAGCCCCCAGACUGAAAAUGGCCAGGAUAAAGGGAUUGUUUGGAGAGCUUGAGCUGGUUGAUGAAUCUGUUUGGAGUGGAACUGGCACGCUUCACACUUGGUUACUUGUGCAGUCGCAUCCUGGAGGGCUGUUGGCCAAAAGCAACCUUGCCGGAAGGCUUUACUGGCAAGUGCUCUUGCGCCAAUGUGGUGGCCACAUAUGCCUCCAUGUAUCUCCGCCAACAGCUCUUGUCCUUCUUCCCGGGAAAUGCACUUCAAUUUCACUCCGUUGAAUCUUCUUCUGUACAGUAUGUCAUCGACAAACUGAUACAUACUUGAUUGUCGGGCUACUUUCUCUGCUUCUUCUUGCUCUUCGGGAAGUUCUCCUGUUUGAAGGAAAUGGACGAUCUGCUGUGCCCAUGCCGGAGCUUGUGGCUCGACGACAAGGACUAAAGGCGCAAAUGCUGCUGCGGGAACAUCCGCUUCUACGGCAAGAAUAUGAGAUCCUGCCGGAGCGUGAUGCUCCCCGGCAAGCGUGCCGGGGCACAGCUUGUCGGGAGCGUCUGCUUCAACGAAACAAACCCUAGGGCUUGUCGGAGCAGACUGCUCCUCAGCACUUUCUAUGUUGAUCCUGGGGACCUUCUUGGCGGCGGCUUCGGGGAGCUCUGCCGGAAAGUAGUCGCCAGUAACCAACUUUCUCUUCUUGCUCUGUCCAGUUGAUGGUGUUACAGAUGGCUGAGUCAGCUUGAGCACAAAAAUACCUGGUUCCACAGGUAACUUGAGUGCGGUGCACUUUGACAGGCCGUCUGCAAUGUCAUUCUGAGCUCUUGGAACAUGUUCCAUCUGCAGGCCGUCAAAAUGCUCUUCCAGCUUCCUCACUUCAUCAAUGUAGGCCUCCAUCAGCGGACUCUGAUAAUCUGUGUUAACUUGGCGGACGACAAGCUGUGAGUCACCCCUGACAAUAAGCUUCUUGAUCCCAAGUUCUGUCGUGAUCCUGAGUCCGGCAAGCAGGCCCUCAUAUUCUGCAGUAUUGUUUGUUGCUUGCUCCUUGGGAAAGUGCAUUUGGAUCAUGUACUUGAGGUGCUCUCCGGUGGGUGCGACAAGUAACACACCCGCACCGGCGCCUUGCAGCGAGAAAGCACCAUCAAAGUACAUGAUCCAUUCCCUGUUUGCUUCCUUGACGGGGAUCCUCGUCUCCGGAGUUUCUUCAUCUGGUGUUGGCGUCCACUCCACUAUGAAUUCUGCCAAUGCUCGGCUCUGGAUAGUUGAAGUACUUUCAAACUUGAGGCCAAAGCUUGACAGUUCCAGUGCCCACUCGACAAUCCUGCCUGUUGCUUCUGGAUUUUGCAAUAUCCUCUUCAACGGAAAGCGAGUGACAACUGUGAUCUGAUGUGCUUGAAAAUAAUGGCGCAGCUUCCUCGAGGCCAUGAGAAGGCCGAAAAGCAACUUUUGCACUCCAGAGUAUCUUGAUCUAGCCACCUGCAGAAGGGAGCUGACAAAAUAAACUGGGUGCUGCACCAUCUUCUUUUGUUUCUCUGCCUGCGGCUGCACAGACUCAUCCUUGUCGGGACCAGAGCUUGACGGAGAAGCCCCCUGCUUGUCGCUGGACUCGCUUGCCGCGGCCGCUGGCUCAUCAUCUGCCUCCCUCUCUGCUACUAACGCAGCACUAACCACUUGAUUGGUUGCUGCUAGAUACAGCAGCAACUUCUCUUGCGGCUUAGGUGCGACAAGUACUGGAGUGGAGGAUAGGUAUCUCUUCAAGUCCUGUAGCGCAGCCUCCGCUUCUGGAGUCCAUUUCAUUGGACCUGCCUUUUUCAAAAUUUUGAAAAACGGCAGGGCGCGCUCAGCAGACUUAGAGAUGAACCUACUGAGAGCAGCAACGCAGCCGGCAAGCCUUCGCACAUCCUUGAGGCGCUUCGGGGCUUCAAUCUGCUCGAUGGCCUUGAUCUUGUCGGGGUUGGCUUCGAUCCCCCUCUGGGACACGAAGAACCCGAGAAGCUUGCCGGAAGGAACUCCAAACACGCACUUCUCAGGGUUCAACUUGAGAUUGAUCUUGCGCAGAUUUGCAAAAGUCUCAUCCAAAUCUUGGAUCAAAGUUUCUCUAUCUUUGCUCUUGACCACUAUAUCAUCCAUGUAUGCUUCUACAUUCCUGUGCAGCUGUGGCUCAAAAGCAUGACUGACUAGUCUUGCAAACGUUGAACCAGCAUUCUUUAGUCUGAAAGGCAUUCAUACAAAGCAGUACGUGCCACAUGGAGUAAUGAAUGCGGUGUUCUCUUCAUCCUCUUUUGCCAUGAAAAUCUGAUGGUAUCCUGAGUAUGCAUCAAGAAAUGAAAGCAGAUCACAUCCUGCCGUGGAGUCGACAAUCCGGUCAAUGCGCGGCAAGGGAAAUGGAUCUUUGGGACAAGCUUUAUUAACAUCCGUGAAGUCAAUACAAAGCCUCCACUUCCCAUUCACCUUGCGCACAAUUACUGGAUUGGCUAACCACGUUGGAUGGAGUACUCCUCGGACGAGGCCUGUUGCUUCCAACUUCUUGAUCUCUUCUGCUAUGAACUCUUGGCGUUCCGCCGCUUGCUUCUUGACUCUCUACUUGACGGGCCGCGCGUGAGGACAGACGGCAAGGUGGUGCUCAAUUACUUUCCUGGGAACACCGGGGAUGUCAGAUGGUUGCCAUGCAAACACAUUGACAUUCGCCCGCAGGAAAGCAACGAGCGCGCUUUCCUAUUUAGGGUCAAGCGUGGCACUGAUGGUGAAGGUACCACUAGUGCCGUCCUCCUUGGCGGCCACUUUCUUGGUAUCAGGUGUCGCUAUCUUUGCCCUCUUGCACUUGCCGGUGGAGCUCGAUGGUGCGUCCUCGACGGUAGCACAGCACUCCGAAGAGGUGCGCUUGCCGGAGUGGGCAUCAGAGCUACUCUUGCCGGACUUGGUCUUCUUCUUCUUCCCCCCGGGAGCUUCAGCGGCAAGUGGUUUGUGCUCUGCUGCGGCUGCUGCUUCCUGGUAGAUCUUGUCGGUGCAGAUAAGCGCAUCCUUCUUGUCGCCUUGGACAGAAAUGACGCUUAUCGGACCGGGCAUCUUGACCACGUUGUAAGCAUAAUGAGAGGCUGCCAUGAACUUGGAAAGCGCUGGACGGCCGAGUAUCCCAUUGUAGGGCAACGGGAAAUCAGCAACAUCAAAUGUGACUCUCUCUGUCCUGAAGUUCAGUUUGCUGCCAAAUGUCACUGGUAGUGUAAUCUUCCCCUUGGGCUUGCUCCUUCCCGGGUUGAUUCCUUGAAAGGUACCAGUUUCUUCGAGCUCGCUGUCGGGGAUCUGGAGCUUGUUGAGCACCGCGGAAGAGAUCAGAUUUAGGCCGGCCCCACCGUCAACCAACAUCUUCGUGACCUUGAGGUUGCGGAUGGUUGGCGAAACCAACAUCGGCAAGCACCCGACCGCAGUGAUGCGAUCAGGGUGAUCCUCAACAUCAAAGACGAUGGGCGUACUGGACCACUUCAGGGGCUUGCGCGAUUCGACUGAUGGUUCAGCUGCAUUUACCUCCCGCACCCACUGCUUGAGUUGGCGGUGCGAGGUGUGCAGAGAAGCACCGCCGUCAACGCACAAAACCUCUGUUGCCUUCUGAAACUCUUGCUCGUCGGUCUCAUCCUCGUCCAUCUCAUCAUCCUCAUCUUCAUCUUCGUCCUUGUCACGGCCACGGGGAGGUCUGUCUCCUUGCCGCUGCUUGGCCUUGCCGCGGCGCCCUCCCCGGGCGGGACGCUUCUUGCCGGAUCCUCCGCCACCUUCCUGGGCCUUCUCCUUGUCGCGACGCUCGUAUUCAGCUUUCUGUAGUUCUGCCAUUUGCUCAACCUUCUUGCAUGCUUGGAGGUCAUGGCCCUUGGUGCGAUGGAUCUUGCAGUACUGCUUGCCGGAACAAUCCUGCUUGUCGGCGGCCACCACAGCCUCGCCGGAGUCACCAGCUUUGGCCUUGUCGGCGCCGCCUCCGUUGCCGGACUGCUCAACAACUAGCACAUCCUUAGCCUUUCUCUUUCUAUUAUUCCGCCUCCGGUUCUUCUUUGCCGGAGGGACGUCCUCAUUGUCCGAUCCUUCUGCUCCUGCAUUCUCUCCGGGAAGUUUCCUCCCCUCUUCAGCUCGUGCACACUUGUCAGCCAGAGCAUAUAGCUCGCUGACAUCUCUAAUCUUGCACAUCGCCAUCUCCUCCCUCAUCCUGCGGUUACGCACGUUCUGAUGGAAUGCGCUGAUAACCGCGGCAGGGUGGACGUCUGGGAUGUUGCGCUGCACCUGGCUGAAUCUCUGUAUGUACUUGCGCAGGGGUUCUCCUUCUUUCUGGGCGAGCAGAUGAAGAUUGCUCUCCUGACCAUGGGGUUUGUGGCCGCCUGUGAAGGCGCCGACAAACUGAUGGCACAGGUCCGCCCACGAAGAGAUGGAGUUGUCCGGCAAGUGCAUGAGCCAAGAUCUGACGUUGGGCUUGAGCACCAGCGGGAAGUAGUUGGCGAGGAUCUUCUCGUCGCGCCCCCCGGCAGCCUGCACCGCGAUGGUGUAGACGCUGAGGAACUCUGAUGGAUGUAUCCUGCCAUCGUACUUCUCGGGUAUGUCCGGCUUGAAGUUCUUGGUACUGGGCCACUGGACUUGCCGCAGCUCACGGGUGAACGCAGGGUAACCUGCCGCGUACGGCAAGUCGCCUGGUUCCCCUGGCGCAUGCAUAUCGACAGUGGGCCCAGCGCACUGGUCAGAUUAAUGUCGCGCUUCUCUUCUGCGCUCGAUGCGAGUACGAGCGUCUCUGUGUCGUCGUUCUUGGAGAACUUGGCGUUGAUCGCGGCGAGCUCGCGGGUCCGACGACGCGGUGGAGUCGGUGUCGAGGUUGGAACGGCGAGUUGGCGAUCAUGGCCUUCGGGGCGGGGAGUGCACGGUGGUGGCACCCCCAGCGGUCUUGUCGGUGUCGGCUUGCGCCCGGGCGUCUUGCCGGGGCUUUCGAUGUGCUCGGUUGCCGGGGCUUGUCGCCGUUGGCGAAGCCGAUGAGGCUUUGGAUGGUGAUCCUCCAGUCGUCGAUCUUGUCUGGCGCUGGAGGGUAAUCUAGAAGCAGCUGGGCUCGGGCCAGCGCUUCCUCUGGAGUCUUGGGCGGCGGUGGCGAGCGACGCGAGGUGCGGGAUAUGCUCAAACUUCUAACAGUGUUAGAAGGAGCAACAUCUCGCCCAGGCGACCGUACUUCGCUCGUGCCAGCGUGUUGACGUGUAUGUUGGCCUUGAGCGUCCCGCGAUCCGCCGGCUUGGCCUUGUUCCAACACGAGCACGGUGCUAGGAGUACCGUGGCAUUGCCGAUCUUGCACCUCCUGGGAGGGGUACGGUGGAUGUACAGACGCUGAAGCUUGCGGGGCCUUGUCCUCGGACCUGGUGACGAUGUGAGUCCCCCCGUCGGCGCCCGCUCCUCCGCCGGCGUCCACCCCACCACCCGUUUGCUCCGGUGGCGGUAGGAUAGUCGCAAACGGAGUGGCCACCUCCGAAGCCUUCUUCUUCGGUGGCAUGUCGAUGAAGAUGUUGAUGUAGCGCGCAGAUGCCGGAUCAGGUACGCACAACCUCGACGCCCACCUACCUGGCGCGCCAAAGAUGUCGUGGGAAACGAACACCUAUGGGGCAGGGCCCCUUUUCGGUCCAGCAAGGGAGCGGAGGGCGCACGAAGAGCAGAUCGAGGCGGAGCACGCGGGGGAAUUUUACCCAGCUUCGGAGCUCUCCGGAGAGAUAAAACUCCUACUGCUGCUUUGUGUUUCUAUUCUGUUCUUGCUCAAGAGCGUGGGUGUGUUGUAGUUUUGAAUGUGUCGAACCCCUUCUACGUGUGCAUGGGCCUCCUUUUUAUAGUCUAAAGGGGUCAGCGACAGGUGGCAGCGUAGAGAGAGGGGUAAAAAAGUAAAAACGCGGGUUGGUACAACCGCUAUCAACAGUGGCCCCUACCUAACUCUGACGGCAGGGGACAAGGGCAUUUAAUGCCCGUCCGGUCGCCCAAACAGUGCAGGAAGCGACCGUUAGGGGCGCCACCGAUCGCCAUGAUGGCCUCCUAGUCAUCUUCACUUGCCACCUCGCACCGCUUGGCUGCACAGCUACCCGCCACGUGCACCGGGAGCGAUCCUGCGGCGACACGUCGUCGGAUGCGCUGGAGCGUGGGCGCAGAGUUGUGGCUUCGCUGUAGCAAGCGCCUUGCCGCGGUCACUAUCUUGUCGCACCCGCAAGCUUGCCGCUCGCCGGGUCUUGGUUGGCCUUCCCGGCAAGCUCCUCUUGCCGGGGUCUUGUCCUUCCCGGCAAGCUUCUCUUGUCGGGGCUUCGUCUUCACAGUUAACACUUUGUUCUUGAAUGGCAGUAAAUAGGAAUGACGAAGGAUCUUGGCGGACGCCCGGCAAGCCUUGCCGCAGGACGCUGCGACUGCCCGUGCACAAGUUCGGGGUACUAAGGUACCCCUACUUUAGUACACCGACACCUCCAAACUUUAUGUGGCACUGCAAAAUAUUUGUGGCUCUGUCUAAGAUUGCCAAGGAAUUAAAAGGGGAACUUAACAUAUUUUUCCUAAGUAAAUAGUGUGCCCAAAAUAUUCUCUUAACCAUCUCUGUUUUUUUUAAUAAAAAAAGGCGAAUAAGAACUCGCCCGGGCCUCGGCCUACUCCCACUUACCAGCCCACCUAAGCCGGCCCACUCCCCCGCUCCCAUGGCCUAUAGGCCAUGCUCAACCGAACCCUAACCCCGCACGAUCCCCCCACUCCCCACUUCUCUCCCCUCCCGAUCCAAUCUGGAUCGGACCGAAACUGGCGCCCCGACGCCAACCGCCGUCGCUGGAGGCAUCCCCGACUCCACGCUGGGCCACCCCAUCACCUGACCUCCUCCCCGUCGUCGCUCGUCACUCGCUGGACCGCCUCGUCCCCACCAACGCCGCCCCGAGCCCAACGUCCCUGUCGUCGUCGCCGUCGGCAUCGCCCCGAUGUCGCCACCACCCGACGCCGGCGCCCUCGACAUCGCCACCCCGAGCCCACUGCCACCCCUACGCUCCACUGUGAGCCCCUCGCCGAUUCCCCCUCCUUCCUGUCAUCGUAGGUGGCCGCAUGCGCUGUUGGCCACCGUGGCCGCGCUCCGGCCGUUCCCCAUCCGUGUGCUAGCCUCGCCUUCCCCGGCUGCGGCCACCAGCCUCCUCGUCGCGCUCCCGCCUUCGCCCACACCUGCCCCUGUACGCCCAGCCGCUGCUGCUCGCCGGAUCCGCAUGUUCGCCCCCUAGCUUCGUCUCCGGCCGUCGAGUCCGCACCCGAUGCCGGCGCCCCAGCGCGUCCAUGCGCCCGUACGGGCGGGCGCCCACGCCCAUGCCCCUCCGCCCGUUAGCCCGCCCCGCUAAGGCCUGGGCACCUAACCAAGGGGCCCCACGCCCCUGUGUAAUAAAAAAGAUUUAAAAAAAAUAAAUAUAAAUAUAAUUAGUUAAUUAGUUAAUUAAUUGUAUAGUUAAUUAACUAACUUAAUUAACCUUGCUUAGUUAGCCUAAUGAACUAGUUUAGUUAAUUUAAAUCUGUUAGAUAGGUCUAUGAGAGAACGACCCCACAUGUCAGUUUAACCAGUCAACACUCUUUUGACUGCUGACAUCAUGAUGACGUCAGGCUGACAUCAUAAUUCCAAUUUUGAAUUAAUAAUAAUUUCAGAAUAUUAUUAAAACUUUGAAAAAUCAUAGAAAAUAAACCGUAUCUCGGAUGGAAGUUGCUUGGAACGACGAGACAAAUCCGAAUGCGCAGUUCGUUCAUCUGUCACGCGUCCCUAGCAUAGCAAACGUUGAACUUUUCCCCUCCGGUUCAUCUGUCUGAUAGACGUCCGGAACCGGGAAAACUUUCCCGGAUGUUUCCCCCUUCGCCAGUAUCACCUAGCACCUCGUUAGAACACUUCUAGCCCCGCUUAUUGUCUUGUUAUGCAUAUGUUUGCGUGUAUUUACUGUUUCUUCCCCCUCUUCUUCUCCGGUAGACCUCGAGACCGCUGAUGAUGCCCCUGUGAUCGACUACGUCGACGACGACCCUCCUUGUUUGAGCAACCAGGCAAGCCCACCCUUUGAUCAUCCCGAUAUCGCCCAUUCCAUUCUCUCAUGCUUGCACUAGAUUUUGCUACUGUAUUUGACUGCUCCUAUUCUGAUGCAUAGCCUGCUUUUGUACCUGCUAUUGUAACUUACCUGCUUAUCCUAAAUUUCUUAGUACAGGUUGGCUAGUGAUCCAUCAGUGACCCCCACCUUGUCUUUGUUGCCCCUGCUUCAUCAUCGACGACUCGAUCAACGUGAUCGACGACCGGAGCCUGACACCUCACAUCACAUCACGCCCCUUUUUCUUGCUCGACUCUGCAGAGUUACCAUCGAGUGCCGAGGGUGGAACCUCAUACAUCGCUCCUGAUGAGAUCUCUGUAGUGUAGCUAUUCGGUCGUGGUCAUCGAGGGUGGUUCCUCCUUCACCAUUCCUAAUACGGCUCUGUCGUGCAACACCUCAAGUGUGAACCUCGAGGGUGGUUCCUCUUACGUUCACCUUGAUGAUUACAUCAACUGGAAUCCACCGGGGGUGAUUCCUCGGAUUUUCCCCUUGAUGUCUGGACACAUAGUUACCUUGAUACUUGAGACCGUUGUGAAAGCCGGGCGAGCCCGGAGAGCACCCGUGCGAUGUGACGGUGGCGGCUGGCUGUUUAGCGGUAUCACCCGGGAGGGGUGAUAGCUCCGGACUUGUCCCGACAUCCGUCACUUCUUUUAAUAAUGCACUAACACGUUUGUGUAUUUGUUCUGAGUUGGCCUCUGGCCUUUACGCACUAACCACCACGCGAGAAUAGUUAUGGGCCUCGACGUUGCAGUAUCUUUCGAAGCUUUGUCAGACGUCCAGUUCAGCAUUGUGGCCGGGCCGGAUCGUGCCAUCCACUUCACCGGUGGUGCUGGUAUCCCCUUGUGCACAACGACCCGGAGUGCAAUGGGCGAUGGGCCCAGACCCCGGAGUGCUUAGGAUGUAGACCGGCGGGGACCUCUCUACUGAGCCUAGGUAGGGCUGCGACGUGUUGAUCUUCCGAGGCUGGGCAUUGACCCCAGAAAGGUGUGUCCGGCCAGAGUGAUCGAGCGUGUUGGGUAACGUGGUGCGCCCCUGCAGGGAAGAUUAUCUAUUAAUAGCCGUGUCCAUGGUAACGUACCUUCAGACUUAUAUCUUGAUCUUAUACAACUACAAAUGGAUACUUGAGAUAUGUGGCUCCGGGAUUGCUUUCUCGCAGGGAGUCGAGGAAGGAUCUCUGGGCGUUGUUGUUAAAACAUGCUUGUUAAUUAAACUGCUAUUCUUUACUCUUCUACAUGCUGCAAGAUGCUUGGAGCUGCUUGAAGAUGCUAGUCUUUGUUUGGCUAGGCCUUCCCCUCUAUUCUGGCAUUCUGCAAUUCAGUCCACAGAUACAACCCUUCCAUUUGAUACCAAUGCAUACUUAGUAUAGAUCUGAUGCUUGCGAGUACUUUGGAUGUGUACUCGCGGUUGCUUUGCUACCCCUUUUCCCCCUUCUUUCUUCUUUCCGGUUGACGCAACCAUAUGGUGGAUCCUUGGAGCCAGAUGCCACCGCCGAUGGAUGCUAGUACGUGAAGAUCGCCGACGACCAGGAGUAGUUAGGAGGUCCUAGGCAGGAGGCCUUGCCUCUUCGAUCGUUGUUGCUUUUGUGCUAGCCUUCUUAAGGCAUCCUUAUUUAACUUAUGUCUGUACUCAGCUAUUGUUGCUUCCGCUAACUCUUGUGUAUCGAGCUAUGUAUUCGAGCUCUCGAGGCCCCUGGCUUGUAAUAUAAAGCUUGUAUUAUUUUGAUUUGUGUCUAGAGUUGUGUUGUGAUAUCUUCCCGUGAGUCCCUGAUCUUGAUCGUACAUAUUGGCGUGCAUGAUUAGUGUACGAUUGAAUCAGGGGCGUCACACAAGCGGUACUACUGCCCCACCCAGUUUCAGCAUUUCGAGUUUCACCGUUUUGCCCAUAACUUCCACAUCCGGAGUCCGAUUUUUGCAUUUUUUAGCUCGUUGAGUAGCUAUUGACAUCCCCCAUCCAUCUAUAUAGGUUCCAACACCAUUUGACUCCAUCAAAUUUUCCAAAAUUUGGAAAGUUUGCCUAGGCCGUCCACCAUAUCAUCUGCAUAGCCACCACCGACCACCGCAACCUAACCCAUUUUGUUCCCCUUAGCAUUUGAGGUUGUUUGAGUUGUGGCUUGUGUCUCCUAAGGUGUUUCGGCUACUUAGGGAUGGUAACUUCAACUCCAACACGUGUAUAGCCCAUCAUUCCACUUCCGCAUUGCCGAGUGCAAACCACCACCUCUUUCCACUACCACCAUUUGACAUUUACCUUUGUAGAUUUUGAGUUUGCGAUUUUUCCGUUUCCUAGGGUGUUUUGGCUAACUAGGAAUGGGUCGACAUCAGCAACAUCGCCUCUCAUCAUCGCCAAGGACGGUAACCUCGAUGACACCAUUGUAUAUUCCCUUGCCAUUGCAUUGAUAACCCCUAGCCCAUUUUGCGUCACUUGCCUAUCGAGACUAGCCGUUUGAGUAUUGCCGGCAACGUGACUUGUGCACAUUAGUGAUCAUACUUCCCAUAGCAUCAUACCAUAUCAUCGUGGUGCAUAUAUUGGUAGCAUAUCUUGCGUCACAAGUUUGUUGCCGCAUAUACACAAUUGCUAUCUUGGUUUGUGCAUUAUGCAGAAGUGGCCAUACAAAAAAGAGAAAUAAAGCUUUUAAGCAAAAGAAAGAGAGAAAAGAAGCUUGUAAGCAAGUGCCAUAGCAUCAUACCAUAUUGCACAUAAGAUUGUCAUAUCCGAUCAUCUUGGAUCAUCUUGAGAGAACAUCGGGAACCAUACAUACAUAGCAUACUUGGGAUAGAAAGUAUAUCCAUUUGGCAUCUUGUAGGUUGUGCACAAGUGUCCUAUCCGCCUAUUGAGCAAUCGUGCUAGCGUCUCUCUUGAGUUGUGCAACACGAGCGUUUUCUGUGGAUUCCACAUUUUGUGCUCAUUGCUUGGUUGCACGACCCCAUUUAUCUAUCCGUGUGUGUGUUUCCGUGUGUCAUUCUUUGCUAUUGGUCUACUUGUUUCACUUGCAAAUUUGUGAAUCUCUUUCAACAUUAUUGACUCUUGCUAACAUUUUGCAUCAAAUUUUUGUGCCACUAUCCUCACCGAGCUCCACCAUAAGCUUUACUUGAUAGGUGUGAGUGAACAAGUCCGGUACCAAUUCCACUAUUCUUUCAUUUCACAUUGAGUUAAACGGGAUACAUCCUCAACUUUGGGAAAGGUAACUUCCUAUUGUUUAUCUCAUUUCCUACUGGCAUUUCACCUUCGGUCUACAACAACAACGACGAGUUCGAUGCCACGAACAACUCCAACGACGCCAAGAUGCAAGCUCAAAUGGAGGAGAUCAAAGCCCUCAUCAAGUCCUACAAGCAAUCUUCCUCAUCUUCGAGAAGACACUCACGUGCACAUGUUUCCGAGCUACCAUCUCCGGUAAGAUCACAUCAGCAUCGACACCAUCACCAACAAGAACGUGAAGGUCAAGAGCUCAACACCAACUACCGCUCAACGACUUCACCAUCUCCCUUGGCAUCUUCGCCAAGCGACUUCAAGGCAUCUUUGAGUACGGAUAUACGGCAUCUUCGCCAACAAGAACCUCAAGGCUACGCUCAAGAGAAGCUCCCCAAGCUCAAGUCCACGACUUCCAUGAGCUACUACGACCUCGACACCGACCACAAGAUUCCUUUCUAUGGAACUCAAGAACCCGAGGAGUACCUCGAGUGGGAGCGUUUGAUGGACGACUACCUCAAGCUACAUCAAGUCCCUUCCGAAGAUCAAGUGAAGUGCGCCACAAGAAACUUCCACGACUACGCCUCGACAUGGUGGCUUCACACACCUUCGGAGAGCUACGAGAUGAGUUAGCCCAAGACGAAGAGAGCUUUGCAGCGAGAGCUCGUGCCUCCAACCUACAUGGAACAACUUCGACGCCAAUUGGAGAACACCAUCCAAGGAUCCAAGUCCAUCGACGCGUACUUCAAGGAGAUGAAGAAUGCCUUGCGACGAGACGGCGUGGAUGACCCCAUUUCGAUGAAGUUCCACUUCAUGAUGCGAUUGAACAACGACAUCUCCAAGACUAUCUUCCUCGAGAACUACAAGUCCCUGGACAACUACUACAUUGGUGCUCUCAAGGCGGAACAAGAACUCAUGAAAGCCAAGGCUUCUCCACCCCAAGCACACUUCGCGGCGACCAAGCUGUACGACAAGCAUGAGGCUAGUACCACCAUGAUGUCCAAGCCCGACGAGCUCCAAGACAAUGCUCCCAAGUUCGACUUCACCGCCAUCCCUCUUUGUGGCAUUGAUGACGCCGAGUCUACCUUGACUCUUUUUCAAGACGGUGCGGCGACGAGUACGACUACGGAGACCUUCAAGGACCAAGCUUUGGAGGCGAGCGACAAGGUGGCGAGCAAGGAUGGUGUUUCCAUCUUUGGAGGCGAGAGUGAUGAUGUGCCAUCUUCGUCCUUCAUCCACGGCGACGAUGACGAGAUGAUCGAGCAUGGGAUUUUCCCUUCGGUCAUGGAGGAGAGUGAUGAUGUGCCAUCUUCGGCCUUCAUCCACGGAGACGACGACGAGAUGGUUGAGCAUGGGAUUCUCCCUUCGACCACGGUGACGUAUGAUGACUUGAGUGACUUUUGCCACCAUAUUGAGAGUGAGAGUGACUUCACCACUAGCCCCAUAUAUGACGAGUUGCCCCAAUUCCUAUGUGAGGAGAGCCACAACCCCCACCACUUGAGUGAGAUGAGUGACUCCACCAUAUGCGACUUUGAGUGCACCUAUUUUGAGGGAGUGAGUGAACCACCACAUAGAGAGAGUGUGAUAGUUGAUAGGUCUCGUGAGGCCAUUUGCAUUUCUAACAACUUGACCUCUACCUCUAUUGUGUCUUCUCAUUUGGUGCUAGGUCCCAUUUAUGAUGACGCGCCGAUCCUCGACGACUUCGUCCUCCCUUUGGACAAGACGAUGGCCAUGGUGGAAUAUGAUGCACCCCCCACAUGGUUCCAUCAAGAUGAAGAUGACCACCAUUUGGUCUUUCCCACCUCACCUACACCACUUGAGUGGAAUGAAAAAGGUAACAUAGGUGAAGGUGAUGCUCUAGUCCCACUAGUGGACAUUCUUGACAUUGAUUGCUUGCAUGAUGUUGAUCCACCUAGUACCAUGCUUCAUGCUAGUAUGAUUUCCCCAUGUGAUGAUUUGGCCAUUUAUGAUGAGUAUGAUGAUUCUCAUGUGGAGUCUCUUAGUUGUGAUGUCAUGUUACAUAGGAUUUCUUGUGACAAUUCUUUAGGUCACAUCAUGUUUGAUAAUCCGCUUGACUUGUCGUAUGCUAUGCAUGACAUUCACCAUAUGUCAUAUUUGCAAUCUCAUUGUAGUGACUAUGCAUAUGCCAUUCAAAUUAACCCAAUUUGCACUUAUGGCAUAGAUGACAAGCCCAUGGUUAUUGGGAUUUGUUUUUCUUGUGAUGAUAUUGAUAUGGUCCCUUUGCAUCAUUUAUCUCAUAUGCCAUGUCAUGCCCACCUAGCUUCGGAUAUGCAUUGUUUUGGAUGUUGUCCAUUUUCUCCAUAUGAUGUUUCCAAUCUUGCUCAUGAGGAGACCCCCAUAGUUCCCUCAUACAUGUUAGGAGAUUUUGAUCCAUCCCAUCCAUUGCAUGAUCCCAACAAUUGUGUGCACCAUAUGCUCCCCAUGAAUAAACAUGCUAUUGAUGUGCCAUAUACUUGCAUUCUCAAUUUGUGUCCCCAUCGUGUCAUACAUAAUAACUAUUCUUUCAUGAUGGAUGACAUGUUCUUAUACCAUGCAUCAAAUUUCGUUGAGCGAUGCUUAUCUUGUGCUAACUCACACGUGCACAUACACAUCAUGAUGGAUGAUGUGUACAUUUACCACACACACAAUUUAUUUGGUUUGUGUCUCUUUUGUGUAGGUACCCAGGAAUACUUGUCAACCUCGCAAUCCCACGAGUUGACAAAACGAGCUCUAGAGAGCAACGAUGAUUUGGGAUCCCAUGGAUUGUCUUUCCCACCGCUCUCUUCGCGCAAAGACUUAGCGCAUUUCUUCUACAUGGCCCUCACUUGGCUAUGGGUUGUUUUCCAUUACAUAUUAUAUGCCCAUCUUGCCAUGUUCACUUUGCAUGAUAUGCCCAUUCCCAUGCAUUUGUGACCCAUACUUUGCUUUACACAUGAUGAUUGACUCUCAUACUUUUAUGUGUAUUUGCAAGCUUGGUGGAGAUAUUGCUUGUUGUUUCCCUAUUCCAUUUUUGACCCACCCCUAUGAUGAUACUAUGAUCUUGCUUUGUGUUCGUGCUUGUGAUAUGUCAUGUGCAUUGUCUAUCCCUAUUAUUUGCUCACAUGACAUGAUUGCCAUGAUUUACUCUGGUGUGUUGCAUCUUCGCUCCACUAGUUUGCACCACAUGAUUGAUAUGCUUGCUUGUAUUGCAUCCCCCAUGAUUCAUACUUGCUCAUUUCAUGCGAUUGAUGACAACCAUUUCCAUACUUUGCACGUGAUUGCUAUAGCUUCUUGUCACAUAUCUACAUAUGUUGCCUCUCUCAUGCUAGAUCACUUGCCAUGUAUUUAGUGCAACAAUGCUCUUAUUCUUGCUCAUGAGAUUGCCCCCAUAGCAUUCUCACAUAUGAUUGGAGUUGACAUAAUUCUUGUGAAGCAUGCUUGCCUUCCUUCUUUGCACCAUAUGCCUAGUGCCAUGAAUAUUGCCAUUGUUGCAUCAUAUUGUUCAUGCACUUGUGCUACUAAAGGUUAUGUGCAAGAGAUGAGAACCAUCAUGAUGGAUGAUGUGUUUCUCUACCAUGCGCAUAUACUCUUUGUUUUGUUGUGUGCAUGUGUAGGAUACUUGGACUUCGUCUCGACUUCCACUUCAUGUGAGUUGACCAUUCAAGCUCUUAAGAGCGAGCCUCACACAUUCUACCACUACUCGCUUCUACACCGCAUUUGCUUGCGCUUCGGCAUUGUGAAGAAUGCACAAGGACAUGCCUUCAAGGUGACAUCUUUCUUGAGCAUGGAUAUUGCGGAUCAUACUACUUGUGUAGCUUGCACUGUGAGACUUAUUGGUCAUCUUGGACCACUUGAUUGCGCACUUGCUAGAGAUCUUGCUUUGACUUGCCAUUUUCACAUUCCCAUGCAUCAUGAUAUAUAUGCCUUGUGUGUUGCAUCCAAUUCUUGGAUUACUAUCACAACCUAGCUAGUCCAUGCAUUAGAGUGUUGCAUCAUGUCUACCUUUUAUCAGAAACUUGAAUUGGGGAAGACAGAACCCCCCAGAACCCCUCUGAAUUCAACUAGUGCUUACUAAAAAUAUUUUCAAUGAACCUGAAAUGCCCUUCUAAAAAGUUCACCCUCUUUGUCUUGGGUUAGAACCUCUGGCAAAAUUGGUGCACAAUUUUCUAGGUCAACAAAAGGCCAUUGAAUUAAAUCAUAUCUACUUUGAGUUUGGGCAUUUAAACUAUAUAAAAUAUUUCAAAUGCUCAAAUAACUCCAAACUAAAAUGUUCCAUACUGGAUAUAUUCCAACUAGGGACCAUGUGCAGUUUGGUGAUUUUUGGAGUUGCCUAAGUAUUUUUAGAAAUGCAACAAACUUACAGAAACAAUUAAAAACAGAAACAAAUGGGAAAAACCCUUACCUGGCCGAACCAAGCCCCAGCCCAGCUGGCCGGCCCAGCACUGUGCUGGCCCAUGCCAGCCAGCUGCUUCGCCGUCGCCACGCAGGCACAGAGCUGACGCCGGCAAGCGUGAGCUCGCAACGGCGCCAGCUGCUUGCCGCCCGCGCCCCCGAGCACCUGGGUGAGCUCCACGUCGCCGCCCCGACCCCGUGGACACCUCAUUCGCCCCCUGCCUCUCUCCCUCGCUCUCCCGCACCAUGGCCGACGCACCCGCCGCCGCACCCCCGACGUAGUCGCGCCCUCCGUCGUCCUCGUGCUGCACCACCGUGUCCCUUCGCUCCGCCGUCAUCGACUACAUCGAGUAGGCCGAGCCCCGAGCGCUCGCUGGCCCUGUUUCAUCUUCUUCGAGCUCGUCUUCACCGAGCACCGCCACAGAUCCCCUUCGCCGUCGCCGCCGUACCAGCUCGUCCCCGACCUUGCCGACCACUCCGUUGUGACCGCCGUGAGCUCAGCCACCUCCCCAUCCUCCCCGUUUGCCUUCUCGUGCACCGUAGCAACCGCAUGGAGCUUCAUCGCACGCACCACCGACGAGCUCGUCGCCGACGUGCCUCCGGCCAUCCACCGUCCACACCACGGUGUCUAACAUGCUCACCGCAUCGUGUAGAGUCUAACGCCCCACUCCACGCGCCUCGCCGUGCCCCGUAGCCAUGGGUCCAUUUUCAUCCGACUCCGGCGACCGCCGUGGUCGUCGCCGGCGACGUUCCUGGCCACCUCGACCUCAACCACCACCACCAAACGCCGCGACUUGUUCCCGGCUACACGUAGAUGGUCUCCGUCGUCCAUUUGGUCGCCAGAACAUGCUAACCCACUUCCUCCGCCGCGUCUGGCCUCGCCGGCGGCUAGACACCGGCAUGUUUGACCCGUUGACAUUCACUGGGUGGGCCAGGUUGACUCCCCUGAGUCUAUGACAAGUGCCCCCCCCUCUGCUAAUUAACCUAGUUUAGCUCUUACUAAAAUCAGUUAGUUUAAAUAAGUGCUGACAUGCGGGACCCACUGGUCAGUUUGACCUGAACGACCCCUUUGACCACUGACGUCACCCUGAUGCACUGCUGACGCAAUAACCAAUUUCUGGAUUUAUUGUUAUAUAGGAAAUUCCAGAAAUUGUUGCAAACUUCAAAAAUUCAUAGAAAUUAAUCUGUAACUCCAAAUGCAAAGAUUUAUAUAUGAAUUUUGAUCAGAAAAAUUCAAUCUAUCCAUUGGUAAUGGUUUCAUGCAUGUCAGAACAAGUUAACCUUGCUGUUUAAUCAAAACAAGUUAAUGCACUAAUAUGACUAUGUUAAAUGAACUACCAUUUGCAUCUUUGAUUCAAAUGAGUUCAUACCUUUCUGUUCUAGCUUGCAUUAGGCCAGGACACAUUCAUGUUGCCAUGUCAUAGCAUGCAUCAUAUUGUUGUAUAUCGUCAUGUGUUGUUCAUGUUCGGUGUGUUUUCGUGAUAGGUUCUGCCUCCGAGGAUAACCCCGAAUAUCCGUCUGAAGGGCUGUAUCCUACUACCACUACAUCAGGCAAGCAACCCAUUGAUCAUUCCGAUACAAACCCAUGUUCUUGCCUCUGCUCUUGUUUACUGCAUUAAGACAAUGCGAUUCAAACUUUUGUGUGUUGUGGUAGUUGAACCCACUUCCUUUGCAUGACCUGUCAUUGCCACAGUAACUAGAUGAAACUCAGUAGCAUGUGUAGGAGUUGAUUGAGCCAUAUCUGUGUUACCUACCAUGCUAUGCUUGCUAUGCUUAGAGUUGUGUCAGGUCUGGCUCAUUGGGAUGAUGAACUAGAGUGAAAGGUUGUGUCGGUAAUGAAGUGUUGAACACGAUUUGGUAAAGGUAUCGAUGAGAGGCCAUGUAGGAGUACAUGGUGGGUUGUUUCAUUGAGGCCGUCCUUAAGCACUGAGAUCUGUGUGUGUGAUUUAAGAUUCAGCUACUACCACGCAUUGGGCCCGAAACCAAUGGACCCUCUCGACUUAUUAACCACUCUUGUCCUCUGUCCGGGAGUUGCAAGUAGUUUUUGGUGUUUGUAGCAUGAUGGGGGCCGCACGCAGUGCUGACCUUAGGGGUGGGUUGGGUUGCGGUAGGCAUGUGGCACGGUGUAUCGAUUCGCCCGUUUGGUGUCUCGGGAACCAUGUUCACAUCAUUCGGGGCCGUUAGUGGAAACCUCGGCCGGACUCCCUGCGGAUGGAACCCGAAUAGGCGAUAAACCUGGACUAGGGACUCGUGUGUUUAGUCAGGCCGUGGCCGACACCCUCGCUGGGCUUCCGCUUGAGGCUUGCCGAGUACACGUCAUGUAGCGGUGAUAAGUGGUGAGAGCGUGUGUGAAGAAGUACACCCCUGCAGGGUAUAAAACUAUUCGAAUAGCCGCGUCCGCGGUAAAGGACUACUUGGUCACCUAUGCAGUUCAUAGACAAGUAAAUGGAUACUUCUAAAAGCCUCAAGUUAAGUGUGAGUACCGAGGAUGGCCCUCUCGUAGGUUGACAAGAGAGGAUCCUCGGUGGAGUAUUGUGUUGGUGAGUAGUGGACUCGUGUGCGACAAAUGUUUUGCAAGUUGUGUCUAUCGUAGAAUAGCUUAGCCAAGAGUCAAAGCUGGCUUGCUGCAAUAACUCCACUACCUUCUUGAGAAUGUGCAUGUAUGAUAGGAUUCUGUUGUAAGACUUGCUGAGUACCUCUGUACUCAUGUUUGCUUAAAUGUUUUCAGACGACAACACCAACCCCUCCGAUGGGUUCUACGUAGACCUCGACGUUGACGAGUGACUAACCACCCAAGUGGUGAUCCGAGACUUGUGAAGGGCCGAUGUAGAUAGAAAGGCUUCGUCAAGCCCUCUUUCUUUCUAGUGUCUGUACUCAGACUAGUUGCUUCCGCAUGUGCUUGUAUGCUUGUAUGACUUGAGUCUCAGGUCAUGUGACCCCUAUCUGUAUGAACAUGUUAUGUAUGGCUCCUUGGAGCCACUUAAAUAAAGUACUUUGAGUUGUAGAGUUUUGUUGUGAUGCCAUGUUGUAUGUACUCAUAUCGGGCAUAUUGUGUGUAUGUUUGAAAUGCUUGGUAUGAGUGGGAUCCGACAAUCUAGUUGUUUAUCCUUGGCAGCCUCUCAUAUGGGGAAAUGUAGUCUAGUGCUUCCUGAGCGAUAGUAGUCCGCUACAGCCCGGUUCACCGGAGUCCUGCUAGCCCAGUACUACAGCUCUGGACACUUGACUGGACAGCAUGUGUUUCACUUCGUUCCUGUGUCUGUCCCUUUGCGGAAAUGUCACGCGGUGGCAUUCGGAGUCCUGCCUAGCCUGCUACAGCCCGGGUUACUGUUGGGAAACGUAGUAAUUUCAAAAUUUUCCUACGCACACACAAGAUCAUGGUGAUGGCAUAGCAACGAGAGGGGAGAGUGUUCGUCCACGUACCCUCGUAGACCGUAAGCGGAAGCGUUAGCACAACGCGGUUGAUGUAGUCGUACGUCUUCACGAUCCGACUAAUCCAAGCACUGAACGUACGUGGCCUCCGAGUUCAGCACACGUUCAGCUCGAUGAUGAUCUCCGGCCUCCAAUCCAGCGAAGCUCCGGAGAUGAGUUCCGUCAGCACGACAGCAUGGUGACGAUGAUGAUGUUCUACCUGCGCAGGGCUUCGCCUAAAAUCCGCGACGAUAUGACUGAGGUGGAAUAUGGUGGAGGGGGGCACCGCACACGGCUAAGGAACGAUCCAUAGAUCAACUUGUGUGUCUAUGGGGUGCCCCCCCCCCCCCGCCCCUGUAUAUAAAGGAGAAAGGGGGAGGCCGGCCGGCCCCUUGGGCGCGCCAAGGGAGGAGGAAUNNNNNNNNNNNNNNNNNNNNNNNNNNNNNNNNNNNNNNNNNNNNNNNNNNNNNNNNNNNNNNNNNNNNNNNNNNNNNNNNNNNNNNNNNNNNNNNNNNNNNNNNNNNNNNNNNNNNNNNNNNNNNNNNNNNNNNNNNNNNNNNNNNNNNNNNNNNNNNNNNNNNNNNNNNNNNNNNNNNNNNNNNNNNNNNNNNNNNNNNNNNNNNNNNNNNNNNNNNNNNNNNNNNNNNNNNNNNNNNNNNNNNNNNNNNNNNNNNNNNNNNNNNNNNNNNNNNNNNNNNNNNNNNNNNNNNNNNNNNNNNNNNNNNNNNNNNNNNNNNNNNNNNNNNNNNNNNNNNNNNNNNNNNNNNNNNNNNNNUCCGGUUUUCUCCGAAAUCACCCGGAACAAUUUCGGUGUCCGAAUAUAGUCGUCCAAUAUAUCAAUCUUUAUGACUCGACCAUUUCGAGAUUCCUCGUCAUGUCCGUGAUGACAUCCGGGACUCCGAACAAACUUCGGUACAUCAAAACUUAUAAACUCAUAAUAAAACUGUCAUCGUAACGUUAAGCGUGCGGACCCUACGGGUUCGAGAACUAUGUAGACAUGACCUAGAACCAUUCUUGGUCAAUAACCAAUAGCGGGACCUAGAUGCCCAUAUUGGUUCCUACAUAUUCUACGAAGAUCUUUAUCGGUCAAACCGCAUAACAACAUACGUUGUUCCCUUUGUCAUCGAUAUGUUACUUGCCCGAGAUUUGAUCGUCGGUAUCCAAUACCUAGUGCAAUCUCGUUACUGGCAAGUCUCUUUACUCGUUCCGUAAUACAUCAUCUCAUAACUAACUUAUUAGUUACAAUGCUUGCAAGGCUUAGGUGAUGAGUAUUACCAAGAGGACCCAGAGAUACCUCUCCGACAAUCGGAGUGACAAAACCUAAUCCCGAAUUAUGCCAACUCAACAUGUACCUUCGGAAACACCUAUAGAGCACCUUUAUAAUCACCCAGUUACGUUGUGACGUUUGGUAGCACACAAAGUGUUCUUCCGGUAAACGGGAGUUGCACAAUCUCAUAGUUGCAGGAACUUGUAUAAGUCAUGAAGAAAGCAAUAGCAGUAUACUAAACGAUCAAGUGCUAGGCUAACGGAAUGGGUCAUGUCAAUCACAUCAUUCUCCUAAUGAUGUGAUCCCGUCAAUCAAAUGACAACUCUUUUGUCCAUGGUUAGGAAACAUAACCAUCUUUGAUAAACGAGCUAGUCAAGUAGAGGCAUACUAGUGACACUAUGUUUGUCUAUGUAUUCACACAUGUAUCAUGUUUCCGGUUAAUAUAAUUCUAGCAUGAAUAAUAAACAUUUAUCAUGAUAUGAGGAAAUAAAUAAUAACUUUAUUAUUGCCUCUAUGGCAUAUUUCCUUCAGUCUCCCACUUGCACUAGAGUCAAUAAUCUAGAUUACAUGGUAAUGAUUUUGACACCCAUGGAGUCUUGGUGCUGAUCAUGUUUUGCUCGUGAGAGAGGCUUAGUCAACGGGUCUGCAACAUUCAGAUCCGUAUGUAUCUUGCAAAUCUCUAUGUCUCCCACUUGGACUUGGUCCCGAAUGGAAUUGAAGCGUCUCUUGAUGUGUUUGGUCCUCUUGUGAAAUUUGGAUUCCUUUGCCAAGGCAAUUGCACCAGUAUUGUCACAGAAGAUGUUCAUUGGUCCCGAUGCACUAGGUAUGACACCUAGAUCGGAAAUGAGAUCCUUCAUCCAGACUCCUUCAUUUGCUGCUUCUGAAGCAGCUAUGUACUCCGCUUCACAUGUAGAUCCCGCCACGAUGCUUUGUUUAGAACUGCACCAACUUACAGCUCCACCGUUUAAUAAAAACACGUAUCUGGUUUGCGAUUUAGAAUCGUCCGGAUCAGUGUCAAAGCUUGCAUCGACGUAACCGUUUACGACUAGCUCUUUGUCACCUCCAUAUAUGAGAAACAUAUCCUUAGUCCUUUUCAGGUAUUUCAGGAUGUUCUUGACCGCUGUCCAGUGAUCCACUCCUGGAUUACUUUGGUACCUUCCUGCCAAGCUUAUUGCUAAGCAUACGUCAGGCCUGGUACACAGCAUUGCAUACAUGAUAGAGCCUAUGGCUGAAGCAUAGGGAACAUUUUUCAUUUUCUCUCUAUCUUCUGCUGUGGUCGGGCAUUGAGUUUGACUCAACUUCACACCUUGUAGCACAGGUAAGAAUCCUUUCUUUGCCUGAUCCAUUUUGAACUUUUUCAAAAAAAAUUCAAGGUAUGUGCUUUGUGAAAGUCCUAUUAAGCGUCUUGAUCUAUCUCUAUAGAUCUUGAUGAGUAAUAUGUAAGCAGCUUCACCGAGGUCUUUCAUUGAAAAACUUUUAUUCAAGUAUCCCUUUAUGCUAUGCAGAAAUUCUAUAUCAUUUCCAAUUAAUAAUAUGGCAUCUACAUAUAAAAUUAGAAAUGCUACAGAGCUCCCACUCACUUUCUUGUAAAUACAGGCUUCUCCAAAUGUCUGUAUAAAACCAUAUGCUUUGAUCACACUAUCAAAGCGUUUAUUCCAACUCCGAAAUGCUUGCACCAGUCCAUAAAUGGAACGCUGGAGCUUGCAUACUUUGUCAGCACCUUUUGGAUCAACAAAACCUUCCGGCUGCAUCAUAUACAACUCUUCUUCUAGAAAUCCAUUCAAGAAUGCAGUCUUGACAUCCAUAUGCCAAAUUUCAUAAUCAUGAAAUGCAGCAAUAGCUAACAUGAUUCGGACAGACUUAAGCAUCGCUACGGGUGAGAAAGUCUCAUCGUAGUCAACCCCUUGAACUUGUCGAAAACCUUUUGCAACAAGUCGAGCUUUAUAGACAGUUACAUUACCAUCAGCGUCAGUCUUCUUCUUAAAGAUCCAUUUAUUCUCAAUGGCUUGCCAAUCAUCGGGCAAGUCAACCAAAGUCCAUACUUUGUUUUCAUACAUGGAUCCCAUCUCAGAUUUCAUGGCUUCUAGCCAUUUUGCGGAAUCUGGGCUCAUCAUCGCUUCCUCAUAGUUCGUAGGUUCACCAUGGUCAAGUAACAUGACUUCCAGAAUAGGAUUACCAUACAACUCUAGUGCGGAUCUUACUCUGGUAGACCUACGAGGUUCAGUAGAAACUUGAACUCCUCACUAAUUGGUGUAGUUGUCACAGGAACCGGUUCUCGUGAUGAACUACUUUCCAAUAAGGGAGUAGAUACAGUUAUCUCAUCAAGUUCUACUUUCCUCCCACUCACUUCUUUCGAGAGAAACUCCUUCUCUAGAAAGGAUCCAUUCUUAGCAACGAAUGUCUUGCCUUCAGAUCUGUGAUAGAAGGUGUACCCAACAGUCUCUUUUGGGUAUCCUAUGAAAACACAUUUCUCCGAUUUGGGUUCGAGCUUAUCUGGUUGAAGUUUCUUCACAUAAGCAUCGCAGCCCCAAACUUUAAGAAACGACAACUUUGGUUUCUUGCCAAACCACAGUUCAUAAGGCGUCGUCUCAACGGAUUUUGAUGGUGCCCUAUUUAACGUGAAUGCGGCCGUCUCUAAAGCAUAACCCCAAAACGAUAGCAGUAAAUCAGUAAGAGACAUCAUAGAUCGCACCAUAUCAAGUAAAGUACGAUUAUGACGUUCGGACACACCAUUUCGUUGUGGUGUUCCGGGUGGCGUGAGUUGCGAAACUAUUCCACAUUGUUUCAAGUGUAGGCCAAACUCGUAACUCAAAUAUUCUCCUCCACGAUCAGAUCGUAGAAACUUUAUUUUCUUGUUACGAUGAUUUUCCACUUCACUCUGAAAUUCUUUGAACUUUUCAAAUGUUUCAGACUUGUGUUUCAUCAAGUAGAUAUACCCAUAUCUGCUCAAAUCAUCUGUGAAGGUGAGAAAAUAACGAUACCCGCCGCGAGCCUCAACAUUCAUUGGGCCACAAACAUCAGUAUGUAUGAUUUCCAACAAAUUAGUUGCUCGCUCCAUAGUUCCGGAGAAUGGCGUUUUAGUCAUCUUGCCCAUAAGGCACAGUUCGCAAGUACCAAGUGAUUCAUAAUCAAGUGAUUCCAAAAGUCCAUCAGUAUGGAGUUUCUUCAUGCGUUUUACACCGAUAUGACCCAAAAGGCAGUGCCACAAGUAAGUUGCACUAUCGUUAUCAACUCUGCAUCUUUUGGUUUCAACACUAUGAACAUGUGUAUCACUACUAUCGAGAUUUAAUAAAAAUAAACCACUCUUCAAGGGUGCAUGACCAUAAAAGAUAUUACUCAUAUAAAUAGAACAACCAUUAUUCUUUGAUUUAAAUGAAUAACCGUCUCGCAUCAAACAAGAUCCAGAUAUAAUGUUCAUGCUUAACGCUGGCACCAAAUAACAAUUAUUCAGGUCUAAAACUAAUCCCGAAGGUAGAUGUAGAGGUAGCGUGCCGACCGCGAUCACAUCGACUUUGGAACCGUUUCCCACGCGCAUCGUCACCUCGUCCUUGGCCAGUGCUCGCUUAUUCCGUAGUCCCUAUUUCGAGUUGCAAAUAUUAGCAACAGAACCAGUAUCAAAUUCCCAGGUGCUACUACGAGCUCUAGUUAGGUACACAUCAAUAACAUGUAUAUCACAUGUAGCUUUGUUUACUUUGCCAUCCUUCUUAUCCGCCAAAUACUUGGGGCAGUUCCGCUUCCAGUGACCAGUCUGCUUGCAGUAGAAGCACUCAGUUUCAGGCUUAGGUCCAGACUUGGGUUUCUUCUCUUGAGCAGCAACUUGCUUGCUGUUCUUCUUGAAGUUCCCCUUCUUCUUCCCUUUGCCCUUUUUCUUGAAACUAGUGGUCUUGUUGACCAUCAACACUUGAUGCUCCUUCUUGAUUUCUACCUCCGCAGCUUUUAGCAUUGCGAAGAGCUCGGGAAUAGUCUUGUUCAUCCCUUGCAUAUUAUAGUUCAUCACAAAGCUCUUGUAUCUUGGUGGCAGUGAUUGGAGAACUCUGUCAAUGACGCUAUCAUCCGGAAGAUUAACUCCCAGUUGAAUCAAGUGAUUAUUAUACCCAGACAUUUUGAGUAUAUGCUCACUGACAGAACUAUUCUCCUCCAUCUUGCAGCUGUAGAACUUAUUGGAGACUUCAUAUCUCUCAAUCCGGGCAUUUGCUUGAAAUAUUAACUUCAACUCCUGGAACAUCUCAUAUGCUCCAUGACGUUCAAAACGUCGUUGAAGGCCCGGUUCUAAGCCGUAAAGCAUGGCACACUGAACUAUAGAGUAGUCAUCAGCUUUGCUCUGCCAGACGUUCUUAACGUCGUCAGUUGCAUCAGCAGCAAGCCUGGCACCCAGCGGUGCUUCCAGGACGUAACUUUUCUGUGCAGCAAUGAGGAUAAUCCUCAGGUUACGGACCCAGUCCGUGUAAUUGCUACCAUCAUCUUUCAACUUUUCUUUCUCAAGGAACGCAUUAAAAUUCAACGGAACAACAGCACGAGCCAUCUAUCUACAAACAAACAUAGACAAGCAAAAUACUAUCAGGUACUAAGUUCAUGAUAAAUUUUAAGUUCAAUUAAUCAUAUUACUUAAGAACUCCCACUUAGACAGACAUCUCUCUAGUCAUCUAAGUGAUUACGUGAUCCAAAUCAACUAAACCAUAACCGAUCAUCAUGUGAGAUGGAGUAGUUUUCACUGGUGAACAUCACUAUGUUGAUCAUAUCUACUAUAUGAUUCAUGCUCGACCUUUCGGUCUCCGUGUUCCGAGGCCAUAUCUGCAUAUGCUAGGCUCGUCAAGUUUAACCUGAGUAUUCUGCGUGUGCAAAACUGGCUUGUACCCGUUGUAGAUGGACGUAGAGCUUAUCACACCCUAUCAUCACGUGGUGUCUGGGCACGACAAACUUUGGCAAUGGUGCAUACUCAGGGAGAACACUUCUUGAUAAUUUUUGUGAGAGAUCAUCUUAAAAUGCUACCGUCAAUCAAAGCAAGAUAAGAUGCAUAAAGGAUAAACAUCACAUGCAAUCAAUAUAAGUGAUAUGAUAUGGCCCUCAUCAUCUUGUGCUUGUGAUCUCCAUCUUUGAAGCACCAUCGUGAUCACCAUCGUCACCGGCGCGACACCUUGAUCUCCAUCGUAGCAUCGUUGUCGUUACGCCAUCUAUUGCUUCUACGACUAUCUAUACCGCUUAGUGAUAAAGUAAAGCAAUUACAGGGUGUUUGCAUUUCAUACAAUAAAGCGACAACCAUAUGGCUCCUGCCAGUUGCCGAUAACUUCGGUUACAAAACAUGAUCAUCUCAUACAAUAAAAUAUAUCAUCACGUCUUGACCAUAUCACAUCACAACAUGCCCUGAAAAACAAGUUAGACGUCCUCUACUUUGUUGUUGCAAGUUUUACGUGGCUGCUAUGGGCUUAGCAAGAACUGUUCUUACCUACGCAUCAAAACCACAACGAUAGUUCGUCAAGUUGGUGCUGUUUUAACCUUCGCAAGGACCGGGCGUAGCCACACUCGAUUCAGCUAAAGUGAGAGAGACAGACACCCGCCAGCCACCUUUAAGCACGAGUGCUCGUAACGGUGAAACCAGUCUCACGUAAGCGUACGCGUAAUGUCGGUCCGGGCCGCUUCAUCUCACAAUACCGCCGAACCAAAGUAUGAAAUGCUGGUAAGCAGUAUGACUUGUAUCGCCCACAACUCACUUGUGUUCUACUCGUGCAUAUAACAUCAACGCAUAAAACCUAGGCUCGGAUGCCACUGUUGGGAAACGUAGUAAUUUCAAAAUUUUCCUACGCACACGCAAGAUCAUGGUGAUGGCAUAGCAACGAGAGAGGAGAGUGUUCGUCCAUGUACCCUCGUAGACCGUAAGCGGAAGCGUUAGCACAACGCGGUUGAUGUAGUUGUACGUCUUCACGAUCCGACCGAUCCAAGCACCGAACGUACGGGGCCUCCGAGUUCAGCACACGUUCAGCUCGAUGACGAUCUCCGGCCUCCGAUCCAGUGAAGCUCCGGAGAUGAGUUCCGUCAGCACGACGGCGUGGUGACGAUGAUGAUGUUCUACCGGCACAGGGCUUCGCCUAAACUCCGCGACAAUAUGACCGAGGUGGAAUAUGGUGGAGGGGGGGCACCGCACACGGCUAAGGAACGAUCCGUAGAUCAACUUGUGUGUCUAUGGGGUGCCCCCCGCCCCUGUAUAUAAAGGAGCAAGGGGGAGAGGCCGGCCGGCCCCUUGGGCGCGCCAAGGGAGGAGGAAUCCUCCUCCUAGUAGGAGUAGGACUCCUCCUUUCCUACUCCUACUAGGAGGGGGAAGGAAGGAGGAGAGGGGGAAGGAAAGGGGGGGCGCCGCCCCCCUCGUAGUCCAAUUCGGACCAGAGGGGGGGAGGGGGCGUGCGGCCCAUGCUGGCCGCCCCUCUCUCCUUUCCCCUAAGGCCCAUAAGGCCCAAUACUCUCCCGGGGGGUUCCGGUAACCCCCGGCACUCCGGUUUUCUCCGAAAUCACCCGGAACAAUUCCGGUGUCCGAAUAUAGUCGUCCAAUAUAUCAAUCUUUAUGUCUCGACCAUUUCGAGAUUCCUCGUCAUGUCCGUGAUGACAUCCGGGACUCCGAACAAACUUCGGUACAUCAAAAGAUAUAAACUCAUAAUAAAACUGUCAUCGUAACGUUAAGCGUGCGGACCCUACAGGUUCGAGAACUAUGUAGACAUGACCUAGAACCAUUCUCGGUCAAUAACCAAUAGCGGGACCUGGAUGCCCAUAUUGGUUCCUACAUAUUCUACGAAGAUCUUUAUCGGUCAAACCGCAUAACAACAUACGUUGUUCCCUUUGUCAUGGGUACGUUACUUGCCCGAGAUUUGAUCGUCGGUAUCCAAUACCUAGUUCAAUCUCGUUACUGGCAAGUCUCUUUACUCGUUCCGUAAUAUAUCAUCUCAUAACUAACUUAUUAGUUACAAUGCUUGCAAGGCUUAGGUGAUGAGUAUUACCGAGAGGGCCCAGAGAUACCUCUCCGACAAUCGGAGUGACAAAACCUAAUCUCGAAUUAUGCCAACUCAACAUGUACCUUCGGAAACACCUGUAGAGCACCUUUAUAAUCACCCAGUUACGUUGUGACGUUUGGUAGCACACAAAGUGUUCUUCCGGUAAACGGGAGUUGCACAAUCUCAUAGUUGCAGGAACUUGUAUAAGUCAUGAAGAAAGCAAUAGCAGUAUACUAAACGAUCAAGUGCUAGGCUAACGGAAUGGGUCAUGUCAAUCACAUCAUUCUCCUAAUGAUGUGAUCCCGUCAAUCAAAUGACAACUCUUUUGUCCAUGGUUAGGAAACAUAACCAUCUUUGAUAAACGAGCUAGUCAAGUAGAGGCAUACUACUGACACUAUGUUUGUCUAUGUAUUCACACAUGUAUCAUGUUUCCGGUUAAUAUAAUUCUAGCAUGAAUAAUAAACAUUUAUCAUGAUAUGAGGAAAUAAAUAAUAACUUUAUUAUUGCCUCUAGGGCAUAUUUCCUUCAGUUACCGGAGUCCUGUUAGCCCAGUGUUACAGCCCGGAUGUAUACGUUGAUGACCGACAUGCUCGAUGUGACUCAUGUAUGCCUGUCCCCAUAGGUUAGCGCCGCUUUGGGUUCAUGACUAGCCAUGUCAGCCCGGGUUCUCUGUCAUAUGGAUGCUAGCGACACUAUCAUAUACGUGAGCCAAAAGGCGCAAACAGUCCCGGCCAUGGUAAGGCGACACCCGUGGGAUUACCGUGCGUGAGGCCGCAAAGUGAUAUGAGGUGUUACCGGCUAGAUCAAUGUGACUUGGAAUCAUGGUCCAGACAGCAUUGGCAUCAGAGCCGGACUGCCUGUAGGUUCCUAAGCCAAACUGGUCGAUGUCGAGUCUAGAAAUGCUUUAGUUAUAUGUAGGGGAAUUUAUUGUGGGAGGAAACGUAAGGCUCUUUUUACCCCUUUACCUUAUGCCCUCUGAUCUGUGUCAUCCUCUUCUCAUUCUACGUGGGUUAAGGACUAGGCUCUCUUCUCUCUAUCAGGUUCACGUGUUACUAAUCCGUAGUAACUUAUAGGAUUGUUGGUUACCAGUCUCAGUACAGUUCCUACUACUUUAGUAUGUUAUCAGUUGAACCUGAACCUUGAUAUGAUGUUGUUGAGUGGUUUUGCAAUCCGUUGUGAAUGUCUCAAAUCUGCUCCUGAGCAUUUACAGCUGUUAUGUUGUCCAAUUUUCCCUAGGAAUUCUAAUGUCUUUGCAUUGUGGUUGUGCUUUCAGAUGGCCACUCGCGCUCAGAACCAAGUGGUUCGCCUGACGCGGUGCCUCAAUGUGCCCGGUCAUACUGCUAUGUUAGUCCGGGUCAUGAUCGAGACAGGUUACCGUUGGUAUCCCGAAUACAUUGCCGAAGAGCAAUUCCAAGACUUUAAUCAAAGCCAAUACUUCUGCACUGUCAGGAUAUUUCCUUCAUAUCCUGGAUCCACCGAGCCCCUUCACUGCUCCUAUGGACUCGGGGUCACCAUUGAGAUGGCUGUACAGGAUGCGGCCUAUUCUAUGAUGACCAUCAUGCGAGUCAGGACUGGUCUGCUUCGGAACACCGACUUCCGUUAUAUGCCAGCAUCGCUCCCAGGAGCGCAAGGGUAUCUCCAGGCUAUCUAUGCUGAUUCCACCCAUGAGGACUCACUAACUCGCACCAUUGCGGAGAUGCUCGAGGAUAAGGACCGAGAGAAUCAGGCCUUGAGGUUGGAGCUUUUCAACACCUGCGCCGAUCAUUGGGCCACUUUGACUCGGUUUGCACCGGCUGUGCAAGCUGGAUGUAUGGAUAUGAGGGAUCUGUUUCCUGUGAGAUCUGCUCUGCCAGACAUGGUGGAUUGGCGUGAUGUGGGAGGCAUCAUCCCACCCCGUGGUCCCCGUAGGCCAUCGUUUGUUGGUCCAAGACCUCAUCCUAGCCCCUAUGGUCCACAGGCUCCUCAGGACCGUCUGUUCCCGGAUGAUCACGUUGAGCUUCCAAGCUAUGGAGGGGACUUCUAUGAGGACUACUACGGAGCUGUCUGAGUUAGUAGUAGUAUCUUUAGUAUUGUAAUAGUUGUAAUUCCAUCGUCCUGCGUGACCUGUGGAAUAUGACUUAGUGUGUAUCAGUUCCGGAGGUGUAGAAAAAUAAUGUAUCGGAGCUUGGAAUGCCUCCGAUGAGAUGUAACUUCUUCCACCGUAGUUGUACUAUAGUCGGGCUUGUACUAAACUAUGUAUGGUGUGUAUGACUGUUGGUGCAUAUAUGGCAGUUUCUGUAUUACCAUGUCAUACAGAUGAACAUCUCUGCAUUCCUUGUUAUCCAUUACAUUCUGCACUUCCUUGUCCAGAUUUGCCAUCCUUGUCUAAAGCGAUGUCUUGUUUUCCUAGGAUGGUCAACACCCGUAACAACCCUGCUACUCCGGAGCAGGGUGAAGCCAGUGCAGCUAGGAAUGAAAAUCUGCCUCAACCACCUUCUCUGGUCGAAGUUAUGCUGGAGGCAGAGCGAAAUAAGCGUGAGACCAAUCGCUUGCUGGAGCGGAUUGAGCAGAAUACCGCACGCCAGCCGAGGAACGACCUGGUGUCACUUAAUGACUUUGUCAAGCUGUAUCCACCGAAGUUUAAACAUUCCGUCGAGCCCCUUGAUGCGGAUGAAUGGCUUCGCAGCAUUACCCACAAGCUACGUUCUGUCAAUGUGGCCGAAGCUGAUAAGGUUAACUUUGCUACCUAUCACCUCGAAGGCCCUGCUAGCCUUUGGUGGGAAAACUUUGAGGCUAUGCGCCCGGUCGGCCAAAUUACUACUUGGGCUGAAUUCAGUAUGGAGCAUCACAUUCCGGAAGGUCUUAUGGAUCGCAAGCGUGAAGAGUUCUGCAACUUCACCCAGGGUAGACUGACUGUGGAUGCAUACAGUCGCGAGUUUGGAUAUCUAGCACGAUAUGCUCCUAAAGAGGUAUCCACCGACGCCAAGAAGCAGGCAAGGUUCCGCAAGGGACUUAGCCCCGAGCUUCGUCGUGAUCUUCGUCUGCACGAGUGCACCUCCUUCCAGAAGUUAGUCAACAAGGCCAUCAGUGCUGAGACAGGGCAGUCGGACUUUGAAGCUUCACGCAAGCACUCCCGUGACUUUGGACUUCAUCCGGCUGUGCAUCUCAGAAGCGCCGGGUCUGGAUUCCAAGCACUGCUCUGCCACCCAGGUUCACCCCGAGGCCAUCCUUUGACGCGCCUCGCCCCAACCAAUAGUAUACACCGCCCAAGGCCUAUGGUGGCCCCACUGCUAAUGCUACUCCAUGCCCCAAUGUGAUAACUUGUUUCAAGUGUGGGGAGACGGGUCACUACAUUCGUGAGUGUCCCCAAAACAACCCCAACCAGAUUGGAAAGUCUGUUGGCCGUGGCAAGCCAGCAGGAAAGGUGCUCUACGCCAAGCCAGCCACCACUGCCCGUGGCCAUGUCAACUAUGUCUCAGCAGAGGAGACUCAUGAGGAUCCCAACGUCGUUCUCGGUACGCUUCUUGUUAAUUGCCACCCGGCAACCAUUCUCUUUGAUACUGGAGCAUCUCAUUCAUUUAUAUCUGAAAGCUAUGCUCGAUUGCACAACACCACAUUUUGUGACAUGCCCACCUCCAUGGUAAUUCAAACCCCUGGUUCUAAGUGGCAAACCUCUAAAAUCAGCCAUGGAAAUGAAAUCCUUGUCGACAGAUUAGUCUUCCUUGCAUCACUAAUAGCUCUCAAGUCCUCGGACAUAAACAUCAUCUUGGGUAUGGACUGGAUGUCAGCCCAUUACGCUAAGAUCGAUUGCUCCACUAGAACUGUUCAACUCACCCACCCUUCGGGCAAGACAGCCAAUGUUUUGACCCGAGUGUCUAAGCGUCAGCUUUACUCUUUAAAUGCCAACCCCCUUCCAGACCUUGAAGAUAUUCCGGUAGUCCGUGACUUCCCGGAUGUCUUUCCAGAGGAACUGUCAGGUGUUCCACCUAACAGAGAUGUCAAGUUCGUGAUAGACCUUGUUCCAGGAACCAUGCCAACAUCUAGGAGACCUUAUAAGAUGGCACCCCUAGAACUAGCUGAGCUUAAGAAACAACUCGAUGAGUCCUUGCAAAAGGGUUUCAUCCAUCCUAGCUCUUCUCCAUGGGCUUGCCCCGUCCUUUUCGUCAAGAAGAAGGAUGGAACGGAUCGGAUGGUUGUAGAUUACCGGCCAGUCAACUUGGUCACUAUCAAGAACAAGUAUCCGCUCCCCAAGAUCAACGACCUGUAUGAUCAGCUCGCUGGAUCCUCAGUCUUUUCUAAAAUGGAUUUGAGGUUGGGCUACCAUCAAAUCAAAAUUAAGAACGGGGACAUUCCUAAAACGGCCUUUGUUACUCGAUAUGGCCAAUACGAGUACACCGUCAUGUCCUUCGGUCUAACCAAUGCCCCAGCCACCUUCUCUCGGUUAUUGAACUCGAUCUUCAUGGAGUAUUUUGAUAAAUUCGUCGUGGUUUACCUUGAUGAUAUACUCAUCUACUCCAAGAAUGAAGAAGAACAUGCCGAACAUCUAAGGCUAGUGUUGAUGAAACUUUGAGAGCAUUGUCUUUAUGCCAAAUUCUCUAGGUGUGAGUUUUGGUUGCCAGAAGUAACCUAUCUAGGACAUGUAAUCUCUGGUAAGGGCAUUGCUGUCAAUCCCAAGCGAGUUCAAGCCAUCCUUGACUGGACUCCACCUGAAACGGUCAAGCAAGUUCAGAGUUUUGUUGGUUUAGCGAGCUAUUGCCGCUGCUUCAUCGAGAAUUUCUCCAAGGUUGCUAAGCCUCUAACCGAACUCCUCAAGAAAGAUAAAAAGUUCGAAUGGACGCCAUAGUGCGAGUUCAGUUUUCAGGAACUGAAAAGACGCCUGACAUCUGCUCCUGUACUUGUUCCACCAGAUUUCUCUAAGGACUUCGUUAUCUACUGCGACGCCUCGCGACAAGGACUAGGUUGCAUACUCAUGCAAGAUCGUCAUGUGAUUGCCUACGCUUCUCGACAGCUGCGUCCACAUGAGGAUAACUAUCCCACACAUGAUCUACAGCUUGCAGCAGUGGUCCAUGCACUCAAAACCUGGCGACAUUACCUUCUCGGUAAUCGUUGCGAGAUUUACACCGAUCACCAAAGUCUGAAAUACAUCUUCACCAAACCGGAUUUGAAUCUCAGACAAAGACGUUGGGUCGAGUUGAUUACGGAUUACGAUCUAGGAAUAACCUACACCCCAGGAAAAGCCAAUGUCAUGGCUGAUGCAUUAAGCCGUAAAUCUUAUUGUAACAACCUGAUGUUACAACAAAGCCAACCAUUUCUCCACGAGGAAUUUCGUAAGCUUAACCUUCACAUCGUUCCUCGAGGUUUUCUUUCCACCCUGGUGGCGAAACCUACCCUUACGGAUCAGAUCAUCAAGGCACAGAAGGUAGAUCCGGGAAUAUCCCGUAUCAAGAGAAACAUCAAAAGGGAGUUGGACUGUUUCUCCAUAGAUGAUCAAGGUGUUGUGUUCUUUGGAGGCCAUCUAGUGGUUCCCAAGGUAUGCAACCUGAGGCGAUUGAUCCUUAAGGAAGCUCAUGAAUCCCCUCUCACUAUUCAUCCCAGUAGUACUAAAAUGUAUCAAGACCUACGCCAGAGGUUUUGGUGGACUAGGAUGAAGAGAGAAAUCGCUCAAUACAUUACCAAUUGCGACGUCUGUCGUCGAGUUAAAGAAGAGCAUCAACGACCUGCUGGCACCCUGCAACCUUUGGAAAUUCCCGAAUGGAAAUGGGAUAAAAUCGGUAUGGAUUUCAUUACCGGGUUUCCCAGGACCAAGAGGGGGAAUAAUGCUAUCUUCGUUGUUGUCGAUCGUCUUUCCAAAGUAGCCCACUUCCUACACGUUCGUGAGAGUUUAACCGCUAGCCAGCUAGCUGACUUAUACAUCUCCCGAAUAGUGUCUCUUCAUGGUGUUCCAUUGGAGACUAACUCAGACCGUGGAAGUCUCUUCACCUCUCGAUUUCGGGAAAGUUUCCAAAAUGCGAUGGGAACUCGUCUUUCUUUUAGCACCGCUUUCCAUCCUCAAUCAAGUGGUCAAGUAGAACGAGUCAAUCAAAUUCUAGAGGAUAUGCUUCGAGCUUCUGUCAUCUCUUUUGGUAUGAAUUGGGAGAAGUGCCUUCCAUUCGCUGAGUUCGCUUAUAACAAUAGUUAUCAAGCUAGCUUGGACAAAGCUCCUUUCAAAGUUCUCUAUGGAUGAAAAUGUCGAACACCUCUUAACUGGUCAGAAACCGGGUAAAGACAACUCUUUGGCCCGGAUAUGAUCCAGGAAGCAGAGGAGCAGGUUCACGUUAUUCGUGAGAAAUUGAAAACAGCCCAAUCUCAUCAAAAGAGCCAAUAUGACCGCAAACAUACACUAGUAGAAAAGGGGCCAAUGGUCCAGGCCGGUCCAGCCCAUUAGUCCCGGUUCAAUCCAGAACCGGGACCAAUGGGGGCAUUGGACCCGGUUCGUGAGCCCUGGGGGCCGGCCGGGCCACGUGGGCCAUUGGUCCCGGUUCGUCCUGACCUUUCGGUCCCGGUUGGUGGGACGAACCGGGACCAAUGGGCCUCGCUCCUGGCCCACCAACAUUGGUCCCGGUUGGUGGCUUGAACCGGGACCAAAGGCGUCCCUUUAGUCCCGGUUCAAGUCACCAACCGGGACCAAUUAGUUGCCUAUAUAUACCCCUCGCCUGCGAGCAGAGCACUCCCAGUGCUCUGUUUUUCGUGGCUGGCGAGGGGAGAGCUUUGUGGUGCUCUAGCUCACGUCCUAUGCACACAAGGUGUUCGAUGGAAUGCCCGAGCCACACUACUUAAGCUUUCUCCUCUCCAAGCUCGACCUCCAAGCUCCAUUUUCCUUCAUAUUUGUCUAGGUUUAGCGGUUCGUCACGUCCCGUCCCCAUCUUCACCACCGUUGAUCGCCCGCGCCGAUCUCGUCGCCGGCACCACCGUGGUGAGCCUCUUGUUCUUAUCUUCUUUCUGAAAGGAAAAAAAAUUCUUACUUGUAUGUUUAUAUAGAUACUUGUAUAAUUUUCUUACUUUUAUUAUUGCAUCUUAUAUAGUGCGAUGGUUUUGGUAUCCGCCCCCGUCGGCCCUCGUCCUGUCUAUGAUUCAGAUGUGGUAUAUAUAUAUUAUCUUUUCAUAACUAGUGGUUCAUUUAUUGUUUAUGACAAUUAUGCCGACCAACGUGACAUAGAUUUUAUUUAUCUAGGAGGUUGUUGAACCGGAAAUUCCAACCGACCCUAUUGUCGAGAGGUUAAAUUUAGUUGAAGAAAACAAUUUGUUGAAGGGAAAAAUUAGAAAAAUUGAGGAGGAGAAGAUGAUAUUGGAGUUGCAUGUUGCGGAUGUCAUCGAUGAUCACAAGAUCAAGAUGGAUGCAAUGCGCUUGAAGAUUAGAAAGAUUAGAAAAUAUGCCAUUCAUACCGAGGCUUGGUAUCAUUAUGUCGUUGGAUCAGUUGUUACAUUGGUUGCGAUUAUGAUCGUAUUUGUUUUCGCAUUGAAAUGUUUUACAUAGUUUCAGUGUAUGGUUUAAUUAAUUUAGAUGCCCUGCAGAGCUUUAUGUUGUUAGAUGAGAACUAUGUAUGUACUUUGGUUUUAAUGUGAUGAUGAACUUCUAUUAAUUUCGUCACUUAAUUAUCUAUUCAUGAUGUUCUGUAAUGAUUUUUGACACACUUAAUUAUAUAUAAUGCACGCAGAUGAACCGGCAAUGGAUGUACGGUUCAAGACACACCUCCGAGUACAUUAAGGGCGUGCAUGAUUUUCUCGAAGUGCCUGAGGCAACAAGAAGAAUGGUUUUAUGUGUUGUCCAUGCCCUAUAUGUGGGAAUACGAAGUCUUACUCUGACUGGAAAAUCCUCCACACCCACCUUCUUUACAAGGGUUUCAUGCCACACUAUAAUGUUUGGACGAGGCACGGAGAAAUAGGGGUUAUGAUGGAAGACGGCGAAGAAGAAGAGUACGAUGACAACUAUGUGCCCCCUGAAUACGGUGAUGCUACUGAAGAUCAAGAGGAACCAGACGAUGUGCCCGAUGAUGAUGAUCUCCGCCGGGUCAUUGUCGAUGCAAGGACGCAAUGCGAAAGUCAAAAGGAGAAGCUGAAGUUCGAUCGCAUGUUAGAGGACCACAAAAAAGGGUUGUACCCCAAUUGUGAAGAUGGCAACACAAAGCUCGGUACCGUACUGGAAUUGCUGCAGUGGAAGGCAGAGAAUGUUGUGCCUGACAAAGGAUUUGAGAAGCUACUGAAAAUAUUGAAGAAGAAGCUUCCAAAGGAUAACGAAUUGCCCGACAGUACAUACACAGCAAAGAAGUUCGUAUGCCCUCUAGGAUUGGAGGUGCAGAAGAUACAUGCAUGCCCUAAUGACUGCAUCCUCUACCGCGGUGCGUACAAGGAUCUGAACGCAUGCCCGGUAUGCGGUGCAUUACGGUAUAAGAUCAGACGAGAUGACCCUGGUGAUGUUGACGGCGAGCCCCCCAGGAAGAGGGUUCCUGCGAAGGUGAUGUGGUAUGCUCCCAUAAUACCACGGUUGAAACGUCUGUUCAGAAACGGAGAGCAUGCCAAGUUGAUGCGAUGGCACAGUGAGGACCGUAAGAAAGACGGGAAGUUGAGAGCACCCGCUGACGGGUCGCAGUGGAGAAAAAUCGAGGGAAAGUACUGGGAUGAGUUUGCAAGUGAGCCAAGGAACGUAUGGUUUGCUUUAAGCGCGGAUGGCAUUAAUCCUUUCGGGGAGCAGAGCAGCAAUCACAGCACCUGGCCCGUGACUCUAUGUAUGUAUAACCUUCCUCCUUUGAUGUGCAUGAAGCAGAAGUUCAUUAUGAUGCCAGUUCUCAUCCAAGGCCCUAAGCAACCCGGCGACGACAUUGAUGUGUACCUAAGGCCAUUAGUUGAAGAACUUUUAUAGCUGUGGAAUGGAAAUAGUGUACGUACGUGGGAUGAGCACAAACAGGAGGAAUUUAACCUAAAGGCGUUGCUGUUCGUGACCAUCAACAAUUGGCCCGCUCUCAGUAACCUUUCAGGACAGACAAACAAGGGAUACCACGCAUGCACGCACUGUUUACUUGACACCGAUAGUAUAUACCUAGCAAGUUGUAGGAAGAAUGUGUACCUGGGCCAUCAUCGAUUUCUUUCGACCAACCAUCAAUGUUGAAAGAAAGGCAAGCAUUUCAAAGGCGAGGCAGAUCACCGGAAGAAGCCCUCCAUGCGUACUGGUAUCACGUACUUGCUAUGGUAGUGAUUUACACGUAAUCUUUGGAAAGUGUCCCGGCGGACUAGCUGUUCCGAAUGACGCUGAGAAUCACGCACCCAUGUGGAAGAAGAAAUCUAUAUUUUGGGACCUACCCUACUAGAAAGACCUAGAGGUCCGCUCUUCGAUCGACGUGAUGCACGUGACGAAGAACCUUUGCGUGAACCUGCUAGGCUUCUUGGGCAUGUAUGGGAAGACAAAAGAUACAACUGAGGCACGGGAGGACCUGCAACGCUUGCACGAAAAAGUGGGCAUGCCUCCGAAGCAGUAUGAAGGUCCUGCCAGCUACGCUCUUACGAAAGAAGAGAAAUAAAUCUUCUUUGAAUGCCUGCUCAGUAUGAAGGUCCCGACUGGCUUCUCUUCGAAUAUAAAGGGAAUAAUAAAUAUGCCAGACAAAAAGUUCUAGAACCUAAAGUCUCAUGACUGCCACGUGAUUAUGACGCAACUGCUUCCGGUUGCAUUGAGGGGGCUUCUACCGGAAAACGUCCGAUUAGCCAUUGUGAACCUAUGUGCAUUCCUCAAUGCAAUCUCUCAGAAGGUGAUCGAUCCAGAAAUCAUACCAAGGCUAAGGACUGAUGUGGUGCAAUGUCUUGUCAGUUUCGAGCUGGUGUUCCCACCAUCCUUCUUCAAUAUCAUGACGCACGUCCUAGUUCAUCUAGUUGACGAGAUUGUCAUUCUGGGCCCCGUAUUUCUACACAAUAUGUACUUCUUUGAGAGGUUCAUGGGAGUCCUAAAGAAAUAUGUCUGUAACCGCGCUAGGCCAAAAGGAAGCAUCUCCAUGGGCUAUCAAACAGAGGAUGUCAUCGGGUUUUGUGUUGACUUCAUUCCUGGCCUUAAGAAUAUAGGUCUCCCUAAAUCGCGGUAUGAGGGGAGACUGACUGGAAAAGGCACGCUUGGAAGGGACUCAAUUAUAUGCAGGGACGGAUAUUCUUGGUCUCAAGCACACUACACAGUUCUACAGAACUCUACCUUGGUGACCCCGUAUGUCGAUGAACACAAGAACAGUCUGCGCUCCAAACACCCGGAGCAGUGCGACGACUAGAUUACAUGUGAACACAUCAGGACUUUCAGUAGUUGGUUGGAAGCACAUAUCAGAGGUGACAACACUGUUUGUGAUGAGUUGUACUUGUUGUCCAGGGGACCAUCUUUGACUGUAUUGAUUUGGAAAGGAUACGAGAUAAAUGGGAAUACAUUUUACACGAUUGACCAAGAUCAAAAGAGCACCAACCAAAACAGCGGUGUCCGCUUUGAUGAAACAACCGAGAGGGGAAAGGACACAUAUUGUGGUUACAUAGUGGACAUAUGGGAACUUGACUACGGACACGAUUUUAAGGUCCCUUUGUUUAAGUGCAAAUGGGUCAAUCUGUCAGGUGGCAGGGUACAGGUAGACCCACAGUACGGAAUGACAAUAGUGGAUCUGGAAAAUCUUGGAUACACUGACGAACUGUUCGUCCUAGCCAAUGAUGUGGCACAGGUUAUCUAUGUGAAGGACAUGUCUACCAGACCAAGAAAGAGAAAAGAUAAGGAAGCGAAUACAUCAUACGAUGAGCCAAAGUGCCACAUAGUUCUUUCAGGAAAAAGGGACAUCGUGGGAGUGGAGGACAAGACAGACAUGUCUGAAGAUUAUGAAAAGUUUCAUGAAAUUCCUCCCUUUAAUGUCAAGGCUGACCCCAGCAUCCUGAUAGACGAUGAAGAUUAUCCAUGGUUACGGCGCAAUAAGCAAAUGACACAAGCGAAGAAAAAGUGAAGACUUUCUCCCGCAACUAUUAUGAUGAUACCAUGCCAAAUUUGUAACUGACGAGUAUGAUACCAUUGUCCGUUUUGUACAUGCACAUGCUAUGUGGGUCAAUUUAUGAUACCAUGCCAACUUUCAACUUUUUCAGAGUUCAUUUGAAAUGCUUUAAUGUCUUAUGGUUCGGCCCUCGUAAUGAUUAAAAAUAGCAACAAUAAGUAUUUUGUUGUAAGUAGAAACAAAAUAAAAUAAAUAAAGCAAGAAAGAAAACAAAAAAAACAAAAAAAGUGUUUUCAAAUUUGAAAACUAAUGGUACUAACAGAAAGUUUAUAAUUUUCCUAAAACUAAAAGCAAAAAGAAUUGAAAAAUAAAGCAAAAAACAAAAGACAAUAAAUAAUGCAGAAAUCAAAACAAAAAACAACAAUAAGUAUUUUGUUGUAUGUAGAAACAAAACAAAAUAAAUAAAGCAAGAAAGAAAACAAAAAAACAAAAAAAGUGUUUUCAAAUUUGAAAACUAGGGCACUAACAGAAAGUUUAUAAUUUUCCUAAAACUAAAAGCAAAAAGAAUUAAAAAAUAAAGCAAAAAACAAAAGAAAAUAAAUAAUGCGGAAAACAAAACAAAAAAACUGGAAAAAAAAUAAAAUAGCAAAAAUAAGUAAAGAAAACAAAAAAAUGCCUCCUACUGGGCCCCCACGGCCUGAAUACGACUAGAAACCCUACUAUGGGCCAGGAUUCAGGCCCGCAGUAGGCCCAGAAGGCCCAUCAGGCAAAGCAAUAGCAAGUAGGCCCGAAAGCCUGCGGUGGAGAGGAGCUCGAGAGGGGUGCGGCAGUGGGGCUUAUAAACCACUGCACGCCCCUCUCAACUAGCGAGGUGGGACUAAACUUUGGCCCCGACGCGGGAAGCACAGGGGCCUUUGGUCCCGGUUGGUGGCACCAACCGGGACUAAAGGGGGGGGCAUUGGUACCGGUUCGUGGCACCAACCGGUACCAAAGGCCGCCGCUUCCCGCCCUUUGGGCUGCCGAAAAGGAGGCCUUUGGUCCUAGUUGGUGGCACUAACCGGGACUAAAGGGUGCAUUAGUCCCGGUUGAUUUCACGAACCGGGACCAAUGCCUUUGCUAUAUAAGCAAACACUUUGCAAAAUUUCAGAAUCCCAUCGCCAGUUGCCCCCGACGACGCCGACCCUCCUCGACGCUGCCAGGCUGCUCCACCUCGCCGUCGUCGCCGCCACCGCCAAGCCGUCGCCUCCCCGAGCCCGCGCCAUCCUCGUCGCCGGCCUCCCUGAGCCCGCGCCGUCCUCGUCGCCGGUCUCCUCGAGCCCGCUCCCCGUCCCGCCCCCGCGCGCCGCCGCCCCGAGCCCCUGCCCCGUCCUGCCCCCAUGCGCNNNNNNNNNNNNNNNNNNNNNNNNNNNNNNNNNNNNNNNNNNNNNNNNNNNNNNNNNNNNNNNNNNNNNNNNNNNNNNNNNNNNNNNNNNNNNNNNNNNNNNNNNNNNNNNNNNNNNNNNNNNNNNNNNNNNNNNNNNNNNNNNNNNNNNNNNNNNNNNNNNNNNNNNNNNNNNNNNNNNNNNNNNNNNNNNNNNNNNNNNNNNNNNNNNNNNNNNNNNNNNNNNNNNNNNNNNNNNNNNNNNNNNNNNNNNNNNNNNNNNNNNNNNNNNNNNNNNNNNNNNNNNNNNNNNNNNNNNNNNNNNNNNNNNNNNNNNNNNNNNNNNNNNNNNNNNNNNNNNNNNNNNNNNNNNNNNNNNNNNNNNNNNNNNNNNNNNNNNNNNNNNNNNNNNNNNNNNNNNNNNNNNNNNNNNNNNNNNNNNNNNNNNNNNNNNNNNNNNNNNNNNNNNNNNNNNNNNNNNNNNNNNNNNNNNNNNNNNNNNNNNNNNNNNNNNNNNNNNNNNNNNNNNNNNNNNNNNNNNNNNNNNNNNNNNNNNNNNNNNNNNNNNNNNNNNNNNNNNNNNNNNNNNNNNNNNNNNNNNNNNNNNNNNNNNNNNNNNNNNNNNNNNNNNNNNNNNNNNNNNNNNNNNNNNNNNNNNNNNNNNNNNNNNNNNNNNNNNNNNNNNNNNNNNNNNNNNNNNNNNNNNNNNNNNNNNNNNNNNNNNNNNNNNNNCGCUGCAUUGGCUCUGUUUUUUUUUCAUUUUUAUUAGUUUAAUUAUUUUUUUGUUCAUAUAUAUAUAUAUAUAUAUAAUGUAUAUGUGUAUGUAUGUGGCUAUAUAUGUGUAUGUAGAUGUUCAAAAAUUAUUCAGAGCACGUUUUUAUUCAUAUAUGUAUUUUUUGUUCAUAUGUGUAUUAAUGUUUUCAUAUAUGCAAAAGAUAGAUUUUUAGAAAAGUUAGGGUUUUUUUUUCUAUUCAUAGAUUUUUUUGGUGAUAUUAAUUAUUGUAGAAUAUGCAAAUGUUUGUAUAUUCAUAUGAACAAUGCAUUAGGCAAAACCUUUGUUUUUUUUGAAAUUUUUUAUUUGAACAUUUUUUAAAAACAAGCAAUACUAAAAGAAUGAGAGGAAAAAGGAAAAUAAGAAGAGGAAGAAAGGAGAAGAAGAGGAGAGGAAGAAGAGGAGAAAUAAAUAAGAAGAGGAAAAAAGAAGAGGGGAAGAAGAAAGGAAUAGAGGAGAAGAAGAAAAAUAGAAAUUUUCUAUUUUUCUUCUUCUCCUCUAUUCCUUUCUUCUUCUCCUCUUUAUUUUCUUCUUUUUUUUCUUCUUCCUUCUUCCUCUUUUCUUCCUUUUCCUUAUUUUCCUUUCUCGAGGGAGAAGAAGAAAAAGAAGAGUAAAAGAAGAAGAAAGGAAUAGAGGAGAAAGAAGAAACUUCAACACAAGGGGGGGUUACCGAUACCCCCUCCCCGAUAACAUUAUUUUCCCAUGUAUAUGUAUGUCGCGUCAUUGUCGAUAUAACCCCCUCGAGAUAACUUCGACAUGAGGGGCGGUCGAUAUAUAUACCCCCUCUCGACCGUGAUAACUUAUACAACGGCAGCACCCCCCUCGGCCCUCUCGCUCGACCAAAACUCUUGAGGACACCCAAACCCUAGAGAGAAAACGAUGUUGGUCUCCUACCCCCUCCCGCCGCGCCCCUACCCGACAUAUUAACUCUCUCGAGGCCACCCAAAUUUACCAAGUUAAAAGAGCGUUGUCGUCGAGGCCACCCCAAACCCUUGAAGCGUUGUGUCGAGGAGACCCCAAACCCUAGAGAAGCAGCGUCGAGGCCACUAACAUGGAUCGAUCCAUCUGUAAUAAUAAUUGACAUGGUGUAAAUAUUUGCAGAAACUAUGGAGCACUCCCGAGACGAAGAAACAGAAGCGAUGUUGGGGGACAUUAUCGCACAAGGAAGUGAUGAAGUUGCGUCAUUUCUCAACGACACCGAUGGUCAGGAACGACUGGGUGAAGAAGAGGGCUAUGUUCAUGAUGGCUUCGACCCAUUAAUGCCGGUACAAGAAGAGGACUAUGUUCAUGAUGGCUCUGGUGACACAAUGGAGGUACAAGAAGGAGACCGUGCUGACUGCUCCGGUGACCGAACCGAGUCCGGCCAGGUAUAUAUAUAUAUAUUAGUUAAGCCCGUGCUGACUAGUUAAUUGAUGCAUCCAUUGUUUUGGUAUAUGUACACAUAUUAAUUACUCUCGUCUUUCUUCCUUAUAAUUUCUAGCCCUCCGGAUCGAGCACAACUUCGGUAAGAAGACGAAGCCCGAAGAAAAAGUUGAGCUCGGAUGAAAAGUUUGAGAUCAUAGAAAUCGCGCCCGACGGCGAACCGAUUGAACCCAUCCGGACAAGGAAGGCAUUUUCUGCUCAGUGCGGGGUUCUUGUUAGGGACAAGAUCCCGAUCAGCAUCCAUCAAUGGUAUAAGCCUAAGGAGGAAGACCCCGAGGUGUCUUAUGUCAAUGAUAUGCAGAAAGAAGAUCUUUGGACUGAGCUAAAGGCAAAUUUCACCCUACCGCUAGAGGAGGAUCCGGAGAAGCCAGUUAUAGAGCAAUUAAUCAAUUCUUGUGCUCUUAAGAAGAUGGCAACCCUAAUGAGGAGGUGGAGGAAAGAGGUGAACCAGUUUGUCGAGAAAGAUAAGACACCAGAAUUCAUCGGCAAAUAUGAGAAGAUCAAAGAUCACUGGCCCGCAUUUGUGGCCCACAAGACAUCGGAAAAGAGUAAGAAGAUGUCGGCAACAAACAAGAAAAAUUCUGCAAAGAAGAAGCUUCACCAUCGCACGGGGUCAGGUGGCUACCUCAAAGCCCGGCCUAAGUGGUCCAAGGCUGAGCAUGAUCUGCUUGAAAAAGGGAUCGAACCAGAGACAAUGUACUGGCCAGACCGUUGUCGGACUUGGUUCUUCGGGGCUGGCGGAACCUUGGACCCUGUAACAGGGAAGUGCCAGUGGACGGAUGAGCAACUACAAAUACCAGUCAAGAAACUUCGACACUAUAUCGAUGCAGCGUAGCGAGGGACGCUCCUUCCAAACAGGGAGAAGGACGAGCUCACAAUGGCCCUUGGGAAUCCUGAGCACCCUGGAUGGACACGAGGCACGCCAGGCUCCAUUCCAUGGAAGGUUGGUCUUCCGCACACAGGGGGUUACAAAACCCACGAGAGGAGGAAGAAACUGGAGCAGGACCAAAUGCAGGCGCUGCACGAAAGGGUAAUGGGGCUAGAGGAACGAGAAGCAGCAGAUCGCAGCAAACGACAUGCCGAAGCUUCCCCCGAAGCUACCUCGCCAUCUCAGCGGAGAAGCAGCGUGGCUUCCACCGAGCUGCUUCAGCCGGAGCAUGUCUUGACGUCUCCUGCCAGCUAUCCCGUGGAUGGUAUCACGGAGUCUCAAAGUUGCCACAUUAUGACGCAAUGUAUGAAUUUGAAGGUCAAGGCGGCUGUUGGCCAAGUUUAUCCUAGUGGACCCGGCACAACUUAUCACUGCCAGCCGAUUCCAGAAGGAUUUGCUAAGGUGAUGGUGGAUGAAAUAACGGAGGGAUUUGAGGACCUCCUGCUUGAGCACCCUACCGGUGAAGGGGAGACUAGGCUGGGUUCUGCUCUGAAGACUCCAUGCCUAUGGCGGAAGGAGCUCAUCAACCUUCCGAACUGGACGCCUCCGCCUCCUCCUCCUCCUCCGGCGAGUCAGGGCACUCCGCCUCCUCCACCGCCUCCUCCUCCGGCGAGUGAUGAUCAGGGCACACGUGGCAGCACUCCGCCUCCUUCUCCGCCUGCGCCGGCGCGCCCGAGCAGCCAGCCUCCUCCUUCUCCGCCUCGUCAGCAAGGGCGAAAGAGACCCGCCGCUGCUCCGGCUGCUCCGGCGCGUCGUAAUCCUUCUCCUCCGCCUCACAAAAAGCAAGCAAAGAAGACAUCCACUCCGUCUGCUCUGUCGGUGUCUAGCAGUACAGCCAAAGGCGGGAAGAAAUACAGAUUUGGUCCUUCUCCGAAGACUCCAGAGAAGUUACCGUACGAGAGGACCGAGGAGGAAAACGCGGAGAUCACGCAGAACGAACUGGAUGGCUGGUUUGCAGGGUUGAAAGCAAAGAGACAUCCACCUCCGGAGGAGAAGGUAGAUCCGGUGAAAGUGAAGCGCACUCUGGCUGCCCUGAGGAAACCGGCAAAGUCUCCGCCGAGAACCAACUAUGAGCGCAUUACUGAACAGACAUAUCUCCAAGCGGAGCAGUCGGGAAGUACUGUCAGACAUCAAAGAGCAAAAGAACGAGCAGCUGCGAAAAAAGUUGACCAGCUCGGCGAACAACCAAACCAAUCGUGCCCCCCGCUCAAUGUGUCUAGCGGCAACAUCGUCGCUAAUGUUCCGGGGAUCAUGGACGGUUAUGGCAAUCCACAAUAUUACCUGCCUGACGAUGCACUUCCUGAAUUCAUGAUGGUGGAAGAACGCAGAUACGAGUACGGGAAGCCUCUCAUCAAAGAUGUAAAAUCUCUAACAACGAUGAUGCGAAGAUUCCAUACUUGGUACAUGAAAACCUGCAGAGAGUCUGGGGGGACGAAUAGUUUGUAUCUACACAUUAAAGAGGAGCACGACCUCGUUGGAACUGAUCUGUUGUGUGUUCCAUUUGAGGAGUUCUUCGCGUUCUUCAAUCAAAUAGCCCUCGAUAAAUUAACGGUCUUUUGCUACUGCCUGUAAGUACUAUUUCUGUCAUUAAGUCUCUAUAUAUAGCUUGGCUUUCAUUACAUGUAUUUAUAAUUAAUUAUCCUCAAUAUAUUAUGCAGAUUGAAGAUCGUCGAGUGCAAAAAAAUGAAAUCUAUGAUAUUGGGUUCAUUAACACAAAUAUCAUAGAUGUAUUUCUGGUUGAAAAGCACAUCGAAGAGGCCGAGGACAACUUGCUACGAUCAUUGAUCAAAAAUCAAAACAAAGAUACCAUACUCUUUCCUUACAACACCAAGUGAGUGUUACUGAUCAUUUGCAUAUUCGGUUUCCCUUAUUACUCGAGCGAGGUUAUAGUAAUGUAAUUGAUGAGUUAUGCAUGUGUGCGCAGGUACCACUAUAUUCUUCUGGAGAUUAAGCUUGAGCGUGGACUAGUAACCGUCUUAGACUCGAGACGGAAAGAUCCCAGCACCUAUGCGGACAUGACUGAAAUGCUCAGCAAGUAAGUUCAAUCGAUCAUUAUCGCACCAUAGCGGCAACUUUUUGUUCAUUUCCUGAUAUCUCAAGUAAUAAUAAUUAUUUUCUUUGUCUUGCAGGGUUUGGAAACAGUUCACCACAGUAGCUCGGGGACUGCCGAAGGAGCUGCGAUAUAUAUACCCGAAAGUAAGUACUACUGGCUAGCUAGUUGUGUGCAUCUCCUGUUGAUUCUAUAGCUAUACUUUCAUCACAUUUAUAAUGCUUCAUUAUCAGUUUGAUAGACCUCUAUUUCUCGUAAAGUGCUUGUGGUAGGAACAAGGGAAUGAUUUCUAUAGAUACUACGUGUGCGAGUUCAUCUACAACGCGACUUUGAAAAAUAAGCGGGGCUACUCUCAAAGACAAUAUGAAGUGCGUAAGCAAUUAAUAAUAUUCACAAUUUCUGUUGAGUUUCAUUCAUAUAUAUAUAUAUAUAUAUAUAUAUAUAUAUAUAUGUAUUAAUUAACCCCCUUCUUCAAAUUAGACGUGGCAGAUGCGGAAUGAACUCCUAGAACCAGAUCGCAUGAAAGGAAUUCAAGAGGAAUUGGCGGGAUUCUUUCUUGACCACGUCAUCAAUAAAGCCGGAGAAUACCAUGUGGAACUUGAUUUCAAAUGCUAGGGGACUGUAAUUGAGAGAUCUUAUAUAUUGUACAUGUUGUAUGUAGCCAGUAGCGUCGGACAUACAUGAUACAAAAACUUGUUGUUUGACCAAUCUCUCGGAGAAGGAGACGUCGAUCGAUCACUUCUCUCGGUAUGCAUGACGAACUUCUGUACUUAAUGGUUUCCUUCAUUUUCUUACUAGCUAGCGUGUCGAGAGCCUCUCUAUGUAUAGUACGUAGCGUCGACCAAGCACGGACAUAAGAGAGGACACUUCUCUCUAUUAAUUAGCUAGCUAACACAAUAUAUGAAACACCUAAAUUAACCCCCAAAACCNNNNNNNNNNNNNNNNNNNNNNNNNNNNNNNNNNNNNNNNNNNNNNNNNNNNNNNNNNNNNNNNNNNNNNNNNNNNNNNNNNNNNNNNNNNNNNNNNNNNNNNNNNNNNNNNNNNNNNNNNNNNNNNNNNNNNNNNNNNNNNNNNNNNNNNNNNNNNNNNNNNNNNNNNNNNNNNNNNNNNNNNNNNNNNNNNNNNNNNNNNNNNNNNNNNNNNNNNNNNNNNNNNNNNNNNNNNNNNNNNNNNNNNNNNNNNNNNNNNNNNNNNNNNNNNNNNNNNNNNNNNNNNNNNNNNNNNNNNNNNNNNNNNNNNNNNNNNNNNNNNNNNNNNNNNNNNNNNNNNNNNNNNNNNNNNNNNNNNNNNNNNNNNNNNNNNNNNNNNNNNNNNNNNNNNNNNNNNNNNNNNNCCCCCUGCCUGGGCUCGGCGCGUGGAUGCCUUUUGGUCCCGGUUGGUGCCACCAACCGGGACCAAAGGCCCCCCUGCCUGGGCUCGGCGCACAGGCCACGUGGAGGACCAUCUAUCCCGGUUCGUGUUACAACCGGGACUAAAGGGGGGAGGUAUUAGUAACGACCCAUUAGUCCCGGUUCAUGAACCGGGAGUAAAGGCCCUCACGAACCGGGACUAAUAGGUGUUUGUCUACUAGUGAUAAGCCUAUGACUUAUGAAGUUGGUGAGAAGGCUUACCUUCGGGUUACACCUUUAAAGGGAACCCAUCGAUUCGGUAUCAAGGGCAAGUUGGCCCCUUGUUACAUUGGACCCUUUUGCAUUCUUGCCAAACGAGGGGAAGUUGCCUACCAGUUGGAACUACCUCCACAUCUUUCUAGAGUUCAUGAUGUCUUCCACGUCUCUCAACUCAGGCAUUGCUUCUCGAAUCAUAUCCGCGAAGUAGACCAUGAAACGCGUGAUCUCCAAGAAAAUCUCACUUAUCGAGAAUAUCCAAUUCGCAUCCUUGAUCAAGCCGAGCGUACCACUCGACGCCAGAAUAUCAAGUUUCUCAAGGUUCAAUGGUCACACCACUCCGAUCAAGAAGCAACUUGGGAAAGGGAGGAUCAUCUACGACUUGAGUAUCCCACCUUCUUCCCGAUAGACCCUAAAUCUCGGGAUGAGAUUCUUUUGAGUGGGGGUGAGUUGUCACAACCUAGCUAGUCCAUGCAUUAGAGUGUUGCAUCAUGUCUACCUUUUAUCAGAAACUUGAAUUGGGGAAGACAGAACCCCCCCAGAACCCCUCUAAAUUCAACUAGUGCUUACUAAAAAUAUUUUCAAUGAACCUGAAAUGCCCUUCUAAAAAGUUCACCCUCUUUGUCUUGGGUUAGAACCUCUGGCAAAAUUGGUGCACAAUUUUCUAGGUCAACAGAAGGCCAUUGAAUUAAAUCAUAUCUACUUUGAGUUUGGGCAUUUAAACUAUAUAAAAUAUUUCAAAUGCUCAAAUAACUCCAAACUAAAAUGUUCCAUACUGGAUAUAUUCCAACUAGCGACCAUGUGCAGUUUGGUGAUUUUUGGAGUUGCCUAAGUAUUUUUAGAAAUGCAACAAACUUACAGAAACAAUUAAAAACAGAAACAAAUGGGGAAAAAACCCUUACCUGGCCGAACCAAGCCCCAGCCCAGCUGGCCGGCCCAGCACUGUGCUGGCCCAUGCCAGCCAGCUGCUUUGCCAUCGCCACGCAGGCACAGAGCUGACGCCAGCGAGUGUGAGCUCGCCACGGCGCCAACUGCUUGCCGCCCGCGCCACCGAGCACCUGGGUGAGCUCCACGUCGCCACCCCGACCCCGUGGACACCUCAUUCGCCCCCCUGCCUCUUCCCUCGCUCUCCCGCACCAUGGCCGACGCACCCGUCGCCGCACCGCCGACGUAGUCGCGCCCUCCAUCGUCCCCGUGCUGCACCACCGUGUCCCUUCGCUCCGUCGUCAUCAACUACAUCGAGCAGGCCGAGCCCCGAGCGCUCGUGGGCCUUGCUUCGUCUUCUUUGACCUCAUCUUCACCGAGCACCACCGCAGAUCCCCUUCGCCGUCGCCGCUGCACCAGCUCGUCCCCGACCUCGCCGACCACUCCGUUGUGACCGCCGUGAGCUCAGCCACCUCCCCAUCCUCCCCGUUUGCCUUCUCGUGCACCGUAGCAGCCGCAUGGAGCUUCAUCGCACGCACCACCGCCGAGCUCGUCGCCGACGUGCCUCCGGCCAUCCACCGUCCACACCACGGUAUCUAACAUGCUCAUUGCAUCGCGUAGAGUCUAACGCCCCACUCCACGCGCCUCGCCGUGCCCCGUAGCCACGGGUCAAUUUUCACCCGACUCCGGCGACCGUCGCGGUCGUCGCUGCCGACGUUCCUGGCCACCUCGACCUCAACCACCACCACCAAACGCCGCGGCUUGUUCCUGGCUACACGUAGAUGGUCUUCGCCGUCCAUUUGGUCGCCGGAACGUGCUAACCCACUUCCUCUGCCGCAUCUGGCCUCGCCAGCGGCUAGACGCCGGCGUGUUUGACCCGUUGACGUUGACUGGGUGGGCCAGGUUGACUCCCCUGAGUCUAUGACAAGUGGGCCCCCCCCUCUGCUAAUUAACCUAGUUUAGUUCUUACUAAAAUCAGUUAGUUUAAAUAAGUGCUGACAUGCGGGACCCACUGGUCAGUUUGACCUGAACGACCCCUUUGACCAUUGACGUCACCCUGAUGCACUGCUGACGCAAUAACCAAUUUCUGGAUUUAUUGUUAUAUAGGAAAUUCCAGAAAUUGUUGCAAACUUCAAAAAUUCAUAGAAAUUAAUCUGUAACUCCAAAUGCAAAGAUUUAUAUAUGAAUUUCGAUCAAAAAAAUUCAAUAUAUCCAUUGGUAAUGGUUUCAUGCAUGUCAGAACAAGUUAACCUUGUUGUUUAAUCAAAACAAGUUAAUGCACUAAUAUGACUAUGUUAAAUGAACUACCAUUUGCAUCUUUGAUUCAAAUGAGUUCAUACCUUUCUGUUCUAGCUUGCAUUAGGCCAGGACACAUUCAUGUUGCCAUGUCAUAGCAUGCAUCAUAUUGUUGCAUAUCGUCAUGUGUGGUUCAUGUUCGGUGUGUUUUCGUGAUAGGUUCUGCCUCCGAGGAUAACCCCGAAUAUCCGUCUGAAGGGCAGUAUCCUACUACCACUACAUCAGGCAAGCAACCCAUUGAUCAUUCUGAUACAAACCCAUGUUCUCGCCUCUGCUCUUGUUUACUGCAUUAAGAUAACGCGAUUCAAACUGUUGUGUGUUGUGGUAGUUGAACCCACUUCCUUUGCAUGACCUGUCAUUGCCACGGUAACUAGAUGAAACCCACUAGCAUGUGUAGGAGUUGAUUGAGCCAUAUCUGUGUUACCUACCAUGCUAUGCUUGCUAUGCUUAGAGUUGUGUCAGGUCUGGCUCAUCAGGAUGAUGAACUAGAGUGAAAGGUUGUGUCGGUAACGAGAGUGAAGUGUUGAACACGAUUUGGUAAAGGUAUCGAUGAGAGGCCAUGUAGGAGUACAUGGUGGGUUGUUUCAUUGAGGCCGUCCUUAAGCACUGAGAUCUGUGUGUGUGAUUUAAGAUUCAGCUACUACCACGCAUUGGGCCCAAAACCAAUGGACCCUCUCGACUUAUUAACCACUCUUGUCCUCAGUCCGGGAGUUGCAAGUAGUUUCUGGUGUUUGUAGCAUGCUGGGGGCCGCACGCAGCGCUGACCUUAGGGGUGGGUUGUGUUGCGGUAGGCACGUGGCACGGUGUAUCGAUUCGCCCGUUUGGUGUCUCGGGAACCCUGUUCACAUCGUUCGGGGCCGUUAGUGGAAACCUCGGCCGGACUCCCUGCGGAUGGAACCCAAAUAGGCGAUAAACCUGGACUAGGGACUCGUGUGUUUAGUCAGGCCAUGGCCGACACCCUUGCUGGGCUUCCGCUUGAAGGUUGCCGAGUACACGUCAUGUAGUGGCGAUAAGUGGUGAGAGCGUGUGUGAAGAAGUACACCCCUGCAGGGUACAAAACUAUUCGAAUAGCCGCGUCCACGGUAAAGGACUACUUGGUCACCUAUACAGUUCAUAGACAAGUAAAUGGAUACUUCUAAAAGCCUCAAGAUAAGUGUGAGUGCCGCGGAUGGCCCUGUCGUAGGUUGACGAGAGAGGAUCCACGGUGGAGUAUUGUGUUGGUGAGUAGUGGACUCGUGUGCGACAAAUGUUUUGCAAGUUGUGUCUAUCGUUGGAUAGCUUAGCCAAGAGUCAAAGCUGGCUUGCUGCAAUAACUCCACUACCUUCUUGAGAAUGUGCAUGUAUGAUAGGAUUCUGUUGUAAGACUUGCUGAGUACCUCUGUACUCAUGUUUGCUUAAUUAAUGUUUUCAGACGACAACACCAACCCCUCCGAUGGGUUCUACGUAGACCUCGACGUUGACGAGUGACUAGCCACCCAAGUGGUGAUCCAAGACUUGUGAAGGGCCGAUGUAGAUAGAAAGGCUUCAUCAAGCCCUCUUUCUUUCUAGUGUCUGUACUCAGACUAGUUGCUUCCGCAUGUGCUUGUAUGCUUGUAUGACUUGAGUGUCAGGUCAUGUGACCCCUAUCUGUAUGAACAUGUUAUGUAUGGCUCCUCGGAGCCACUUAAAUAAAGUACUUUGAGUUGUAGAGUUUUGUUGUGAUGCCAUGUUGUAUGUACUCAUAUCGGGCAUAUUGUGUGUAUGUUUGAAAUGCUUGGUAUGAGUGGGAUCCGACAAUCUAGUUGUUUAUCCUUGGCAGCCUCUCAUAUGGGGAAAUGUAGUCUAGUGCUUCUUGAGCGAUAGUAGUCCGCUACAGCCCGGUUCACCGGAGUCCUGCUAGCCCAGUACUACUGCUCUGGACACUUGACUGGCCGGCAUGUGUUUCACUUUGUUCCUGUGUCUGUCCCUUCGGGGAAAUGUCAAGCGGUGGCAUCCGGAGUCCUGCCUAGCCUGCUACAGCCCGGGUUACCGGAGUCCUGUUAGCCCAGCGUUACAUCCCGGAUGUAUACGUUGAUGACCAACAUGCUCGAUGUGAUUCAUGUAUGCAUGUCCCCAUAGGUUAGCGCCGCUUGGGUUCACGACUAGCCAUGUCGGCCCGGGUUCUCAGUCAUGUGGAUGCUAGCGACACUAUCAUAUACGUGAGCCAAAAGGCGCAAACGGUCUCGGGCCAUGGUAAGGCGCCACCCGUGGGAUUACCGUGCGUGAGGCCGCAAAGUGAUAUGAGGUGUUACCGGCUGGAUCAAUGUGACUUGGAAUCGGGGUCCUGACAAUUACUUGCUCCUAUCAUAUGUUUGGUUGCAACAAUGUCACUUCUUCACAUAUGCCAUGUCCCAUUGCUUGUCUCAUGCUUGACUUCAUUGCCUCACACAUGAUGAACAAUUGCUCUUUAUAUUGUGUUGAGUGUUACACUAUAUUCACUACAUCCUAUGCACGUUAUGUUUGGAUUGUCUUGCACUUGACCCAUGUGUUUAGACACUUCAUUUUAUUUGGUGUUGUGAAUCCUUCCUAUGCCUACCAUAGACCUUUCAUUGAGCAAUUUGUGAAUGCUUGCUAUGACCUCGAGGUAGAUGCUUAUGCUCUUGUCACACAUAUUUGCAUCUCUACCUCACAUUUACAUGCUUGUUCCCAUGAUAUUUUUGCUUGUGCUCGAUUGAUAUGCUUACAUGCCAUGUCACAAUCCUUUGUCACACCCUAUGCUAUGCUUGAUGACAACACUUGUUUGGUGAAUCACCUCUUGAAUGCUUGGUUUUGCACGAACGCAAACCACAUUUGUUUUUCCACGGGUUUGUUCUAUUUGCUCCUUUUGAAGGAAUCACAAGAUGGUGCGACACUGGAGAGUGCCCACUUCGAGCUACUAGACGAUGAGUGCUUGGUGAUCGACCACUUCGAUAUGGCACCGCCAUCUCUUUCCUAUGGUGAUUUGGUUUUCGAUCCGAGGUCGAAUCCUUCUCAAGGGGGAGGGGAUGAUGCGGAGCAUCCUAUGGACAUCACCAUGUCAAGAGUCCAUUCGGCAAGUGACACGUGCGACAUCUACUUCUCAUACAUAAAGGUGAAUCUUCUCCUUUACACGUGUUCACUUGACCCCUUCGAGGAUGGUAUACUACUUGACACUUCUCCCGUGUGCAUGCAUAGGUAUUGUCAGAGCUUUACGGAUGUCGAGGAGUGCAAGCGCCAAGGAACGACUACACCGUCCGCGAGGGAAGCAUGGAAGAGAAGGAGGAAGAGAACCUGGUGUUGGGGAACGUAGUAAUUUCAAAAUUUUCCUACGCACAUGCAAGAUCAUGGUGAUGAUAUAGCAACGAGGGGAGAGUGUUGUCUACGUACCCUCGUAGACCGAAGCGGAAGCGUUGACGCAGCGUAGAGGAAGUAGUCCUACGUCCUCCCGGUCCGACCGAUCCAAGCACCGUUACUCCGGCACCUCUGAGUUCUUGACACACGUACAGCUCGAUGACGCACCCUCGAUCUCCAAUCCAGUAGAGGCUCCAAGGGGGAGUUCCGUCAGCACGACGGCGUGGUGACUAUCUUGAUGUUCUCCUGUCGCAGGGCUUCGCCUAAGCACCGCUACAAUAUGACCGAGGUGUAAUAUCGUGGAGGGGGGCACCGCACACGGCUAAGGAACGAUCAAUGAUCAACUUGUGUGUUCUAGGGUGCCCCCUACCCCCGUAUAUAAAGGAGGGAGGGAGGAGGUGGCCGACCCAAGGAGGGGGCGCGCCAUGGGAGGAGGAAACCUACUCCAAGUAGGUUUCCCCUCUUUUUCCUUAUCUUAUUUGGAGGGGGAAGGAAGGAGUACUAGUAGUAGGAAGGAGUACUAGUAGUAGGAAAGGAAGAGGGGGAAGGAGAAAGGAAAGGGGGGGCCGGCCCCCCUCCCCAAUUCGGAUUGGGCUUGGGGGGGCGCGCCCCCCUCCCUUGCUCCUUCUCCCUUCCUCCUACAUGGGCCCAAUAAGGCCCAUAUACCUCCCGGGGGGGUUUCGGUAACCUCCCGGAGCUCCAAACUCUUCCGGAACCUUUCCGGUGUCCAAAUAUAUCCGUCCAAUAUAUCGAUCUUUAUGUAUCGACCAUUUCGAGACUCCUCGUCAUGUCCGUGAUCAUAUCCGGGACUCCGAACAAACUUCGGUACAUCAAAAUACAUAAACUCAUAAUAUAACUGUCAUCGAAACCUUAAGCGUGCGGACCCUACGGUUCGAGAACGAUGUAGACAUGACCGAGACAUGUCUCUGGUCAAUAACCAAUAGCGGGACCUGGAUGCCCAUAUUGGUUCCUACAUAUUCUACGAAGAUCUUUAUCGGUCAAACCGCAUAACAGCAUACGUUGUUCCCUUUGUCAUUGGUAUGUUACUUGUCCGAGAUUUGAUCGUCGGUAUCCAAUACCUAGUUCAAUCUCGUUACCGACAAGUCUCUUUACUCGUUCUGUAAUACUUCAUCUCAUAACUAACUCAUUAGUUAUAUGCUUGCAAGGCUUAUGUGAUGAGCAUUACCGAGAGGGCCCAGAGAUACCUCUCCGACAAUCGGAGUGACAAAACCUAAUCUCGAAUUAUGCUAACUCAACAUGUACCUUCGGAGACACCUGUAGUACUCCUUUAUAAUCACCCAGUUACGUUGUGACGUUUGGUAGUACCCAAAGUGUUCCUCCGAUAAACGGGAGUUACACAAUUCUCAUAGUUACAGGAACAUGUAUAAGUCAUGAAGGAAGCAAUAGCAGAAUACUAAACGAUCAAGUGCUAAGCUAACGGGAUGGGUCAUGUCAAUCACAUCAUUCUCCUAAUGAUGUGAUCCCAUUAAUCAAAUGACAACACAUGUCUAUGGUUAGGAAACAUAACCAUCUUUGACUAAUGAGCUAGUCAAGUAGAGGCAUACUAGUGACUAUAUGUUUGUCUAUGUAUUCACACAUGUAUCAUGUUUCCGGUUAAUACAAUUCUAGCAUGAAUAAUAAACAUUUAUCAUGAUAUGAGGAAAUAAAUAAUAACUUUAUUAUUGCCUCUAGGGCAUAUUUCCUUCAGUCUCCCACUUGCACUAGAGUCAAUAAUCUAGUUCACAUCGCCAUGUGAUUUAACACCAAUAUUCAUAUCUGUAUAUGAUUAACACCCAUAGUUCACAUCAUCAUGUGACCAACAUCCAAAGUGUUUACUAGAGUCAAUAAUCUAGUUCACAUCGCUAUGUGAUUAACACCCAAAGAGUACUAAGGUGUGAUCAUGUUUUGCUCGUGAGAGAAGCUCAGUCAACGGGUCUGUCACAUUCAGAGCCAUAUGUAUUUUGCAAAUAUUCUAUGUCUACAAUGCUCUGCACGGAGCUACUCUAGCUAAUCGCUCCCACUUUCAAUAUGUAUCCAGAUUGAGACUUAGAGUCAUCUGGAUCGGUGUGAAAACUUGCACCGAGAUAACUUUUACGACGGGCUCUUUUAUCACCUCCAUAAUCGAGAAAUAUUUCCUUAGUCCUCACUAAGGAUAUUCUUGACCAAUGUCCAGUGAUCUACUCCUAGAUCACUAUUGUACUCCCUUGUCAAAUACAGAGCAAGGUAUACAAUAGGUCUGGUACAUAGCAUGGCAUACUUUAUAGAACCUAUGACUGAGGCAUAGGGAAUGACUUUUCAUUCUCUUUCUAUUUUCUGCUGUGGUCGGGAUUUGAGUCUUACUCAAUUUCAUACCUUUGCAACACAGGCAAGAACUCUUUCUUUGACUGUUCCAUUUUGAACUACUUCAAAAUCUUGUCAAGGUAUGUACUCAUUGAAAAUCUUAUCAAGCGUCUUGAUCUAUCUCAAUAGAUCUUGAUGCUCAAUAUGUAUGUAGUUUUACUGAGGUCUUUCUUUGAAAAAACUCUUAUUCAAGUAUCCUUUAAUGCUUUGCAGAAUAAUUCUACAUUAUUUCCGAUCAGCAAUAUGUCAUUCACAUAUACUUAUCAGAAAUGCUGUAGUGCUCCCACUCACUUUCUUGUAAAUACAGGCUUCACCGCAAGUCUGUAUAAUACUAUAUGCUUUGAUCAACUUAUCAAAGCGUAUAUUCCAACUCUGAGAUGCUUGCACCAGUCCAUAGAUGGAUUGCUGGAGCUUGCACAUUUUGUUAGCACCUUUAGGAUUGACAAAACCUUCUGGUUGUAUCAUAUACAACUCUUCUUUAAUAAAUUCAUUAAGGAAUGUAGUUUUGACAUCCAUUUGCCAAAUUUCAUAAAAUGUGGCAAUUGCUAACAUGAUUCGGACAAACUUUUAAGCAUCGAUACGAGUAAGAAAAUCUCAUCGUAUUCAACACCUUGAACUUUGUCAAAAACCUUUUUUCGACAAGUCUAGCUUUGUAGAUAGUAACACUACUAUCAACGUCCGUCUUCCUCUUGAAGAUCCAUUUAUUCUUAAUGACUCACUGAUCAUCGGGCAAGUCAAUCAAAGUCUACACUUUGUUCUCAUACAUGGAUCAUAUCUCAGAUUUCAUGGCCCCAAGCCAUUUCGUGGAAUCUGGGCUCAUCAUCGCUUCCUCAUAGUUCGUAGGUUCAUCAUGGUCUAGUAACAUGACUUCCAGAACAUGAUUACCGUACCACUCUGGUGCGGAUCUUACUCUGGAAGACCUACGAGGUUUGGUAGCAACUUGAUCUGAAGUUUGAUGAUCAUCAUCAUUAACUUCCUCACUAAUUGGUGUAGGAAUCACUGGAACUGAUUUCUGUGAUGAACUACUUUCCAAUAAGGGAGAAGGUACAAUUACCUCAUCAAGUUUUACUCUCCUCCCACUCACUUCUUUCGAGAGAAACUCCUUCUCUGGAAAGGAUCCAUUUUAGCAACGAAUGUCUUGCCUUCGGAUCUGUGAUAGAAGGUGUACCCAACAAUUUCCUUUGGGUAUUCUAUGAAGACGCACUUCUCCGAUUUGGGUUCGAGCUUAUCAGGAUGAAACUUUUUCACAUAAGCAUCGCAGCCCCAAACUUUAAGAAACAACAGCUUAGGUUUACUGCUAAACCAUAGUUCAUACGGUGUCGUCUCAACGGAUUUAAAUGGUGCCCUAUUUUAAAACGUGAAUGCAGCUGUCUCUAAUGCAUAACCCCAAAACGAUAGUGGUAAAGAGACAUCAUAGAUCGCACCAUAUCAAAUAAAGUGCGGUUACGACGUUCGGACACACCAUAACGAUGUGGUGUUCCAGGUGGUGUGAGCUGUGAAACUAUUCCACAUUGUUUUAAUUGAAGACCAAACUCGUAACUCAAAUAUUUGUCUCCGCUAUCAGAUCGCAGAAACUUUAUUUUCUUGUUACGAUGAUUUUUCCACUUCACUCUGAAAUUCUUUGAACCUUUCAACUAUUUCAGACUUAUGUUUCAUCAAGUAGAUAUACCCAUAUCUGCUCAAAUCAUCUUGUGAAGGUCAGAAAAUAACGAUACUUGCCACGAGCCUCAACACUCAUUGGAUCGCAUACAUCGGUAUGUAUUAUUUCCAAUAAGUCAGUAGCUUGUUCCAUUAUUCCGGAGAACGGAGUUUUAGUCAUCUUGCCCAAAAGGCACGGUCCGCAAGCAUCAAAUGAUUCAUAACCAAGUGAUUCCGAAAAUCCAUCUUUAUGGAGUUUCUUCAUGCGCUUUACACCGAUAUGACCCAAACGGCAGUGCCACAAAUAAGUUGCACUAUCAUUAUUAACUUUGCAUCUUUUGGCUUCAAUAUUAUGAAUGUGUGUAUCACACGAUCGAGAUCCAACAAACCAUUUUCAUUGGGUGUAUAACCAUAGAAAGUUUUAUUCAUGAAAACAGAACAACAAUUAUUCUCUAACUUACAUGAAUAACCGUAUUGCAAUAAACAUGAUCAAAUCAUAUUCAUUCUCAACGCAAACACCAAAUAACACUUAUUUAGGUUUAACACUAAUCCCGGAAGUAUAGGGAGUGUGCGAUGAUGAUCAUAUCAAUCUUGGAACUAUUUCCAACACACAUCGUCACUACACUCUUAACUAGUCUCUGUUUAUUCUGCAACUCCCGUUUCGAGUUACUAAUCUUAGCAACCGAACAAGUAUCAAAUACUUAGGGGCUACUAUAAACACUAGUAUGGAACACAUCAAUAAUCUGUAUAUCAAAUAUACCCUUGUUCACUUUGCCAUCCUUCUUAUCAACCAAAUAUUCAGGGCAUUUCCGCUUCCAGUGACCAUUUCCUUUGCAGUGUAAACACUCAGUUUCAGGCUAUGGUCCAGCUUUGGGCUUGUCUUUCCACUUGAAGUUCCCUUUCUUUCCCUUUGCCCUUCUCUUGAAACUAGUGGUCUUGUCAAUCAUCAACACUUGAUGCUCUUUCUUGAUUUCUACCUUCGUCGAUUUCAACAUCACGAAGAGCUCGGGAAUCAUUUUUUCGUCAUCCCUUGCAUACUAUAGUUCAUCACGAAGUUCUAGUAACUUAGUGAUGGUGACUAGAGAAUUCUGUCAAUCACUAUCUUAUCUGGAAGAUUAACUCCCACUUGAUUCAAGCGAUUGAAGUACCCAGACAAUCUGAGCACAUGCUCACUAGUUGAGCGAUUCUCCUCCAUCUUUUAGCUAUAGAACUUGUUGGAGACUUCAUAUCUCUCAACUCGGGUAUUUGCUUGAAAUAUUAACUUCAAUUCCUGGAACAUCUCAUAUGGUCCAUGAUGUUCAAAACAUCUUUGAAGUCCCGAUUCUAAGCCGUUAAGCAUGGUGCACAAAACUAUCAAGUAGUCAUCAUAUUGAGCUAGCCAAACGUUCAUAACGUCUACAUUUGCUCCUGCAUUAGGUCUUUCACCUAGCGGUGCAUUAAGGACAUAAUUCUUCUGUGCAGCAAUGAGGAUAAACCUCAGAUCACGGAUCCAAUCCGCAUCAUUGCUACUAACAUCUUUCAACACAGUUUUCUCUAGGAACAUAUCAAAAUAAACAUAUGAAAGCAACAACGCGAGCUAUUGAUCUAUAACACAAUUUGCAAAAUACUACCAGGACUAAGUUCAUGAUAAAUUAAAGUUCAAUUAAUCAUAUUACUAAAGAACUCCCACUUAGACAGACAUCUCUCUAGUCAUCUAAGUGAUCACGUGAUCCAAAUCAACUAAACCAUGUCCGAUCAUCACGUGAGAUGGAGUAGUUUCAAUGGUGAACAUCGCUAUGUUGAUCAUAUCUACUAUAUGAUUCACGCUCGACCUUUCGGUCUCCGUGUUCCGAGGCCAUAUCUGUAUAUGCUAGGCUCGUCAAGUAUAACCUGAGUAUUCCGCAUGUGCAACUGUUUUGCACCCGUUGUAUUUGAACGUAGAGCCUAUCACACCCGAUCAUCACGUGGUGUCUCAGCACGAAGAACUUUCGCAACGGUGCAUACUCAGGGAGAACACUUCUUGAUAAUUAGUGAUAGAUCAUCUUAAAAUGCUACCGUCAAUCAAAGCAAGAUAAGAUGCAUAAAGGAUAAACAUCACAUGCAAUCAAUAUAAGUGAUAUGAUAUGGCCAUCAUCAUCUUGUGCUUGUGAUCUCCAUCUCCGAAGCACCGUCGUGAUCACCAUCGUCACCGGCGCGACACCUUGAUCUCCAUCGUAGCAUCGUUGUCGAUUACGCCAUCUAUUGCUUCUACGACUAUCGCUACCGCUUAGUGAUAAAGUAAAGCAAUUACAGGGCGUUUCCAUUUCAUACAAUAAAGUGACAACCAUAUGGCUCCUGCCAGUUGCCGAUAACUUCGGUUACAAAACAUGAUCAUCUCAUACAAUAAAAUAUAGCAUCACGUCUUGGCCAUAUCACAUCACAACAUGCCCUGCAAAAACAAGUUAGACGUCCUCUACUUUGUUGUUGCAAAUUUUACGUGGCUGCUACGGGCUUAGCAAGAACCGUUCUUACCUACGCAUCAAAACCACAACGAUAGUUUGUCAAAUAGACUCCGUUUUAACCUUCACAAGGACCGGGCGUAGCCACACUCGGUUCAACUAAAGUUGGAGAAACAGACACCCGCCAGUCACCUGUGUGCAAAGCAUGGCGGUAAAACCAGUCUCGCGUAAGCGUACGCGUAAUGUCGGUCCGGGCCGCUUCAUCCAACAAUACCGCUGAACCAAAGUAUAACAUGCUGGUAGGCAGUAUGACUUAUAUCGUCCACAACUCACUUGUGGUCUACUCGUGCAUAUAACAUCAACGAAUAAAACCUAGGCUCUGAUGCCACUGUUGGGGAACGUAGUAAUUUCAAAAUUUUCCUACGCACAUGCAAGAUCAUGGUGAUGAUAUAGCAACGAGGGGAGAGUGUUGUCUACGUACCCUCGUAGACCGAAGCGGAAGCGUUGACGCAACGUAGAGGAAGUAGUCGUACGUCCUCCCGGUUCGACCGAUCCAAGCACCGUUACUCCGGCACCUCCGAGUUCUUGACACACGUACAGCUCGAUGACGCACCCUCGAUCUCCAAUCCAGUAGAGGCUCCGAGGGGGAGUUCCGUCAGCACAACAGCGUGGUGACUAUAUUGAUGUUCUCCUGUCGCAGGGCUUCGCCUAAGCACCGCUACAAUAUGACCGAGGUGUAAUAUCGUGGAGGGGGGCACCGCACACGGCUAAGGAACGAUCAAUGAUCAACUUGUGUGUUCUAGGGUGCCCCCCUACCCCCGUAUAUAAAGGAGGGAGGGAGGAGGUGGCCGGCCCAAGGAGGGGGCGCGCCAUGGGAGGAGGAAACCUACUCCAAGUAGGUUUCCCCUCUUUUUCCUUAUCUUAUUUGGAGGGGGAAGGAAGGAGUACUAGUAGUAGGAAGGAGUACUAGUAGUAGGAAAGGAAGAGGGGGAAGGAGAAAGGAAAGGGGGGGCCGGCCCCCUCCCCAAUUCGGAUUGGGCUUGGGGGGGCGCGCCCCCCUCCCUUGCUCCUUCUCCCUUCCUCCUACAUGGGCCCAAUAAGGCCCAUAUACCUCCCGGGGGGUUCCGGUAACCUCCCGAAGCUCCAAACUCUUCCGGAACCUUUCCGGUGUCCAAAUAUAUCCGUCCAAUAUAUCAAUCUUUAUGUCUCGACCAUUUCGAGACUCCUCGUCAUGUCCGUGAUCACAUCCGGGACUCCGAACAAACUUUGGUACAUCAAAAUACAUAAACUCAUAAUAUAACUAUCAUCGAAAACUUAAGCGUGCGGACCCUACGGUUCGAGAACGAUGUAGACAUGACCGAGACAUGUCUCUGGUCAAUAACCAAUAGUGGGACCUGGAUGCCCAUAUUGGUUCCUACAUAUUCUACGAAGAUCUUUAUCGGUCAAACCGCAUAACAGCAUACGUUGUUCCCUUUGUCAUCGGUAUGUUACUUGUCCGAGAUUUGAUCGUCGGUAUCCAAUACCUAGUUCAAUCUCGUUACCGACAAGUCUCUUUACUCAUUCUGUAAUACUUCAUCUCAUAACUAACUCAUUAGUUAUAUGCUUGCAAGGCUUAUGUGAUGAGCAUUACCGAGAGGGCCCAGAGAUACCCCUCCGACAAUCGGAGUGACAAAACCUAAUCUCGAAUUAUGCUAACUCAACAUGUACCUUCGGAGACACCUGUAGUACUCCUUGAUAAUCACCCAGUUACGUUGUGACGUUUGGUAGUACCCAAAGUGUUCCUCCGGUAAACGGGAGUUACACAAUUCUCAUAGUUACAGGAACAUGUAUAAGUCAUGAAGGAAGCAAUAGCAGAAUACUAAACGAUCAAGUGCUAAGCUAACGGGAUGGGUCAUGUCAAUCACAUCAUUCUCCUAAUGAUGUGAUCCCAUUAAUCAAAUGACAACACAUGUCUAUGGUUAGGAAACAUAAUCAUCUUUGACUAAUGAGCUAGUCAAGUAGAGGCAUACUAGUGACUAUAUGUUUGUCUAUGUAUUCACACAUGUAUCAUGUUUCCGGUUAAUACAAUUCUAGCAUGAAUAAUAAACAUUUAUCAUGAUAUGAGGAAAUAAAUAAUAACUUUAUUAUUGCCUCUAGGGCAUAUUUCCUUCACCUGGCCGCUCCAGAACGAGCGGUACUACCGCCCACUCCAAGCGGUACUACCGCUGAGGCCACCCAAGAGGCACUACCGCCCAGCAUCCGCCCUACUACCGCUCAACCCGACAAACUCCAGUGAUCGAGCGGUAUAAGCCCGGUACUACCGCCCCUCCAAGCGGUACUACCGCUCAAGCGGUACUACCACCCAUGAGUCCGGUACUACCGCCCUGCUUGUGAGCAGCCGCGGGCCUUUGGCCUUGUAUCCCUCUCCCACUUACCCCUUCGUGGCUUAGACUAUAAAUAGACCACCUCCACCUCCUUUCUAGGGUUAGAACAGAUUGAGCUUAUUUUGAGAUAGAGCUUUACUCAUCCAUACGGAUCUACUCCUCGUGAGAGACUGCGGCCUCUUCGGAGAAGAUCGAUCUUGGAUUCAAGACCCCUCGUGGGAAGAUCCGUCUAGGAUCAUCAAGACCUCCUCUUGGAGAUGAACCUUACCUUGUAUCUUUCCCUUUGUUGUUCAUGUACCCUUGUGGAUCUUGUGUGUUUGAUUGUCUAGUGGAUGUGUGAUUGGACUUGUUCUUGAGUGUUUCCCCUUGUGAUUUCUCUCCGUUCUUCCCUGUGUUCUUCGUGUUCUUCGUGGGGAUCCACUCCAAACGUGAAAAAUCGGCCUCUAGGGUUCUACCCUACAUCAUCAUCCUUCAAAAAUAUGGAGGGCCAUUAUUGACGGAAGGGAUAUUAUAUGGCGCAAGGUAUAAUCAGACGCAUCGGGGAUGGAGCGACUACACACAUAUGGGAUCACAACUGGAUUAUGAUGGAAAGCUAUAAGAGGCCAAUAACUAAGUUAGUGCAGAACCCCCCUCAGAAACAUUUUAUGUAUACACGUUAACAUUUCCCAGAUAUAUGAUUAAUAUUUUUGGAAAACUUCUAUUUUUUAUGUGUACUUUUUUAUACAUUUUGUAAUAUCAGAAAUAGUUUUUAUAGAAGGUUUAACAUUUUUCAAAUACAUGAUUACCUUUUUGUAAACUUAUAUUGUUUGACGUUUACUUUUUUUCAUAGACAUAGUGAGGGGUUAUAUCUAAGGAAUAGGCCCAAGUACAUGUAUGGCACAACCAAAUGCCCAUGUUAAUCAAGGAUGUUCCACAAGACAAAUGGGGAAACACACCAAGGCCAAUGGAGCUACAAGGCCAAGGCAUCGGAUACAAGGGGAGAGUCAACUAUGUACAGUCGGAUUACACAGCCCUUAACAGACAAGACUCAUCAGUUGGUCCACUAUUGGAAUCAGGUCAUUUGCCGUCAGCCCAGAAUAGACGCGAAGACUUUGCCGUGAGCAAGUUGACGACAAACACAAUCAGCAAAGACUAUAUCGGCAGAGAGCUAAUUUGACGUCAACUUUUCAUCGCGCUGAUGACAAAGACUUUGCCGUCAAUUAAACUAUGUGUUUGUAGUCUGUAGAGAAAACACAAACGGCAAAGAAAUUAAAAAAAUGGUCAUUUUAAAAUAAUUUUUAGAAAUCUAUAUACUGUUUUUUAAAAUGUUUAAUAUGUACCAAGAAUUAUUUCGUAAGUAUACAAAAGAUGUAUAACGUGUAUGAAAAUUACGUAGACAUCAGAACAUAUUAUAGAAAUGUUAAUCUUGUAUUUAAAAAUUUUAAAUACACAUGCAUAAAAAUGUUUUUGAUGUACAUAAAAAAAUUGUACAUAGUGUGUGAACAAAGUAUGCAUUGAAAAAACAAAAAUCUUGUUGGAAAAAAAUCUCGUGUUGUAUACGAAAAUGUAAAAGGUGUAUGAAAAUAAUUAGAUAUAUGUUUAAUGAAAAAAGGAAAGAAGGCGCAAAAAAUCCGAUUAACACCAAGAUAGGAACAAGAAAACCUGAAGAAGACCAUUGAAAAAAAGAAAUGAAUACAAGAAAGAGGAAGAAAAACAAAAAAAAUGAAGAAGCUGAUGCAGAACAGGGAACUUAGUGAAAACGAAUAAAAAUUGAUGAAAACCGAGAAGAAAAACAAGAAAACUGAAGCAAAAAUUAAGAAAAAUAUGUAAAAAAAAUGAUGAAACAUUGCGAAACAGUGAAAUACUAUGAAAACCAAAGGAAAAAAAGACUCAAAAAUAAGAACGUACAGCAAGCGAAUGAACAACAACUGAGUGAACGAGCGAACAUGCGAGAAUACGUUAAUUGUCUGGCCCAUACUUGUGGAUUCCAGAGGCGAGCCAGAAUAGGCGAGAUAUAGCUAUGACGAUUUGAUACCCUUCAUAGCUUCACGAAUGCUAUAUCUCGCUCACAGCGAAAGUAUUUUUUGUCUGGCCUGAAGGUGAAAGAAUAGCAUCAGGUCGCUGUAAGUUUUGUGAUCCUACAAUCAGAGCUCGAUAAGAUUAAAAUUCAUGUUUCUGACAACCAGUCAUUCGCUCACUCAAUUCCACGUACUAGUUUGGUUAGGUUUUUUUUUCAUUUUUUUCUGUUUUUUAUUUCUUCACUGGCUUUCUUUGGUUUUUUUAUCGGUUUUCUUUGUUUCCUUCACGUUUUACUCUUUCUUUUCCUUUUUACUGGUUUAUCUAUUCCUUUUUUCUUUGUUUCUUUCUUGGUUUUCUUUGUUUUUUCUUUCUUUUGAUGUCAACCUUUUUACAUACACAUUCAACAAUUUUCGUAUACAUCAGAAACAUUUUAUGUAUACACGUUAACAAUUCCCAGGUACAUGAUUAAUAUUUUUGGAAAACUUCUAUUUUUUAUGUGUACUUUUUGAUACAUUUUGUAUAUAUCAGAAAUAUUUUUUAUAGAAGGUUUAACAUUUUUUAAAUACAUGAUUACCUUUUUGUAAACUUAUAUUGUUUGACGUUUACUUUUUUUCAUAGACAUAGUGAGGGGUUAUAUCUAAGGAAUAGGCCCAAGUACAUAUAUGGCCCAAGUACAUUUAAUCAAGGAUGUAGUCCACAAGACAAAUGGGGAAACAGACGGGGGCCAAUGGAGCUACAAGGCCAAAGCAUCGGAUACAAGGGGAGAAUCUACAGUCGGAUUACACAACCCUUGACAGACAAGACUCAUUAGUUGGUCCGCUAUAGGAAUCGGGUAAUUUGCCGUCAGCCGAGAACAUACUCAAAGACUUUGCCGUCAGCAAGUUGAUGACAACUUUUCAUCACGUUGAUGACAAAGACUUUGCCGUCAAUUAAACUAUGUGUUUAUCGUCUAUAGAAAAAACACAAACGGCAAAGGAAAGCACCUUUGCCAUCAGCGGCUAAUCUGCAUGUGUCUUCAACAAGACUCGUCUUGUCACUAGCCUCAAACAUCACAGAUGGAAAAGAAAUUUUUUAUUUUAAAAAAUCUGCGUCGACCACCCUACUUCGCACAUGUAGCCACCGCCUGGCCGCGCUCGCUGAUCACCCACAAGUGUAGGGGAUCUAUCGUAGUCCUUUCGAUAAGUAAGAGUGUCGAACCGAACGAGGAGUAGAAGGAAAUGACAAGCGGUUUUUAGUAAGGUAUUCUCUGCAAGCACUGAAAUUAUCGGUAACAGAUAGUUUUGUGAUAAGGUAAUUCGUAACGGGUAACAAGUAACAACAGUAAAUAAAGUGCAGCAAGGUGGCACAAUCCUUUUUGUAGCAAACGACAAGCCUGGACAAAUUCUUAUAUGAAGGAAAACGCUCCCGAGGACACAUGGGAAUUAUCGUCAAGCUAGUUUUCAUCACGCUCAUAUGAUUCACGUUCAUUACUUUGAUAAUUUAAUAUGUGGAUGGACCGGUGCUUGGAUACUGCUCUUUCUUGGAUAAGCAUCCCACUUAUGAUUAACCCCUAUUGCAAGCAUCCGCAACUCAAAAGAAAUAUUAAGGUAAACCUAAUCAUAGCAUGAAACAUUGACACGGCACAUUAUAAAGAGUUCAACCCAAAUUUUGUAGUAACACUAUUAUAUUUAAAUAGUGAUUAUUCCAACACAUGGAUAAUUAAUUAAGGCACCAGGUUGCGCUUGUGACCAGGAAAGACAAACUUAUGAACUUGCAAGCAUGACAAUCAGAUCGACAUCCACACAAUGUCAAUAUGAACAUUGUCUUGAUACAACUUUAUUUGUAUUUUAUUUCAGAAUUUAAACAACUAGUUUGGGCGGGUCACACACGACGUUGUGUGACACUUUAUUUGUCACCGCUGCAUCGACAUAUCCAUCGACUAAACAACGGUGAUCCAACUAUAUAUUACUAGAGACCUUUCCUUAUCAGUAGGCACCAACUCCAGUGCCAACGCCAAAUGGCACACUAGUGGUGGUCCUAUACAACGGCACAUUGACACGGCACAUCAUUGGCAGGGUACGGAGCGCAAUGGAAGUCAUCACCUCAAGCUGAGCUAUCUGGUGUGGCUGCAAAAAGGUACCCUGUGCCAAUUGUUGUUGUUGAGGUUGUUGCCCGAGUUGCUGCUGUGACUGCUGUUGGGGUUGGGAAACGCAUUGGCCCAACUGUUGCGGUUGCUGCUGCUGAGUUUGGAUGGAACCCCGAACCUGUUGUUGUUCUUGCAGGACGAUGGAGUAGAUGAUAGCACGGAUUGCCUCAUAGCGGGAUUGCUGGGGGAUUUGCGGCAACUGCUGGCAACAUUGUUGUUGCAUCACAUGGCAACUACUCUGCUGCAACAUUUGCGACCUAGCAAGACUUUGUGGCAUUGCCACAGGGCUGCAUUGCUGCUGGAGGAAUACCUUGCAUGGGUUCAGCUGCUGCAAGAUAGAUGGAUGAACAAAUGGUAUUUGUUGUUGCGGUAGAACUAGUUGUUGUUGUUGUUGCGAAAAUGAUGGUUGUUGUGGUAGAAUUGGUUGUUGUUGUUGUUGUUGCGAAAAUGGUGGUUGUUGCGGUAGUACUGGUUGUUGUUGUUGUGAAAACGGUGGUUGUUGUUGUGAAAAUGGUGGUAGUUGUUGCUGCGAAAAUGAUGGCUGUUGCGGUAGAACUGGUUGUUGUUGCUGCGAAAAUGGUGGUUGUUGCUGUGAAAAUGGUGGUUGUUGUUGCUGUGAAAAUGGUGGUUGUUGUUGCUGCGAUAAUGGUUGUUGUUGUUGUUGUUGUUGUUGUUGUUGUUGUUGUUGUUGUUGUUGUUGUUGUUGUUGUUGUUGUUGUUGUGAACAUGGUUGCUGUUGUGGAAAUUGUUGUGGUUGUUGUUGGAUGGGUUGUUGUGGUUGUUGGUGCGAUAAUGUUUGUUGUGGUGGUAAUGGUUGUUGCUGCGAUGGUCUCUCCAAACCAGGGAUGUGGCUAUUCUCCAUUUGUGCAAUGGCACUUGUCGCCGCAACGGCGAGGAGGGCAAAGAUGAGGAAGGUCUUCAUGGUGGACUAGUGUUAACUAGUAUUUCCUGGUUUUGAUGCUUGUGUUUGUGAUGAUCUUUAUACUUCAUGCCUAUUUAUAGUAGCCAGGGCACCACCUCUUUUCUUCUUUGCAUUAGCU
RNAcentral lists this long non-coding RNA (187672 nucleotides) under Triticum aestivum (bread wheat). RNAcentral describes it as "long non-coding RNA (TAES_LNC028382)". The stretch from base 10464 to 10550 matches the Rfam family "MIR1120/MIR1122 microRNA precursor family". The record is from RNAcentral. Lineage: Eukaryota; Viridiplantae; Streptophyta; Magnoliopsida; Poales; Poaceae.